This 210817-nucleotide long non-coding RNA is filed under the name Vitis vinifera (wine grape). RNAcentral describes it as "long non-coding RNA (VVIN_LNC002833)". The record is from RNAcentral. Lineage: Eukaryota; Viridiplantae; Streptophyta; Magnoliopsida; Vitales; Vitaceae.
UAAUUUUCACCUCCAAACAUAGCUAUCCGAAAAACCCUAACCUCUGCCUCCUCUUCCUCUUAUCCCGGAAACCUAAAUUCCGUGACCCUAACCCCUUCUCUUUCCGAAAACCCUCCGGAAUCGGAAAAUUCAUAAUUCUUCAGAAUUAAUUUUCACCUCGAAGCCAAACCCUAACUGCCUCAUCUUCCUCUCAUUCAUAUCCCAAAAGUAGCUUCAACAGUCAGGCCUGUAGCCAUGAAAGCCGUAGUGAUCACUACUUCCGGUGAUCCCCAAGUUCUCCAAGUGCAAGAAGUCGAAAACCCUGAAAUUGGAGAUGAUGAAGUUCUAAGUAGAGUGGACGCCGCUGCCAUUAACCGAACAGAUACGCUUCAGAGGAAGGGCUUGCACCCUUCCUCAAAGGCGGCAGUCCCUACCCGGGUCUCGAAUGUUCUGGAAUCAUCGAAGCUGUUGGAAAAGCCGUCGUUCGAUGGAAGGUUGGCGAUCAGGUAUUUCAAUUGCCUAAUAUUUUGAUUUCGUUUCUGUUCCUCUGUUUUUCUCGGCUAUCAAACACUAGGAACGUGUAAAUAAGGAGGUUAGUUGAUUGCGAAAACGGGAAUUUUUUGUUCGUGUCUGUGUUAAGGAGUCUUUGUUGAGAAUUUUGGGGAAAUUUAUGAUAAGUUUGUGAUUUUAUGAUUAAUUUUGUGUAUCAAUAUAGGUUAAAUUAUUGAGCUUAUUGGUUUUCAAAUUUAUGGUUGUAAGAAAAUUGGUCAGUGUAAGGUUAUGGGAUCAUUACCAAUUUGCUUACUGAAAAUUUUUCCAGAUAUUGUGGACCGGUUUGGUAGCAGAAAUAAGAACUGUGUUUUGUUUUUCAAAACGGAAAUGGAUGCAGAAAACAUGUUUUUCUUUCAGAACUUGUUUCCGAAAAUAUUUCCUGAAAAUGAAUUAUUUCAGAACUUGUUUUAAAAAAAUUCAAACACUUUAUCAAUUUAAAAGGUUCUGAAAUGGACAUGUUCAUGGUCUUCAUUUUUUAAAAUUAAAGCUUUUAUGAAAAAACCAUUUUCCCUUCUACUAAACAAACAGGCUCUAUAUUGUAACAGAUCGAUUGGCCAUUUCCUUUGUCAUGUUUUGUGAAUCAUGGCAACACUGGAAUCCACUCCAUUACCAUCUGUUAGUGAUUAGAAGACAAAGCACCAAUUUUAAUGAUAUCCUUUAUGUGAUUUUGCUUCCUCCUGAGUACAAGUUCAUAGUAUACAUGGUACAUGGUGAAUCUGUAUGACAGUUCAUGGUAUACAGGUGUGUGCUCUUCUUUCUGGUGGAGGGCAUGCUGAAAAAGUGGCUGUUCCAGCUGGGCAAGUUCUCCCUGUCCUAUCUGGUGUUUCUCUGAAGGAUGCUGCUGGAAUUCCUGAGGUUGCAUGUACUGUUUGGUCAACUGUUUUAAUGAUGAGCCGACUGUCUGCAGGAGAAACAUUCCUGGUGAAUUUUUUGUCUUUUUUAUUUUCUGAUGCCUGAUAUAUUUACCAGCACAAAUUUACCCUGUUGCUGUUUAAUGUGUGUGCAUCAAUAUUGGAUUAGGGAGGUAGAAGAGCCAUGGUUCUAAUUAAAUCAUUACAUCAUCAUAUUCUUAUUUAGAUACAUUGUAUCCCACAAUUUCAUUGCAUCCAAGGCUAUGUUGUUUUUUAUUGCACGGUUUGUGUCAUGGUAAUUUCUCAACCCUUCUCUGGAAAAUUAUGUUGGAUGGCUGCUAUUAAUUACCCCAAAAGAAGAAAUUUUAUGUUGAAGUAAGAUGAGUAGCACAAAGAGUUACUUGUGGUUGAUCCUAUCAUCAAAUGGGCGAUUGAUGCACAAUCCAAAUGGUAAAUUUUUUUCCCCCUUUAUCCAGAUGGAAUUUUUAUGCAUGGUUGAAUAGUGAAAUGAGGACUGAUAAUAUUUCAGGUUCAUGGGGGUUCAAUUGGAAUUGGUACCAUCUAUUCAAAUAGUGAAAUACUGAGGAGCAAGGGUAUUUGUUACAGCAGGUUUGCCAUCACUGUUCUACCUCAUCUCACAGAAUGCUUAUCUCAUGGCACCAAUUCCUUUUCUUCACAUGUUUUCAACCAUUUUUUCCACCCAGGAACGAGGAAAAAUUAGCUGUUUGUAAGGAUCAUUGAGCAGAUGUGUGCAUCAAUUACAAGACUGAAAACUUUGUUGCAUGGGUGAAGGAGGAAACAGGAGGGAAAGGUAUAAUCUAUUGUAUCUUAACGAUAAUUUCAAUUGAAGGUGGAAUUGCUUUUUAAUUUUUAGUGCACCAAAUCCACUAGUCUGGAAUGUUUGAAAAGAUAAAUAGUCAUCUUCCACUUGAUACCGAUUGUGAAGAUCUAACCCCAAAAAUGUUGAAUGACAGGUGUUGAUGUUAUACUGGAUAAUAUUGGAGGGGCCUACUUUUGGGGAGACAUCAAUGGUUUAAAUGUUGAUGGAAGGCUUUUUAUUAUUGGUUUUCAGGGUGGAACAGUGGUACAAGUAAAUCUUUCAGGUUUACUUGCAAGGCGCCUUACAGUGCAAGGUACCGCUUUCUCUGUAGUUUUGGAGUUGAAUCAAUUUGAUUAAUCUCAUCCAAGUUCAGAACUGAGGUGGAUUCUGGCAAGCCAAGGAAAAACCAAAUUACCAUAAAUUCUUUUUUUCUUGGAAAUCCUGUUUCUCAAUCUGGUCAGUAUAUGGAAAUUCCAAGGAAAAUAUGUUUUACAUUUUCCAUAAGGCUCAAUGGGUUUUAACUCCACUCAGCUACUUUAUGUCUUGUAUUUAAUAUUGCAAACCAAAAUAAUAAUACGUAGAGAUUGAGCUUGGAGGCCAAUCUAGCAAAUGUGGAGAUUAGAAAUAGUUUACCAUCUAGAUAGUCAAGCAUAGCAAUUUACCAAACCCUUACCAACCAUCCAUACUAACCAAUUGUGGUUAAAUGUUUACAAAAAUGUACAUUAAAUCAAAGAGAAAAAAGAUUAAAAACGAACAAGAGAGAAGAAGUACGUCACCUAAUUUUGGUAAUAAAUGAAAUUAAAAUAAAUUCAUAAAUUUUUUAAAUUAAAAUGAAUUUGAACUCUAGAGAUUUGUGUAGAUAUCUUAUUAAAAAACCAAAAAGUUUGUUGCAUAUAUAAUUUCAACAAUGCAUAAAUAAUUACAACAUACGCAAUACAAUAAUAUUACACAACUAUAUUUUCAAAUAUAGUAUAAGAUCAUUAAAGUGAUAAAUUGUAGUUGUAUAAAAUAUUUAUACAAGUAAAGAAGAAAUUAUGAGAUUGAAAUGCUUGUUGGAUUCUAAGUAAAAAGGAAAUGAGAUAUAGAGAUUGUCCCAUCAGACAUAGAAUUUCAUAUACAUAAUUUUCCCUUCAAGAAAAUUUAGGGUCAAAUUGAAAAAUUUUCAUUCAUAGAUUUUGGUAAAACCUCUAUCUAGUCCUCCAAAUCUUGUAUACAAAAGGAAAUAACAUUGGUAUGAGGGGUUUGAAUGCUUAAUUUUAGAUUGAAAAUGCUUGAGAUAAUUUUUGAUCGACUUCACAUGUGUUUUUGAUAAACUUGGAACAUUCAAACUUGUAUUUGAAGAAUCUUCAAAUCUUCAAUUUGAUCUUAAAUAAUGUUGAAACCUUCGAAAUUUGAAUAGAAGAAUCUUUAAGCAUUUGAAUUUUGGUUUAAAGAAUUUUGAAAUUUGAGAUUGAAGAAUCUUCAAAUUUGGGCCUGAAGAUCAAAGGCUAAGCUUGAAGAGUUCUUGAAGCUUGAGUGGUAUCUCCGAUUUUGUUUUGUAUUUCAUAAAAACUUUUAAGUAUACUAUAUUUAUAGGUUUGAAGAGACAUUGAGAUUUUGUAUACAUGUUUGGAGUUUUAAACCUUGAAAUAUUACUCUUUUAUGAAAUUAACAUUUAUAAAAUUUGGAAGAACAUAAUUAGAUAAUAUUCUAAGUUAUUUUUAAUGAAAAUUGAUAAUUACCUUUUAAUUAUCAAAUUCACUAUUUCUAUUUAUUUUUGUAAUAUAUAUUAAUUACUAAAAUCAUUUAUUUCCUUUAUUUAGUUUGAAAGCAAUUAUAUAUCUUUUGUUUGUGUAGAGCUCAUGUGACACGACAAAUUUUAUUUUGUAACUUGCUCUGGAUGAAUGGCCAUUAUAAACUUCAUUUUAUCCUCAUCUGAUUUUGAGGUGGGAAUAGGAGAGAUGAGGAUUUGACAUUUGGACCUAAGCCUCAGAGGGUUUUAACUCCACUCAACUACUUUAUGCCUUGUAUUUAAUAUUGCAAACCAAAAUAAUAACAGACAUGAUCCUUUUCAAAAUUUUUAUAAUAAUAGAAGUGUAAAUAAUAUAAGUAAAAAUAAUAUAAUAUUUUUUAAAAUGAUAAAAUAAUAGGUUAUAUAAAUUUUAAUAUAUAGGUAAAAUUAAUUAAAUUUUAACAAAUACCUUCACACUUAAACAUUACAUAUCUUUUAUUUAAUAAAAUGUUAAAAUAUUAAUAUAUUUAAAAUUGUAUAAUUAUUUUUUAUUUUAAUACUAUAUAAAUUAUAUAUUUAUGAUAUUACUGGUUCAACUAUAAUUCAAUCACUGAUCCAACCAUUGAACCAUGAAUUAGUAAAUUUUUUUAUUCAAUGAUAGGUUUGAUUCUAAAAAUAUUAUGACUAUGUUUGGUUCCAGAAAUUUUUUUUUGAUGGAUUACAUCAAUCUAGAUAAUGACAAAGAUAUUACCAAUUUGAUAUCACCAAUUGAUAACACAAUUAAAAAAUAAUAUGCAUUUUAACAUAUUUGAAUUCAUUGUACUCAUAUCCAUGACCUAAUUUUACACAUCCUUAAAUCAUGGUUGAUUUAUGAAACAAAUCUAUACCAUCAAUAGAAAAUAAAUAAAUAAAAUAAUACAAAAAAAUAUAUAGAUAGUCAAGCAUAGCAAUUUACCAAACCCUUAGCCACCAUCCAUACUAACCAAUUGUUGUUAAAUGUUUACAAAAAUAUACAUUAAAUCAAAGAGUAAAAAGAUUAAAAACGAACAAGAGAGAAGAAAUACAUCACCUAAUUUUUGUAAUAAAUGAAAUUAUAAUAAAUUCAUAAUUUUUUUAAAUUAAAAUAGAAAUUCAAAUACAUGUAACUAUUGUUUUUGUCUUGUAAAUCAUCCAAUUUUUCAAUGAAUUUAAACUCCACAUAUUUGUGUAGAUAUCUUAUUAAAAAAAACAAAAAGUUUUCACUAAAAUCAUAAAAUUUAGAUUAGAAAUGAUUUACUAUAUUAGUUCAAAAUUCAUCUCCACAAAAAUUGAAAUAAAUUAAUUAUCUUGAUCAAUUCAAAUAAAAUUUCUCCAAUUAAAUUUCCAAAUAUGUGCCUUAAUACCUAUAAUGGAAUUAGUAAUUUUAAUUAAAAAAUAAAUAAAAAUAAGGAUUUGAUCUUUUUCUUACCAUUUGAUGAAAAUUAUAAAAUAUACUAAAAUGACAAGUGAUCAGACAUUUGAAAUUUGCAUCAUUUCUACCAUUGCAAACACCACCAACUCCAUAUUUCCCAUUUUUCUACCUACUGCCAAUUCACUCAUCUCUCUGGGAAGAUUUUUGAGGUUAUCGCCAUGCUUGAGAUAAUCCAGAAAGUUGAGCGGCAUCACUCUCUGAAAGGUGCCUUACAGCAUGGGUAAUGUAUGGGAUACAUCUGAUAGCUUGCCAUAUCCAUAAACCACUAUAUUAAACCAUGGUUCAUAUCCCCAACGCCACACGAGAAUCUGUACUCAUCCCAAGCAGCUUGGAGAUCAUAAAAUUAGGUUUUGAGGGCCUCCCGAGACAUGCACAGCUUCACCUUUGUGCAUUCCUUUGAUUUGGAAAAUUUCUUCUGUAAAAUCCCCCAUUAUCAUGCCCUGAACCAAGACAAUUUCACAAUAUCCAAUAGCAUAUCAUUUACUUCCAUUUUGUCAAUGGGAAUUACCAUUUUGCAUGGGAAGCACCAACGGAGAUAGGGGUUUUCAAAUUGGAUCACUAGCAAAGAAACCCACCGCAACGAUCUGAAUAAUUGAGCACAACAUCCACUUUAGAGAACCCCUCCUGAAGGCGAAAUCGUCAUCUUGGCUAAACGUAGUCAUAGUUGGGUUGUGAGAAAUGGAGAUGAAUCACAGAAGGCUUUCAGUUUGAUAGCAACGAAAAGGUAAAUGUACUCUAGAGAAGUUUUGACCUUGGGAGAAGCGCUUUUGAAUCCAAGUCAAGGUCUGUUCUGGAUCCCUUUUCGACUCUCUCUAUUAAAGGAAGAUAAUCUGCCCAGGAUUUGGAUGCAAGCCUACAAGGCCAUGUUUAGGAGACUUAUGCAAAAUAUUUAUCCAUAGCUCCCCGCCUGAAACAUCUACAUAAAGCGUCUUCCAAGUGUGAACCAUCGUCUUGGGUCCUUGAGAUGAACAAAAACUGAGACAUGUCGUGAGUUAGAUGCAUUGCCUGAAAAUGCCGAGCAGUAGUAUGGCCUUCUUUCUGAUCAACUGUUUUGUCAAAUUCUAGAGCUCUCAUUCCAAAUCCAUCAGUUUUCUCAAAUGAUUGGCCAGUGGAGAUCCAUGGAUAUAACAUAUGAAAUGUGCACAAUAAAAGUAAUCAAACGGUUGGUUGGUUUGGCUGAAUCCCACAAUCGCAAAGACUUAUCAUAUGAAACUGUUACCAACUGAGUUGAAUUUGGCCUAAAAAGGAUAUCCGUUACUACAAACUAGCGUUCUUUCGUGGUGCUCUCUCUUUGCAGGCUAUCCAUGUUCCAAAGAAAAACUCUCUUGUCAUGUCUGGCACUGGGCACUGAUUAGAGUGUGGGACGUUCAUUCUCCAUUAUCACCAAACACAUGCAGGAUAUAUAUAUAUCAAUUCAUUCAAAAUAUGCCUUUAUUUUAUGGAACAUACCCGAAUCCAUUUUGUUUGUGUUGAAGAGGUAUAGAUCUUCUAAGGCUAUGGAGGGCACCACCUUUUCUCAGAAUUCUCUCUGACGAUGGGAAGCCGAAGAGAACGGGUUUUGUUUUUAUUUUGAAAACGUUGUUAUCCUUAAAGAACAAACACUAUUCUUUGGAUUUAUACCCUCCUACCUUAGGGACCAUACCGUUUGGCUACUGGGCCUCACGAGUCUUAGGCCCAUCAUCUAAGGCCCGUGAUGGCACUGGGCUCUACACAUAAGGUGGCCCAUACUCUAGAACGAAUAGAAAUCAUAUGUAUAUAUAUGGAUAGCUAAAUCCUGAAUAAUGGUUAAUAUGAUGUCGGUCCACAUUUAUUCUAUCAAUCUCCCACUUGGACCACAUAUAUUACAAAACAAUGUUCAUGAUAGUACUUUAUUGAGCUCAUCUUUGCUAUCCUAUCUUAAUAUCCUUAAACAAUCUGGUCUACUAGUUAUGCUAACAUAGGAUCAAAGUGGCCUUCAUUAAUCAUAAUUAUAACUAGACCCAUCAAUGAUCACAACAUUAACAAAAUUAGCAACAUAGAUCAAGUAUGGAUGUGUAGCAUGAAAAUUACAUAAAAUGUGAUCUUUAUUAUGUCUAUUUCCAAUUGGUCCUACUUUAUGACUAAAAAAUAGUCAAAUUCCACUUUCAACACUUGAUGCUAAACUGCUUCUGAAAGUCAUCAUUUCAAUUCAGAGAAUUCAAAUACAAUAGUCUUUAAAAUCAAGGUUUGUUGCGUACAUUAUUGGAAUGUUCAGCAAAUAUUUGAGUAACCCAAGUAUGGAUUACUGGAAAAAGGCAAAAUAGGUUAUGCGGUAUUUACAAAGAACUAAAGAUUAUAUGCUCACAUACCGUAGAUCCAGUCAUUUAGAGAUCAUGGGAUAUUCGGACUCCGAUUUCGCGGGAUGUCUUGACAACAAGAGAUCCACUUCAAGCUUCAUCUUCAUGUUGGCUAGAUGAACAGUUUCAUGGAAAAGUGUUAAACAAAUACUUAUUGCUUCUUUCACCAUGGAGGCAGAAUUCAUAGCCUACUACAAAGCAUCAAACCAUGGGAUAUGACUGCGGAAUUUUGUCACUCAGUUGCGAAUCGUUGAUGAGAUUGAGAAAUCAUUAAGAAUAAAUUGUGAUAAUAAAGCCAUAGAAUUGUAAUUCUAAGAACAACCGAAGUUCGUCAAAGUCCAAACACAUUGACAUCAAGUUCUUGGUUGUGAAAGAAAGAGUUUAGAGUCUUCAAGUAUCAAUUGAACAUACAAGCACAAACUCCAUGAUUGCGGAUCCGCUCACUAAGGGUUUGCCACCCAAAGUAUAUCAUGAGCAUGUCACACAUAUGGGUGUUGUACAUAUUGAUGAUGUUCCAGUAUAGUGGGAGUUUGUAUUUAGAUUUUGUGUUUGUUUUCUUGAUAUGAUGUUAUAUUGUGUUAUCGUGUACAAACUUGUGCAUACAUGAGACUUCCUAUUGUUGAGGCAUAGGGAAACCUCUUCAUAUCCUUCUUUUUAAGUUCAUUUUUCGGACAUUGGUGCAAACUAAAUUUAUCGCCUUUUGCUACAGGCAUGUCUCCUGGUGUACAAUUGCUCAUGCCAAAUCUACUCAACACCUUAUCGAUGUAGGCCUUUUGUGAUAACCCAAGUAUACCUCUUAAACGAUCCCUAUAGAUCUGUAUACCUAGCAAAAAAGAUGCAUUACCAAGAUCCUUCAUGUCAAAUUUACUAGACAAAAAUAGCUUAGUUUCAUGCAAAAGUCCCACAUCACUACUUGCAAGUAGAAUAUCAUCAACAUAUAGCACCAAGAUAAUGAAUUUGCUCCCACUAAACUUGAGAUAUAUGCAUUGAUCAAUGGUGUUUUCCUUAAAACCAAAUGAAGUAAUCACCUGAUUAAACUUUUGGUACCAUUGUCAAGAUGCUUGCUUUAAACCAUAUAUGGACCUUUUUAAUCUGCAUACAAGUUGCUUUAAAUCAUUAGACUCAAAGUUCUCCGGUUGCAUCAUGAAUAUUGUUUCAUCAAUGUUACCAUUAAGAAACGCAGUUUUAACGUCCAUUUGAUGCAACUCUAAAUCAUAAUGAGCCACAAGUGCCAUGAUGAUUCUAAAGGAGUCAUUUGACAAAACCGAUGAAAAAAUCUCCUUAUAAUCAAUGUCUUCCUUUUGAGUGAAACCUUUUGCGACUAGACGUGCCUUAUACCUAACAAUGUUGCCUUUUGAAUCCCACUUGGUCUUAAAAAUCCAUUUACAACCAAUCGAUUUUACACUUUCAGGCAACUUUACUAGGUCCCAAACACCAUUAUCUUUCAUUGAUUUCAUCUCAUCUUUUAUGGCUUCUAUCCACUUUUCAGAGUCAGAACUUUGUUUGACUUGACUAACUGAAAUUGGAUCAUCUUCCAAACCCAUGUCAAACUCUUGUUCCUGGAGAUGUACAACAUAAUCAUCUGAAAUUGUACUUCUCAUUUCUCUAGUGGAUCUCCUUAGUGGCACUUGUAUUUGAGGUUCUUGAGGCUGUUGAGUUACCUCUUCAUAAACUUGAACCGGUUCCAUAACUUGAGCAGGAGGAAUCUCAAGUGUGUUUUGAAUCUCUGUUAUUGAUUGUACAAUCUGGAUAGUGUCAUCAAACAUAAUAUGACCAUGUCCAGUCGUAAUAAUAGGAAUACUAACAGAUUCCUCUUCAAAUACCACAUUUCUUAACGGUUCUCUCCCAUUUAACUCAACAUCCUCAAUAAAUUUAGCUUUGCCCGUUUCAAAAAAGGAUCUAGUUGAGGGGUCAUAAAACUUGAAACCUCUCAACCUUUUAGAAUAUCCUACAAAGUAGCAGCUCACUAUUCUAGAGUCCAAUUUCUUUUCAUUUGGUUUUUAAGGCCUAUCUUCAGCUGGACAACCCUAGACAUGCAAGUGCCUAAUACUAGGUUUCUUGCUAGUUCAUAACUCAUAUGAGGUUUUGGCUACUGCUUUGCUUGAGACUCUAUUCAAAAUAUAAAUUGUUGUUUUGAUGGCUUCGCCCUAAAGUGAUUCUGGUAAGGUGGAAUGACUGAUCAUACUUCUUACCAUAUCCUUAAGAGUACGAUUUCGCCUAUCUGCUACACCAUUUUGGAUUGGAGUCCCCAGCAUGGUGUAUUGAGGAACGAUACCACACUCCAUCAAAUAUUUGGCGAACAGCCCUGGACGUUGUUCACUAGAUCCGUCAUAUCUACCAUAAUAUUCACCUCCACGGUCAGAUCUGACGACCUUUAUUUUCUUGCUUAGUUGGUUCUCAACUUUAGCUUUGAAAUUCUUGAACACAUCUAAUGAUUGAGACUUCUCAUGAAUCAAAUAAAGAUAGCCAUAGCGCGAGUAAUCGUCAAUGAAAGUGAUAAAAUAUUAUUGUCCAUUCCAAGAAGGGGUAGGAGAUGGACCACAAAUGUCCGUAUGUAUCAAUUCAAAGACGUCACUGCACUUGUUAACAUCAUUUUUUUUCUCAUAUUUGUUUGUUUACCCUUAAUAUACUCUAUACAGACUCGAAAGUAUAAGAAAUUAAGUGGAUCAAGAAUUCAUUCUGACACAAGCCUUUGAAUACGUUGAUUUGAAAUAUGACCCAAAUGCCUGUGCCAUAACAUCGAUGAAUUCUCAUUUGUUAAUUUCCGUUUAAUGUCAUAAUUACUUGAAUUCAAGGUUUCAUUUUCAUUAGUGGUCUUUAUGUUUAAUUUGUAUAAUUUGUCUGUUAGAUUACCUGUACCAAUAACAUUUGAAUUUAGAUAAAGACUAACCAUUCCAUUUCUAAAUGAACAAUAAUAUCCAAAGUACAUCCAGAGUCUAACUGUAAUCUAAAAAGACCAAUAGUCUUGACUGCAACCUUGUUGCCAUUUCCCGCAUAGAUGUAUCUUUCACCAUCAAUUGGCAUUCGGCUCCUUAGGCAACCCUACAUCGUGACACUUAUGUGAGUAGUUGCACCCGUAUCUAUCCACCAAGUGUCAGUAGGCACUACGACUAAAUUAAUUUAUGAACAAACAAAGUUGAGAAGUGUACCUUUCUUUUCACGCCAAGCAGCGUAUUUGGUACAUGUCUCUUCAUAUGACCAACCUUCUUGCAAAAGAAACAAGUCAUCUCCUUAUCUUGUUUCUUCUACACCUUUUGCAUUGAUGUCCCAAAAAUUGCAGUUUGUUUUUCUUUAUUGUCCCUUUUUCUUUUCUUGUUGGUACCAAAUCCCUGAGAUGUGGAAGCCAAGUGAGCACUUUCUAUCUUUUCUUGUUUCAAUCUCUCAUCCUUUUGUGCACAUUGAGCAAUAAGCUCAUUCAAAGUCCAUUUUUCUUUUUGUGUGUUGUAACUGAUUUGGAAUGGACUGAAUUGUGUAGGCAGAGAGAUCAAGACCAAGUGCACGAGUAUGUCUUCUGAAAACUCUAAUUUUAGUACCUUUAGUCUAGUCACAAGAUUAGACAUUUCCAUAAUAUACUCCCUUAUAUUCUCUUUCCCUUUGUACCGCAUAGAGACAAGCUUACUAAGAAUAGUGCUUGUCUCAACCUUUUCAUUUGUAGUGAAUCGGUUUGCUAUCUGGUCUAAGAAUGCCUUGGCUCGAGUUUUCUCAGGUAUUGCACUUCUUACAGCUUUUGGAAUUGAGUGCUUUGUUAUCAUUAGAGUCAUGCGAUUGGAUCGCUCCCAUUUUUCCAUAGUAGAACUUUGCUCAGCAGUGCUGGCACUAGUAAGAUCUGGAGGGCGAUCCUCUCUUAAUGCAUAGUCUAAAUCCAUGCACCCGAGCACAAUUAUAGCGUGUUUCUUCCAUUUCUUGAAGUUUGUGCCAUUAAGUGCAGGAAUGUUAUUAACAUUUGCAGAUAUAGAAUAUGUUGAAUUCAUAAUAAUAAAGCUCACAAUCAGUCACAUAAAUAUCAUACAUACAUGAAAAAUAACAUCAUACAAGAUACUUAGCACAAACAUUAAUAUUCUGUCUUUGGACAAUAAAUAUUAACUUGUAAUUGGUAUCCUUAUUCAAAAUUAUUCAUAAAUAUUGACAAUAAAACCAAAAACAAUAUGCUUGUCUUUAGACUAACAUAUCGAAUGCAAGAUAAACUUUAUAUGUCACAUAUUUAUGACUACUUUAUUUAUUAUUAUAUUAAAAUAAUCUUCCUUUGGGCCAAUUAUUUUAAAUAAUAAUAAUAACAUGUUUAGAUAUUAUAAAAUAAAUAAAUUAUAUAAUAUAAGUUACUUUGACAACUAACAUACAUAAUUCAUUUAUUUUAAAAUAUUAAACACAAACAUAACAAGAAAUAAUAAAUUCAAUUAAAAUUAUUUAUUUAUUUAUGCAUAAACCCAUGUAUAUAUAUAUAUAUAUAUAUUAAUUGAAGCAUAAAAAACCAUCUACAUGUGUAUAUAUAUCAAUUGAAGCAUAUAUACAAGCUUUAGUCUAAUGGUUUAAGCAAAAAAUAGGCCAUGGUAAAGGGUUUAAGCCAACCCGCCCCUUUAGUUUGGUUUUUGUUUUUUUUUUUUUGUUUUAAUUUCUUUUGGGCUACUGACCAUGCAUUCUCUCAUGGCCCAACGACCACUUAUGGUCACUUACAAGCCAAGCCCCUUCCAUAUAUAUAUAUAUAUAUAUAUGUUUUUAUUUAUUUAUUUAAAUUUUGUCCAUUGCAGCCCAAAGCGACCAUCCCUUGUAAUGGCAUCAUCAACGGUGCCAGAGCUGUCCUCGAACGACACCGAUAGUGAAACGCUGCCACCAUCACCGGAACGGUGAUUUCCCAUCGCCAAACGACGGUGUCACUACCGGAAUGAUGCUGUAACAGCAUCGCUGGGAAGCAACCUAACUUGUGGCGUGACACCAUGACAAGCAAUGCCACUAGCAGUGAAACGCUGUCGCCAUCACCGAAACGGUGAUUUUCCAUUGCCAAACAAUGGCGCCACCACCGGAACAACGUUGAAACAACAUCACUGGGAAGCAGCCCUACCCGUGGCACCAAAAUGGCGCUUGGAUGGCAUUUGGAACACUUGCAACAACGUUCAAAUCAGCGCUUCUCACUGGCAAAUGACGCUUGAACGACAUCUGGAAAUAAUGCCUACAACGCCUAAAAAUUGUGCUAUUUUGAACUCUUAAAACAACGUUGAAAUGACGUCUACCAAAGUCUGGAAUUGCACCGCUGUCUAGAACGAUGCCAUGAUGGUGUCUCACUCGCCUUAAAUGGCACCAACCACCAUGACUUGCAACCUAAAAAAUGGCACUUGAACAGCGCCUGAAGCGUGCCUGGAACGACGCUACAAACGAUGCCUGAAAUGGUGCCUUUUGUAUGCCUGAAAACGACAUAGGAAUGACGCUUAAACUACGUCCAUUUUGAACGCCUGAACGGUGUCCUAACGGCGCCUGAAACGAUGCCUGAAUGACGCCUGGAAUUGGCCCAGAUUUAUUUUAUGUUGUUUCCUUCCUCUUGGAUCUUUUGUUUGUGUUUUAAAAAAAAAAAUGUUUUGGUGAAAAUGGGAAAUGCAACCAGGCUCUGAUACCAUUUUGUGGGACGUUCAUUCUCCAUUAUCAUCGAACACAUGCAAGAUAUAUUUAUAUAUAUCUAUCAAUUCAUUCAAAAUAUGCCUUCAUUUUAUGGAACAUACCCGAAUCCAUUUUGUUUGUGUUGAAGAGGUACAGAUCUUCUAAGGCUAUGGGGGGUACCACCUUUUCUUAGAAUUCUCUAUGACGAUGGGAAGCCAGAGAGAACAAGUUCUAUUUUUAUUUUGAAAACGUUGUUAUCCUUAAAGAACAAACACUAUUAUUUGGAUUUAUACUCUCCUACCUUAGGGACCAUACCCUUUGGCUAUUGGGCCUCACGAGUCUUAGGCCCAUCAUCUAAGGCUCGUUAUAGCACUAGGCUCUACACAUAAGGUGGCCCAUACUCUGGAAAGAAUAGAAAUCAUAUGUAUAUAUAUGGAUAGCUAAAUCAUGAACAAUGGUUAAUAUGAUGUCGGUUCACAUUUAUUAUAUCAUAGAGACUUCCCAUAUGAAGAAAAUCGACAGCAGGUAGCUUUGCCAUUCUUAGUCUGUAUACAACCAACCUUAGCAAGGAUUGAACCCUUUUAUGCUUAGUUGUGCCAUAAAGAUCCUUACCACUGCCUAUAACAUGUAAUCAAAAUGAUUCGAUAAUAUCAUCUAGUGAACCAAUACCUCCAAAUGAGAGACCAUUGCCUUGGUAACUAGGGCUCAUGACUGAGAAUUGCUUGAACCCCUUUGCUUGGGUUGGAGCUUGACUGAUGCACAAAAUAUUCAUAGGCCUCUUCCCAUAACUGGCACCUUGUGUUUGCAACAUAAUUGAACAUGUAUUGAAGUGAGUUUUUUUGCAUCUUUUUGUAAGAAAAUUCUAAACAACAGAGAUUGCUUAGUGUGCCCGGCUCCUCGGGGAAUCAAGGUUCAUUCCUGUAGGGCCAAUUUUUUCACAGUCGAACUAGAUAACAUGGAGAGUAUGUUGCAAUGCUUCAACGGGGUAUUUCUUAGGAAAAUCCACCUGAAGCUAGUACAAUUCGUUGGCGUACUGAGUUCCUGGAGCUCUAUUGACUUCAAUCACCCAUCUUUGUAGAUUAUCGGUGACUUAUGCUCGGAUCCUGUAGGAGGAUUGACCUGACAUUCCACUAGCUCUUUCUGGAAGGCGAUCUUGUUUAACACCUUGUGAGAAGAGGCAAGGGAACUGGUCAUUGUUUCUUCGAGAAGAUCAGUGGCCGAGGAUGGGUUUGGAUCAGAAUUGCUAUAUGGGUUUUCUUUGGGUGAACCAAUUAGUGAAGUGGGUGGCUAUAUAGCAACUGAAGGGUAGUCAUACUAACGAGGAACUAUUAUUUCAUGCAUGUGGAGAGGAAAUGAGUAGAUUCUUCAGGGAUAUAUGAUUAUUCAUCUCUAGCUUACGUUGAAUAUCUCCUAACAAAUUUAUGCUUUGAAGCUCCCUUAGUUUCAUUACAGCUAACUUGGCCAACUUGGUUUCAUCAUGUUUCCUACAACCUCUAAGCAAAGCACGCCAGAUCACCAAAUCAGGUUCUAUUCGCAUUUUGUCCAUAAACUCCUUUGCCUAUUGACAAUAGACUGCCCCUCAAAAUUUGAUGAGAUAACAUCAACGCUGACAGGUUGGCCAUCCCCAUAAGCAUCUUUAUAGAGAUUGAUUCUAUGUUUAGAUAUUUCUCUCUCCUCAAGUGAGUUCAAUUUUUUUGUAACAUCCUUCUCCUUCUCUACUAAUAGUCUUAGCUGAACAUCCAACCUAUGUUCCUAAAGUGCCAGCAUCUCAUAUCUGAUGACAAGCCAACAACCUUGCCCUUGCUGAGACCAAUGUUUUUAAGGCGUUUGUGGGGCGCGCCUUGAGGCGAGGCGCAGCGAAAACGUGUUGAGGCGUUAAAAAUAAAAUGAAACACCUGAAAGGCGUACGCUUUUCCGAUGAGGCGUGAUUGAGGCGUGCUUUGAUCGCGCCUUUCACACUCCAAGAAGAAGGUGUAUGCUUCCUCGGAUCUGAUGUGGCAAUGAACAGAGAUUUAAAAAAAAACCCUAAGUAAUCCCUAAAACCCUAGUCCCGACUGAAAACAAACCCAAAACGAAACCCUACCUCCAACGACUCAAGUGGCGACGGAGUGCUCACCCUCGGCUGCGACCAAUCGCAAUGCAUCUUCUCCGGCGACGAUCCCUCUCAUUCAUCUCCAGGUAUGUUGCGAACUCCUUCUUCCAUGGUUUCUCCCUCUUCGUUUCUCUUUCUGCAAUCCACACGGGCUUCGUCGACUCUUCAUCCAAAUUUUUUUUUUAUCAAAUCAGUUAUGUAUAUCUAUUUAAAUUUUAAACCCUUUUUUCUCUCUCUUACAGUAUAUCUAUUUAAAUUCUUUCUCGGCAAUCCACAGCCCACACUUCCAGUCCACACUUUUCUCUCUCUCCCAAUAGGCUUUUCAUUUUCCUUUUUUUUUUUUUUUUUUUUUUAAAUUAUCAAAUCAAAUGUGCCUUUUGUUAAUAAGAUUUUUUUUGAAGUUUUUUAUAUGUUUGCUUAUAGUAUCAACAAAAAAAUAUAAUUAAAAUUAUAUAAAAGACAAUUAUUUGUGAAUUUUGAAUUUUUUAUUUCUGGUUUAAUUUUAAUUUUCACCUCAAUUUUCUUUAUUUCAUUAUUAAAUUCCAAUUAAAAUUUAUGUGUAUAAUUUUUAAACUCUUUUAAAAAAAAUUGGUUUUUUUUUAAUUUAAACCAAUUAAAUUUUGUAUUUCAUUUUUAAAUUUCUUUCAAUUGUGCUUUGUUAUUAUUUUUUUAGUCAAUUAUAUUGUUAUAUGGAAAUUUGAAUAUUAUUAUUGGUGAUUUUUUUUAGAAUGAGUUCCUCUGAUUCAAAAAAUUCAAGAAAGGAUUUUGUGUGGAAGUAUGUGAUGGAAGUUUCUAGAGAGCAAUAUUUAAUAUGUAAAUUUUGCAAUCAAAGAUGUACGGGAAGGGUGAAUAGACUAAAACAUCACUUAGCCGGAACUCAUCAUGGUAUGAAACCAUGCAACAAAGUUAGUGAAGAUGCUAGAUUGGAAUGUAAAGAGGUAUUGGCUAAUUUUAAGGAUCAAAAAACGAAGAGAAAUGAAUUGCUCCAAGAAAUUGGUAUGGGUCCAACUUCAAUGCAUGAAAGUGCCUUGUCUAAAAUAAUAGGGACAUUAGGGAGUGGGAGUGGGAGUGUAAGUGGGAGUGGGGAACCUAUUCCUAGGGGACCCAUGGAUAAAUUUACCACUUCACAACCUAGACAAAGUACUUUGAAUUCAUAGUGGAAGCAAGAAGAAAGGAAGGAAGUGUGUAGAAAAAUUGGUAGGUUUAUGUAUUCAAAAGGUCUCCCAUUCAACACUGUGAAUGAUCCUUAUUGGUUUCCUAUGAUAGAUGUUGUUGCAAACUUUGGGCCCGGGUUUAAGCCUCCAUCUAUGCAUGAAUUGAGGACAUGGAUUCUUAAAGAAGAGGUGAAUGACCUAAGUAUCAUUAUGGAAGAUCACAAAAAAGCUUGGAAACAAUAUGGAUGUUUAAUUAUGUCAGAUGGUUGGACAGAUGGAAAAAGUAGGUGUCUUAUCAAUUUUUUGGUGAAUAGUCCUGCUGGAACUUGGUUUAUGAAAUCAAUUGAUGCUUCUGAUACAAUAAAAAAUGGGGAAUUGAUGUUCAAAUAUCUUGAUGAGGUGGUUGAAGAAAUUGGAGAGGAGAAUGUUGUGCAAGUCAUCACUGAUAAUGCCUCUAAUUAUGUGAAUGCUGGAAUGAGGCUUAUGGAAAAAAAGAGUAGAUUGUGGUGGACUCCUUGUGCUGCUCAUUGCAUUGAUUUGAUGUUAGAGGAUAUUGGAAAGCUAAAUGUUCAUGCUACUACACUUUCUCGAGCUAGGCAAGUUGUGAAGUUUAUAUAUGGGCAUACUUGGGUUCUUAGCUUGAUGAGAACAUUUACAAAAAAUCAUGAACUUAUUCGUCCAGCAAUUACACGGUUUGCUACUGCAUUUCUUACUCUCCAAAGUCUUUAUAAGCAAAAGCAAGCUCUUAUAGCAAUGUUCUCCUCAGAAAAAUGGUGUUCAAGCACAUGGGCUAAAAAGGUAGAAGGUGUGAAAACUCGAAGUACAGUGUUGUUUGAUCCAAAUUUUUGGCUUCAUGUUGCUUUUUGCAUAAAGACCACUGUUCCAUUAGUUAGUGUCUUGAGAGAGGUUGAUUCAGAGGAAAGACCAGCCAUGUGUUAUAUUUAUGAGUUGAUGGAUUUAGUUAAGAAGAAGAUUGCAUUUAAUUGUCGGGGCAUGGAGAGAAAAUAUGACCCAAUUUGGAGAAAAAUUGAUGCAAGAUGGACUCCGCAACUUCAUCGACCUUUACAUGCAGCAGACUAUUAUCUUAAUCCUCAAUUGCGGUAUGGAGAUAAGUUCUCUAAUGUUGAUGAGGUGAGGAAGGGAUUAUUUGAAUGCAUGGAUAGAAUGUUGGAUUAUCAAGAACGUUUAAAAGCUGACAUUCAGUUGGACUCAUAUGACCAAGCAAUGGGUGAAUUUGGGAGUCGUAUUGCAAUUGAUUCUCGAACAUUAAGAAGUCCUACAAGUUGGUGGAUGCGUUUUGGGGGUUCAACACCGGAGUUGCAAAAGUUUGCUAUUCGAGUCCUUAGCCUUACUUGUAGUGCUUCGGGAUGUGAAAGAAAUUGGAGCACAUUUGAAUCGGUAAUACUUCUAUUUUUGUAAAUUUUUAUACAUAUAUUUCUAUUUCAAUGUUAGAGAACUUUAUUUCAUUUUAACACAUAAAAUUGUUUCUUUUAUUAUUUGUAGAUCCAUACAAAAAAAAGAAAUAGACUUGAACAUCAAAAGUUGAAUGCUCUAGUGUAUGUAAGGUACAACACUAGAUUGAGAGAGUGAAGUCUACAAAGGAAACAAAAUGUUGAUCCAACCUUGGUAGAGGAGAUUGAUUCUGAUGAUGAAUGGAUUGCGGAGAAAGAAGAUCUCCUCCUCCCCCUUGAUCUUUGUUGGCUUCAAGAUAAUGAAUUAUUCAAUGUUGAUGCCAUUAGAGUUGUGUCAUCCAACUCCCAAGAGACGCAAGCAUCAUCGGAUCAUAUGGUUUCUUCACAUUCCUACAAAAGGAAACAUAAUGAAGUACCAAGUAAGUACUCAAAAAUUGAAAUCAUAAAUUUGAUUAAAUUUAAUAAAAAAAACUUUUAAUAUUUAAACAUAAUUAAUACUUUAUGCUAGGUACAAGUGGAGGCAAAGGCAAAGAGAAGGAAUUGAAUUUGACACCAAUUGAUGAAGAUGAAGAUUUAGAUGAAAUGGGGAUACAUGAUAGUGGACAUUUUCCUACUAUUGAUACAUUGGAUGAGGAUGAUGAUGACCUUGGAGAGGAGGAUUUAAGUUGAAACAAUUUACUCUAGUUGUUAUUUCAUGACUUAGUUAUGGAUUUUUUGUAAAAGUUUAGAACUAUUAUUAUGGUUGACUCUAUUUUCUAUUUCAUGACUUAGUUAUGGCUUUUUGUUAAAGUUUGAAACUAUUAGUAUAGUUGAAUCUAUAAUCUAUUUUAUGAAUUUGUUAUGGUUUUUUGUGAAAGUAAGGAACUAGUAUGUUUUUUUUUAUGAUUCUAAUGAAUUGUUUUCAUGUUUUUAUUUAUGCUAUUUUAUUUUAUAUAUUUUAAAAUAUUAAUUAAUUAUAUAAUGUGAGGCUCAAAAAGCUUACGCCUCAAUGCCUCGAGGCUUACGCCUCGCCUCACGAACACAAAAACGCCUCGCCUUACGCUUUCGCCUUUAAAAACUUUGGCUGAGACCCAAAUAAGUAUCCAGAACCAUCAUCAUCAACCCUUUCACAAGCCUUUGUAUUUGAAGGUCAGAUUGGGAUUGCUUUGAAUGCACUGACACUGACACUGCAAUACACAAUUGUUUCUUCUCCAAUAAAAACACCACAAAGAGGUGAGGGGACUGGUAUUAGCAAAGAAGUGUUGUUAUCUAUAUUGUUCUGAGCCCGAGUACCAAAAACAAAAUCCUCAUCCUCAUCUAUACUCUUCCAUUACAUCCCUAGGCUUUUCAAUGUGAUCCACAUGGCUUACAGGAAUCCAGAAAUAUCGGUCUGUAUAAAAGUUGCUCUUAUGUGGCUCUCCUAGAAAACAUCCCAAUCAAGAUGAUCAACCUAGCUUAGAUGCUCAACACCCCAAACUUACGAGAAAUAGAGGAAUAAAAAGCAAGGAUAGGAGCCAAAGUAAAAACUGAGGGAAGAGCAAAUAGGAAAUCAAGCAAAACAUGAAUGUACAGAGCCUCAUUUCAGGUGACAUCUUUGGGCUAAUAAUAGGUGGAAUUAACAAAGUAGAUAAGCAUGAUUGUUAUAAAUAUCAAGUUCAAGGAUGAAGUCGUGCAUCAGCUACUUAUAGGGGGAGUCAAGGAAACCAAGAUAAGAUCAAAGAGAGCAUGUAUGCAAAUAAACAGAUUUGACAAAAUAGACCAAACAGCUUGUGAAUAUCCUCCUACAAAAAACUACUACACGUGGCAAAAAGUGAUGAAGCAAAAAGAGUCGGGUCCGCAUAUACAUAUCCUAUGCUAUCCUAUUCCUUCAAAUCCAAAGCAACCUGUAUUUUCAAUGGGAUUUGUUGUGAUGAAUUUUACUGGAUUGUAACAUGUAAAUAUGUUAAAAAAGGCUUGGGACAUUCCUAUAUAGUAACGCAUAAAGGUACUUCCAUUGUGAAGUUGUCAAAAUUGCAAAUUUAAAUUACAAAAUUUGAAAACAUAGAGAUGAAAGAUGAUGAAACCUUCUUUGAAAUUUUAUAUUGAACUCAUUAAUAUUAUUAAUUUUCAUUUCAGUCUAAGGGAAAGAAUUCUUUACUCUAAAGUGGUCACAAAAAUAUUAAAAUUCCUUGUCGAGAGAUUUAGAUCUAAAGUGAUCAAUAUAGAAGAAAGUAAAAAUAUUCUAAGUGUAGGUAAACUUGUAGACUCAAAUGACUCUACCUUCUCAUAAAAAAUCCUCAAUUUUAUAAAUUAUAUAGAUUUCUUCAUUUGAUACAAAAUUUGAAUAAAGAUUUUUCAAAUGACAACACAAGGAAAGGGAAAAAAAAAAUCUAUCCAGAUCAUAUUAUUUAAUCACUUAAAUUAUUUAAAAAUAAAAAUGUUUACUGCUAACAUUAUUUAGGUUCAUCUUUCUUUUGAUGGAGGUUAAAAUUCAUAAUUUUGAGGAAAAAGAUGAGGAUUCUCAUUUUUUUUUUCCAUGUAUGAAUGGGAUUCUCAUUGUGUAUAUGUGGGUUACUAAAUGGCAAAUUUGGGGGCCAAUAUGAGGGAAAAAAUGAAGUUGAGUUUGUCACCAAGAAUAGACAUGGUUCCUACAAAGGUGGCAUCUUUAAUUUCAUGUUUGGAUUGGACUUGUCAUGUAACAACUUAACAAGUGAAAUCCCUCAUGAACUUGGAAUGUUAAGUUUGAUUCAUGCAUUGAACUUGUCUCGUAAUCAACUAAAAGGCUCCAUUUCAAAGAGUUUUUGCAAUCUUUCUCAAAUAGAGAGCUUAGACCUUUUUAAUAAUAAACUAAGUGGAAAAAUUCCUCCAAAAUUGGUUAGACUAAACUUUUUAGCAGUGUUCAAUGUUAGCAUAUUCGGAAGAGUUUUAGAUAUGAAUGCAUAAUUUGCAAAAUUUGAUGAAAGUAACUAUGAAGCUAAUCCUUUCCUUUGUGGACCACCAUUAAACAGAAAAUGUAGCAUAAAUGUUGUUGAACCACCUUACCAACCAUUAGAGUCUUCAGAAGAAAGUGAUGCAAAAUGGUAUAAUAUCAAUCUUGUUAUUUUCUUUGCAAAUUUUACUACAUCAUAUAUCAUGAUAUUAUUAGGAAUUUCAACCAUUCUUUACAUUAACCCUUAUUGGUGUCAAAUAUGGUUCAAUUUUAUCGAGAAAUAUAUAUACUUUUGCUAUUAUUUUGUUUCCUAUACUCUUUCCAAGUUAUUAACAUAUUUUGAAUAAUUAGAGAUUUUUGUUUUCAAUAAUAUUUACAUAAUUAACUACUAUUGGUUUCCAUGACAUGGAAAGAAAUGCGGUGAAGGCAACAACCACUUUUUUUUCUCCUCUACUAGUGCAUGAUUGAUAUGAGUUAAAACUUGCACCCUUAUCUUUACUUAAAUUUUCUCAGCUUUUGUUUCAAUUCUUAAUUAUCAUUUCUUUUAUGUAUUGUUUAAUACAAUAUCCUAAACACAUUGCUUUGAAGGUUACUUAUUUAUUAAGCAUGAUAUUUAUUUUCAUAAAGACAAAUUCAAGUUUUUUAGGAAUUUUUAGAAUUAUUAUAAUUUGGAGUUCACAUUAGAGGAAAAAAAGGAAAGAAAAGAAUAGAUAAUUAAAAAAACAAUUUUAGUAAGUAUAAUUUGUCAUCUUCGGUAUAACAAAUGGGAAUUCCAAAAUAAUAUUUCAAUUUGUUAGUCUAUUCCUUAUAAUAUUAAUUGAAAUAUCAAAUAAGGAGUCACGUUUUGAUUUUUUUAUUAGCUUGAAUUGCAUGUCACAUAUAUUUUAAAAUCAAGCAUACCUCAGCAGGGAAGUUCUUGUAACAUGCAUGAACAUGAUAUGAUGAAUUAAAUAAUUUUCUUAAUUGUGUGAGACACAAACCCUCUUUGUUUAAUAAUAAUAAUAAUAAUAAUAAUAUACUACACAUUAUUAAAUCAUAUAUGUAUAUUUAUAGUCGUAUAAUAUAUUUAUAUAAGUAACAAUAAAUUAUAUUGUAUAAGGUAUCGGUAGGAGUUUUCAAUUCCCUCAUAUAAUAAUAUCUAUCAAUAAUUGGAUUGGACACCUUGCUGGCCAUGAGAAUGGACUUGACAUUAACACAUAGCCUUGAGUGGUGUUGAUAUUAUUACUUUGAACCAGAACUGCAGUCAUCUCAAAAACUAUAUUAUAUAGAAAAGCAAAAUAAAAACAUUAGUUAAAAAAAAUGUCAAGAUCCUUGAAAUCACGUUUCAAUAUGUUAAAUUACCAUUUUUUUAAAUAAAUUUUUGAUAGGUUGUGUGAAUAAAUAUAAUUGCUAUGAAGGGUUUCAAUUUAAUUUUACUAGCAAAUCCAUAAUAGGUGAAAAGACAAAACUACCAUUUUUGUUUUUUUUCUUUAUUUACCUUUUUUCUCUCGUAACCUUACUCCUUUCUCCUUUUUGUUUUUUCCUUUUUUAUUAUUAAUUUGUCUUUUUCCUUUUUCUCAACUAACUAUUUUUUUUCUUGUAAUUGUUAUUAUCAUUCUUAUUAUAAAUAUUAUAACCUUAUAUUAUAAAUUUUUAGUUUAGAUUAUAUUUAAACUAACUAAUGUUGUGGUUUUAAUUGACAUGGAAAAGAAUGUGGUUAUACAUGUGAUUGUCGCCUUUUUUUUUUUCAAUUAGUUAACUAUUGAUACAAGUUAAAAGUAAAAAUUGCAAUAUUAUCUUUACGUCAAUUUCACCGAUCUUUUGUUUUUAUUUUCAUGUAUCAUUCCUUUUUUGGUUAUUUAAUUAAAAGGAUUAAAAAAAAAUCACAUAUUCACAAUAAUAACCUUCAUAUUUUAAAAACAUAAAAUAAACAUUUUUUUUUUUUUAUAAAAAUACCCUCCAACUAUAUUUUUUAUAUCCCUAUUUCAAAUCCAAACACUUCUUUUAAAAAUAAUAAUAAUAAAUAAGGGCAAAAAUGUCAAACUGGGAUUAUAUUUAUAAUUUUCAAUAAUUAGAGGUUGUUUUUCCAAUGUAAAAAUUAUUUUGUUCCUUUGGCACAAAUAUUUCUUUCUUUUAUGUAUUUUUUUUAUUCAAAAUAUUAAACACAUUACCCUCAAGGUUACUAUUUAUUAUGAAUGGUGUUUACUUUACAUAACGAGAUAUUCAAAUUUUUUAGAAUUUUUUAAUGUUAAAAUAAUUUGGAGCUUAAUAGGGAAAAAAAAGAAGAAAGAAUAGAUAAUUAGAAAAGCAAUUCAAAAAAAUAAAAUUUAUCCUCUUAAAUUGGUUUUGUGUAAUACUAUAGAAGCCAUUUCUUGAGUUUGAUAUGGUAGAAUUUGGAUUCAUAUUUAUUUUAAAAUCAAGAAAUUCAAGUGUUGGUAGCAUCAAUAGAAUCUUAACAAAUUUGAAAAAAAAUAUUUAGGUAGAUCACAUUUAAAUAUAGCUAAUAGAAUAAAAAAUUAGUAUUAUUAGAAAGACAUGAUCAAUUAAAUCUUUUUUCUUAUCUAUGACACCGACUUUAUUUUUUUACAUAGUCAAUACAAUUUAUUACAACUUAUAUGUCAUUAAAUUAUAUACGUUUAUAUUAAAUAUAAUAUAAGACCAUUAAUGGAAUAAUUAUGCAAGUAAUAUAAAUUGUAUAUAAUAUAAAAAAUUUAAACUCCAUCAAACUAAUGGAAUCUAUUAUAAUAAGUAGACUAGACACCAUGUUGGCCCGAGUUGCAGGCCUGGGCCAGAUUUUAAAGGCUGGGCUUUGAGUUGCCCGUGGGCCUGAGCCAAGGCCUUCUCUUGGUAUCAUCAUUUUGAAGAAAUAAAUUGCUGAUACAGAGAAAAAAACUAUACUAAAUAGAAAAAUAAAUAAAAGCAUUGACUAAAAUGAAGGUCAAGGUCCUUGAAAAAUAAUCUUUAAAUUGUUGCAUAUAUAAUUUCAAUAAUGCAUAAAUAAUUGCAAUAUAUAUGAUAUGAUAAAGAAUUUGGAAUUAAAAGAAGAUUGAUCUAUUUUAAAUGUGGUUGGAAUAUUUCUAAAUUUGUGAUGGGAAGUUAGACAGCCAAUUAGGGAUCCAUAUUAUUUAUUUUCAAUGAUAUGAAUUUAUUUACUUUUAUUAAUAUUCUUAAUGCAACAAUAUAAAAUAUGUCAAUUUUCUAAAAUUUAAAAAGUAAUUGUAAAAGAAUUUUUUUUAAUUAUUUUUCUGAAAUUGAGUUUAUUAUAACAUUUUUCUUUACAUAAAUUUCUUUUUUAUUUUUAUUUUUUUUAAAAUGAGAUAUGAAAAAAAGAGAUCAAUAUUAGUACAAGUAAAACCCAAUAUAUAUAUAAAAAAAAUGAAUAAAUGUUUAUGAAAUAUUUUUUCUCUUUUAAUUCCUAUUCAAUUCAUUACACAAAAUAUUUUUGGUUUUUAUGCUAAAAUUUAUUGUUUAUUCAAAAAUUCUAGUAUACCUAGCUAUCAUAGAAGAGCCCCAAAAUUUUAUUGUUUAAGAGAAUAUGUGUUGCCACUUUAAAAGAUUUAUAUGCAAAAGGGAUUGAUAUUUUUUUCCUUUGGAUAUAUUUAGUUCCCGGAAAAUUUGAGGGAAAAUGUGAGGGAAGAAAAAUAGAGAAGAAAAGUAUAACGAAAUAAAAAGUGAAGGAAAAUGAAAAAUAGAUUUAAAGUUAAUAAAUUAUUUUCAUUGGUUUUUUCAAACUUAUUUUACUUAUUUUAUUCUAUUAAAUAAAGAUUAGCUAAUUUUAAUUAUAUUUGGUUUGAUUUUUAUUAUUUUUCAAAGCAAAACCAAAUAUGAAAAAAAAAACAUUUUUUUUGUUCAUUUUUUCUUUCCUUAUUACUUUUCAAAACUCAAACAUAGCUUUUAGAUUUGGAGCAUGGAAAGAUAAGAGUAUUGAAUAAAGGUUCUAUAUAUGCCCAUGCCCAUGAUACCAUUGAAAAAAAUGGAGAAAGGGUGAAACUUUUUCUCUUCAAUGGAAAUCAAAUAUAAUUAUUUUUAUCUUGUAGUAAUUGAAUGUUAUACUCCAUAAACUCAAAAUUAAAAUAAAUAAAAAAUUUAAAAACUAGGACAAUCCCAUUUUUUUUUUCAAUUUCUUAAAAAGAAAUUAAAUUACAUUUAUUUAUAUCUAUUUUCAUCCCUACCCAAAAAAAUAAAAAAAAAAUUAACAAGGUGGGACAUGUAUGAGAAAUUCUCACACUAACUCUCUCUAGUUUAUUUUUUAUUUUUUAAAAAAAAUCAAUUUCUUUUAAAAAAAUUAAACUAUAUAAAAAAUAAAUAUAAUUUAAAAUAAAAUAAUUUAACAAUUUUUUUUUUAAGAAAAGUAAAUUUCUUAUUUUAUAUAUGUUAAAAAUAAAUAUAAUCUUUUAUUUUUUUAUAUAUAUAAUCGGGUAAGGUAGAGUGGGACAAAGAAAUAAUCCCCUUCGAUUCCAAUAUGAAUUUUUAAAAUAUAAAAUAAAAAUCUUAAACUCAUCCCUAAUCCAUUUAUUUUUAAUCCUAAACUCGUCUUAUUAAGAAUAAGGCAAAGUGAGUACAUGAAAACACUUCUUUUAUCAUCAUCUCUACAAGUUCUAAUGUUUAGACUGCAAUCCAUAUCAAAGAUUUAUAAAGAAAGGACAACGAUGAAUUUCAUAAACAUUUGAAAGCAUAUACGUACAAAGUUUUAAAUAAUAUUGCUUGAGGUGCAAAUAUUAUUUGGCGCACAUAUUGAGGGACUUCAACUUGUUUUUUACAUUAGUAAGUAAUCUUGAAUAUCUAGAGUAACUUGACCAAAAUCUCUUUAAUUUUAUUUUCUUUGAUGGUUGUAUGAUGAAUUAGAAUGCUUAUAUAACAUGAUUAAAAAUUUUAAGAAAAAAAAAACUAAGAAGAAAGAAAGAAGCACCGAUCUUCCAAAUAUUGCUUCCACUUUAAUAUCUAGAAGGCUCUAAGAAAAGAACUUUUUUCAUGAAUCAUAACCCAAGUCGAAAAUAAAUUGAACCCAUUUUCUAAGUUAAAUUUUGAAUUUUUUACUAGUGAAUGCAAAUUGGGAAAAUGUAUAUAAAUAUAAUUAAACUAGAAUAGUAGGUUAGGUUUGUAGGUGGAGUUUGUUUGAAUUGUUGGAACUUCCAAGUCGUUGUGGGUCUAGUGGUCCCAUAGCUCUCUAUUAAUUUCCACCAUCAAUUUUCUGCAAUAAAGUCAAGUCAUUCCUAACCCCUAUAUUAAGUUGGCCUUAAAAGUCAAGUCAUUGAUCAUAGUUACAUUCAUGAAUCACAACCUAAGUCGAAAAUAAAUUGAACCCAUUUUUCAAGUUCAACUUUGAAUUUUUUACUAGUGAAUGCAAAUUGGGAAAACAUAUAUAAAUAUAAUUAAACUAAAAUAGUAGAUUAGGUUUGUAGGUGGAGUCUGCUUAAAUUGUUGAAACUUCCAAGUCAUCGUGGGCCCAGUGGUCCCAUAGCUCUCUAUUAAUUUCCACCAUCAAUUUUUUGCAAUAAAGUCAAGUCAUUCCUAACCCCUAUAUUAAUUUGGCCUUAAAAGUUCAGUCAUUGAUAGCUAAAUCCCAACCCAAGUCAAAAAUAAAUUGAACCCAUUUUCUACGUUCAACUUUGAAUUUUUUUUAAUUGGAAAAAUGUAUAUAAAUACAAUUAAACUAGAAUAGUAGAUUAGGUUUGUAGGUGGAGUCUGCUUGAAUUUGUGAAACUUCCAAGUCAUCGUGGGUCUAGUGGUCCUAUAGCUCUCUAUUAAUUUCCACCAUCAAUUUUCUACAAUAAAGUCAAGUCAUUCCUAACCCCUAUAUUAAUUUGGCCUUAAAAGUCUAGUCAUUGAUAGCUACGUUCAUGAAUCCCAACCCAAGUCAAAAAUAAAUUGAACCCAUUUUCUAAGUUCAACUUUGAAUUCUUUUAAUUGGGAAAAUGUAUAUAAAUACAAUUAAACUAGAAUAGUAUAUUAGGUUUGUAGGUGGAGUCUGCUUGAAUUUGUGAAACUUUCAAGUCGUCAUGGGUCUAGUGGUCCCAUAGCUCUUUAUUAAUUUUCACCAUCAAUUUUUUGCAAUAAAGUCAAGCCAUUCCUAAACCAUAUAUUAAUUUGGCCUUAAAAGUCAAGUCAUUGAUAGUUACGUUCAUGAAUCACAACCCAAGUCUAAAAUAAAUUGAACCCAUUUUCCAAGUUCAACUUUGAUUUUUUUACUAGUGAAUGCAAAUUGGGAAAACGUAUAUAAAUAUAAUUAAACUAGAAUAGUAUAUUAGGUUUGUAGGUGGAGUAAGCUUGAAUUGUUGAAACUUCCAAGUCAUCACGGGUCUAAGGGUUCCAUAGCUCUCUAUUAAUUUUCAUGGUCAAUUUUUAUGAAUUAAGAUUUAAAAGUGAGAAGGGAAUAAAUUUUUUCUUUUUCAAUUCAUUACAAAAAAUAUUUUUGGUUUUUAUGCUAAAAUUUAUUGUUUAUUCAAAAAAUUAAAGUAUAAAUAUAUAUAUAUAUAUCUUGCUAUUAUAGAAGAGCUCCAAAAUUUUUGUGUUUAAGAGAAUAUGUGUUGCCACUUUAGAAGAUUUAUAUACAAAAAGGAUUGAUGUUUCUCCUUUGACUAUGUUUGGUUCCCAAAAUUUGAGGGAAAUAAAAAAAAAAUAGUAAAAAAGAAAAAAUGAAAGAAAAUAAAAAAUAGUUUUAAAGUUAAUAAUUAUUUUUAUAUGUUUUUUCAAACUUAUUUUACUUUUUUUUUCAUUAUAUAAAGAUUAAAUAAUUUUAAAAUGCAUAAAUUUCUAACUAAUUUUAAUUAUAUUUAAUUUUUCUUUUAUAUUUUUUAGAUAGGAUCCGACACAUGAAAAAUCCUUUUUUUUAGCAUUUUUUUUUCUUUUCUUAUUACUUUCCAAUAACCAAAUAUAACCUUUAGAUUUAGCCUUUAAACUUGGAGUAUGGAACGAUACUGAGUAUUGAAAGAAGGUUUUGUAUAUGGCCAUGAUACCAUAGAAAAAAUGGGCGAGAGAGAAAAAACCUUUAUUAAAUGAUAAAUUAUUUUUUUCAAUGGAAAUCAAAUAUAAUUAUUUUUAUAAUAAUUACUUUAUUUUUUUUAAAAAUAAUAAUUUGUUGUUGCAUUAAGUAUUCUUGCAUUUGGAGAAGCAUGUUACUACUUACUACAUAAAUAGAUAUUCAUGGAGUGCAUUCUCUAAAAAGCUCCAGUCUCAUGAAAAUGGAAAGAUGGACCGGCCGGUGAACCGGUUCGAGUUUGGAUUUAUUGGCUGCCUCAGCCUUACACGCAUGAUAGGCUGUUGCAGGUGAAGAACUAAUUAAUUUAAAGCCUUCUUCUAUCCUCUCCUAUUCCUCUAUCACUCCAAAUGUUCCACAUGAUAAUGACAAUUCUUUUGUUAAAUGGUAAAAAAAAAAUUUAAAUAUUAUUUAAAAUUUUUUUUAAUUCUAAAUCCAAUGGAAAUUCGACUCUAAGGUGUGUAGAAGGCCCUAGUGCCCAUGUUGCUAAUUUGAUGAUAGUUAAAUUGUCAUUUUGGGAGAUUCCACACACUAGUAUUCUCAUUUAUAAAAUCAUGAACUUUGGCAUCCUAAUUAAUGCAAUUUAAACUUUUUUUGUUUACAAAUGAAAUAAGAGGCAACAUAUAAACCCAAAAGUUAAUUUUCCUACCAUCUCUAUGCACCAUUUUAGCUUUACUCCAAUAUAUUUUCUAUGAUUAAUUAUUUUCAUUCAAACAAUAAUAUCAAAAUAUUUUAAAAUUAGACAUAUCAUAAUCAAAUACCAUUAUAUUAUUACCGAAUAAUAUUUAAUGUAAUUUAAUUAUCAACGUAUACUUAUAAAAUUUAUAUUUUUUAUUAAUGCAUAUAAUAUUAUUAUCAAAUAUGAUAAAUUAUAUAUAUAUAUAUAUAUAUAUAUAUAUAUUUCUUCAACAAAACAACUUUAAAAUAUCUAUUAUAUUUCUAAUUUCAUUUCUAAGAAGUUUUUUUUUUUUUUUUACAUUUUUAUAAGUUUUGAUCAAUUGUAGGCUAACUGAUAUUUUUUAUAUCAAAAUAUCCACCAAUAUAUCUCUGAUAUAUUAGAUAUAUCCGUAAAAUCGAAAUACCAAUAUAUCCGUGAUUAUCGAUAUUUUUAUCCUUGAGGGAUAAUAACUAAUCUAGUUUUUGCACUUAUUGAUAUUUCUCAACAUUUAGAUUGAUUUGACCAAAAUCUUUUUAAUUUUAUUUUCUUUGAUGGUUAUAUGAUGAAUUAGAAUAGUCAUAUAAACAAAUUUAAGAAAAAACGAUAAAAAAGCUCACAUUUUUCAAAUAUUGGUUUCAACUUUGAAUAUUUUUAUUGGUAAAUGAAAAUUGUGAAAAACCUACUAAUGCUAAUACUUUUCACCACAUAAUUAAAUAUAAUAAACUAGAAUAGUGAUUCAUUGAUGUCUUAUAAAGCUACAUGCCUACUUUGACUUGUUAGUUGAUUUUUGUAGGCAGAGUCCAUUUCCAUAUGAAUUGUUGAAACUUCCAAGUCCUUGUGGGUCUAGUGGUCUCUCUAAUAAUUCCCACCAUUAAUUUUUUGUGAUGAAGUGACGUCAUUGAUAGCUACUAUAUCAAUUUGCUAUUAAAAGUCAAGUCAUUGAUAAUUACUAUUCAAUCUUUUUCAAUAUGGAAAUUGGAAUCUCUACUCUUCUCAUUGUUCAUUUUUAGGUAAUGUGAGAAUGUGAGAAUGUGUGAACAUAAAUGUCUUCUAAUCAACCAAUUUUUUUUGAAAAAAACAUGUACAAAAUUGCAAACUUGCAAAAUCAAACUUUCUUGUUGAAUAACCAUAGCUUGAUGGUUUUGAAGAAUCAAAGGAUGAAUCAUAAAAGGGUAUUUGAUAAAAAAUAAAAAUUAAAAAAAUUAAAAGACAACUACUCCCUUAGGUGUAAUAAGUGUAUUUGGUAGCACAAAUUUCCUACCACUUAUUAUUUUUUCCUUUCUUAAAAAAUUAUUUACUCUAUUAAAUAAACUAACCUUGGCUUAUCACUUAUAGCAAAAUAGGUUAAGUACUUUUUAAAAUUUUAUAAUAUUAGAUUUACAUUUUUAUCCUUCAAAAUUUCAUUAAUGUUAGAUUCUUCUAUAUGCUUAACUAAUAAAUAAUUUUUAGCAUUUUUCUUUUCUUAUAAACAUAAAAAAAUAAAAAUAUUAUUAACUUAUUGGUAUAUUUUAAAAUUUUAAUUAGAUUUAAGCUUUUAUUUAUUUGGAUUACCAAUUAUACAUAUAAAUCCUUUAUUAUUAUUGUUAUUAUUGAAAGAAAGGGGUUGAAUAGGUAGUCCCUCAAUCCCCAAAUUAAAUUCUUUAUUGCCUACUUUUGGUUUAUUCCUUUACAUGAAUUCCUUGGUGAGAGUAAACAUUUCAUUAAUAGAUAAAUAAAAUUGAUUCCAUAUCAUAGGGUAUAAUGUGGAAAAAUCACCAGUCUCAUGUGUUCCUUAGUGGAUCCUUUGGAGCCCUUAUCAAAGUUUCAUGAUGAAACCAUUGACUUUUGUUUAACCCAAAUGUGCUUUCAAGACAAAUCUUGAAAUAUUUGAGAGAUGGAGGUUCAAGUCUUUUAUGAACGACCAUGUUCUCUUAGGGUUCAUGAAAAUUCACACCUUUUGAUAAAUAAAACUUAUCUAUUUAUACGUCUAAAACCCAGUAUUUAUUUAUUUAAUUAUAGAAAGUUUCUUAGUUUUAAAAACAUUUCAAAAAUCAUUUUUAGAAUCAAAUAAUAAUUUUAGAGAUAAACACAAUAUUAAAAUUUAACAAAAACAAAAUUUCGAAUUAAAAACACAAUAUAAACUAAAUUACAAAAUAUAAAGGAAUUUUUAUCCUAAUUUCUUGUUUCAAAACCAAAUGGAACACCUAGAAGGGGAGUGAAUGGGUGAUUUUAAAAUUUUUCAAUAAUGAUUUAUAAGUUAUACCCAAUUCUUUUACCCUGCGAGUUGUUAGGGACUAUCAAUUCUUUCCUUUUGGCAAUUCAAACAAUAUAUCAAAUAAUAAAAAGAUAUAAAUAAUGAGACAUAAAGAUUUUUACAUGGAAAACCCCCCACACUAACCAUGGAGAUAAAAAGCCAUGGAGUCUAAGACCUAUUAAUCUAAAUUCACUGUACGAAAUCAAGUUACACAAAUUUAUUUGAUAGCUUUAACUUAAAGACUUACUCUCCGGUACUGACAACUUGAUUCACAUCCACAACGUAGCAACCCUCAAUUACUCCAAUGGAUCACUUCAAGCUUACUAAAAGGAUGAAGGCCUUCAAACCAAGAUUCAAAAAUCAAUUCCUUGAAUGAAAGAUCAGGGAUGGUGUGCCACUUUAGGCUUUCUCUCUAAGAACUCUAAAAUGAUCUCCUCAAUGAAAACCUCUUAAACAAAAUGAGAUAUUUCCCCACAAUCUCUAAUCCUCAAGGGGUUAUAAUGAGAUAUUUAUAAGCAACUAAGUUGAAGAGUUUCAGUUUUGGAACAUGACCGCUCGAGCCAACACACUUCCUACUUGAGCGUUUCGGGCACUUGAGCGGUAAGGCUCGCUUGAGUUGUCCUAAGCGCUUGAGCAUUCCAAGCUACUUGAGCAAUCUUGCUCUAUUUCAAAAGUUAAUUUUAAAUCAUUUUAAGUUCAAAACAAAAUUGAUUCCCUUUAUACCUCAAAGUAGCCUAACUUACAAACCAAACUUUUUUAGAUAUACUUGUGACUUCCUGGUUGGACGAACAACUCUUAAUCUUCAAUGGAAAGCAAGUCAUUAUCUAAAAAGAUUUAUAUGGUCAAACAUAAAAAAACAAAAACAAAAAAAUUGCCAACAUAACAACAAGACUCAAUGUCCUAACAAUCUCCCCCUUUGGCAAUUUUAUGACAAAAACAACAUUACAUAUACCCACUUGAACUCUCAUAAUGGAGUUUAAUAAUACACAUUAAUGUUCAAUUAAAAAUAAACUAAGGGAAUACUUUGUAUCACUUUGUAGUAUUUGUCUUCCAACUUUGUAACCUACACACAUAUAGAAAACUAUACCAAAGGUAAAGCAAUGUGUAGGAUAAGAUAUGAUCAAGAAAGCAAAAUAGGAUAAUUGAAAAUUUUGCUUGAUGCCUUGUGAAAGCAUGAAAAGGGAACAAAUUCAUAUAGUAAUACCAAGGGACAAAGCAAAACUAGAGAAGAAUAUAUAUGUAUGCAAAUCAACCAAACAUAAUAAAAGCUACAUAAGAUGCAAUAGAUCAAUAAUAAUGCCUAGGGGUCUAUCUCCAACCAGAAAAUAGGGAGUGAAAAUCAUAGGAAGAACCUUCUGUGACUUAGAAAGGUUCUAGAGAGAUAGUCAAUUCAAACAUAAAUAUCUUGCUAGAAACAUCUAUGUUAUGUAUCUCUCUAAACCUUCUAAGUUAUGCUUUCAUUAGUUGAUUUGGUUUUUCUCCAAUGUCUCAGGUUUAAUUUCCUCUAAUAUUUCAAUUAGAGAGAAAUUGGUAGUCGAUUGACUUAGUGGGUGUUUGGUAAAACUUAAUACUUAUUAUUUAAUGAUUAACUUUAAGUUAAAUUGUUCUUAAGUUAUUAAUUUAAAAUUUAUUACUUAUUUUGUAUUUAAGUACUAGGGUUAUUUGAAAAAAUCGACUUAAAAUUUAUUCUAAAUCAUCAAAAUGACACAUUUACCCUUAUUAAUUUUAACUUAUAUUUAUUUUCAUUAAUUUUAAACAAUAAAUUUAUUCAUAAAACAUCUAUAUUUUUGUAGAUACAUAACCAUAAAAUAUUUACUAUAAAAAAUGAGUCAUGGAUGUAGAAUUAUAAUUCUAAAAUAUACACUUAUGAGUGUGGGUAAAUAAGGCAAAAAUGAUUUGAGAUUAAGAGUAAAGUUAAUUAUUUUGACUUAAGACUUCAAGUUAAAAAUAACUUUAAGUUGCAAUAUUAAGUUAUUUUAUCAAACAUGCUUAAUUUACUUAACAACUUAAAUUAAGUUAUUAAGUUGAAUUAUCAAACACCCCACUAGUAGUAUGUUGAAAAUUCACACCUUUUGAUAAAUAAAACUUAUCUAUUUAUACGUCUAAAACCCAGUAUUUAUUUAUUUAAUUAGAGAAAGUUUCUUAGUUUUAAAAACAUUUCAAAAAUCAUUUUUAGAAUCAAAUAACAAUUUUAGAGAUAAACACAAUAUUAAAAUUUAACAAAAACAAAAUUUCGAAUUAAAAACACAAUAUAAACUAAAUUACAAAAUAUAAAGUAAUUUUUAUCCUAAUUUCUUGUUUCAAAACCAAAUGGAACACUUAGAAGGGGAGUGAAUGGGUGAUUUUAAAUUUUUUCAAUAAUGAUUUAUAAGUUAUACCCAAUUCUUUUACCCUACGAGUUGUUAGGGACUAUCAAUUCUUUCCUUUUGGCAAUUCAAACAAUAUAUCAAAUAAUAAAAAGAUAUAAAUAAUGAGACAUAAAUAUUUUUACGUGGAAAACCCCCCACACUAACCAUGGAGAUAAAAAGCUAUGGAGUGUAAGACCUAUUAAUCUAAAUUCACUGUACGAAAUCAAGUUACACAAAUUUAUUUGACAGCUUUACCUUAAAGACUUACUCUCCGGUACUGACAACUUGAUUCACAUCCACGACGUAGCAACCCUUGAUUACUCCAAUGGAUCACUUCAAGCUUACUAAAAGGAUGAAGGCCUUCACACCAAGAUUCAAAAAUCAAUUCCUUGAAUGAAAUAUCAGGGAUGGUGUGCCACUUUAGGCUUUCUCUCUAAGAACUCUAAAAUGAUCUCCUCAAUGAAAACCUCUUAAACAAAAUGAGAUAUUUUCCCACAAUCUCUAAUCCUCAAGGGGUUAUAAUGAGAUAUUUAUAAGCAACUAAGUUGAAGAGUUUCGGUUUUGGAAGGUUUCUUAAUUGAAUUUGUGUGAAAAACUCAACAGAAUCAACAUGACCGCUCGAGCCAGCACACUUCCCACUUGAGCAUUUCGGGCACUUGAGCGGUAAGGCUCGCUUGAGUUGUCCUAAGCGCUUGAGCAUUCCAGGCUACUUGAGCAAUCUUGCUCUAUUUCAAAAGUUAAUUUUAAAUCAUUUUAAGUUCAAAACAAAAUUGAUUCCUUUUAUACCUCAAAGGAACCUAACUUGCCACAAACCAAACCUUUUUAGAUAUACUUGUGACUUCUUGGUUGGACGAACAACAACUCUUAAUCUUCAAUGGAGAGCAAGUCACUAUCUAAAAAGAUUUAUAUGAUCAAACAUAAAAAAACAAAAAAAUUGCCAACAUCACAACAAGACUCAAUGUCCAUGCAUGGUCACCUGAAAGUUGACUCCAACCACAAUAUAAUGCAUGUUCUCAUAGAACAUGUGAACAAGAUGGAGAUAGAAAGUCCCUUAGAGAGAAAACAGAGUCUUCUAACCCUACUCUUGAAUGAUGAUAGGGAAGACAGUGUCCUGAAAAGCUUAGAGGUUAAUGGCAUGUUGAGGCUCGACACACCGAUAUGUGAAAGAAGCGUAAUAAUGGUCCCAUGCCACCUGGCAGUGAAAGCGCUCAAUCGAAAGUGCAUCUAGGUUAAAAAGACCCUAGAGUGGGAUGCCCUAGACGGUUUUCAGUGACCUAGGAAAGGUCACCUCCCUCUGAAAUCUAUGACUAGCCAUAUCUAAGGUAUAUAAUAUGAAAAAAAAAAAGCUAAAGAAAAACUAAAGAAAAUCCAAAGAAAAGCUAAACCACUAAAAAUGUUAAACUCAAUGCGUCGAACAAUACUAUACAAAUGGAAAUGAAAAAUAUGAAGCGAACUGACCUCAGAAGACAAAAGGACAGUUACCCAGAGGGCUCGAAGAGGAAUAGGAAAGUUUGAAAUGAAUAUUGUGUGAUGGAUGACCUUUAUAUAGCUUAUAGGAGUGCUUGAUGCAGAUUAGCACUUGAGCGUCAUGACUAACUUAAAUCAAAUUAUUUAUUAAUAUGGAAAUAUUUUAUAAGUUUCAAAGGAAGUAUUCAAUUUAGAACCUUUUUAGAAUUUUUUUGAAAGAAACAAAAAUAAAGCGUGAAAUAUUAUGUGUUAAAGGUGUUAGAAGACAAUAUUGUCUAAUCAAAAGCCUUACACAUUCCCAAAAAAAAAAAAAAAAAAGGAAAAAAAAAGAUACUAUAUAAGAUUUUGAUCACAUCUAAUAGAAACUAAUAUUUAGCAACAUAUCACCAAGCACUAUCUUAUCAGAAAGCUCUAACAUGUUGGAAAUUUAUGUAAGGUUCCAUAACAACUAACAACUUUUUAUGACGACUCGGUAAUGGACCAUUUGCACUUCAACUACAUUAUUAAAUUUAAAUCAUAUUAGAAUAUAAUUGACUUCUCUUUUGUGAGGUUACAUAUCUUGUAGGAUGGGAUAGGUGAUUCAUUUCAUAUAUGAAAUUUUCUUAAUUUAGUAAUGCUUCCAAGUUCAUUAUGAAUCUAAUGGUAUCACAACUCCUUGAAUAUUUGUAAUCUGUAAUCUUUGCUUCAACUUCUCAAGUCUAGUCAUUUUAUCGGCAUAACUAGUUUGCUUCAAUUAUCUCUCAACUUUAUUAUAAAACUAAGGGAAAGGAUUGUCACUCAUUUUAUAUUAACUUAACCAAACAUCUUUAUAUAUAUAUAUAUAUAUAUAUAUUGUAAAUUUAGGAAAAAUUCAUCCAUUAGCCAUAGUAAGUAAGAAUCAAAUAAGGGAUAUGUAAGCCAAUGGUGAUAUUGAUGGCGUUAAAUCAAUGACAUAGUAGAAAAGUGGAUUGUCUAUUUUCAAACCUUUAUAUUUUCAUGCAAUAGUAAAAAGGUUAAGGCAUCACUUGAAAAGUAGUUCGUUUUUUACCUUGGACUAUGAUUUAUGAAUAAAGUUCUUCUGUUGUAUACCUUUUGUGAUGCCCCAACCUAAUUUAGGGGUAAAAAAAUAAUUUAGAAAAAAAUAAAUAAAAAGUUAAAUAAAUUUAAUUAAGGUAAAAAUGUAUUUUUGUAUUUAAAAUUCCUAGGUAUCAAUUAUAUAUUUCUUGUCUUCUCUAUUCAAAAAACCAUAUUACACAAAAAUCAAAUAUCAGAGAACAUAGGACAACGCAGGGUUGAAGAUUUGGAGGUUUAGGGUUGAAGAUUAGUUUUCCAGGUAAGAUUCUAACCCUUAAAUUAGUAUUUUAGAUUCGUUAAUUAGUUUGAACACUUUAGAUAUUCUUUGAAAAAUCUGAAUAUACAUUAGGGUUUGUUAAUUUAAUUUUUAAAUAAAAAAGAUUGAAAAUUUAUGAACAUAAGUAGAGUUAUUAUUAAAGAUUGAAAAUUUUUGAAUAUUUGAAUUAAAAAUCUAGAAAAAAAAGAAGAAAAUAAAUUAUAGCUUUGGACGUGGAAAAAAAUUAAUAUUAAUUAAUAAAUAAAACCUAUGAGUAUGGAAGUAGAAAAAUAUGAGAGUUGAAAGCAAAGAAAAAAAAAGAGAAUAAGGUUUUGUGGUUGUACAUGCCUCCUUAGUGGAAAAAAAAAAUACAAGGUUGCUUGCAAUAGGAUAUGACAAAGAGAGAGAGAUAAAUGCUUAGAUGUUGAUUUUUGUGGGGAAAAAAAGAUUGGGUAAUGUAGGAGAGAAAUAGGUAGCACUUUUAGAGUCGGUGGAGUUGUUGUAAAAGCUCGUAGGGGUAAUUGUUAGGUAGUAGUAGGGUAUGAGAUUAAUUGUUAGGAAACAUUAGGACUUGAAAUAAUAAUAAUUGCUUCUAGUAAAAGUUUUAAUUUAGUUUAAGUAUAUAAAAGAAAUAGAUGAUUAGAAUAAGAUUUGGAAGGAAUAUGAAUUCAUAAAAAUUUCAAAAUUUACUAAUUUAGAUUAUUAUUGUUUUGGAAGUUGAAUAUAAUAUAGGUGAUAAUAUUAUUAAUAUAGGAAAUGAUUAAGAUUCUCAAACCUACAAUUUUAGAUAAAUAGUUAAUAGUAAUAGUUGAUUUUUUAUUUUUUUUUUAUUUUUUAUUUUUUAUGUUAUGUUAAGUGAAUAAUGGAUUCUUUGAUUAAUUCUCUAAGGUUUCUAAGUGCUUCUUUAAGGUAAGGGAUAUUAAUACUGAUUUUGUAAAUGAAAAUAUUUCUUUUUAUAAGUUAUUUUAAAUUAUGAAAAUUUUUAUUUUUAUUUAUGCAUGGAUCAAAUAUAUAUUUUUUCAUGAGAAACAUGUUUGGGCAAUUUCUUUGUUUAUAAAUAAAUAAAUGAAAACUUUGGAAAUAUAAUGUUUUGUUUUGUAAGUUUAAAAUAAUGAAAUAAAGUUUUUGACUCUGGUUUAUAUGACCUUAGUUAAUAGGUUAUAAUUGUUGACAUUUUCAGCUCCAGUCAACGAUUAUAAUUGUUGACAUUUUCGGCUCUCCAAUCAAUGAUUAUAAUUGUUGAGAUUUUCAACCCUAGCCAACGGGUUAUAAUAGUUGACCUUAUAGCCCUAGUCAACAGAUAUAAUUGUUAACCUUUGGCUUUUCCCAUCUUAAAAAGAACAAAUUUAAGGCUAGCCAUUUAUUUGUAAAGUCCCACCUAACUAAGUACCAUUUGUUAUUUAAUAACCAGAGUAAAGAUAUUUUGAAUGUAUUUGAUGUGAAAUUGUUGUGAUAUUAAUAUGAAAAUGUUUGGUUGAAAAGUUCAAAUGUUUAAUGCAUGUUGAAUUCAAAAGUUUUUAUGAAAAUGAUUAUAUGUUAUAUCUCUUAUUUGUAAGUUUGAUCCAUGAAACUGUAUUAAUAUUCCUUAUUGGACUUUGAGCUCAUUCCCCUUUAUUGAGAAUUUUUUUUCGUAUUCUCAGUUUGGGCAAGGAGUGAUGACUGGGUUGGGGAAUUUUCUUUACUAUGGUUUUGCUUCAAUCUUAUUUUGGACAUUGUUUAGAUGUUAAAAUUUAAUUCCCAUUUAAAUUAUUUGGGUUUGGAGUUAUUUGGACGAUAAAACUUUGAUUGAUGUGUUAGUUUUAAAGUUGAGAAUUGAAAAUUAUAGAAUUUAUUUAUCUUACUACUUUGAACAGAAAUUUAGUAAUUGGAGAUCAUCCAGUUACAAGAUGAAUAUUUGAGUCGUUUCAAGUCGUUUCCACUUUGAGUGUUCAGGCUUAGGGUGUGAAAUGAUCGUUAUGCCCUUGGAGUGGGUAUAUUGUUUAUUUGAAUUUAAUGGUCCCCGAACUCCUUAAUUACUCAUAACUUUAUAUCAGCUUCUCAAAGUUAAGUUGUUUUACAACUACUAUCUAGCUACUUUUCUCUACUAUGACAACUUUAUUACAUAGUGAUUAAUUGAAAGAAUCUACAUGUCUUAUUUCAUAGGAUAGUUGAUUUUUUUACUCAAUGAAUUUUGCUUUUAUUAUUGAAAAUUUCAAAUCAUUGUAGUCCAACAAUUUCCUAUCCAUUGGUAAUUUCAUAUUACAUUUCCAAAGUCUAAUCAUUUAAAAACACUUGUAGUUAAUAUAUUGGCAAUUGCAUUGUGGGAAGUUGUUCACUUGAUUUUAAUGUUGAAACUUUCAAAUUUUUGUAGUCCAACAAUUCCCUAUCCAUUGGUAAUUUCAUAUCACAUUUUCAAAGUAUAAUACUUGUAUAUAGUAUAUUUGGUGAUUGUAGAGUGGAAAGUUGAUCAUUUUCAUGAAGACCUCUAAAAUAGAAUUUUUUUUCAUUCCAUUUAUUAAAGAAUUUCAUUAAUUGAACAUAUAUGUUUUUUUAACCGAAAAGUAGAGGCCACAUUAUACGAGGCCUUAGGUGACAAUACUAGGUGAGGGCUUUUUUUUUUAAUUUAUUUAUUACGAAAUAUAAAUAAUAUUAUUUAUUGUAUAAUAAAGAUUAUUAUAAUAUAUUUUUUAUAGAUGAAAAAAAAUAUUAAUUGAGUUUUAUUUUUUUAAAUAAUUGUUUUCAAUAAAUAACGUAUUUGUAAAAAGAAAACUAUAAAAUAUAUGCAUUUGAAAAAUAUUUAAUUUUUAUUUGAUUUAGUAUCAAUUAAUAUUUGUAAUAUUUUUUAAUAUUAUAGAAGUUAACAUACUCAAUUAAGAUAUUCAAGAUCAAGAGAAUAUUUGAGAUUGAAUUAAUUUCUUUAUUGUUUAUGUUUUAGUAAAUUUUUAUAUCCAUUAAAAUUUUUUUAUUGUUUAUUUUUCAUUCAAUGUUUGCAUUUUGUAAUAGAUAUUAAAACAAAUUUUUUUCUUGUAUGUUAAAAAAAUAUUUCAAUGUCUUUAAAAAUAAAAUAUUGUAGUAAAAUCAAAAUUACAUUGUGAAACUUUAAGCGAAUGUUUUAUACUAAAGAAGUGCCAAUUAAAGUAAGCAUGCAUCUACAAUUGUAAUUUAGAUGUCAUAUUGAAACAAUAGUUCUCUUUGACUAUAUCAUAAAAUUUGGUUCGAAUUACUUUAAGUCAUCUUGUAGAUUUUCAAGUUCCAAUGAUAUGCAUCAAGUAUGUGCAACAUACUUGAUAUGACUAAUAUUUUCUUAAGUAAUUGGACACUUUUUUCUAUAAAUUUACUUGAUUAUCAAUGAAUACUUUUAUGUAAGGUAUUGAUAUAAUUCGAUAAAUAUUUUAAAAUAGUAUUAGAAUAGCUUUGCUCUUUCCUAAUUAACAAAUUUACUAAAUUAACUUAUAUAUAUUUGUUUAUUUUAAUUUACUGGUAUUUGACUCAAUUUGUUAUUAUUUUUAAAAUUAUAGGAAAACCAUUAUUUAUAGAGUUUAAUUAUAUUUGGUAAAUUAUCUUUUUAAGUUUGACUAGGAUUAGGAAACUAUUAAUUUAAGAUUAAUCCAUAAGGCUCUAUAAAUUUGCAGUUUUAUAUAACAUUUAAAAAAAGAAAGAAAAAGUAAGAAAAAGUGAAGAGAGAUAGGCAAAGAGUGCAUUGGGUUUUAGAUAGAGAAAGGUCGAGAGAGUUUUGAUUACUACUCAAAAAGAACAUAUUUUAGAUAGUAAUUCUCAUGGGUUUCACAUCUUUUGAGUAUUAAUUAUGCCUAAAAAUGCUCAAUUAACAUGUUGUUGCCCUUGCAAGAGUUACUAAUAAGUUUUAUAAAGUUUUGGAGUCAUUUCAAGUUAUGAUUUUAAUAAAUUGGUGAUGAAAGAGAUGAAUUGAUUUGAAGAAGGAAAAUAAUAUUGAUGAUGAUCCAAAUGCAUAAUGAAAGAAGCAAUAUAAUUAGUUUGAUCGGGAUUUGCUGCUAAUUUGGAGGUAGUUAAGGUGGAGUCAAAAGAAGAAAAUGGAAGAAAUGACAAAGAGGAACUUAAAAACCAAAUGUUGCAGAUUUGUAUGAUCAUUCAAAAAUUACAUGACUAUGCCAAAUGGAUUAGAGAAGGAAAAUUGACUAUAGUAUAAGGAGGAUGCUUAAGUUGAUUUAGCAUGAACAUGAGAAAAUUUCGCAUGAACAUGCGAAAAUUUUGCACAAUCAUGCGAAAUGGUCCAGAAAGCUCUCUAAUGUUGUUGUUGCUCCACUAAUUUCGCACCACCAUGCGAAAUCGAUCUUUUCAUGCAAAAUGGCUGAAGCUCAUGUGAAAUCAUGAUUUUGAUGCUAAACUCCAGAUUUGUGAAUUUGGAAGGUUUUAGAAGACCAAUGAGAGGUUGCCAAGUGUCCACUUGACCUUGGUCUAUAAAUAGAAACUUGAAUUUCCCAUGUAAAGAGCUUUGUGAUACUUUUGAUUUUAGAUUUUUCUAGAAACUCUUUCUCUAAAUAGAAUUCUAUAUUUUCUUUAAUUUUCCCUCAUUUUCUCAUUAGCCAAACAUGCCUAGUGAGACCAAAUUUCCAAGUAUGAGUGACUAAAUCUCGUUUUUCUCAGAGGAAUGAGGAUCUAGAGGCAAGAUCUAUGGUGAAUUAUAGAAAUGAGUUUUAAUUGCAAAUGUAAUUUGAUUCAAUUGAUUGAUUAAUUGAAAUUCGAGGAUUUUUCUCUUCAAAUUGUCCUGAAUGACAAUUACAUUGCAAACUAGGCAGAUUAAUUAAAUUCUUAAAGUUAGAUUUAAUGAGACUGAAUAGUUGCAUUGUAUGAAUCAUUGGAAGAUGAUUUAAGAUGAAUUGAAUAUAUAAUUUAAAUUCAUAUCUUGGAUUAAAUAACCUAAUUUGAAGAGAAAUUAGGUUUAGACUUAAAGGGAAAUCUAAAAUCGGUUUAGAUAAGAAUUUAGGUUUUCAAUCUAACUUGAUGAAAAAUAAAUCUCAACAUUUAUUCACCAUGGAAAUUGUUUUCUAAAAAAUAUUAACUCUGAGAAUUCCUUUUCCUUAUCAGUUUUCUUAUAUUCUACAUUAUAUUAUUCUUUUCGAUUAGAAAUCAUUGUUAUUUUGAUUUUUCGUGAAUUGUCAAAUCAAUUUCACUUGACCAUAAUCAUUUCUUUUCCUCUCAUUUAAACCUUAAUUAUCGAGAAUAAUCCAUCCCAAUAGAAGACACCUAAGACCACUAUACUACUGUAGCUUUUGCUAAAAAACCUUUUUGAUCGGGCAAGAGUUACCUUAGCAUAGUUGAAUUAGGUUAUAAAUUUUUUAUCCAAUAAACAACAAAAAAAUCAAUUGAUCAAGUUUACAUUGUGUAUUCUUGAAUUUUAUUAAUAAAUUUGAUCCCCUUUUUUGAAGCGAUUACACCAAACCAAGUAAAUAUUUUAUCUACUUCAUUUGCUUUAUUUUUUCUAUUAAGUUUAGGUGUUGCAAUUUUUAAGAGUCAUGGUGAGAAGAUUGUGGGAAAAAUUAUUUUAAGGAUGGAGUCGAACAUAAAAUAUGAAAUUGAGUCCUUUGAUGGAAAUAAUAAUUUUAAUAUUUGAUAGAGUAUUAUUAAAGAUGUUUUGAUACAACAAAGACUUCUCAAAGCAUUACAAGGCAAAAAAAACUAGAGAGCAUGACAAAUAAAGAAAUGAAAGAAUUACAAGCAAGAGUUGUAAGUACUAUUUGUUUAAGUCUUAAAAAUGAAAUACAUUGUUUUGAAUGAAAAAAAUAUUCUUUUAGGGGUGUCAAUUGCUCUUUUAGAGACCAAAAAUAUUAAGCAAUCAAGUAGUUCAUCUCAUAUUGGACAAACUGUUAUGAUGAAUUCUAAACCAUAUCAUCAUAGGAGUAAAUCGAAAGAAAAGUAUCUGAUAGGAGGAUGAUCAUUCCAUUCACACUUAUAGAGGAAUAUGAAGUAUUAUUNNNNNNNNNNNNNNNNNNNNNNNNNNNNNNNNNNNNNNNNNNNNNNNNNNNNNNNNNNNNNNNNNNUAGUGAUUGUUUUAUGUUGAAGAAAGGCUAAUUAAAGUAAACAUGCAUCUAAAAUUAUAAUUUAGAUGUUGUACUCAAAUAGUUGCUCUCCUCGAUUAUAUCAUAAAAUUUGGUUUGAAGUCUAAGUCAUCUAAUAAUUUUCUAGUUCCAAUUACAUGCAUCAAACAUGUGUGUUAGGAAGUGUUGCAAAUUACUAAUUAGUAUAUAUUCUUUUUUUUUUAAGAAUAUUGUAUUAAAUAUUUCUAGGUUGAUAUAUUAUUGUAAUAUUAGACUUCUUUAUAGAAUAAGGAAGGUUGUUGAAAAUAUCCCUAUAAAUAUUCUAGUUCAUAAGGGGAAAAAGUUUUGAGAUGAAGAUGGACCCAUAAAGACUAUACAAGGUGGAUAGAGAUGUGAGGAAGAACGAGAGGUACCCGAUGGAGCGAGAGGGCUCGUGGUAGGGUAUAGGUACGAAGAGUGAGGAAACAUGGGAUGUUUUGGGAACUCAAUAUUUGUAUCUAGUUAUGUCCUCUAUAAGUUCUAGUUCUGUCAUCUGCAUUGUUCUCUAUUUUAUAGUGGAAUGAUUCUCUCUUAUCUGUGGACGUAGGCAUGGUUUUCGAACCACGUUAAAACCUUGUGUACCGUUUGUGUUGAUUUUUUUUAUCUUUAUUUUCUUGAUUAAUGAAGUUUGCAUCAAAGCUUCUGUCAACGUAACAAACUUGUAUCAAAGUUUGGGAUAAAGAUUUCUAGAAGAGUAAAAGAUCAUAGAGCACACAAGAUGAAAACAAAAGGAAUUUUUAGUGAAAAAGGAGUCAAUUGCUCUCUCGUGGUGAUAUGAUAUAAAAAGUUUAUGUCAUGGAAAGUUUGAAGAUUUACUUCAUGGAAUCUGGUCCAAAAUGGAGAUUGUUAAUAAGUGUCCCAAAUUCCUAAUUAGUAUAGAUUUUUUUUUUUGUAAAGAAUAUUGUAUAGAAUAUUUCUAGGUUGAUAUAUUAUUGUAAUAUUAGACUUCCUUAUAGAAUAAGGAAGGUUGUUGAAAAUAUCUUUAUAAAUAUUCUAGGUCAUGAGGGAAAAAAGUAUGAGAUGAAGAUGGGCCCUAUAAAAACUAUAUGAGGUGGAUAAAGAUGUGAGGAAGAAUGAGAGGUACUCAAUGGAAUGAGAGGGCUCGUGGUAGGGUAUGGAUACAAAGAGUGGGGAAAUAUGGGAUGUUUUGGGAACCUAUUAGUUGUAUCUAGUUCUGUCAUCUAUAAUGUUCUAGUUACGUCCUCUAUAAUGUUCUCUAUUGUAUAGUGGAAUGAUUCUCUUUCAUCCGUGGAUGUAGGCAUGGUUGUCGAACCACAUUAAAACCUCGUGUACUAUUUGUUUUAUUUUUAAAUUUUUUUUAAUCUUUGUUUCUUGAUUAAUGAUGUGUGCAUCAAAGCUUCCAUCUACGUAACAAACUGGUAUCAGAGCUUGGGUUGAAGAUUUUUGGAAUAGUAAAAGAUCACAAAGCACACAAGAUGAAAACAAAAGGAAUUUUUAGUGAAUGUGGAGUCAAUUGUUCUCUCGUGGUGAUAUGAUACAAAAAGUUUGUGUCAUGGAGGGUUUAAUGAUUGACUCCGUGGAAUUUGGUCCAAGGUAGAGAUUGUUAGGAAGUGUCCCAAAUUCCUAAUUAGUAUAGAUUUUUUUUUUUUAAAGAAUAUUGUAUAGAAUAUUUCUAGGUUGACAUAUUAUUGUAAUAUUAGACUUCCUUAUAGAAUAAGGAAUGUUGUUGGAAAUAUUUUUAUAAAUAUUUUAAGUCAUGAGGGGAAAAAUUUAUGAGAUGAAGAUGGGCCUAUAAAGACCAUAUGAGAUGGAUAGAGAUGUGAGGAAGAAUCGGAGGUACCCAGUGGAGCGAGAGAGUUCGUGGUAGGGUGUGAAUAUGAAGAGUGGGGAAACAUGGGAUGUUUUGGGAACCCAAUAGUUGUAUCUAGUUCUGACAUCUAUAAUGUUCUGGUUCUGUCAUCUAUAAUGUUCUGGUUUUGUCCUCUGUAAUGUUCUUUAUUGUAUAGUGGAAUUAUUCUCUCUCAUCUAUAUAGGCAAGUUGCUAAACCACGUUAAAACCUCGAAUACCUUUUGUGUUGAUUUUUUUUAUCUUUGUGUUCUUGAUUAACGAUGCUUGCAUCAAAGCUUCUACCAACGUAACAAUGUGCAACAUAUUUGAUAUAACUUAUAUUUUCUUAAGUAAUUGAACACUUUUUUCUAUAAAUUUACUUGAUGAUCAAUGAGUACCUACAUAUACGGUAUUGACAUAGUUUGAUAAACAUUUUAAAAUAGUAUUAGAAUGGCUUUUCUUUUUCCCAAUUAACAAAUUUAUCAAAUACACACACACACACACACACACAAAAUACUCAUUAGUAUGUCUUUUAUGAAAAAACUAUGUUUGUUUAUUUGAAUUUAGUAGCCAUUCAAUUCCUUAGUUACUCAUAAACUUUUUAUCACCUUCUUAAAGUCAAGUCAUUUACAAUUAUUUUCAAGUCAUUUACAAUUAUUUUAGCCUUCUCCAUUAUGACAACUUUAUAAGAUAGUGAUUGAUUGGAAGAAUCUACAUGCCUUUGUUGAUAGUAUAAUUGUUUUUCUUUUUUUUCGUAUUCAAAGAAUCUUGCUUCUGUUAUUGAAACUUUCAAAUCCUUUAUGUCUAGUGGUCUUAUAAUUCCCUAUUCAUUGGUCUUUCAUAUUACCAAUCAUUUUGCAAAUGAGUUAAUUUCAUUCACAUCCUCUGAGAUUUGAUGUAAAUUCGCUUAGUUACCAAUGAUUUCAAAUUUCAUUAAUUAGUACCCCUACAGAUAUAAUUCGUGUACAAAAUUUAUUUUUUAAAAGAGUUUAGGUAAAAAUAUUUUAGGUAUAUGUCUUUAACAAUUCUCUAAAAUAAAUUUUACUUGCUAAAAAAUAACUUAUAUAGAUAGAAUACAUCUACAGGAGUUCUAACUAACGAAAUUUAAAACUAAUGGUGGUUUAGUGUAUUUAAACUAAACAUUAGGAAGGGUGACUGAAAUUAACCCUCUAGGUAUAUAUGUUUAACAAAAUUUUUAUUGUUUAUUUUUCAUUUAAUGUUUGCAUUUUUCAAUAAACAUUGAAAAGGAAUUGUUUUUCCAUAUGUUAACAAAAAGAAAUUUGAAUACCUAUAAAAAUGAAAUCUUGUAGUAAAAUUGGAGUUACAUUAUCAGACUUUUAACGAGUGUUUAUGUUUAGAAAGGCCAAUUAAAGCAAGCAUGCAUCUAGAAAUUGUAACUUAGAUGCAUCAAACAUGAGCAACAUAUUUGAUAUAACUAAUAGUUUCUUAAGUAACUAAACACUUCUUUUUCUAUAAAUUUACUUGAUUGUCGAUGAAUACUUACAUACAUUUACAUAGUUUGAUAAAUAUUUUAAAAUAAUAUUAGAAUAACUUUGUUUUUUCUCAAUUAUAUUAGAAAAUAAUAUAAAGUUACUUAUAAACUUUAUAUCAUUUUCUCAAAGUCAAGUCAUUUACAAUUAUUUCUAUCUAGUCUUCUCCAUUAUGACAACUUUUAUAUGAUAGUCGUUGAUUGGAAGAAUCUACAUGUCUUUUUUGAUAAGAUAGUUGUUUUUAUUAUUUUUAUUUUUUUUAUUCCAAAAAUUUGCUUCUAUCAUUGAAACUUUCAAAUCUUUUAUGUAUAUUACCAAUCAUUUUACAAGUGAGUUAAUUUCACUUAGGGUAGAUAUACUUAGCCACACCCCUAUAGAUGUAAUUUGUGUUUAAAUUUUAUUUUUUAUUUAGGUAAAAAUAUCUUAGGUAUAUGUGUUCUACAAUUCUCUAAAAAAUAAAUUUUCUUAUCUAAAAGUUUAUAUAGACAAAAUACAUCUAUAGAAGUCCUAACUAAUGAAAUUUAAAAUCAAUGGUUGUUUAGUGUAUUUACAUUAAACCUUAUGGGGUAUGAUUGAAAUUAAGUCUUUUACAAGCACUUGUAGCUAAUAUGUUUGUAGUUGUAGUCUUGGAAAUUGAUCAUUUUCUUGAAGGCCUCUAGGAUAUUGAAAAUAUUGCCAUAGUUUUAGACUUUUUUUUUAUUACACCUAAUAAAAAAUAUUAUUAAUUUAACAUAUAUAUUCUUGACUUAAAAGUAAAGUCUCUCCAUAUUGUAUAAGCCCUUAGGUGGCAAUAUUAGGUGAAGUUUUUCUUUCGUUUAUUACAAAAUAUAAAUAAUUUAUUAUUGUAUGAUAAAAUUUUAUGUAAUAUAUUUUUAUAGAUGUAAAAUUAUUAAUUGGGUUUUGUUUUUUUUUACUAAAUUGUCAUUUCAAUAUAUAAAACUUAUUUGUAAAAAGACAAUUAUAAACUAUAUGAAAUUGAAAAACAUUUAGUUUUUUUAUUUAAUUUAGAAUUUUAUUUGGAUUAAUAAUUGAUAUUUGUAAGAUUUUUGAAUAUUAAAAAAAGUUAGCAUACUUAAGAAAGAUAUUCAAGAUCGGGAGUGUUUGAUAUCGGAUUAAUUUCCUUAUUUUCUCUAUUUUAAUAAAUUUUCACGUCCAUUACAAAAUUUUUGUUGUUUAUUUUUUACUUCAAUAUUUUUAUUUUGUAAUAGAAAUUUGAAAAGAUUUUUUCCUACAUGUUAAAAAAAAAAAAGAUUUGAACACUCCUAAAAAAGAAAUAUUGCAAUAAAAUUAAAGUUUACACUGUAGGACUAUUAGCAAAUGCUGCAUACUUAAAAUAGACCAAUUAAAGUAGAAAUACUUCUAAAAUUGUAAUUUAGGUAACAAUAAUAUAAAAAGACAAUAUUUUUGAAACAAUAGUUCUCUUGGAGUUUUGGGUACAAUGGACUAGACUUUAUGUAACAAUAGAUAUACAAACUUUCCAUUAACAUCUUGAGAGACAUGAUGAGGAGCAAAGUCAUCCAAGAAGGUACCAUAGAGGUACCUUAGCUCAAUUCAUCUAGACUACAUAAUGUUUAAAGAUCAAAUUCAAUGACUAGAUUUCAAAAAUCAAUAUAAGCUUUCUCAUAUUCUACUCUAUAUAAGACAAUGGUAUGAUACCUCUCUUGUGUCGUAGAAUGCACCAUGAAAACCUUAUCAUUUUAACAUCAGUUUGAAACUUAAAAGUCACUUAGCACAUUCUAGUUAUUAAUUUAAGAGCAUUAAAAGAAAUAUAUAAAAAAAAAGUUACUUUAUCCUUGUGAUUUUGAUCUAGGACUUUUAAUGAUAUUAAAAAAAAAAACAGAAAAAUAAAUGGAAAUAAAAUCAAUAAAUUAAACAAUUGAAUUAAGUUAGUUUAAUUUUUGAAUCGUUAAAUGGGUAAAUAAAGAUCUUAGAUUUGAUAUUAAUAUGAACAUCAUGACUUCAGUGAAUCUUACAAGAAAAUUUUAGUUUGAAAGACUUCAUUCAUUAAACGUGUGGCACAUAUUAAAGUAAAACUAAGUCUUCUCUAUAAUUUGUACCUAUCAUAGUUUCUUUCCUCAUAAAUAGCCUUUUUUGAAUAUAAUAUAGACUUCAACAUGCAUGGUGGGGCCAAUCAAACUACUAGUCAAGACAACUCAUGGGCAACAACGAUGUACCAACUACAUUUAAAUACUCUUCAUAUAUUUGCAUAUCAAGAGUAAUUUAGUAGUGUCUUUCUUAUGUACCUCAUAUCUAGACUUUCAAUGGAGAGUUCUUCAUCUAAAAAUUUGACUUGGGUUUUCAUACUAGUUUUGGUUUAGACAUGUGGAUGCAAAGGUUGCAUCAAAGAAGAGAAGUAGGCUAAAUCAUCUUACAAAUUUUCAAGUUCAAAUUAGAUGCACCAAACAUAUGCAACAUAUUUGAUAUAACUAAUAUUUUCUUAAGUAAUUGAAUACAAUUUUUUUUUAUAAAUUCACUUGAUUAUUAAUGGAUAACUAACUACAUGUAUGGUAUUGACACAACUUGAUAAAUUUUUUAAAAUAGUAUUAGAAUAACUUUGCUAAAAAAAAGUAAAAAUAAAAAUAAAAAUACAUCUAUAUAUAUAUAUAAUUAAAUAAAAUUAAAAAUUAAUAUAUAUAUAUAUAUAUAUAUAUUCUGUGUGUGUAUGUGUGCAUGGUCUCACAAGUCAUUAGCUACUCAUAAGCUUUAUAUCACUUUCUCAAAGUCAAGUCAUUUUGUAAUUAUUUCUAUCUAGCCUUCUCCAUUACGACAACUGUAUAGGAUAUUGAUUGAUUGUAAAAAUCUUCAUGUCUUUUUUUAUAAGAUAGUUUUUUAUUAUUAUUAUUAUUCAAAGAAUUUUCUUUUAUUAUUGAAACUUUCAAAUCCUUUAUGUCUAGUGGUCCUACAAUUCCCUAUUCAUUGGUAUUUCAUAUUACCAAUCAUUUUACAAAUAAGUUUAUUUCACCCGGUAAAUAUACUUAACUACCAAUGGUUUCAAAUUUAAUUGAUUAACACACUUAUAGAUGUAAUUUGUUUUUAAAUUUUAUUUCUUUUAGAAGAAUUGUAGGUAAAAAUGUUCUAGGAAUAUGUGUUCAAUAAUUCUCUAAAAACAAUUUAUAUAGAUGGAAUACAUUCAUGGAAGUUCCAACUAAUGAAAUUUAAAACCAAUGACGAUUUAAUGUAUUUGCACUAAAUCUUAGGGGAGGUGUACUAAAACUAGCCCUUUUACAAAUAUUUGUAGCUAGUAUAUUUGUAGUUAUGGUGUUGGAAGUUGAUCAUUUUCUUAAAGGCCUCUAAGAUAUUGGAAAUAUCGCCAAAGUUUUGAACUUUUUGUUUCACCUAAAUAAAAUAUCAUUAAUUUAAUAUAUAUACUCUUCGCUUGAAAGUAUAGUUUCUUCAUAUUGUAUGAAGUUGUAACUAGGUGACAAUAUUAGGUGAAAUUUUUUUUUGUUUACUACAAAAUAUAAAUAAUAUAUUUAUUAUAUGAUAAAAUUUUGUAAAAUAUAUUAUUAUAGAUGCAAAAUUAUUAAUGGAGUUUUAUUUUUUACUAAAUUAUCAUUUCAAUAAAUAAGAACUUAUUUGUUAAAAGAAAAUUAUAAAAUAUAUGCAAUUGAAAAAAAUUUAAUUUUUUUAUUUAAUUUGGUAUUUUAUUUGAAUUAAUAAUUGAUAUUUGUAAAAUCUUUUAAUAUUAAAAGAAGUUAACAUACUUAAAAAAGACAUUCAAAAUCAAGAGAGUAUUUGAUAUGAAAUUAAUUAAUUAUUUUUUUUCUAUUUAAAUAAAUUUUUACAUCCAUUAAAAAAAUUUUCUUGUUUAUUUUUCACUUCAAUAUUUUUAUUUUGUAAAAUAAAUAGAAAUAAAAUCAACAAAUUAAACAAUUGAAUUAAGUUAGUUUAAUUUUGCCACCGUUAAAUUGGUAAAUGAAGACUCUUAUAUUUGAUAUUAACAUGAACAUCAUGACUUCAUUGAAUAUUCUCACAAGAAAAUUUUAGUUUGAAAGAUUUUAUCCUUUAAACAUGUGGCACAUAUUAAAGUGAGACCAAGUCUUCCCUAUAAUUUGUAUCUAUCACAAUUUCUUUCCUAAUGAAUAACCUUUUUGAAUAGAAUAUAGACUUUAGCAUAUUACCAACCAUUUUACAAAUAAGUUAAUUUCACUCAGUAAAUAUACUUAACCACCAAUGGUUUCCAAUUUGUAGCACUCUUAUAGAUGUAGUUUUUUUUUUAAAUUUUAUUUUUUAGAAGAAUUGUAGGUAAAAAUAUUUUAGAUAUAUAUGUUCAACAAUUCUCUAAAAACAAUUUAUAUAGAUGGAAUACGUUCAUGGAAGUUCCAACUAAUGAAAUUUAAAACCAAUGAUGAUUUAAUGUAUUUGUACUAAAUCUUAGGGAGUGUGGACUAAAAUUAGCCCUUUUACAAAUAUUUAUAACUAGUAUAUUUGUAGUUGUGGUAUUGAAAGUUGAUCAUUUUCUUAAAAGGUUUACCAUUGAAGUUAGUUGAAUAUAAAGUUAGGUGAACUUUACCAUUGUUUAAUUGGUAAAUGAAGACUCUUAGAUUUGAUACUAACAUGUACAUCAUGACUUCAUUGAAUCUCUCACAAGGAAAUUUUAGUUUGAAAGACUUCAUCUUUUAAACAUGUGGCACAUAUUAAAGUGGACCAAGUCUUCCCUAUAAUUUGUAUCUAUCACAAUUUCUUUCCUCAUAAAUAGCCUUUUUUAAUAGAAUUAAUAUAGACUUUAGCAUGCAUGGUGGGCCCUGUCAAACUAUUAGUCAAGAUAAUUUGUAGGUAAGAACGAUGGACCAACUAUAUUAAAUAUUCUUCAUCUAUUUGCAUAUCAAGAGCAACUUAAUAUUGUCUUUCUUUUGUACUUCAUGUUUGAACUUUCAAUGGAGAGUGUGUCAUCUAAAUAUUUGAUGUGGGUUUUUAUACUAUUCUUGGUUCAAAUAUGUGGAUGCAAAGGUUGCAUCGAAGAAGAGAAGAUGGGUUUGCUUGAAUUCAAGGCUUUUCUUAAAUUGAAUAAUGAGCAUGCAGAUUUUCUUCUCCCUUCAUGGAUAGAUAACAACACUAGUGAAUGUUGUAAUUGGGAGCGGGUUAUUUGCAAUCCCACCACAGGUCGAGUUAAGAAGCUUUUCCUCAAUGAUAUUACGCAACAACAAAGUUUCUUGGAAGACAAUUGGUACCAAUAUGAAAAUGUCAAAUUCUGGUUACUAAAUGUCUCCCUAUUCCUUCCUUUUGAAGAACUUCACCAUCUAAACUUGUCUGCAAACUCAUUUGAUGGGUUUAUUGAGAAUGAAGGUAUGUUACCUCUCACCUUUAAAAUUUCAUUUCACUUAUACUCCAAACAUUCUAAAGGAACUACUAGCAUAUGUUCUUAAAAGUGUUCAGGUGGAGACCAAAUGGUCACUAGUAACUAUUGAAUUUAAUAUAAGAACAAUUACUAAUUAUUAAAAUUUAUAAUGUAAAUUAACAUUUAAACAGAACAAUAAAAAAAUUAUUAUUUUAGAAAACUAUAGAUUACAUUAGCCUUAUAUAUAUAAGCAUACUUGUUAUUUAUGCCAUCAUUUCACACUCAACCCAAUAAGUGGGAUUCAACUAAGAGUGAGCAAUUUCACAAUUAUUAAUUAACAGGAACACUUAGUCUCCCAUAUCCUUAUCCUUUUUGUUGAAUUGUCUUUCCUUAUCUUCCAUUCCUAAAAAGCUUGAUUUCUAUAUUCUAAAUUGAUAAAGAUUGGUUAAAGAAAGGUGAUCACAAAAUUUGACUAUUGCUGUCAAAUAAGGAAUCACCAUCUUCAAAGUUUCACAUUUACAAAAAAAAAAAAAAAAAAAAAAAAAAAAAAAAAAAACCCUAGCCUUGGGUAAGGUCCAAGCCUUAUUGUUUUAAGCUGAUGUCGGGUUGGUUUAAUAAUAAACAAAAAAAAUCCUAACCCAUGACCAUCUACGCAUUUCCAAAUUCCACCCAUCCACAACCCAUUAAUAUGACAUUUUCAAGGACAAAAUUUAAUCAAUUAAACCUAUUAGAUGGAUUCUCCAUACAAUGUUAAAAUGAAUAUAAAAACUUUAAUUCAAAAAAUAAUUUCCUUUAUUUAGUUAGGAUUCAAAUUAUAGGGGCACAAAACAUGAAAAUUUUCAUGUUUAAAAUUCACAAAGAUCACAAAAGCUCUUUGAAGCUCUAUGGACUUUUUUAUUUCUAACAUUUAAACACAAAAAUCACCAUAUUUAAUUAGAGAUUUGGAUACAUAUUCUUAUAUUAAAGACAUGUAAGCUUACAUAUUUAAAUAUGAAGAUCUCAACUUGUAAUUACAUGCUUCUAAUUAAAGUUAUAUUACUCUAUUUUAUAGGAUUUAAAGGGUUAUCAAGUUUAAAGAAAUUGGAGAUCUUAGACAUAAGUGGUAAUGAGUUUGAAAAAAGUGUCUUAAAAUCUUUGGACACAAUAACAUCACUCAAGACAUUGGCUAUUUGCAGCAUGGGACUGAAUGAAUCUUUUUCCAUUCGAGGCAUGUUAUAUGUCCACAUUGUUUCUUUGAAAUUAAGUAAAAUAUAUUUCUAACUUUUAAUGUUCCUUAGUUAAUCUCUCUUUUGAUUCAUGUUUGUUGCAGAAUUAGCUAGUUUGAGAAAUUUGGAAGUGUUGGAUCUAAGCUAUAAUGAUUUGGAAAGCUUUCAACUAUUGCAAGGUACUUCAUUAACUUGCUAAAAAAACUUAUGAUAUUUUGUUAUUAAAUUAAAGGUAAGAUUAACAAACAAUUUCUUCUCAUUAGUUACUUUUCUUUGUAAUAUCAUUAAAUUUGAUAUAAAGUAGUCUAAAUCAUCCUUUCAAUUUAUAAGUUUUAAUUAAAACGCAUCAAGCAUGCACAAGAUGUUUAAUAUAACUAAUAUUUUCAUAAGUAAUUGAAUUUUUUUAUAUGAAUUAAUUAACUUGAUUAUCAAUAAAUACUUACAUGUAUAAGAUUAAUAUAGUUUCAUAAGUAUUUUAAAAUUGUCUUACAACACACACACACACACACACAAGGAAAAUGAAAGGUAUGUGAUAUCUUUAUGCUAUGUUUGGUUCCCAAAAAAAUUGAGGGAAAAUGAAAGGAGAAAAAAGUAGAGACGAAAAGUAAAAGAAAAGAAAAAAAGUAAAGAAAAAUAUAAAAUUGAUUAAAGUAAAUACAUUAUUUUUAUAUGUUACUUUAACUUGUUUCACUUAUUUUAAUUCUUCAAUGUAAAGAUGAAAGAUUUGAAAAUGCAUAAGUUUCUAAUUAUUUUUUAUUUUAUUUUAUAGUUUUUACAAUACAACCAAACAUAAUAAAAUCAUUUUCUUUAAUUUUUUUUCUUUUCUUAAUACUUUUCACGAACCCUUUAAGUUAUGUUUGUUUGCAGAAAAUAUGAGGAAUAGAAAAUAGAAAAGAAAAUUAGAAGGAAAGAAAAAGUGAAGUAAAAUAAAAAUAAAUUUAAAUUUAAUAAAUUAUUUGUAUAUGCUACUUUAAACUUAUUUCACUUAUUUUAAAUUAUUUAAACUCAUUUCUAAUAAAUAAUAAUGGAAAUUGUAGAGAAGUUUGUGUUAUUCAAGCUUUGCAAUGACUUUACAAGGUGAAGGAAAAUAUUCUUGCUGAAAUUGAAAAAAGAAAUACCUUCUUAAAUAGCCUAUUGACCGAAAACACAUUACCCUAACAUAUACACACACCUUUAUUAUUUAUACAAUCAUUUAAUACUUAAUCCAGUUAGUGGGAUUCUAGUGGUUGUUUUUAUCUUGGUUUCCAAUAUUUCUGAUUGAUAGUGUUCGAUUAAUGAAAUAUCAUAAAUUUUGACCCUAAUAAGGACCAAUCCCUAUUAAAUGUAAUUGGGUUGACCUAAGACUAAAUGUUAGAUCCAACUAAUAAAAACCCAUCUAUUUGUUGGAGUGUAAAUAACCCGGCCUUAGGUAGGGCCCAUGCCUUAUUAUUUUAAGAUGUAGUCCAACUGGUUUGACACUAGAUUGAGUAAAGCCCAACUUAUGAGCAUCUAUGCAUUUCCAUCCAUCCACAACCUACUGGCAUGGACAAACUUUGGUCAAUUAAACCUAUUAUAACUGCAUACAAAAUUUUAAGUUCAAAAGAUAAUUUUCCUUAUUUAGUUAGGAUUCAUAUUAAAAAGGCACAAAGCACGAAUUUUCAUGUUUAAAUUCACAAAUAUCACAAAAGCUCCUUCAAGCUCUAUGGACCAUUUUAUUUGUAACAUUAUAUUACUCUUAAUUAUCAAAUUAACCAACAAAUUCUUCUCAUUAGUUAUUUUUCUUUAGUAAUGUCAUAAAAUUUGAUAUAAAGUAGUAUUGGUCAUCAUUUCAAAUUUUAGGUUCCAAUUAGAUGUAUCAAGCAUGUGUACCAUAUUUGAUAUAACUAAUAUUUUUAUAAGUAAUUGAAUUUUUUUUUCUAUAAAUCAAUUAAUUUGAUUAUCAAUGAAUACUUUCAUACAUGAUAUUGAUGUAGUUUCAUAAAUAUUUUAAAAUAGUCAUAGAAGUCUUUUAUCUGAUUCACUAGAAAGAAAAAUAAACUAUUCUAAUGAAAAGACUUGAUGAUUUGAAGUGAUUGCUUUUGAUUUUAUUUGAUUGCUACCAUUAUUAAUUGUUAGAAAUUGGCAACAAAUACCCAUUUUGCAUCACUUCUAUAUGCAUCGGGGGAAUGAAUUAUAUUUCAUAGAGCUAAUAGGGCAAAACUCAAACUUUUGGAAUUAUGGAAAAGGUUGCUAGAAAGCUAAUUAACCAUUUAUAUUAUGAUUAAGACUAGUUGGGUUAGAAAUAAUUCAUAUGGAGAUUAAAAAAAACUAUGUAAUUUAGUUUAGUAGCUUGGGUGCUAUUGUAAUGAUUAAUGAUCUGCAACUUGAACACAUCUACUAGUGCUUUCUACUUGUAUAGCUAAAUUUAUGUUACCACUUUGAACUACAGUACUUACAUGAGAAGAAAGUUUUUCCUUAGUGAUAAUGCAAAAGAAAUUAAGUAUCAAUUUUUGUUAAACUAACAAGUGAUAGUUUAGAUAUGGUUUGAAUACACUUCCUUUCUUCUAUAUUUUUAUUUUGAAAAAAAAAAACUCUUUAAUGAAAUAUAAGAAAUCUUAUAUGUAUAAAAAUUAAAGACUUAAACAAAAAAAUUCUUCAAAUUUGAAAAUUUUCGAGAAGUAUUUUUAAGAAUUUGUAUUUUCAAUAUAAUAAUUCAUAUAUUUUGUAUAAAAGUUUUUGUUUAAAAAAAUAGAAGUGUGUCCAAAUUACAAAUUAAUUGUUAAAUUAAGAAUGUUUCUCAGAUCAAGAGAUGAUGAAAGUUGUAGAGAGUUUGCAUUACUCAACCUUUGCAAUUACUUUUUGAAGGUAAAAGAAAAUACCUUCCUACAUAACAUACAAUGGCAGGUUCUGGUUUGUAAGAAACUAAUAAAUGAUUAAGAAUAUGAAUAAGACUUCCUUUAUAAUGGAUAUGUAGAGAAGAAUAGUGGAUGAUAGGAGGUGAAAAUCUUGUAAUAAAAUAUCAAUAUCAGUUAUAAGAUAAUCAACAUUUUCUCUAUUUCUUGUACCUAUGUGAUUAAGAAUCUUGUAGCUCCCUUAUUGAAAUAUAAUAUAAAAAUAUAAAUAAACUAUUUAGAAGUGCAUGUAGUUUUCAACAUGAGGAAGUUCAAAAGCAAGUUAAUUAUGAUAAUUUUCUAUAGUCUAUAUUGAACACAAAUUAUUUUUACUAAAGGUUCAAUCGUUCUAUGAAGGUUAAAAGUUUGAAUUGUUUACAUAUGCAAAUGGACAACCAAACAAGAAAAUGAUUUUGAAAUCCUUUUUGGACCUUUUUUUAUCAUUCAUUUUUUCCCCUACUCUAUUUCCUUUCCCUCAAACUCUCUAGGUAGUAAACAUUACCUAAGAUAAAUAGGGAAGAAAAUAUUUUAUCAUUUAUUUAUUUAGUAUUUUUCUUACAUUUUUUGUAUGUUAUCCAAAUAUAAGAAAACUAUUUUUCUUUAUUUUUUCUUUUCCUUGUUGCUUUUCAAGAAUCAAGCAUACUUUAAACUCUAAUUAAGAGUUACAUAGAUUUACGAAGAAACAAUGCAACUGGUAACAAAAAAUUAAGGAAAUUUAAUUUUUGAGAGUAGGUAUAAUGAGAUUGGUUUGUUUGAUACAAAAUUUGAAUAAAAAUUCUUUCAAUGAAAAUUCAAGGAAAGGAAAAAAAAAACAACUUUCUCUCUAGACUAUAAUACUAAAUCACUUAAAAAAUAUCCUAACAUCGUUUAUGUUCAUCUUUCUUUUUAUGGAUUUGAAAAACCCAAUAAUUUGGAGAAAACUGAUUCAAGGAAGAAUAAUUUUUAGAAUAAAAUAUUAUUAUUUAAGAAGAUCAUAAAUAUUAUAGUCAUUGUUGAAUAUGAUAAAUGAUUUAAAAAAAAUGGUAGUUGGAAAUUUAGAUACUUUUAUAAGACAAAUGAAUUUUUCUAGUAUGGUAUGAAAAAAGGUAAAAUGAUAGGCUUUGAUCAUUUUUUAAGGUAGUUUGUUUAAAUCAUUUUAAUUUAUUUUCAUUUAAGAACAAUAACUUUUAUUACACUAGUUAUUUUGAUUUUCUUUUGAUAGAUUUUGCAAGCUUAAGCAAUUUGGAGCUAUUGGAUUUGAGUAAUAAUUCAUUUAGUGGGAGCGUUCCAUCAUCUAUAAGAUUGAUGUCUUCUCUCAAGUCUUUAUCCCUGGCUGGAAAUUACCUCAAUGGUUCCUUACCAAAUCAAGGUAUAUAUAUAUUGUGAUUACAGGUUUUUCUGUUUUCUUUUUUAAUAUCUUGUUUGUUCUUUAUGCCAAUGAAGUCAUGCAUGUCUAUUAAUUUUUGGUAUUUAAUAAAAAACUUUAUUCUUAAUUCAUAAAGACCUCAUCAACGGUAAGUAACAGCUAGUUGUAAGUUUGGGGGCAUUGACAAGACGAGGAGAUGAUUGGUUACAUGUCUUAUUCUCUUUUGUAGGCUUUUGCCAAUUGAAUAAGCUUCAAGAAUUAGAUCUUUCUUACAACUUGUUCCAAGGAAUCCUUCCUCCAUGUUUGAAUAAUUUGACAUCUUUGAGGUUAUUGGAUCUCUCUUCCAACCUAUUCUCCGGAAAUCUUUCUUCCCCUCUGUUACCUAAUCUCACAUCCCUGGAGUACAUCGAUCUCAGUUACAAUCAUUUUGAGGGUUCAUUCUCUUUCAGCUCUUUUGCUAAUCACUCCAACCUUCAAGUGGUCAAACUUGGAAGGAAUAACAACAAAUUUGAGGUAGAAACUGAAUAUCCAGUUGGUUGGGUUCCCCUGUUUCAGUUGAAAGCUCUUGUGCUAUCCAACUGUAAGCUCAUCGGUGACCUUCCUAGUUUCCUUCGACACCAAUUAAGAUUAACCGUGGUUGAUCUCUCCCAUAAUAACUUGACUGGAAGUUUCUCCAUUUGGCUGCUUGAAAACAAUACAAGACUAGGAUCUCUAGUUCUGAGGAAUAACUCUUUAAUGGGUCAACUACUUCCCCUGAGACCUAAUAGUCGUAUCACUUUAUUGGAUAUCUCAGACAACCGACUUGAUGGGGAACUUCAACAAAAUGUGGCCAAUAUGAUUCCAAAUAUUGAGUUUCUAAAUUUAUCCAACAAUGGUUUUGAAGAUAUUCUCCUAUCCUCAAUAGCCGAAAUGAGUUCCUUACAGUCAUUGGAUUUGUCUGCUAAUAGUUUCUCAGGGGAAGUACCAAAACAAUUGCUUGUGGCAAAAUAUUUGUGGCUUCUGAAAUUAUCAAAUAAUAAAUUUCAUGGUGAAAUAUUUUCAAGGGAGUUUAACUUGACUCAGUUAGGGUUUUUACAUUUGGACAAUAAUCAGUUCAAGGGAACACUGUCAAAUGUAAUCUCCAGAAUCUCUAGGUUAUGGGUGUUGGAUAGGUAACAUGACCGAUUUGACUACCCUAGUGUUGGGCAACAAUAGUUUUAAAGGCAAAUUACCACCUGAGAUUUCUCAAUUGUUGGGGAUGAUAUUUCUUGACCUUUCUUAAAACGCUCUUUCAGGAUCUUUUCUUUCUUUGAAGAGCCUGGAGUAUUUAGAGCAUCUACAUUUGCAAGGGAACAUGUUUAUAGGAUUGAUACCUAGAGAUUUUCUCAAUUCCUCAUAUCUAUUGACUUUGGAUAUCAGAGACAACAGGUUAUUUGGAAGUAUUCCCAAUUCAAUCUCUAGACUUUUAGAGCUAAGAGGAAACCUUUUAAGUGGUUUCAUUCCAUAUCAGCUCUGUCAUUUGACUAAAAUAAGCUUCAUGGAUCUUUCAAACAACAAUUUUUCUAGGUCAAUUCCUGGAUGCUUUGGUCAUAUCAGAUUUGGAGAUUUCAAAACUGAGCACAAUGUGUAUAUACCGAUGUUGGAUUCGUAUUCAGAAAGCAAUCCUUCUAUAUAUGCGGGUUACUUAAUAAAAUUUUAUUUUUCUCUAGUGAACUCCCUAAUGAAGUAGAUGAAGUUGAGUUUGUUACCAAGAAUAGGUAUAGCUCCCACAGAGUAGAUAAAUAUAUUUGUUGGGAAUUUAGAUAUUUUUAUAGAAAAGUAGACAAGUAUUCUAAUUUAUAAAAAUAAUGCAUUUCUUUAGUUUGGUAUAAAAAAAAUGAAAUGAUAUGUAUUGGUAAUUUUUUUUAAAGUAACAAACGUUUUAUUUUAUUUGUAUUUAAGAACAAUUUUUUUUCUUAUACUAGUUAUUUUAAUUUUCUUUUGACAGAUUUUGCAAGCUUAAGCAAUUUGGAGAUGCUAGAUUUGAGUUAUAAUUCCUUAAGUGGGAUUAUUCCAUUAUCUAUAAGAUUGAUGCCUCAUCUCAAGUCUUUAUCCUUGGCCAGAAAUCACUUCAAUGGUUCUUUACAAAAUCAAGGUACAUAUGUUAUGAUUUGUUUGUUUCAUAUAGAUUAGAGAAGAUGAAUAUUGUUAAAAAAAAAAAGUUGUUGUUAAUGUAAGCUAGAAAUAAGUAUUUUGCCUUAUAAAUUAUAUAAGCAUGUGUUUGUUCUGAAUGAAUCUUUACAACAUUUAGAGUUACCAAUGUUUAUAAUUCAUAAAGACCUCAUUAACAGUGAGUAACAACUAAUUGUAAGUAAUUGUGGAAAAAGUAAGGAAAACAAAAUGAGGGAAAAGCAAGGAAUUAGGAAAUUAUUUUGUUCCCAUAAAAAAAUGCUAAGGAAGAAAAAGGUAAAAGAAAGUUUAAAAAAAGUGUAUUUUUCAAAAAUUUAUUUCUCUUUCCUUUAAUUUUGCUAUGGACAACCAAACAAGAAAAUAAUUUUAUAAUUCCUUUUUUUUUUCAUUCUCUCUCUCUCUCUCUCUUUUUCCCUACUCUAUUUCUUUUCCCUCAAACUUUCUUGAUAGUAAACACAACCUAAGGUAAAUGAGGAAGAAAAUUUUUAGUUUUUUUUAUUUUUUAUUUUUUUAGAAUGUUUUCUUACUUUUUAGUAUUUUAUGCAAAUAUAGGAAAAUUUUCAUCUUUCUUUUUAUGGAUUUGAAAAACCCAAUAAUUUGGAGAAAACUGAUUCAAGGAAGAAUAAUUUUUAGAAUAAAAUAUUAUUAUUUAAGAAGAUCAUAAAUAUUAUAGUCAUUGUUGAAUAUGAUAAAUGAUUUAAAAAAAUGGUAGUUGGAAAUUUAGAUACUUUUAUAAGACAAAUGAAUUUUUCUAGUAUGGUAUGAAAAAAGGUAAAAUGAUAGGCUUUGAUCAUUUUUUAAGGUAGUUUGUUUAAAUCAUUUUAAUUUAUUUUCAUUUAAGAACAAUAACUUUUAUUACACUAGUUAUUUUGAUUUUCUUUUGAUAGAUUUUGCAAGCUUAAGCAAUUUGGAGCUAUUGGAUUUGAGUAAUAAUUCAUUUAGUGGGAGCGUUCCAUCAUCUAUAAGAUUGAUGUCUUCUCUCAAGUCUUUAUCCCUGGCUGGAAAUUACCUCAAUGGUUCCUUACCAAAUCAAGGUAUAUAUAUAUUGUGAUUACAAGUUUUUAUGUUUUCUUUUUUAAUAUCUUGUUUGUUCUUUAUGCCAAUGAAGUCAUGCAUGUCUAUUAAUUUUUGGUAUUUAAUAAAAAACUUUAUUCUUAAUUCAUAAAGACCUCAUCAACUGUAAGUAACAGCUAGUUGUAAGUUUGGGGGCAUUGACAAGACGAGGAGAUGAUUGGUUACAUGUCUUAUUCUCUUUUGUAGGCUUUUGCCAAUUGAAUAAGCUUCAAGAAUUAGAUCUUUCUUACAACUUAUUCCAAGGAAUCCUUCCUCCAUGUUUGAAUAAUUUGACAUCUUUGAGGUUAUUGGAUCUCUCUUCCAACCUAUUCUCCGGAAAUCUUUCUUCCCCUCUGUUACCUAAUCUCACAUCCCUGGAGUACAUCGAUCUCAGUUACAAUCAUUUUGAGGGUUCAUUCUCUUUCAGCUCUUUUGCUAAUCACUCCAACCUUCAAGUGGUCAAACUUGGAAGGAAUAACAACAAAUUUGAGGUAGAAACUGAAUAUCCAGCUGGUUGGGUUCCCCUGUUUCAGUUGAAAGCUCUUGUGCUAUCCAACUGUAAGCUCAUCGGUGACCUUCCUGGUUUCCUUCGACACCAAUUAAGAUUAACUGUGGUUGAUCUCUCCCAUAAUAACUUGACUGGAAGUUUCCCCAUUUGGCUGCUUGAAAACAAUACAAGACUAGGAUCUCUAGUCGUAUCACUUUAUUGGAUAUCUCAAACAACCGACUUGUUGGGGAACUUCAACAAAAUGUGGCCAAUAUGAUUCCAAAUAUUGAGUUUUUAAAUUUAUCCAACAAUGGUUUUGAAGGUAUUCUCCCAUCCUCAAUAGCUUAAAUGAGUUCCUUACAGUCGUUAGAUUUGUCUGCUAAUAGUUUCUUAGGGGAAGUACCAAAACAAUUGCUUGCGGCAAAAUAUUUGUGGCUUCUGAAAUUAUCAAAUAAUAAAUUUCAUGGUGAAAUAUUUUCAAGGGACUUUAACUUGACUCAGUUAGGGUUUUUACAUUUGGACAAUAAUCAGUUUAGGGGAUAUUUCUCCAGAAUCUCUAGGUUAUGGGUGUUGGAUGGGAGAUAGUUUUAAAGGCAAAUUACCACCUGAGAUUUCUCAAUUGUCGGGGAUGAUAUUUCUUGACAUUUUUCAAAACGCUCUUUCAGGAUCUCUUCCUUCUUUGAAGAGCCUGGAGUAUUUAGAGCAUCUACAUUUGCAAGGGAACAUGUUUAUAGGAUUGAUACCCAGAGAUUUUCUCAAUUCCUCAUAUCUAUUGACUUUGGAUAUCAGAGACAACAGGUUAUUUGGAAGUAUUCCCAAUUCAAUCUCUAGACUUUUAGAGCUAAGAGGAAACCUUUUAAGUGGUUUCAUUCCAUAUCGGCUUUGUCAUUUGACUAAAACAAGCUUCAUGGAUCUUUCAAACAACAAUUUUUCUGGGUUAAUUCCCGGAUGCUUUGGUCAUAUCGGAUUUGGAGAUUUCAAAACUAAGCACAAUGUGUAUAUACCGAUGUUAGAUUCGUAUUCAGAAAGCAAUCCUUCUAUAUAUACGGGUUACUUAAUAAAAUAUUUAUUUUUCUCUACUGAACUCCUUGAUGAAGUAGAUGAAGUUGAGUUUGUUACCAAGAAUAGGUAUAGCUCCCACAGAGUAGAUAAAAAUAUUUGUUGGGAAUUUAGAUAUUUUAUAGGACAAUAUACAAGUAUUCUAAUUUAUAAAAACAAUGCAUUUCUUUAGUUUGGUAUAAAAAAAAUAAAAUGAUAGGUAUUGGUAAUUUUUUUUCAAAGUAACAAACGUUUUAUUGUAUUUGUAUUUAAGAACAAUGUCUUUUCUUAUACUAGUUAUUUUAAUUUUCUUUUGACAGAUUUUGCAAGCUUAAGCAAUUUGGAGAUACUAGAUUUGAGUUAUAAUUCCUUAAGUGGGAUUAUUCCAUCAUCUAUAAGAUUGAUGUCUUGUCUCAAGUCUUUAUCGUUGGCCGGAAAUCACCUCAAUGGUUCUUUACAAAAUCAAGGUACAUAUGUUAUGAUUUGUUUGUUUCAUAUAGAUUAGAGAAGAUAAAUAUUGUAAAAAAAAAAAAAGUUGUAGUUAAUGUAAGCUAGAAAUAAGUAUCUUGCCUUAUAAAUUAUAUAAGCAUGUGUUUGUUCUUAAUGAAUCUUUACAACAUUUAGAGUUACCAAUGUUUAUAAUUCAUAAAGACCUCAUUAACGGUGAAUAACAACUAAUUGUAAGUAAUUGUGGAAAAAGUAAGGAAAACAAAAUGAGGGAAAAGCAAGGAAUUAGGAAAUUAUUUUUUUCCCAUAAAAAAAUGCUAAGGAAGAAAAAGGUAAAAGAAAGUUUAAAAAAAGUGUAUUUUUAAAAAAAUUAUUUCUCUUUCCUUUAAUUUUGCUAUGGACAACCAAACAAGAAAAUCAUUUUAUAAUUCCUUUUUAUUUUUUUCAUUCUCUCUCUCUUUUUUUCCCUACUCUAUUUCUUUUCCCUCAAACUUCCUUGGUAGUAAACACAACCUAAGAUAAAUGGGGAAGAAAAUUUUCAGUUUUUAUUUUUAUUUUUUUAGAAUGUUUUCUUACUUUUUAGUAUUUUAUGCAAAUAUAGGAAAAUUAUUUUUUUUUCUUGCUCCUUUUCAGACAUGAAUCACACUUUAAAAGAAAAUUAAUUUUUAAUUAGGAGUUAAGAUAAAUUUAAGGAGAAACAAUGAAUCACGAAUAACAAAAAAUUAAGGAAAUUGAAUUUUUGAAAGUAAGUAUAAUCAAAUUGCUUCAUUUGAUACAAAAUUUGAAUAAAAAUUCUUUCAAUGAAAAAUCAAGGAAAGGAAAAAACAUUUUUGUCUCUAGAUUAUAAUACUUAAUCAUGUAAAAAAUCUCUUAACAUCAUUUAUAUUCAUAUUUCUUUUUGUAGAUUUGAAAAAUUCAACAAUUUGGAAUAAACUUAUUCAAUGAAGAAUAAUUUUUAGAUUUAAAGAUUAUUAUUUAAGAUCAUAAAUAUUACCAUCAUUGUUGAUGUCCAAGAAGAUCAUAUUCAACAAUUUUUUUAAUAUGUUGUUUUUUAUGGUAAUUAAUUGAUGUCUUGUAAUUUUUAAUAUUUAAUGAAAAACAUUAAUUUAAUUCAUCUAAAGCUCUUAAUUCAUGAAGACCUCGUUAAUGUAAUGGUGAGUAAUAGUUGGCUGUAAGUUUGGAGUCAAAGACAUGUUAAGGAGAUGAUUAGUUACAUGUCUUAUUCUCUUUUGUAGGUUUCUGCCAAUUGAAUAAGCUUCAAGAGUUAGAUCUUUCUUACAACUUAUUCCAAGGGAUCCUUCCUCCAUGUUUGAAUAAUUUCACAUCUCUGAGGUUAUUGGAUCUCUCUUCCAACCUCUUUUCCGGAAAUUUUUCUUCCCCUCUGUUACGUAAUCUCACAUCCCUAGAGUACAUAGAUCUCAGUUCCAAUCAGUUUGAGGGUUCAUUCUCUUUCAGCUCUUUUGCUAAUCAUUCCAAGCUUCAAGUGGUCAUACUUGGAAGGGAUAACAACAAAUUUGAGGUAGAAACUGAAUAUCCAGUUGGUUGGGUUCCCCUGUUUCAGUUGAAGAUUCUCUCUCUAUCCAGCUGUAAGCUCACCGGUGACCUUCCUGGUUUUCUUCAAUACCAAUUCAGGUUAGUGGGGGUUGAUAUCUCACAUAAUAACUUGACAGGAAGUUUCCCCUAUUGGUUGCUUGAAAACAAUACGAGACUAGAAUCUCUAGUCUUGAGGAAUAACUCUUUAAUGGGUCAACUACUUCCCUUGGGACCUAAUACUCGUAUCAAUUCAUUGGAUAUCUCACACAAUCAGUUGGAUGGACAACUUCAAGAAAAUGUGGCCCAUAUGAUUCCAAAUAUUAUGUUUCUAAAUUUAUCCAACAAUGGUUUUGAAGGUAUUCUCCCAUCCUCAAUAGCUGAACUAAGAGCCUUAUGGAUUUUGGAUUUGUCUACCAAUAAUUUCUCUGGAGAAGUACCAAAGCAAUUGCUUGCAACAAAAGAUUUGGGGAUUCUGAAAUUAUCAAAUAAUAAAUUUCAUGGUGAAAUAUUUUCAAGGGACUUUAACUUGACUGGGUUAUUGUGUUUGUAUUUGGGCAAUAAUCAGUUCACAGGAACUCUGUCAAAUGUAAUCUCCAGAAGCUCUUGGUUGGAGGUGUUGGAUGUGAGCAACAACUACAUGUCAGGUGAAAUUCCAAGCCAGAUAGGUAACAUGACCGAUUUGACUACACUGGUGUUGGGCAACAAUAAUUUUAAAGGCAAAUUACCACUUGAGAUUUCUCAAUUGCAACGGAUGGAGUUUCUUGACGUUUCUCAAAAUGCUUUUUCAGGAUCUCUUCCUUCUUUGAAGAGCAUGGAGUAUUUAGAGCAUCUACAUUUGCAAGGGAACAUGUUUACAGGAUUAAUACCCAGAGAUUUUCUCAAUUCCUCAAAUCUAUUGACUUUGGAUAUUAGAGAAAACAGGUUAUUUGGAAGUAUUCCCAACUCAAUCUCUGCACUUUUGAAGCUAAGGAUUCUUUUGCUAGGAGGAAACCUUUUAAGUGGUUUUAUUCCAAAUCAUCUUUGUCAUUUGACUGAAAUAAGCUUGAUGGAUCUUUCAAACAACUCUUUUUCAGGGCCAAUUCCCAAAUGCUUUGGCCAUAUCCGAUUUGGGGAAAUGAAAAAGGAGGACAACGUGUUUGGACAGUUCAUUGAAUUUGGGUUUGGAAUGGUUUCUCAUCUUGUAUAUGCAGGUUACUUGGUGAAAUAUUACGGUUCCCCAACUUUAGUAUAUAAUGAAAAAGAUGAAGUUGAGUUUGUCACCAAGAACAGGAGUGACUUCUACAAAGGUGGCAUCCUUGAAUUCAUGUCUGGAUUGGACUUAUCAUGUAACAACUUGACAGGCGAAAUACCUCAUGAACUUGGAAUGCUAAGUUGGAUUCGUGCAUUGAACUUGUCUCACAAUCAAUUGAAUGGCUCCAUUCCAAAGAGUUUCUCUAAUCUUUCUCAAAUAGAGAGCUUAGACCUUUCUUAUAAUAAACUGGGUGGAGAAAUUCCUCUAGAGCUAGUUGAACUCAAUUUUUUAGAGGUGUUUAGUGUGGCUUACAACAACUUCUCUGGUAGAGUUCCAGAUACCAAAGCACAAUUUGGGACAUUUGAUGAAAGGAGCUAUGAAGGUAAUCCUUUCCUUUGUGGGGAACUAUUAAAGAGGAAAUGCAACACAAGUAUUGAGUCACCAUGCACACCAUCACAGUCUUUUGAAAGUGAGGCAAAAUGGUAUGAUGUCAAUCAUGUUGUUUUCUUUGCAAGUUUUACUACUUCAUAUAUCAUGAUCUUGUUAGGAUUUGCUAUCAUCCUUUACAUCAAUCCUUAUUGGCGUCAUAGAUGGUUCAAUUUUAUCGAGGAAUGUAUAUAUUCCUGCUAUUAUUUUGUUUUUGAUAGUCUUUCCAAGUUAUCAGCAUAUUUGUAUAAUUAGAUACUUUUAAUUGGAUGAUAUUUGCAUAAUUAACUACUAUUUGUUUCCCUGGGAUAGAAAGAAAUGGGAUGUAUAAUGCUAUGAGCUGAAACUUACAUACUUUGCUCAAAUUCUAACAUCUUUUGAUUUUAUUUUCAAGUUCCGUUAUUUAUUAUGUAUUGCUUAAUUCAAGAUUUAACCAUAUUACGUUACUCUUAUAAAAGCAAAUUCAAAUUUUUAGGAACUUUUAGCAUUAAAAUAAUUUCAUAGUCAGAUUUUAAAAAAUAAAGAAGAAAGAAAAUAAUAAAUAAUUGGAAAAACAAUUCAAGGAAGUAUUAAAUUAUUAUCUUAGAAUUAUUUGGCGUAGUAUGGGAAUUCAAAAAUAAUCUUUCAAUUUGUUAGAAAUGUUUAUUUAUUUAUUAUAGCAAUGAUUGAAAUAUCAAUCACAAAGUAAUGUUUUCUUUUCUUUUGUAGGGCACUAACACUUUUUCUUUGAUAGUAAUAAUUGAUAAAUAUAUUACACAAUUAUUUGUUUUAAAAAAGGGAGGGAUGACAAACAUAAUAACAUGUGAAAUAUUUCUAAAACUGUAAUGGGAAAUAAGCCAUCUAAUUAGGGUGCAAUAUUAUUCAUUUUAAUUUACAUGAAUUUACUUAUUUUUAUUUGCAUCAUAUUUUGAACUAUUUUAUGAAAUUAAGGGAGAUUAAAACAUCACGAGUUUCUUAUUUUAGUUUAUAUUCUUAAUAAUAAAGCAUGAAAUAUUAUAAAAAAAAAAAUCAUGAAUUUCUUUAAUUCCUUAGGAAACCAAUAUAUAAAAAAUUGAACAUAUUAUUAUUUUAUAUCCUAAAUCUCUAAAUUUGUUCAUUACCUAUUUAUUUUUAUAUUAAAUUUAUUAUUAAUUAUUUAUUUAUAUUAUUAUUUUAUGUUUAAAAUGUUCAUAAAUAAUUAAAAUUAAUAAAUAUAAAAAUAAAAUAUUAAAAAAUUAAAUUAUAAAGAUUUCAUCAAACUGACAUAUUUAAAAAAAAAAAAAAGCUAAAAAAGAUGAGGAUAUUAUAGAGGAGGGGAAAAGGAUAAAAGAAAAUUCAUGUGGUAUGAUAAUAUCACGUGUCAAAGUUAUUUUCUUUAAAAAAUAAUAAUAGUAAUGAUGAACUCAUUUGUCUUAUCAAAGUAAGUUAAAAAAAAAAAAAAAAAAAAAAAAGAAAAGAAAAAGAUGGUAGUUGGCUUAUUUGUUCUUUGAAAAUAAAAAAUCAAAGUUUUAGAAAAAUACAAUUUUCUUUUAAAUGAUGAAUGGUUACAUCAUUUCCCCUUAGCUUAUCUGUUCCUUUAAACUUUAGUUUGAAUAAAAUUAGUUUUAAUUAUUUUCUUUUUGGAAUUAUAUUUAAUCGUAUUAUUAAAAAUAUAAAAAACAUCGUAAUAAUAUUGUCAAUAAGUUUUUUUAUAUAUAUUGAAAAAUAUUUAUAUUUAAAAAUAUUUAAAUUUUGUCAUGGGCUGCCCAUUUCAAAAUGAUAAGAAUAUAAUAACCUAAUUUUUCCAAAUUCCAGGUAAAUAUGCUAAUCUAAAAAAAAAAAAUUAUUAGGUUUUUAUGUGCUGAUUGGGUUUUUUUUAUACCCAGUAUGCUCUCCAAUCUACCACUUAAGCAUCCGACAUGGCUAAAAAUAAAUUUUUAAAAAAAAGAAUAAAAAAGGAAAAAAACGAAAGUGUGUGAUCUCUUUCUUGAGUCUUCACAAUCUGAGACACUGAACCCAAAUCAAAAUUAAUCCUCCAAAUUAAUUUUCACCUCCAACCCAAACCCUAACGACUGCCUCACUUUCUUCUCAAACAUAGCUAUACGAAAAACCCUAGCCUCUGCCUCGUCUUCCUCUUAUCCCGGAAACCCAAAUCCCGUGACCCUAACCCCUUCUCUUUCCGAAAACCCUCCAGAAUCGGAAGAUUCAAGUGAUCGAAUUAAUUCUUCAGAAUUAAUUUUCACCUCGAAGCCGAACCCUAACUGCCUCAUCUUCCUCUCAUUCAUAUCCCAAAAGUAGCUUCAACAGUCAGGCCUGCGGCCAUGAAAGCCGUAGUGAUCGCCACUUCCGGCGAUCCCCAAGUUCUCCAAGUGCAAGAAGUCGAAAACCCUGAAAUUGGAGAUGAUGAAGUUCUAAUUAGAGUGGACGCCGCUGCCAUUAAUCGAGCGGAUACGCUUCAGAGGAAGGGCUUGCACCCUCCCUCAAAGGCGGCAGUCCCUACCCCGCUGGAAUCAUCGAAGCUGUUGGAAAGGUCGUCGUUCGAUGGAAGGUUGGCGAUCAGGUAUUUCAAUUGCCUAAUAUUUUGAUUCCGUUUCUGUUCCUGUAUUUUUCUCGGCUAUCCUUUAUGUGAUUUUGCUUCCUCCUGAGUACAAGUUCAUAAUAUACAUGGUACAUGGUGAAUCUGUAUGACAUUUCAUGGUAUACAGGUGUGUGCUCUUCUUUCUGGUGGAGGGCAUGCUGAAAAAGUGGCUGUUCCAGCUGGGCAAGUUCUCCCUGUCCUAUCUGGUGUUUCUCUGAAGGAUGCUGCUGAGGUUGCAUGUACUGUUUGGUCAACUGUUUUAAUGAUGAGCCGACUGUCUGCAGGAGAAACAUUCCUGGUGAAUUUUUUGUCUUUUUUAUUUUCUGAUGCCUGAUAUAUUUACCAGCACAAAUUUUCCCUGUUGCUGUUUAAUGUGUGUGCAUCAAUAUUGGAUUAGGGAGGUAGAAGAGCCAUGGUUCUAUUACAUCAUCAUAUUCUUAUUUAGAUACAUUGUAUCCCACAAUUUCAUUGCAUCCAAGGCUAUGUUGUUUUUUAUUGCACGGUUUGUCAUGGUAAUUUCUCAACCCUUCUCUGGAAAAUUAUGUUGGAUGGCUGCUAUUAAUUACCCCAAAAGAAGAAAUUUUAUGUUGAAGUAAGAUGAGUAGCACAAAGAGUUACUUGUGGUUGAUCCUAUCAUCAAAUGGGCGAUUGAUGCACAAUCCAAAUGGUAAAUUUUUUUCCCCCUUUAUCCAGAUGGAAUUUUUAUGCAUGGUUGAAUAGUGAAAUGAGGACUGAUAAUAUUUCAGGUUCAUGGGGGUUCAAUUGGAAUUGGUACCAUCUAUUCAAAUAGUGAAAUAUUGAGGAGCAAGGGUAUUUGUUACAGCAGGUUUGCCAUCACUGUUCUACCUCAUCCCACAGAAUGCUUAUCUCAUGGCACCAAUUCCUUUUCUUCACAUGUUUUCAACCAUUUUUUCCACCCAGGAACGAGGAAAAAUUAGCUGUUUGUAAGGAUCAUUGAGCAGAUGUGUGCAUCAAUUACAAGACUGAAAACUUUGUUGCAUGGGUGAAGGAGGAAACAGGAGGGAAAGGUACAUUCUAUUGUAUCUUAACGAUAAUUUCAAUUGAAGGUGGAAUUGCUUUUUAUUUUUUAGUGCACCAAAUCCACUAGUCUGGAAUGUUUGAAAAGAUAAAUAGUCAUCUUCCACUUGAUUCCGAUUGUGAAGAUCUAACCCCAAAAAUGUUGAAUGACAGGUGUUGAUGUUAUACUGGAUAAUAUUGGAGGGGCCUACUUUUGGGGAGACAUCAAUGGUUUAAAUGUUGAUGGAAGGCUUUUUAUUAUUGGUUUUCAGGGUGGAACAGUGGUACAAGUAAAUCUUUCAGGUUUACUUGCAAGGCGCCUUACAGUGCAAGGUACCACUUUCUCUGUAGAAGAUUUUUCUGUAGUUUUGGAGUUGAAUCAAUUUGAUUAAUCUCAUCCAAGUUCAGAACUGAGGUGGAUUCUGGCAAGCCAAGGAAAAACCAAAUUACCAUAAAUUCUUUUUUUUUUUCUGGAUCGUUUUACUUCUUGGAAAUCCUGUUUCUCGAUCUGGUCAGGUAUAUGGAAAUUCCAAGGAAAAUAUGUUUUACAUUUUCCAUAAUUGGAAACACUCAGGAAUUUAAUAUUUUCCUCUGAAAUAGCAAUGGUUUUCUAAUUACGACAUUUGUUUUUCUUGUAUCAUCCCAAAAUAUUUUUUAGGUGUUUGUUCUCUCUUGACACAGCUUUUAAUUGGGUCUGUCUUGCUUUUUGAUAGAUCUCUUGACAAGUUGCUUGUAUAUCAUACUUUCUUUAUUGUUUUCGGAUCAUGAACCUUGCUUCUGUCAGCCCUGUUAUCACUACCCAAACUAGUAAAUUUAUGCACAAAACUCCAUGUGUCAGUAACAGUGGUUAUUUGAUUGUAUUAAAUAAUUUGUAAAUACAGUGGAUAAGUUUGUGCAUAGAUUGAAGGCGAAUGAAAAACGUGCAUAGAUUGAAGGUGUGCUGCUUGAGUUGAUUGUAGUUUGAGCAUGAAAAUUUGAAGAUCCAGAACAGCAAAUGAGGAAUGCCUAUCAAUUUGAAACCAGCAUGGGUGGAUGAAUGGAGAGGUUCUUCACUGAAUUUGUCCAUGAAGCUUUUUAGCACUCUAGGGCAAGGGUCUCCAAGCCUAGCUGUUGAUUGCACAUCCCUCCUGCGCAAUACUAAGAACAGAGUGAAAUGCAAAUGCAGGAAAGGGUGUUUCUUAGCUGUUCAACAACUGACAAUACAUUGGCAUGACAAUUCCCUGGAUCGAAUGCCACAAUGCCCUCUUGGAGUUCCAAAGCUUGUUCACAGGUCAAACGAACUUGAGGGUUUUGGGACAUGAACUCCAAGUUUGGUUGCCAAGAAUCUCCAGGUGGAGGAUCAGCUUCUGACACGUGCACACACCUCUUGGCCAGUUUGUGUUAUUGCAAUUUUUAUUAAAUUGCUAAAAAAUUUAUCGCGAACAAUUUUUUCUUUUUUCUUUUUUCUUUUUUUCUUUUUAAACAAACUGCAAAAAUCCCUUUUUUUUUUAUAUAAAAAAAAAAAAAAUUCUCCAACAAAGUGAUUUUUUUUUGUGGCAUGACUCGGUUUGACCACUAACUCGGUGAACUGGUCUAUCGGCUCAAGUUUGGAUCCCUUAAUUUUGUGGCAAAUUGGGCAUCAAGCCCAACAACCUAACUUCCAUGCGGGCUAUCUACUGGAUCUCACCCAUUGUAACUUGCUCUGGGUGAAUGGCCAUUAUAAACUUCAUUUUAUCCUCAUGUGAUUUUGAUGUGGGAAUGGGAGAGAUGAGGAUUUGACAUUUGGACCUAAGGCUCAAUGGGUUUUAACUCCACUCAGCUACUUUAUGUCUUGUAUUUAAUAUUGCAAACCAAAAUAAUAAUAGACAUGAUUCUUUUCAAAAAAUUUAUAAUGUAAUAUUUUUUAAAAUUAUAAAAUAAUAGGUUAUAUAAAUUUUAAUAUAUAGGUAAAAUUAAUUAAAUUUUAACAAAUAUCUUCACAUUUAGACAUUACAUAUUUUUUAUUUAAUAAAAUUUUAAAAUAUUAAUAUAUCUAAAUAUAAUAUUAAAAAUGAAAAAUAAAAUAGUAAUAAUUUUUAUUUUCUUUAUAUAUUUAAAAUUAUAUAAUUAUUUUUUAUUUUAAUAACAUAUAAAUUGUAUAUUUAUAAUAUUAUUGGUUCAACUGUGAUUCAACCAUCACUCCGAUUAUUCAAUUAUGAAUUAAUAAAUUUUUUAAUUCAAUGAUAGGUUUGAUUAUAAAAAUAUUAUGUUUUUUUUUAUGAAAAGUACUCAAGAAAUAUCAUUAAUCACUAAGAUCACGUGGUUGGAUUAGGUGUAUCCGAAACAUAGGUAUUACUCUCUUCCUUAGUUAGGGCUUAGCUUUUGAAAAUGUAGAUAGGUAAAGUGGAUGGAAAGUCUAUAACUACGUAGAGAUUGAGCUUGGAGGCCAAUCUAGCAAAUGUGGAGAUUAGAAAUAGUUUACCAUCUAGAUAGUCAAGCAUAGCAAUUUACCAAACCCUUACCAACCAUCCAUACUAACCAAUUGUGGUUAAAUGUUUACAAAAAUGUACAUUAAAUCAAAGAGAAAAAAGAUUAAAAACGAACAAGAGAGAAGAAGCACAUCACCUAAUUUUGGUAAUAAAUGAAAUUAAAAUAAAUUCAUAAAUUUUUUAAAUUAAAAUGAAUUUGAACUCUAGAGAUUUGUGUAGAUAUCUUAUUAAAAAACCAAAAAGUUUGUUGCAUAUAUAAUUUCAACAAUGCAUAAAUAAUUACAACAUACGCAAUACAAUAAUAUUACACAACUAUAUUUUCAAAUAUAAUAUAAGAUCAUUAAAGUGAUAAAUUGUAGUUGUAUAAAGUAUUUAUACAAGUAAAGAAGAAAUUAUGAGAUUAAAAUGCUUGUUGGAUUCUAAGUAAAAAAGAAAUGAGAUAUAGAGAUUGUCCCAUCAGACAUAUAGAAUUUCAUAUACAUAAUUUUCCCUUCAAGAAAAUUUAGGGUCAAAUUGAAAAAAUUUCAUUCAUAGAUUUUGGUAAAACCUCUAUCUAGUCCCCGAAGUCUUGUAUACAAAAGGAAAUAACAUUGGUAUGAGGGGUUUGAAUGCUUAAUUUUAGAUUGAAAAUGCUUGAGAUAAUUUUUGAUCGACUUCACAUGUGUUUUUAAUAAACUUGGAACAUUCAAACUUGUAUUUGAAGAAUCUUCAAUUUGAUCUUAAAUAAUGUUGAAACCUUCAAAAUUUGAAUAGAAGAAUCUUUAAGCAUUUGAAUUUUGGUUUAAAGAAUUUUGAAAUUUGAGACUGAAGAAUCUUCAAAUUUGGGCCUGAAGAUCAAAGGCUAAGCUUGAAGAGUUCUUGAAGCUUGAGUGGUAUGUCCGAUUUUGUUUUGUAUUUUAUAAAAACUUUUAGGCUAUGUUUGGUUCCCAGAAAAUUUGAGGGAAAAUGCGAGGGAAAGAAAAUACAAAGGAAAAGUAGAAGGAAAGAAAAAGUGAAGGAAAAUAAAAAAAUAGAUUAAAAGUUGAUAAAUUAUUUUUUUUGUUACUUCAAACUCAUUUUAUUUAUUUUAACUCAUCAAUAUAAAGAUUAAAUAAUUUAAAAAUAUAAAAGUUUUUAAUUAGUUUUAAUUAUAUUUAAUUUUCUUUGAUAUUUUUUAUAAGACAACCAAACAUGAGAAAAUCAUUUUCCUUAGCAUUUUUUUUCUUUCCUUUGUACUUUCCGGGAACCAAACAUAGCCUUAAGUAUACUAUAUUUAUAGGUUUGAAGAGACAUUGAGAUUUUGUAUACAUGUUUGGAGUUUUAAACCUUGAAAUAUUACUCUUUUAUGAAAUUAACAUUUAUAAAAUUUGGAAGAACAUAAUUAGAUAAUAUUCUAAGUUAUUUUUAAUGAAAAUUGAUAAUUACCUUUUAAUUAUCAAAUUCACUAUUUCUAUUUAUUUUUGUAAUAUAUAUUAAUUACUAAAAUCAUUUAUUUCCUUUAUUUAGUUUGAAAGCAAUUAUAUAUCUUUUGUUUGUGUAGAGCUCAUGUGACACGACAAAUUUUAUUUUGUAACUUGCUCUGGAUGAAUGGCCAUUAUAAACUUCAUUUUAUCCUCAUCUGAUUUUGACGUGGGAAUAGGAGAGAUGAGGAUUUGACAUUUGGACCUAAGCCUCAGAGGGUUUUAACUCCACUCAACUACUUUAUGCCUUGUAUUUAAUAUUGCAAACCAAAAUAAUAACAGACAUGAUCCUUUUCAAAAUUUUUAUAUUAAUAGAAGUGUAAAUAAUAUAAGUAAAAAUAAUGUAAUAUUUUUUAAAAUGAUAAAAUAAUAGGUUACAUAAAUUUUAAUAUAUAGGUAAAAUUAAUUAAAUUUUAACAAAUACCUUCACACUUAAACAUUACAUAUCUUUUAUUUAAUAAAAUGUUAAAAUAUUAAUAUAUUUAAAAUUGUAUAAUUAUUUUUAUUUUAAUACUAUAUAAAUUAUAUAUUUAUGAUAUUACUGGUUCAACUAUAAUUCAAUCACUGGUCCAACCAUUGAACCAUGAAUUAGUAAAUUUUUUUAUUCAAUGAUAGGUUUGAUUCUAAAAACAUUAUGGCUAUGUUUGGUCCCAGAAAUUUUUUUUUGAUGGAUAAUGACAAAGAUAUUACCAAUUUGAUAUCACCAAUUGAUAACACAAUUAAAAAAUAAUAUGAAUUUUAACAUAUUUGAAUUCAUUGUAAUCAUAUCCAUGACCUAAUUUUACACAUCCUUAAAUCAUGGUUGAUUUAUGAAACAAAUCUAUACCAUCAAUAGAAAAUAAAUAAAUAAAAUAAUACAAAAAAAAUAUAUAGAUAGUCAAGCAUAGCAAUUUACCAAACCCUUAGCCACCAUCCAUACUAACCUGUUGUUGUUAAAUGUUUACAAAAAUAUACAUUAAAUCAAAGAGUAAAAAGAUUAAAAACGAACAAGAGAGAAGAAAUACAUCACCUAAUUUUUGUAAUAAAUGAAAUUAUAAUAAAUUCAUAAUUUUUUUAAAUUAAAAUAGGAAUUCAAAUACAUGUAACUAUUGUUUUUGUCUUGUAAAUCAUCCAAUUUUUCAAUGAAUUUAAACUCCACAGAUUUGUGUAGAUAUCUUAUUAAAAAAAGCAAAAAGUUUUCACUAAAAUCAUAAAAUUUAGAUUAGAAAUGAUUUACUAUAUUAGUUCAAAAUUCACCUCCACAAAAAUUGAAAUAAAUUAAUUAUCUUCAAUUCAAAUAAAAUUUCUCCAAUUAAAUUUCCAAAUAUGUGCCUUAAUACCUAUAAUGGAAUUAGUAAUUUUAAUUAAAAUAAAAAUAAAAAUAAGGAUUUGAUCUUUUUCUUACCAUUUGAUGAAAAUUAUAAAAUAUAUUAAAAUGACAAGUGAUCAGACAUUUGAAAUUUGCAUCAUUUCUACCAUUGCAAACACCACCAACCCCAUAUUUCCCAUUUUUCUACCUACUGCCAAUUCACUCAUCUCUCUGGGAAGAUUUUUGAGGUUAUCGUCAUGCUUGAGAUAAUCCAGAAAGUUGAGCGGCAUCACUCUCUGAAAGGUGCCUUACAGCAUGGGUAAUGUAUGGGAUACAUCUGAUAACUUGCCAUAUCCAUAAACCACUAUAUUAAACCAUGGUUCAUAUCCCCAACGUUACACGAGAAUCUGUACUCAUCCCAAGCAGCUUGGAGAUCAUAAAAUUAGGUUUUGAGGGCCUCCCGAGACAUGCACAGCUUCACCCUUUGUGCAUUCCUUUGAUUUGGAAAAUUUCUUCUUUAGAAUUCCCCAUUAUCAUGCCCUGAACCAAGACAUAUCAUGAUUGGAUGGGCCCCUUCACCAAUUUCACAAUAUCCAAUAGCAUAUCAUUUACUUCCCUUUUGUCAAUGGGAAUUACCAUUUUGCAUGGGAAGCACCAACGGAGAUGGAGGUUUUCAAAUUGGAUCACUAGCAAAGAAACCCACCGCAACUAUCUGAAUAAUUGAGCACAACAUCGGCUUUAGAGAACUCCUCCUGAAGGCGAAAUCGUCAUCUUGGCUAAACGUAGUCAUAGUUGGGUUGUGAGAAAUGGAGAUGAAUCAUAGAAGGCUUUCAGUUUCAUAGCAACGAAAAGGUAAAUGUACUCUAGAGAAGUUUUGACCUUGGGAGAAGCGCUUUUGAAUCCAAGUCAAGGUCUGUUCUGGAUCCCUUUUCGACUCUCUCUAUUAAAGGAAGAUAAUCUGCCUAGGAUUUGGAUGCAAGCUUGCAAGGCCAUGUUUAGGAGACUUAUGCAAAAUAUUUAUCCAUAGCUCCCCGCCUGAAACAUCUACAUAAAGCGUCUUCCAAGUGUGAACCAUUGUCUUGGGUCCUUGAGAUGAACAAAAACUGAGACAUAUCGUGAGUUAGAUGCAUUGCCUGAAAAUGCCGAGCAGUAGUAUGGCCUUCUUUCUGAUCAACUGUUUUGUCAAAUUCUAGAGCUCUCAUUCCAAAUCCAUCAGUUUUCUCAAAUGAUUGGCUAGUGGAGAUCCAUGGAUAUAACAUAUGAAAUGUGCACAAUAAAAGUAAUCAAACGGUUGGUUGGUUUGGCUGAAUCCCACAAUCGCAAAGACUAAUCAUAUGAAACUGUUACCAGCUGAGUUGAAUUUGGCCUAAAAAGGAUAUCCGUUACUACAAACUAGCGUUCUUUCAUGGUGCUCUCUCUUUGCAGGCUAUCCAUGUUCCAAAGAAAAACUCUCUUGUCAUGUCUGGCACUAGGCACUGAUUAGAGUGUGGGACGUUCAUUCUCCAUUAUCACCAAACACAUGCAGGAUAUAUAUAUAUCAAUUCAUUCAAAAUAUGCCUUUAUUUUAUGGAACAUAACCGAAUCCAUUUUGUUUGUGUUGAAGAGGUAUAGAUCUUCUAAGGCUGUGGAGGGCACCACCUUUUCUCAGAAUUCUCUCUGACGAUGGGAAGCCGAAGAGAACGGGUUUUGUUUUUAUUUUGAAAACGUUGUUAUCAUUAAAGAACAAACACUAUUCUUUGGAUUUAUACCCUCUUGCCUUAGGGACCAUACUGUUUGGCUAUUGGGCCUCACGAGUCUUAGGCCCAUCAUCUAAGGCCCAUGAUGGCACUGGGCUCUACACAUAAGGUGACCCAUACUCUGGAACGAAUAGAAAUCAUAUGUAUAUAUAUGGAUAGCUAAAUCCUGAACAAUGGUUAAUAUGAUGUCGGUCCACAUUUAUUCUAUCAAUCUCCCACUUGGACCACAUAUAUUACAAAACAAUGUUCAUGAUAGUACUUUAUUGAGCUCAUCUUUGCUAUCCUAUCUUAAUAUCCUUAAACAAUCCGGUCUACUAGUUAUGCUAACAUAGGAUCAAAGUGGCCUUCAUUAAUCAUAAUUAUAACUAGACCCAUCAAUGAUCACAACAUUAACAAAAUUAGCAACAUAGAUCAAGUAUGGAUGUGUAGCAUGGAAAUUACAUAAAAUGUGAUCUUUAUUAUGUCUAUUUCCAAUUGGUCCUACUUUAUGACUAAAAAAUAGUCAAAUUCCACUUUCAACACUUGAUGCUAAACUGCUUUUAAAAGUCAUCAUUUCAAUUCAGAGAAUUCAAAUACAAUAGUCUUUAAAAUCAAGGUUUGUACAGAUAACACAAUAUAACAUCAUAUCAAGAAAACAAACACAAAAUCUAAAUACAAACUCCCACUAUACUGGAACAUCAUCAAUAUGUACAACACCCAUAUGUGUGACAUGAUCAUGAUAUACUUUGGGUGGCAAACCCUUAGUGAGCGGAUCCGCAAUCAUGAAGUUUGUGCUUGUAUGUUCAAUCGAUACUUGAAGACUCUAAACUCUUUCUUUCACAACCAAGAACUUGAUGUUAAUGUGUUUGGACUUUGACGAACUUCGGUUGUUCUUAGAAUUACAAUUCUGUGGCUUUAUUAUCACAAUUUAUUCUUAAUGGUUUCUCAAUCUCAUCAACGAUUCGCAACUGAGUGACAAAAUUCCGUAGCCAUAUCCCAUGGUUUGAUGCUUUGUAGUAGGCUAUGAAUUCUGCCUCCAUGGUGAAAGAAGCAAUAAGUAUUUGUUUAACACUUUUCCAUGAAACUGUUCAUCCAACCAACAUGAAGAUGUAGCUUGAAGUGGAUCUCUUGCUGUCAAGACAUCCCACGAAAUCGGAGUCCGAAUAUCCCAUGAUCUCUAAAUGACUGGAUCUACGGUAUGUGAGCAUAUAAUCUUUAGUUCUUUGUAAAUACUGCAUAACCUAUUUUGCCUUUUUCCAGUGAUCCAUACCUGGGUUACUCAAAUAUUUGCCUAACAUUCCAAUAAUGUACGUAAUAUCUGGAUGCGUACAAACUUGUGCAUACAUGAGACUUCCUAUUGUUGAGGCAUAGGGAAACCUCUUCAUAUCCUUCUUUUUAAGUUCAUUUUUCGGACAUUGGUGCAAACUAAAUUUAUCGCCUUUUGCUACAGGCAUGUCUCCUGGUGUACAAUUGCUCAUGCCAAAUCUACUUAACACCUUAUCGAUGUAGGCCUUUUGUGAUAACCCAAGUAUACCUCUUGAACGAUCCUUAUAGAUCUGUAUACCCAGCAAAAAAGAUGCAUUACCUAGAUCCUUCAUGUCAAAUUUACUAGACAAAAAUCGCUUUGUUUCAUGCAAAAGUCCCACAUCACUACUUGCAAGUAGAAUAUCAUCAACAUAUAGCACCAAGAUAAUGAAUUUGCUCUCACUAAACUUGAGAUAUAUGCAUUGAUCAAUGGUGUUUUCCUUAAAACCAAAUGAAGUAAUCACCUGAUCAAACUUUUGGUACCAUUGUCAAGAUGCUUGCUUUAAACCAUAUAUGGACCUUUUUAAUCUGCAUACAAGUUGCUUUGAAUCAUUAGACUCAAAGUUCUCCGGUUGCAUCAUGAAUAUUGUUUCAUCAAUGUUACUAUUAAGAAACGUAGUUUUAACGUCCAUUUGAUGCAGCUCUAAAUCAUAAUGAGCCACAAGUGCCAUGAUGAUUCUAAAGGAGUCAUUUGACGAAACCGGUGAAAAGGUCUCCUUAUAAUCAAUGCCUUCCUUUUGAGUGAAACCUUUUGCGACUAGACGUGCCUUAUACCUAACAAUGUUGCCUUUUGAAUCCCACUUGGUCUUAAAAAUCCAUUUACAACCAAUCGGUUUUACACUUUCAGGCAACUUUACUAGGUCCCAAACACCAUUGUCUUUCAUUGAUUUCAUCUCAUCCUUUAUGACUUCUAUCCACUUUUCAGAGUCAGAACUUUGUUUGAAUUGACUAACUGAAAUUGGAUCGUCUUCCAAACCCAUGUCAAACUCUUGUUCCUGGAGAUGUACAACAUAAUCAUCUGAAAUUGUACUUCUCAUUUCUCUAGUGGAUCUCCUUAGUGGCACUUGUAUUUGAGGUUCUUGAGGCUGUUGAGUUACCUCUUCAUAAACUUGAAUCGGUUCCAUAACUUGAGCAGGAGGAAUCUCAGGUGUGUUUUGAAUCUCUGUUAUUGACUGCACAUUCUGGAUAGUGUCAUCAAACAUAAUAUGACCAUGUCCAGUUGUAAUAAUAGGAACACUAACAGAUUACUCUUCAAAUACCACAUUUCUUAACGGUUCUCUCCCAUUUAACUCAACAUCCUCAAUAAAUUUAGCUUUGCCCGUUUCAAAAAAGGAUCUAGUUGAGGGGUCAUAAAACUUGAAACCUCUCAACCUUUUAGAAUAUCCUACAAAGUAGCAGCUCACUGUUCUGGAGUCCAAUUUCUUUUCAUUUGGUUUUUAAGGCCUAGCUUUAGUUGGACAACCCCAGACAUGCAAGUGCCUAAUACUAGGUUUCUUGCUAGUUCAUAACUCAUAUGAGGUUUUGGCUACUGCUUUGCUUGAGACUCUAUUCAAAAUAUAAAUUGUUGUUUUGAUGGCUUCGCCCCAAAGUGAUUCUGGUAAGGUGGAAUGACUGAUCAUACUUCUUACCAUAUCCUUAAGAGUACGGUUUCGCCUAUCUGCUACACCAUUUUGGCUUGGAGUCCCCAGCAUAGUGUAUUGAGGAACGAUACCACACUCCAUCAAAUAUUUGGCGAACGACCCUAGACGUUGUUCAUUGGAUCCGUCAUAUCUGCCAUAAUAUUCACCUCCACGGUCAGAUCUGACGACCUUUAUUUUCUUGCUUAGUUGGUUCUCAACUUUAGCUUUGAAAUUCUUGAACACAUCUAAUGAUUGAGACUUCUCAUGAAUCAAAUAAAGAUAGCCAUAGCGCGAGUAAUCGUCAAUGAAAGUGAUAAAAUAUUGUUGUCCAUUCCAAGAAGGGGUAGGAAAUGGACCACAAAUGUCCGUAUGUAUCAAUUCAAAGACGUCACUGCACUUGUUAGCAUCAUUUUUUUCUCAUAUUUGUUUGUUUACCCUUAAUACACUCUAUACAGACUCGAAAGUCUAUGAAAUUAAGUGGAUCAAGAAUUCAUUCUGACACAAGCCUUUGAAUACGUUGAUUUGAAAUAUGACCCAAACGCCUGUGCCAUAACAUCGAUGAAUUCUCAUUUGUUAAUUUCCGUUUAAUGUCAUAAUUACUUGAAUUCAAGGUUUCAUUUCCAUUAGUGGUCUUUAUAUUUAAUUUGUAUAAUUUGUCUAUUAGACUACCUGUACCAAUAACAUUUGAAUUUAGAUAAAGACUAACCAUUCCAUUUCUAAAUGAACAAUAAUAUCCAAAUUUGUCUAGACAUAAAACAGAAAUUAAAUUCCGUCUAAACGACGAUACUACAAAAGUCUCUUCCAAAUCCAAAGUACAUCCAGAGUCUAACUGUAAUCUAAAAAGACCAAUAGUCUUGACUGCAACCUUGUUGCCAUUUCCCACAUAGAUGUAUUUUUCACCAUCAGUUGGCAUUCGACUCCUUAGGCAACCCUACAUCGUGACACUUAUGUGAGUAGUUGCACCCGUAUCUAUCCACCAAGUGUCAGUAGGCACUACGACUAAAUUAAUUUAUGAACAAACAAAGUUGAGAAGUGUACCUUUCUUUUCACGCCAAGCGGCGUAUUUGGUACAUGUCUUCUUCAUAUGACCAACCUUCUUGCAAAAGAAACAAGUCAUCUCCUUAUCUUGUUUCUUCUGCACCUUUUGCAUUGAUGUCCUAAAAAUUGCAUUUUGUUUUUCUUUAUUGUCCUUCUUUCUUUUCUUUUUGGUACCAAAUCCCUGAGAUGUGGAAGCCAAGUGAGAACUUUCUAUCUUUUCUUGUUUCAAUCUCUCAUCCUCUUGUGCACAUUGAGCAAUAAGCUCAUUCAAAGUCCAUUUUUCCUUUUGUGUUGUAACUAAUUUUGAAUGGACUGAAUUGUGUAGGCAGAGAGAUUAAGACCAAGUGCACAAGUAUGUCUUCCGAAAACUCUAACUUUAGUGCCUUUAGUCUAGUCACAAGAUUAGACAUUUCCAUAAUAUACUCCCUUAUAUUCUCUUUCCCUUUGUAUCGCAUAGAGACAAGCUUACUAAGAAUAGUGCUUGUCUCAACCUUUUCAUUUGAAGCGAAUCGGUUUGCUAUCUGGUCUAAGAAUGCCUUGGCUUGAGUUUUCUCAGGUAUUGGACUCCUUAUAGCUUUUGGAAUUGAGUACUUCGUUAUCAUUAGACUCAUGCGAUUGGAUCGCUCCCAUUUUUCCAUAGUAGACCUUUGCUCAGUAGUGCUGGCACUAGUAAGAUCUGGAGGGCGAUCCUCUCUUAAUGCAUAGUCUAAAUCCAUGCACCCGAGCACAAUUAUAACGUGCUCCUUCCAUUUCUUGAAGUUUGUGUCAUUAAGCGCAGGAAUGUUAUUAACAUUUGUAGAUAUAGAAUAUGUUAAAUUCAUAAUAAUAAAGCUCACAAUCAAUCACAUAAACAUCAUACAUACAUGAAAAAUAACAUCAUACAAGAUACUUAGCACAAAUAUUAAUAUUUUGUCUUUGGACAAUAAAUAUUAACUUGUAAUUGGUAUCCUUAUACAAAAUUAAUUCAUAAAUAUUGACAAUAAAACCAAAAACAAUAUGUUUGUCUUUAGACUAAUAUGUCGAAUGCAAGAUAAACUUUAUAUGUCACAUAUUUAUGACUACUUUAUUUAUUAUUAUAUUAAAAUAAUCUUCCUUUGGGCCGAUUAUUUUAAAUAAUAAUAAUAACAUGUUUAGAUAUUAUAAAAUAAAUAAAUUAUAUAAUAUAAGUUACUUUGGCAACUAACAUACAUAAUUCAUUUAUUUUAAAAUAUUAAACACAAACAUAACAAGAAAUAAUAAAUUCAAUUAAAAUUAUUUAUUUAUUUAUGCAUAAUAUAUAUAUAUAUAUAUAUAUAUAUAUAUAUAUAUAUUAAUUGAAGCAUAAAAAACCAUCUACAUGUGUAUAUAUAUCAAUUGAAGCAUAUAUACAAGCAUUAGUCUAAUGGUUUAAGCAAAAAAUAGGCCAUGGUAAAGGGUUUAAGCCAACCCGCCCCUUUAGUUUGGUUUUUGUUUUUUUUUUUUUUUUUUUUAAUUUCUUUUGGGCUACUGACCAUGCAUUCUCUCAUGGCCCAACGAAUAUAUAUAUAUAUUUGUUUUAAAAAAAUUUUGUCCAUUGCAGCCCAAAGCGACCAUCCCUUGUAAUGGCAUCAUCAACGGUGCCAGAGCUGUCCUCGAACGACACCGACAGUGAAACGCCGCCACCAUCACCGGAACGGUGAUUUCCCAUCGCCAAACGACGGUGUCACUACCAGAAUGACGUUGUAACGGCAUCGCUGGGAAGCAGCCUAACCUGUGGCGUGACACCAUGACAAGCAAUGCCGCUAGCAGUGAAACGUUGUCGCCAUCACCAGAAUGGUGAUUUUCCAUCGCCAAACGAUGGCGCCACCAUCGAAACAACGCUGAAACGACGUCACUGGGAAGCAACCCUACCCGCGGCACCAAAAUGGCACUUGGAUGACAUUUGGAACUCUUGCAACAACGCUCAAAUCAGCGAUUCUCACUGGCAAAUGACGCUUGAACGACGUCUGGAAAUAAUGCCUACAACGCCUAAAAAUUGUGCUCUUUUGAACGCCUGAAACAACGUUGAAAUGACGUCUACCGGCGUCUGGAAUUGCACCGCUGUCUAGAACGAUGCCAUGAUGGUGUCUCACUCACCUUAAAUGGCACCAACCACCGUGACUUGCAUCCCCAAAAAUGGCACUUGAACAGCGCCUGAAGCGUGCCUGGAACGACGCUGCAAACGAUGCUUGAAAUGGUGCAUUUUGUAUGCUUGAAAAUGGCACAGGAAUGACGCCUACACUACGUCCAUUUUGAAUGCCUGAACGGUGUCCUAACGGCGCCUGAAUGACGCCUGGAAUUGGCCCAGAUUUAUUUUAUGUUGUUUCCUUCCUCUUGGAUCUUUUGUUUGUGUUUUAAAAAAAAAGUGUUUUGGUGAAAAUGGGAAAUGCAACCAGGCUCUGAUACCAUUUUGUGGGACGUUCAUUCUCCAUUAUCAUCGAACACAUGCAGGAUAUAUUUAUAUAUAUAUAUAUAUAUCAAUUCAUUCAAAAUAUGCCUUCAUUUUAUGGAACAUACCCGAAUCCAUUUUGUUUGUGUUGAAGAGGUAUAAAUCUUCUAAGGCUAUGGGGGGUACCACAUUUUCUUAGAAUUCUCUAUGACGAUGGGAAGCCAGAGAGAACAAGUUCUAUUUUUAUUUUGAAAACGUUGUUAUCCUUAAAUAACAAACACUAUUAUUUGGAUUUAUACUCUCCUACCUUAGGGACCAUACCCUUUGGCUAUUGGGCCUUACGAGUCUUAGGCCCAUCAUCUAAGGCUCGUGAUGGCACUAGGCUCUACACAUAAGGUGGCCCAUACUCUGGAACGAAUAGAAAUCAUAUGUGUAUAUAUGGAUAGCUAAAUCUUGAACAAUGGUUAAUAUGAUGUCAGUUCACAUUUAUUAUAUCAUAGAGACUUCCCAUAUGAAGAAAAUUGACAGUAGGUAGCUUUGCCAUUCUUGUCCGUAUACAACCAACCUUAGCAAGGGUUGAACCCUUUUAUGCUUAGUUGUGCCAUACAAAUCCUUACCACCGCCUACAACAUGUAAUCGAAAUGAUUCGAUAAUAUCAUCUAGUGAACCAAUACCUCCAAAUGAGAGACCAUUGCCUUGGUAACUAGGGCUCAUGACUGAGAAUUGCGUGAACCCCUUUGCUUGGGUUGGAGCUUAACUGAUGCACAAAAUAUUCAUAGGCCUCUUCCCAUAACUGGCACCUUGUGUUUGCAACAUAAUUGAACAUGUAUUGAAGUGAGUUUUUUUGCAUCUUUUUGUAAGAAAAUUCUAAACAACAGAGACUGCUUAGUGUGCCCGGCUCCUCGGGAAAUCAAGGUUCAUUCCUGUAGGGCCAGUUUUUUCACAGUCGAACUAGAUAACAUGGAGAGUAUGUUGCAAUGCUUCAACAGGGUAUUUCUUAGGAAAAUCCACCUGAAGUUGGUACAAUUCGUUGGCGUACUGAGUUCCUGGAGCUCUAUUGACUUCAAUCACCCAUCUCUGUAGAUUAUCGAUGACUUAUGCUCGGAUCCUGUAGGAGGAUUGACCUGACAUUCCACUAGCUCUUUCUGGAAGACGAUCUUGUUUAACACCUUGUGAGAAGAGGCAAGGGAACUGGUCAUUGUUUCUUCGAGAAGAUCAGUGGCCGAGGAUGGGUUUGGACCAUAAUUGCUAUAUGGGUUUUCUUUGGGUGAACCAAUUAGUGGAGUGGGUGGCUAUAUAGCAACUGAAGGGUGGUCAUACUAAUGAGGAGCUAUUAUUUCAUGCAUGUGGAGAGGAAAUGAGUAGCUUCUUCAAGGAUAUAUGAUUAUUCAUCUCUAGCUUACGUUGAAUAUCUCCUAACAAAUUUCUGCUUUGAAGCUCCCUUAGUUUCACUACAGCUAACUUGGCCAACUUGGUUUCAUCAUGUUUCCUACAACCUCUAAGCAAAGCACGCCAGAUCACUGAAUCAGGUUCUAUUUGCAUUUUGUCCAUAAACUCCUUUGCCUAUUGACAAUAAACUGCCCCUCAAAAUUUGAUGAGAUAACAUCAAUGCUGACAUGUUGGUCAUCCCCAUAAGCAUCUUUAUAGAGAUUGAUUCUAUGUUUAGAUAUUUCUCUCUCCUCAAGUGAGUUCAACUUUUUUGUAACAUCCUUCUCCUUCUCUACUAAUAGUCUUAGUUGAACAUCCAACCUAUGUUCCCAAAGUGCCAGCAUCUCAUAUCUGAUGACAAGCCAACAACCUUGCCCUUGCUGAGACCCAAAUAAGUAUCCAGAACCAUCAGCAUCAACCCUUUCAUAGGCCUUUGUAUUUGAAGGUCGGAUUGGGAUUGCUUUGAAUGCACUGGCACUACAAUACACAAUUGUAUCUUCUCCAAUAAAAACACCACACAGAGGUGAGGGGACUGGUAUUAGCAAAGAAGUGUUGUUAUCUAUAUUGUUCUGAGCCCGAGUACCCUCAACAAAAUCCUCAUCCUCAUCUGUACUCUUCCAUUACAUCCCUAGGCUUUUCAAUGUGAUCCACAUGGCUUACAGGAAUCCAGAAAUACCAGUCUGUAUAAAUGUUGCUCUUAUGGGGCUCUCCUAGAAAACAUCCCUAUCAAGAUGAUCAACCUAGCUUAGAUGCUCAGCACCCCAAACUUACUAGAAAUAGAGGAAUUAAAAGCAAGGAUAGGAGCCAAAGUAAAAAUUUAGGGAAGAGCAAAUAGGAAAUCAAGCAAAACAUGAAUGUACAGAGCCUCAUUUCAGGUGACAUCUUUGGGCUAAUAAUAGGUGGAAUUAACAAAGUAGACAAGCAUGAUUGUUAUAAAUAUCAAGUUCAAGGAUGAAGCCGUGCAUCAGCUACUUAUAGGGGGAGUCAAGGAAACCAAGAUAAGAUCAAAGAGAGCAUGUAUGCAAAUAAACAGAUUCGAAAAAAUAGACCAAACAACUCGUGAAUAUCCUCCUACAAAAAACUACUACACGUGGCAAAAAGUGAUGAAACAAAAAGAGUCGGGUCCGCAUAUACAUAUCCUAUUCUAUCCUAUUCCUUCAAAUCCAAAGCAACCUGUAUUUUCAAUGGGAUUUGUUGUGAUGAAUUUUACUGGAUUGUAACAUGUAAAUAUGUUAAAAGAGGCUUGGGACAUUCCUAUAUAGUAACGCAUAAAGGUACUUCCAUUGUGAAGUUGUCAAAAUUGCAAAUUUAAAUUACAAAAUUUGAAAACAUAGAGAUGAAAGAUGAUGAAACCUUCUUUGAAAUUUUAUAUUGAACUCAUUAAUAUUAUUAAUUUUCAUUUCAGUGUAGGGGAAAGAAUUCUUUACUCUAAAGUGGUCACAAAAAUAUUAAAAUUCCUUGUUGAGAGAUUUAGACCUAAAGUGAUCAAUAUAGAAGAAAGUAAAAAUAUUCUAAGUGUAGGUAAACUUGUAGACUCAAAUGACUCUACCUUCUCAUAAAAAAUCCUCAAUUUUAUAAAUUAUAUAGAUUUCUUCAUUUGAUACAAAAUUUGAAUAAAGAUUUUUCAAAUGACAACACAAGGAAAGGGAAAAAAAAAAUUCUCUCCAGUUCAUUUCAUUUAAUCACUUAAAUUAUUUAAAAAUAAAAAUGUUUACUGCUAACAUUAUUUAGAUUCAUCUUUCUUUUGAUGGAGGUUAAAAUUCAUAAUUUUGAGGAAAAAGAUGAGGAUUCUCAUUUUUUUUUCCAUGUAUGAAUGGGAUUCUCAUUGUGUAUAUGUGGGUUACUAAAUGGCAAAUUUAGGGGCCAAUAUGAGGAAAAAUAUGAAGUUGAGUUUGUCACCAAGAACAAACAUGACUCCUAUAAAGGUGGCAUCCUUAAUUUCAUGUCUGGAUUAGACUUCUCAUGUAACAACUUAACAGGUGAAAUCUCUCAUGAACUUGGAAUGUUAAGUUUGAUUCAUGCAUUGAACUUGUCUCGCAAUCAACUAAAGGGCUCCAUUUCAAACAGUUUUUGCAAUCUUUCUCAAACAGAGAGCUUAGAUCUUCUUAAUAAUAAACUAAGUGGAGAAAUUCCUCCAAAAUUGGUUAGACUAACUUUUUUAGUGGUGUUCAAUGUGACUCAUAGUAGCAUCUUUGGAAGAGUUUCAGAUAUGAAUGCAUAAUUUGCAAUAUUUGAUGAAAGUAACUAUGAAGAUAAUCCUUUCCUUUGUGGACCACCAUUAAAGAGAAAAUGUAGCAUAAAUGUUAAGCCACCUUACCCACCAUUAGAGUCUUCGGAAAAAAGUGAUGCAAAAUGGUAUAAUAUCGAUCUUGUGGUUUUCUUUGCAAGUUUUACUAUAUCAUAUAUCAUGAUAUCAUUAGGAAUUUCAACCAUUCUUUACAUUAACCCUUAUUGGUGUCAAAGAUGGUUCAAUUUUAUCGAGAAAUAUAUAUACUUUUGCUAUUAUUUUGUUUCCUAUACUCUUUCCAAGUUAUUAACAUAUUUUGAAUAAUUAGAGAUUUUUGUUUUCAAUAAUAUUUACAUAAUUAACUACUAUUGGCUUCCAUGACAUGGAAAGAAAUGCGGUGAAGGCAACAACCACUUUUUUUUCUCCUCUACUAGUGCAUGAUUGAUAUGAGUUAAAACUUGCACCCUUAUCUUUGCUUAAAUUUUCUCAGCUUUUGUUUCAAUUCUUAAUUAUCAUUUCUUUUAUGUGUUGUUUAAUACAAUAUCCUAAACACAUUGCUUUGAAGGUUACUUAUUUAUUAAGCAUGAUAUUUAUUUUUCAUAAAGACAAAUUCAAGUUUUUUAGGAAUUUUUAGAAUUAUUAUAAUUUGGAGUUCACAUUAGAGGAAAAAAGGAAAGAAAAGAAUAGAUGAUUAAAAAAACAAUUUUAGUAAGUAUAAUUUGUCAUCUUCGGUAUAACAAAUGGGAAUUCCAAAAUAAUAUUUCAAUUUGUUAGUCUAUUCCUUAUAGUAUUAAUUGAUAUAUCAAAUAGGAAGUCACGUUUUGAUUUUUUAUUAGCUUCAAUUGCAUGUCACAUAUAUUUUAAAAUCAAGCAUACCUCAGCCGGGAAGUUCUUGUAACAUGCAUGAACAUGAUAUGAUGAAUUGAAUAAUUUUCUUAAUUGUGUGAGACACAAACCCUCUUUGUUUAAUAAUAAUAAUAAUAUACUACACAUUAUUAAAUCAUAUAUGUAUAUUUAUAGUCGUAUAAUAUAUUCAAAAUAUUAAACACAUUACCCUCUUAAAUUUUUAUGAAUGGUGUUUACUUUACAUAACGACAGAUUCAAAUUUUUUUAGAAUUUUUUAAUGUUAAAAUAAUUUGGAGCUUAAUAGGGAAAAAAAAGAAUAAAUAAUUAGAAAAGCAAUUCAAAAAAAAUAAAAUUUAUCCUCUUAAAUUGGUUUUGUGUAAUACUAUAGAAGCCAUUUCUUGAGUUUGAUAUGGUAGAAUUCGGAUUCAUAUUUAUUUUAAAAUAAAGAAUUUCAAGGGUUGGUAGCAUCAAUAGAAUCUUAACAAAUUUGCAAAAAAGUAUUUGGGUAGAUCACAUUUAAAUAUAGCUAACAGAAUAAAAAAUUAAUAUUAUUAGGAAGACAUGAUCAAUUAAAUCUUUUUUCUUAUCUAUGACACCGAUUUUAUAUUUUUACAUAGUCAAUAUAAUUUAUUACAACUUAUAUGUCAUUAAAUUAUACAUGCUUAUAUUAAAUAUAAUAUAAGAUCAUUAAUGGAAUAAUUAUGCAAGUAAUAUAAAUUGUAUAUAAUAUAAAAAAUUUAAACUCCGUCAAACUAAUGGAAUCUAUUAUAAUAAGUAGACUAGACACCAUAUUGGCCCGAGUUGGAGGCCUGGGCCAGAUUUUAAAGGCUGGGCUUUGAGUUGCCCGUGGGCCUGAGCCAAGGCCUUCUCUUGGUAUCAUCAUUUUGAAGAAAUAAAUUGCUGAUACAGAGAAAAAAACUAUACUAAAUAGAAAAAUAAAUAAAAGCAUUGACUAAAAUGAAGGUCAAGGUCCUUGAAAAAUAAUCUUUAAAUUGUUGCAUAUAUAAUUUCAAUAAUGCAUAAAUAAUUGCAAUAUAUAUGAUAUGAUAAAGAAUUUGGAAUUAAAAGAAGAUUGAUCUAUUUUAAAUGUGGUUGGAAUAUUUUUAAAUUUGUGAUGGGAAGUUAGACAGCCAAUUAGGGAUCCAUAUUAUUUAUUUUCAAUUAUAUGAAUUUAUUUACUUUUAUUAAUAUUCUGAAUGCAACAAUAUAAAAUAUGUCAAUUUUCUAAAAUUAAAAAAGUAAUUGCAAAAGAAAAUUUUUAAUUAUUUUUCUGAAAUUGAGUUUAUCAUAACAUUUUUCUUUACAUAAAUUUCUUUUUUAUGUUUAUUUUUUUAAAAAUGAGAUAUGAAAAAAAAAGAUCAAUAUUAGUAAAAGUAAAACCCAAUAUAUAUAAAAAAAAUGAAUAAAUGUUUAUGAAAUAAGAUUUAAAAGUGAGAAGGUAAUAAAUUUUUUCUCUUUUAAUUCCUAUUCAAUACAUUACAAAAAAUAUUUUUGGUUUUUAUGCUAAAAUUUAUUGUUUAUUAAAAAAUUCUAGUAUAUCUAGCUAUCAUAGAAGAGCUCCAAAAUUUUAUUGUUUAAGAGAAUGUGUUGCCACUUUAAAAGAUUUAUAUGCAUACCUUUGGAUAUGUUUAGUUCCCGGUAAAUUUGAAGGAAAAUGUGAAGGAAGAAAAAUAGAGAAGAAAAGUAUAACAAAAUAAAAAGUGAAGGAAAAUGAAAAAUAGAUUUAAAAUUAAUAAAUUAUUUUCAUUGGUUUUUUCAAAUUUAUUUUACUUAUUUUAUUCUAUUAAAUAAAGAUUAACUAAUUUUAAUUAUAUUUGGUUUGAUUUUUAUUAUUUUUCAAAGCAAAACCAAAUAUGAAAAAAAAAACAUUUUUUUUGGUUAUUUUUUUCUUUCCUUAUUACUCUUCGGGACUCAAACAUAGCUUUUAGAUUUGGGGCAUGGAAAAAUAAGAGUAUUGAAUAAGGGUUCUAUAUAUGCCCAUGCCCAUGCCCAUGAUACCAUUGAAAAAAAUGGAGAGAGGGUGAAACCUUUACUAGAUGAUAAAUUAUUCUCUUCAAUGGAAAUCAAAUAUAAUUAUUUUUAUCUUGUAUUAAUUGAAUGUUAUACUCCAUAAACUCAAAAUUAAAAUAAAUAAAAAAUUUAAAAACUAGGACAAUCCCAUUUUUUUUCAAUUUCUUAAAAAGAAAUUAAAUUAUAUUUAUUUAUAUCUAUUUUCAUCCCUACCCAACAAAAUAAAAAAAAUUAACAUUGUGGAACAUGUAUGAGAAAUUCUCACAAUUUUUUUUAAGAAAAAUAAAUUUCUUAUUUUAUAUAUGUUAAAAAUAAAUAUAAUCUUUUAUUUUUUAUAUAUAUAAUCGGGUAAGGUAGAGUGGGACAAAGAAAUAAUCCCCUUCGAUUCCAAUCCGAAAUUUUAAAAUAUAAAAUAAAAAUCUUAAACUCAUCCCUAAUCCAUUUAUUUUUAAUCCUAAACUUGUCUUAUAAGGAAUAAGGCAAAGUAAGUACAUGAAAACACUUUUUUUUAUCAUCAUCUCUACAAGUUCUAAUGUUUAGAUUGCAAUCCAUAUCAAAGAUUUAUAAAGAAAGAACAACGAUGAAUUUCAUAAACAUUUGAAAGCAUAUACAAAGUUUUAAAUAAUAUUGCUUGAGGUGCAAAUAUUAUUUGGCGCACACGUUGAGGGACUUCAACUGGUGUUGUCUAGGUUUUUUACACUAGUAAGUAAUCUUGAAUAUCUAGAGUAACUUGAUCAAAAUCUCUUUAAUUUUAUUUUCUUUGAUGAAUUAGAAUGCUUAUAUAACAUGAUUAAAAAUUUUAAGAAAAAAAAACUAAGAAGAAAGAAAGAAGUACCGAUCUUCCAAAUAUUGCUUCCACUUUAAUAUUUAGAAGGCUCUAAGAAAAGAAUUUUAUUCAUGAAUCACAACCCAAGUCGAAAAUAAAUUGAACCCAUUUUCUAAGUUAAAUUUUGAAUUUUUUACUAGUGAAUGCAAAUUGGGAAAAUGUAUAUAAAUAUAAUUAAACUAGAAUAGUAGGUUAGGUUUGUGUGGUCCCACGAUGACUUGGAAGUUUCAACAAUUCAAGCAGACUCCACCUAUAAACCUAAUAUACUAUUUUAGUUUAAUUAUAUUUAUAUAUGUUUUCCCAAUUUGCAUUCACUAGUAAAAAAUUCAAAGUUGAACUUGAAAAAUGGGUUCAAUUUAUUUUCGAUUUGGGUUGUGAUUCAUGAAUGAAACAAUGAUCAAUGACUUGACUUUUAAGGCCAACUUAGUUAAGUCAUUCCUAACCCCUAUAUUAAUUUGGCCUUAAAAGUCCAGUAAUUGAUAGCUAAAUCCCAACCCAAGUCAAAAAUAAAUUGAACCCAUUUUCUAAGUUCAACUUUGAAAUUUUUUUUAAUUGGAAAAAUGUAUAUAAAUACAAUUAAACUAGAAUAGUAGAUUAGGUUUGUAGGUGGAGUCUGCUUGAAUUUGUGAAACUUCCAAGUCGUCGUGGGUCUAGUGGUCCCAUAGCUCUCUAUUAAUUUCCACCAUCAAUUUUCUGCAAUAAAGUCAAGUCAUUCCUAACCCCUAUAUUAAUUUGGCCUUCAAAGUCCAGUCAUUGAUAGCUACGUUCAUGAAUCCCAACCCAAGUCAAAAAUAAAUUGAAUCCAUUUUCUAAGUUCAACUUUGAAUUUUUUUUAAUUGGAAAAAUGUAUAUAAAUACAAUUAAACUAGAAUAGUAGAUUAGGUUUGUAGGUGGAGUCUGGUUGAAUUUGUGAAACUUCCAAGUCGUCGUGGGUCUGGUGGUCUUAUAGCUCUCUAUUAAUUUCCACCAUCAAUUUUCUGCAAUAAAGUCAAGUCAUUCCUAACCCCUAUAUUAAUUUGGCCUUAAAAGUCCAGUCAUUGAUAGCUACGUUCAUGAAUCCCAACCUAAGUCAAAAAUAAAUUGAACCCAUUUUCCAAGUUCAACUUUGAAUUUUUUUUAAUUGGAAAAAUGUAUAUAAAUACAAUUAAACUAGAAUAGUAGAUUAGGUUUAUAGGUGGAGUCUGCUUGAAUUUGUGAAACUUCCAAGUCGUCGUGGGUCUAGUGGUCCCAUAGCUCUCUAUUAAUUUUCACCAUCAAUUUUCUGCAAUAAAGUCAAGCCAUUCCUAAACCAUAUAUUAAUUUGGCCUUAAAAGUCAAGUCAUUGAUAGUUACGUUCAUGAAUCACAACCCAAGUCUAAAAUAAAUUGAACCCAUUUUCCAAGUUCAACUUUGAUUUUUUUUACUAGUGAAUGCAAAUUGGGAAAACGUAUAUAAAUAUAAUUAUACUAGAAUAGUAUAUUAGGUUUGUAGGUGGAGUAAGCUUGAAUUGUUGAAACUUCCAAGUCAUCAUGGGUCUAAGGGUCCCAUAGCUCUCUAUUAAUUUCCAUCAUCAAUUUUUAUGAAUUCAGAUUUAAAAGUGAGAAGGGAAUAAAUUUUUUCUUUUUCAAUUCAUUACAAAAAAUAUUUUUGGUUUUUAUGCUAAAAUUUAUUGUUUAUUCAAAAAAUUAAAGUAUAAAAAUAUAAAAUAUAUAUCUUGCUAUUAUAGAAGAGCUCCAAAAUUUUCGUGUUUAAGAGAAUAUGUGUUGCCACUUUAGAAGAUUUAUAUACAAAAAGGAUUGAUGUUUCUCCUUUGACUAUGUUUGGUUCCCAAAAAUUUGAGGGAAAGAAAAUAAAAAAAAGGUAGUAAAAAAGAAAAAAUGAAGGAAAAUAAAAAAUAGUUUUAAAGUUAAUAAAUUAUUUUUAUAUGCUAUUUCAAACUUAUUUUACUUAUUUUUUUUCAUUAUAUAAAGAUUAAAUAAUUUUAAAAUGCAUAACUAAUUUUAAUUAUAUUUAAUUUUUCUUUUAUAUUUUUUAGACGGGAUCCAACACAUGUAAAAAUCCUUUUUUUUAGCAUCUUUUUUUCUUUUCUUAUUACUUUCCAAUAACCAAAUAUAACCUUUAGAUUUAGCCUUUAGACUUGGAGUAUGGAAGGAUACUGAGUAUUGAAAGAAGGUUUUGUAUAUGGCCAUGAUACCAUAGAAAAAAUGGGCGACAGAGAAAAAACCUUUAUUAAAUGAUAAAUUAUUUUUUUCAAUGGAAAUCAAAUAUAAUUAUUUUUAAAAAUAAAAAUAAAAAAUAAUAAUUUGUUGUUGCAUUAAGUAUUCUUGCAUUUGGAGAAGCAUGUACUACUUACUACAUAAAUGGAUAUUCAUGGAGUGCAUUCUCUAGAAAGCUCCAGUCUCAUGAAAAUGGAAAGAUGGACCGGCCGGUGAACCGGUUCGAGUUUGGAUUUAUGGGCUGCCUCAGCCUAACACGCAUGAUAGGUUGUUGUAGGUGAAGAACUAACUAAUUAAUUUAAAGCCUUCUUCUAUCCUCUCCUAUUCCUCUAUCACUCCAAAUGUUCCACAUGAUAAUGACAAUUCUUUUGUUAAAUGGUAAAAAAAAAAUUUAACAAUUAAUUUAAAAAAUUUUUAAAAUCUAAAUCCAAUGGAAAUUUGACUGUAAGGUGCGUAGAAGGCCCUAGUGCCCAUGUUGCUAAUUUGAUGAUAGUUAAAUUACCAUUUCGAGAGAUUCCACUCACUAGUAUUCUCAUUUAUAAAAUCAUGAACUUUGGCAUCCUAAUUAAUGUAAUUUAACUUUUUUUUGUUUACAAAUGAAAUAAGAGGCAACAUAUAAACCCAAAAGUUAAUUUUCCUACCAUCUCUAUGCACCAUUUUAGCUUUACUCCAAUAUAUUUUCUAUGAUUAAUUAUUUUCAUUCAAACAAUAAUAUCAAAAUAUUUUAAAAUUAGACAUAUCCACUAAUAUAUCUUCGAUAUAUUAUAUAUAUCUGUAAAAUCGAAACACCAAUAUAUCCGUGAUUAUCGAUAUUUUUAUCGUUGAGGGAUAACAACUAAUCUAGUUUUUGUACCUAUUGAUAUUCCUCAACAUUUAGAUUGAUUUGACCAUUUUUUUUUUAAUUUUAUUUUCUUUGAUGGUUAUAUGAUGAAUUAGAAUAGUCAUAUAACAUUAACAGAUUUAAGCAAAAAUGAUAAAAAAGCUCGCAUUUUUCAAAUAUUGGUUUCAACUUUGAAUAUUUUUAUUGGUAAAUGAAAAUUGUGAAAAACCUACUAAUGCUAAUACUUUUCACCACAUAAUUAAAUAUAAUAAACUAGAAUAGUGAUUCAUUGAUGUCUUAUAAAGCUACAUGCCUUCUUUGACUUGUUAGUUGAUUUUUGUAGGUGGAGUCUGUAGGGACCCCUCCCCCUGAUGACACGUGGCACGCAUUUCUAUCCGGAUUAGCUCCAUCCGGAUUUCCUCCAAGGAGACACGUGGCGCGCUUCCCCUAUCCGGACUCCCUCAGGGAGAAGCACACGACACUCGCAAACAUCACAUCCGGACGACCGCCAUAUCGCAUCCGGACGAUCGACAUAUCCUAUCCGGAUAUGUUUGUCCGGAUCGUUGACUAAAGUAAGCAAGUCUUACUACGUCAUUCCGACAGCCUGCCAUGGCCCACGUUCCACCACCUGCAAAGUGAAAAGACAGGAAUGAUGGCAAGUCACUUCCUACGAUCUCUGACAGCUGUGGCGCCUCUCACGAUCUCUGUCAGCCGCCCGUAGGGUGAUGAUGGCCCUGUCACCACCUAGAGUCAUCAUGACAAGCCAAAAUAUCUCUCUAUCAUUAAAGAGGGAGACAGAGCUUCUGGUACUAUAUAUAUGGACCUUCACACAAAGAGGAAGGUAAGCUUGCUAUACCUAGUAAAAGGCCAACUGAUUUAUCUCUUUAACCAUGGCUGACAAAACCAUCGGAGGGUGUGUCCGGACACCCUGUCCGGACGCCUUUUGCAGGAACGAUUGAACCAGGAAUCUAUAUUGGUUGAGAUCGUGCGUCCAUCCAUUUGGCAACUACGUGGAUCACCAGGGACGCGAGGCCUCAACAUUGGCGCCGUCUGUGGGAAAAUCACUGAUUCAGUCACCGACAAAGAUAGCCACACCUUCCCAAAGCCGCUCGUCCGCUAGGGAAAAGGAAGAUAAUUCUGAAUGGCGCCGAGCCAUUGAAAGAAGACAGUUGGCAAGCUCGUGACAACUGCAAGCUCUCCUCCAGGAGACAGAAUGACUAAGAGAAGAAAACGCGGUACUACGCAUCCAAGCUUCAUCGACGGGGCCUCCCCGUCGUCAGCAUUCAAAAGGCCAGGUAGCAAACUCAAGGCCUGACCCAGAGUCAAUAUACCCUGGGGCAGCAGGAGCAAUACUUGAAACAUGCAACGUUAGGCCACAUGAGCCACACACGCCCAUGCACCGAGCUCCCCAUGAGGAAAGCUCAGACUCUACUCAUUUUUCAGCAAAAAGACAACGCGACAAAAAAUCCCAAUUGUCAAACUCAAUGCGUGCGAGACUAGGCCCACAGGAGCCUGGGAGGCCAAAGCCGCCAGUAGCCAUAACCUGGGCAGUGCACCUUGACCCUAUGGUCACCCCCAUGGUGCAGAGCGUUCUCCCGCACCGUGACCCUAUGGUCACCCCUAUGGUGCAGAACGUUCACCCGCACCUAGCGGUACGACAAGCUGGGAGAAACCUCCCAAAUGAGCCACCCAUUGGCUCCAUUAGCAAAAGGCUGGACGACAUGCUCUCCACGCCUUUUUGCUCUCAUAUCAUUCAUUACGAGCCCCCAAGGGGAUUCCUCGUGCCCAAAUUCUCCACAUACGAUGGGUCCAGCGACCCCUUCGACCAUAUCAUGCAUUAUCGACAGCUCAUGACUCUCGAUAUAGGCAAUGACGCGCAGCUAUGCAAAGUAUUCCCCGCCAACCUACAAGGGCAGGCCCUCUCAUGGUUUCACCGCCUACCUCCCAACUAUGUUGAUAAUUUCAGAGACCUAUCAGAGGCCUUCGUGGGACAAUACUUAUGCUCUGCUCGACAUAAGCAGAACAUCAGCACUCUGCAAAACAUAAAAAUGCAGGAUAACGAAUCCUUAAGGGAGUUCGUGAAGUGGUUUGGUCAUGCCGUACUACAGGUAAAGGCUUACAGCAUGGAUGCUGUCCUGCAGAUCUUCAAGCGAAGUAUUUGUCCAGGCACCCCAUUUUUUGAAUCACUCGCUAAAAAGCCUCCUACGACGAUGGACGACUUGUUCCAGCGUGCGAGCAAAUACUCAAUGCUCGAAGAUGACGUGCGAGCAGCCACCCAGCAAGUCUUGGUUGCCGGACAGGCAUCUAGAAGUGGCACGGAAAGAAGUGCCAAACUUCCGGACAGGCCAAGACAGUCCCAUCAAAGGCAGGAAGGGCCAAGUCGCCCGGAAAGGCCGCCCCUCACACCCCUUUCCAUAUCCUAUGAGAAGCUUCUCCCUAUGAUCUAAGACAUGUCCGACUUCAGGUGGCCUAGACCCAUCGGAACGGACCCAUCCAAAAGGGAUCAUAGUAAAAAAUGUGCCUUCCAUAAAGAGCAUGGUCACACAACGGAGACAUGCAGGUGCCUUCAUUAUUUGGUCGAAAGGCUCAUAAGGGCGGGACAUUUAAAGCAAUACCUCCACUCAGAUACCGGAGGUAGAGAUGCUUCCCGAAAUCACAACUCUGGAGCCCCUAGGGCCCUAGCCGUCCCCAAAGCCGUUAUAAACUAUAUUAACAGAGGCCCAUCUGACGAGGAGUACGACUCCAAACGAAAGAAACAAAAGUUGUUGCGGGCAGCAUCGGUGCGCGAACGUGUCAACUCCAUCCGGCCUGGGAUAACUGGGGGGGCCCUCGCCCCAUAGAUGGGAUAAUCAUUUUCCCACCAGUAGACCCCACCCGGAUAUUGAAGCCGCACCGCGACGCCCUCAUCCUGUCCUUAAAGAUAGGAGACUUCGACGUGAGACGCAUCCUGGUUGACCCAGGUAGCUCGGCCGAUCUUGUGCAAGCAUCGGUCAUUAGCCACAUGGGGCACAAUCUCACAGGCCUCGAAAACCCUGGGCGAAUCUUGUCCGGAUUCAACGGGGCGUCAACUACUUCAUUGGGAGACAUUGUACUGUCGGUCCAAGCUGGCCCAGUCACUCUCAACGUACAAUUUUCGGUGGUACAAGAUUUAUCACCCUUCAAUGUCAUCUUGGGGCGCACAUGGCUGCACUACAUGAAAGUCAUCCCCUCUACAUAUCAUCAAAUGGUAAGCUUCCUUACCAAGGAUGGGCAAAUUGACCUAUACGGCAGCCAGUUAGCCGCUCGCCAAUGCUACCAGAUAGCACGAGAAGCAGGGACCAACCAGGAGGAUGCAUCCCUCCCUGAGUCCAGCCAUGCACGUGACCAAUAGCAAUUAUUGAGUCCGGGGGACAAAGAUCCCCCGGCAGCGGAUCCCUUGCAAGCAAUCCAAAUUUCGGAAGAAGGUACUCACCUUACGAAUAUCAGUUAGAAGAGACCCGGAACAUGCAGAACGCCCUCAGACAAAACCAUGACGUCUUCGCAUGGACACAUUCUGAUAUGAAGGGAAUUCAUCCCUCCAUUACCUCUCAUAGGCUUAACGUCUUGCCAACAGCCAGACCCAUCCGGCAGAGGGUUAGACGUUUUCACCCGGACAGACAAAAAAUUAUCCGGAAUGAGAUUGACAAGUUGCUAGAAGUCGGAUUCAUCAGAGAAGUGCAUUACCCGGACUGGUUGGCAAAUGUAGUGGUGGUACCCAAAAAAGAAGGCAAAUGGCGGGUGUGAGUCGACUAUACCAACCUCAAUAAUGCAUGCCCAAAAGACAGUUUCCCUUUGCCACGGAUGGAUCAAAUUGUGGACUCCACUGCUGGGUAAGGGAUGCUCUCCUUCUUGGACGCCUUCUCUGGAUACCACCAAAUCCCCAUGUCCCCGGCUGAUGAAGAAAAGACAGCCUUCAUAACACCACAUGGUCUCUAUUGCUACAAAGUCAUGCCAUUCAGACUCAAAAACGCUGGUGCCACUUACUAGAGACUGAUGACGAAGAUCUUCAAACCUCUGGUCGGCCGCACAAUAGAGGUAUAUAUUGACGAUAUCGUGGUUAAAAGUAAAACCCGAGAGGAACAUGUCCUCCACUUGCAAGAAGUCUUCCACCUCUUGAGGAAGUAUGGCAUGAAGUUGAAUCCCUCUAAAUGUGCCUUUGGCAUAAGUGGUGACAAAUUCUUGGGAUUUAUGGUUAGCCAAAUGGGGAUAGAGGUCAGCCCGGACCAAGUCAAGGCAGUCAUGGAAACACCACCCCCUAGGAGCAAAAAGGAAUUACAACGCCUCACAGGCAAGCUCGUCGCGCUAGGGCGUUUUAUAGCCCGCUUCACUAAUGAACUGCGACCCUUCUUCUUGGCAAUACGAAAAGAAGGAGCAAACGGAUGGACGAACAACUGUCAAAGCGCUUUUGAAAAAAUUAAACAUUGCCUCAUGCAAUCGCCCAUCCUGAGCAGUCCCCUCCUUGAAGAAAAACUGUAUAUGUAUCUGGCUGUAUCGGAGUGGGCAAUUAGUGAUGUUCUAUUCCGCUGCCCCUUACCCAAGGAGCAGAAACCUAUCUACUACGUCAGCAGAGCAUUGGCAGACGUAGAAACCAGGUAUUCAAAGAUGGAGCUAAUGGCCUUAGCUCUUCGAAGUGCUGCCCAGAAGCUCUGCCCCUACUUCCAAGCCCACCCGGUGGUCAUGCUAACUGACCAGCCCCUUCGCAACAUUCUGCACAAGCCAGACUUAACCGGAAGAAUGCUUCAAUGGGCCAUAGAGUUAAGCGAAUAUGGAAUCGAGUUCCAACCCAGGCUGUCCAUGAAAGGCCAAGUUAUGGCUGACUUCGUGUUGGAAUACUCCCGAAGGCCUAUCCAGCGCAAGGAACCAAGUGAAAAAGAGUGGUGGACUUUGCGGGUCGAUGGAGCCUCACGAUCAUCAGGAUCCGGAGUAGGGCUCCUGCUGCAAUCACCAACAGGAGAACAUCUGGAGCAAGCCAUCUGGAUGGGGUUCCCCGCCUCUAACAAUGAAGCGGAAUAUGAGGCCAUCCUAUCCGGAUUGGACCUCGCCCUGGCUCAUCCGUCUCCAAGCUCCGGGUCUAUAGUGACUCCCAACUCAUGGUAAGACACGUUAAGAAGGAAUACGAAGCUAAGGAUGCGCGCAUGACGUGAUAUCUGACUAAAGUAAGGGACACCUUACAACGGUUCACCGAAUGGACGAUCGAAAAAAUCAAACGAUCUAAAAAUGGACGUGCCGACGCCUUAGCAGGCAUAGUUGCCUCCCUCCCCAUCAAAGAAGCCAUAUUGUUGCCUAUACAUGUGUAAGUCAACCAUUCCGUCGCGGAAACCUCCACUUGCAAUACCAUUGAGGCAAAUCAAGCAGACGACCAAGAGUGGACGGAAGACAUUAUAAGGUACCUCUAGACAGGCACUCUGCCUGAAGAGCCCAAGCAGGUACACAAGCUCCGGGUGCAAGCCGCCCGUUUCACCCUAAUUGGGGGGUACUUGUACAAGCGAUCCUUCACAGGUUCCUAUCUUCGGUGCCUAAACCACUCAGAGGCCCUGUAUGUAUUAGCUGAAUUGCACGAGGGAGUAUGUGGAAUUAUUCUGGAGGUCGAUUUCUGGCACACAGGGCCCAUUCGCAAGGAUAUUACUGGCCCACGAUGAAGAAGGAUGCGGCAGCCUAUGUCAAAAAAUGUGACAAAUGCCAAAGGCAUGCCCCCAUACCACAUGUGCCGUCGGAGACAUUGAAGCCAAUAUCAGGCCCCUGGCCCUUCACGCAGUGGGGCAUGGACAUAGUAGGACCCCUACCACCCCCACCCGCUCAAAAGAAAUUCCUGCUCGUCGCCACGAAUUACUUCAGUAAAUGGGUGGAAGCUGAGGCAUACGCUAGCAUCAAAGACAAAGAUGUCACCAAGUUCAUGUGGAAGAACAUCAUCUGCCGCUUCGGAAUCCCCCAAACCAUUAUAGCCGACAACGGUCCAUAGUUUGAUAGCAUCGCUUUCCAGAAUUUCUGUUCGAAACUAAACAUCCGGAAUUCAUACUCCACACCGCGUUAUCCUCAAAGUAAUGGGCAAGCAGAGGCCACAAACAAGACUCUAAUCACUACCUUAAAGAAAAGGCUCGAGCAAGCCAAAGGAAAGUGGGUGGAAGAGCUACCCGGCGUCUUGUGGGCUUAUCGAACCAUACCCAGAUGUCCGACAGGAAACACUCCCUUCGCCCUCGCAUACGGUAUGGACGCAAUCAUUUCUAUUGAAAUAGGGCUACCCACUAUCCCGGACCGAGGCAGGAAAGCAGGAUGAUGCAAAUGUGGAGUUAAGAAGAAACUUGGACUGGGCAAACGAAGUAAGGGAAACUGCAUCCAUUCGGAUGGCAGAUUAUCAACAAAGGGCAUCCGCUCACUACAAUCGCAAAGCAAGGCCCAGAAGCUUUAAAAAUGAUACGCUGGUCCUUAGAAAGGUUUUCGAAAAUACUGCUGAGAUAGGAGCGGGAAAAUUUCAAGCCAAUUGGGAAAACCCCUAUAUAGUAUCUAAGACAAGUGAAAGUGGAGCCUAUCAUCUGCAGAAGCUAGAUGGAACCCCAUUGCUCCGACCAUGGAAUGUAUCUAAUCUAAAGUAGUAUUACCAAUGAAAGAAAAAUAGAGGUACAAAUAUGAAUAAGUAUGUUUUAUUAAUACUUGUGAAAAAUUGUAUACAAAAGUUCUCCGGACUACAAAAUACAGAGAGAAGAUAGCAGUAAAAAUUACAAAAAGAAAAGCUCUCAUUGGGAAGGCUUGCCACGCAGCUUCUCCUCCUCACCCGGGGGAAUCGAAGGGACGUCCCGUUUGAUACCAAGUUUCUUCAUACAGCAACGGUAGCCGAAGAAGUACAUUUCGUCUACCUACUUCUGGUAGUCUGCUUCAAGUUCCUCCCUUUCCGCAGCAAACUCAGCCUCCAACUCUUCUUUUUGCGCUAAUAAACGCAACUGCAAAUCCUCUCUCUGCUUUUUCUCAAUUGACACCUCUGUUUGGAGUUGCCUCACUUCUCCCGCAGUUGGGCCAUUUCGUCCUCCGCCUCAUGUAGACGGGCGUCUGUAGAUUCCUCCCGACUCUUUGCCUCAGCUAGCUCUACCCGGAGAGCCUCGUUGUCAUCUCGAGCAGCGGAUAAACUGGCUUCGGCCUGCUCUAAUCUCAAGCGCAGUUCCUCUUCACUGUUUAUGCGUUGAGAGACGAAGGCCUUCAUAUAAUCAGCAGUUCGUAGUAGGUCAGAAAAAAGAUCACGUUGUUGAGCCAUGCCGCGGAUACCGCUCACCAGCUGCAGAAAAACCCACAAACAAGAAGUGCAAAAAUUACAACCCAUGUGACAAACACAUCAGAAUGGCAAGAAAAAUCAAGAAGUAAACUAUACCAUUUCCGCUGCUUCAAACAUUUUUGCUGAAGGCACAGCAACAUCUGAGCUGGAUGGAAUCCGUUUCAGCAUCUCUCCCAACUGCGCAUAGCUGAAAGGACUAGCGGAGAUGCAAGCUGCAUCAUCAACGGGACUUCCUCCUGACGAGGCAUUAGGGAGUGACUCCUUUCCCGAGUCCGGGGCCUCAUCAUUCUCGACCGGCUGGGUCUCUCCGAGUGAACCCCCAUCUGGGACCAGCACCGGGGCGGUUGGAUUCUCUUCUGCCAUCUCUGUCUCACUCCCCUCCGGAUGAUCCUCCUGGACGGACGAGCAGCUGACUUCGAUGGUUUCCAAAAAACGAUCUUGAAGCCGCCUGAUGAGGCUAGACUUUAAGUCACGGGCCGGACGAGACCUCCUUGCAGUUGGCCCCUUCACCGGUAUAAAGGCAAGGGAGCUUGGCUCGCAAGGAGGCACACCCUGACUUUCUGCCCUCGUUUCUUCCGUUGGGGGUGCCGUAGGAGGCAAUGCUUCAGUACAAGAGGCCUCGGCUGCAUCCGCGUCCGAAUGGGGAGAGCCGAGCUGAUUUACUGAAGUCGCUUCCUCAGCCAGAAGAGCCAGCCGUCCAGCCGCUGGCACUGAAGGCCCCGAAUGGUUUAGACCCGCGAGACGUCCGGAGCCUCUUGAAACAGAAGGCAAGACGGGGGAAGGGGGGAGAGGGGGGGGGGGGGGGGUGGUCUGGCUCUCUUAUUAUUAUUUCCUUUACGAAAGUUGGAGGUGGUAUUACCACUUCCUUUGGUGGAGUUGGAAGUUUUAUUUAUUUCCCCUUAUUGAGAGCCUUCUUCUUCUUUUUCUUCGCCGGGGCGCCAGCAGGAAGAGAGGGCGCGAAGCGUUUUAUAUCGGGGGCCCUCCGCAAAGUUCCCUCUUGCCUCAUUCCCUCCCGUUCGUCGAGACGUGCUCGGCGUGCCUGGGCAUCUGCCUUGCGCACCUCCUUGUAGAAAGGAAGGUCUUUUAGAACAAAAUGCUCCCCAGGCAUUACCUUCUUUGGCAACUUCCUGGGGAGAAUAUUGAUGACAUACGCCUGGGGCUCUUGGACAACGGCUAGCAAGUUUCGCGUAGUAAGCAGCGUCUCAUGAUGCCUCUCAGCGGCAGUAAUCUCAAAUAACUUGUUCAGUCGAACGAAAGACGUUUUUUCUACCCACUCGACUACGCGACCCCUCUUGUCCGGACCUGCAUUAUCAGCAACCAAAGAUAUUAAGCCAUCUGAUAACCCCAAAGCAAGAAAAGCAACAAGACGAAUGCCGAACAAACCCCGCAAGCUGUCUUACCCGGAAGCACCAACGAAAGGUUUGGGGAGAAUGGCCUCUCCGGAUGCUCCAGUAGCCCAGCCCAGAUACCCCGGACCAACACAUGUCCCUUGGCUCCUCCCUUCGUCGAAUCCGAAAGCUUAGUCACUAGUUGGAGAGAAGGCAGGUGGGAAACCAUGCUAAAAAUGUCAUUUUUCUCCUUCUUAAGGGAGUAGAUGAAAAGAACCUCCAGCAGCGAGAGGUCCAGGUUGAACAACAUGCUCAGAAUGCUGCAUCCCAUCAGCACCCGGACCAUGUUGGGAUGGAUGUAGGCCGGGGGGAUCUGGGUGAAGUGGAGAAAUUCUUUGAAAAGUGAUGGGAGAGGGAACCGGAGCCCAACAUUGAGUUGCUUCUUGGUAAAGCAGAUAGUGUUCUCCUCAGUUUUCUCAGUCGACAUGGCCUCUCCGUCCAUAAGUUCAACGGACACGCCAUUUGGGAUGCAGAAGCGUUCGCGAAACUCCCUCACAUUCAACUUAUCCACGGAUUUCUCAGCAUGAGCAUCUCCGGGUGAGCUGGAUGAAGUAGCUUCCUUGUUCGCAGACAUUUUGUAGGCUGGGGCUGAAAUGGAAUCUGCAUGGAGGAAUGCCAACAGUCAAACACAGCAAUCCGACCCCACAACCUUAACUCUACCCCAAAGAAGAAUCGGUGACCCACAAAAGGCACAAGGGUGCAACAGAAACCCUAAACACACCCAAAACACGAUCAAAACCCCCCGAAAAAAGCCCUAGAAACCAAUACCGAUUCCUAGUCGCAAAGCAACUUGCCCAGCAAGCCAGAAACAACCAACAAAACAAACACAACAAGGAGAAAAAAAAAAUAGAAAACGUACCGAGUGUAAAACUGGAAAAAUGGGAUGAAAUCCGCAGUGCAGUCACCGUCACGAUACGAGUAUUACCGGCAGAAAACCCUAGAGCUUCACUAGAAAGUGAAAAUACGCGGAAGGUAGAAGAGAAAGCACUACCAGAAAAAGCGCAGAAGGAAAAAUGCAAGAGAAAGGCACAGUUUGCUAUUUAUAGAGAGACAGCUCCUCGGUAUCCCAAAUGCUUAGCCGCACCAUCAUUGAAAGGACACGCUGCCUGGGAAAUCCCAGAAUCGGCGGCUCAUCAUAAAUGAUCUUCUUCCUUUUUCGCCCCCGCUCGCCACGUGGCCCAAUAAAGCGAAAAAAGUCAACCUCAGUUUCAAAAAACAAUCAUUUUUUAACCCACCCAUUUUGCCCUGGCAAAAUGGGCAGGUUAAAAGGGGGGCAUUGUAGGGACCUCUCCCCCUGAUGACAUGUGACACACAUUUCUAUCCGAAUUAGCUCCAUCCGGAUUUCCCCCAAGGAGACACGUGGCGCGCUUCCCCUAUCCGGACUCCCUCAGGGAGAAGCACACGACACUUGCAAACCUCACAUCCGGACGACCGCCAUAUCGCAUCCGGACGACCGACAUAUCCUAUCCGAAUAUGUUUGUCCAGAUCGUUGACUAAAGUAAGCAAGUCUUACUACGUCAUUCCGACAGCCUGCCACGGCUCACGUUCCGCCACCUGCAGAGUGAAAAGACAGGAAUGAUGGCAAGUCACUUCCUACGAUCUCUGACAGUUGCGACGCCUCCCACGAUCUCUGUCAGCCGCUCGUAUGGUGAUGAUGGCCCUGUCACCACCUAGAGUCAUCAUGACAAGCCAAAAUAUCUCCCUAUCAUUAAAGAGGGAGAUAGAGCUUCUGGUACUAUAUAUAUGGACCUUCACACAAAGAGGAAGGUAAGCUUGCUAUACCUAGUAAAAGGCCAACUGAUUUAUCUCUCUAACCAUGGUUGACAAAACCAUCGGAGGGUGUGUCCGGACGCCUUUUGCAGGAAUGACUAAACUAGGAAUCUAUAUUGGUUGAGAUUGUGCGUCCAUCUAUUUGGCAACUACGUGGAUCACCAGGGACGCGAGGCCUCAACAUAGUCCAUUUCCAUUUGAAUUGUUGAAACUUCCUAGUCCUUGUGGGUCUAGUGGUCUCUCUAAUAAUUCCCACCAUUAAUUUUUUGUGAUGAAGUGCAGUCAUUGAUAGCUACUAUAUCAAUUUGCUAUUAAAAGUCAAGUCAUUGAUAACUACUAUUCAAUCUUUUUCAAUAUGGAAAUUGGAAUCUCUAGCGCUACUCUUCUCAUCGUUCAUUUUUAGGUAAUGUGAGAAUGUGUGAACAUAAAUGUCUUCUAAUCAACCAAUUUUUUUUUGAAAAAAACAUGUACAAAAUUGCAAAACUUGCAAAAUCAAACUGACUGUAAUCAACCAUCAUAAUUUUGAUGGUUUUGAAGAAUCAAAGGAUGAAUCCUAAAAGGGUAUUUGAUAAAAAAUAAAAAUUAAAAAAAUUAAAAGACAACUACUCCCUUAAGUAUAAUAAGUGUAUUUGGUAGCACAAAUUUCCUACCACUUAUUAUUUUUUUUCUUAAAAAAUCAUUUACUCUAUUAAAUAAACUAACCUUGGCUUAUCACUUAUAGCAAAAUAGGUUAAGUAGUUUUUAAAAUUUUAUAAUAUUAGAUUUACAUUUUUAUCCUUCAAAAUUUCAUUAAUGCUAGAUUCUUCUAUAUGCUUAACUAAUAAAUAAUUUUUAGCAUUUUUCUUUUCUUAUAAACAUAAAAAAAUAAAAAUAUUAUUAACUUAUUGGUAUAUUUUAAAAUUUUAAUUAGAUUUAAGCUUUUAUUUUUUUGGAUUACCAAUUAUACAUAUAAAUCCUUUAUUAUUAUUGUUAUUAUUGAAAGAAAGGGGUUGAAUAGGUAGUCCCUCAAUCCCCAAAUUAAAUUCUUUAUUGCGUACUUUUGGUUUAUUCCUUUACAUGAAUUCCUUGGUGAGAGUAAACAUUUCAUUAAUGGAUAAAUAAAAUUGAUUCCAUAUCACAGGGUAUAAUGUGGAAAAAUCAUCGGUCUCAUGUGUUCCUUAGUGGAUCCUUUGGAGCCCUUAUCAAAGUUUCAUGAUGAAACCAUUGACUUUUGUUUAACCCAAAUGUGCUUUCAAGACAAAUCUUGAAAGAUUUGAGAGAUGGAGGUUCAAGUCUUUUAUGAACGACCAUGUUCUCUUAGGGUUCAUGAAAUUUCACACCUUUUGAUAAAUAAAACUUAUUUAUUUAUACGUCUAAAACCUAGUAUUUAUUUAUUUAAUUAUAGAAAGUUUCUUAGUUUUAAAAACAUUUCAAAAAUCAUUUUUAGAAUCAAAUAACAAUUUUAGAGAUAAACACAAUAUUAAAAUUUAACAAAAACAAAUUUUUGAAUUAAAAACACAAUAUAAACUAAAUUACAAAAUAUAAAGUAAUUUUUAUCCUAAUUUCUUCUUGCAAAACCAAAUAGAACACCUAGAAGGGGAGUGAAUAGGUGAUUUUAAAUUUUUUCAAUAAUGAUUUAUAAGUUAUACCCAAUUCUUUUACCCUGCGAGUUGUUAGGGACUAUCAAUUCUUUCCUUUUGGCAAUUCAAACAAUAUAUCAAAUAAUAAAAAGAUAUAAAUAAUGAGACAUAAAGAUUUUUACAUGGAAAACCCCCCACACUAACCAUGGAGAUAAAAAGCCAUGGAGUCUAAGACCUAUUAAUCUAAAUUCACUAUACGAAAUCAAGUUACACAAAUUUAUUUGGUAGCUUUACCUUAAAGACUUACUCUCCGGUACUGACAACUUGAUUCACGUCCAUGACGUAGCAACCCUCGAUUACUCCAAUGUAUCACUUCAAGCUUACUAAAAGGAUGAAGGCCUUCAAACCAAGAUUCAAAAAUCAAUUCCUUGAAUGAGAGAUUAGGAAUGGUGUGCCACUUUAGGCUUUCUCUCUAAGAUCUCUAAAAUGAUCUCCUCAAUGAAAACCUCUUAAACAAAAUGAGAUAUUUCUCCACAAUCUCUAACCCUUAAGGGGUUAUAAUGAGAUAUUUAUAGGCAACUAAGUUGAAAGUUUCAGUUUUGGAAGGUUUCUCAAUUGAAUUUGUGUGAAAAACUCGGCAGAAUCGACAUGAUCGCUCGAGCCAACACACUUCCCACUUGAGCGUUUUGGGCACUUGAGCGGUAAGGCUCGCUUGAGUUGUCUUAAGCACUUGAGCAUUCUAGGCUACUUGAGCAAUCUUGCUCUAUUUCAAAAGUUAAUUUUAAAUCAUUUUAAGUUCAAAACAAAAUUGAUUCCCUUUAUACCUCAAAGAAGCCUAACUUGCCACAAACCAAACCUUUUUAGAUAUACUUGUGACUUCCUGGUUGGACGAACAACAACUCUUAAUCUUCAAUGGAGAGCAAGUCACUAUCUAAAAAGAUUUAUAUGGUCAAACAUAAAAAAACAAAAAAAUUGCCAACAUAACAACAAGACUCAAUGUCCUAACAAUCUUCCCCUUUGGCAAUUUUGUGACAAAAACAACGUUACAUAAACCCACCUGAACUCUCAUAAUGGAGUUUAAUAAUACACAUUAACGUUCAAUUAAAAAUAAACUAAGGGAAUACUUUAUCUCACUUUGUAGUAUUUGUCUUCCAACCUUGUAACCUACACACAUAUAGAAAACUAUACCAAAGGUAAAACAAUGUGCAGGAUAAGAUAUGAUCAAGAAAGCAAAAUAGGAUAAUUGGAAAUUUUGCUUGAUGCCUUGUGAAAGCAUGAAAAAAGAACAAAUUCAUAUAGUAAUAUCAAGGGACAAAGCAAAACUCGAGAAGAAUAUAUAUGUAUGCAAAUCAACCAAACAUAAUAAAAGCUAAAUAAGAUGCAAUAGAUAAAAAAUAAUGCCUAGGGGUCUAUCUCCAACCAGAAAAUAGGGAGUGAAGAUCAUAGAAAGAACCUUCUGUGACUUAGAAAGAUUCUAGAGAGAUAGUAAAUUCAAACAUAAAUAUCUUGCUGGAAACAUCUAUGUUAUGUAUCUCUCUAAACCUUUUAAGUUAUGCUUUCAUCAGUUGAUUUGGUUUUUCUCCAAUGUCUCAGGUUUAAUUUCCUCUAUUAUUUCAAUUAGAGAAAUUAGUAGUCGAUUGACUUAGUGGGUGUUUGGUAAAACUUAAUACUUAUUAUUUAAUGAUUAACUUUAAGUUAAAUUGUUCUUAAGUUAUUAAUUUAAAAUUUAUUACUUAUUUUGUAUUUAAGUAUUAAGGUUAUUUGUAAAAAUCAACUUAAAAUUUAUUCUAAAUCAUCAAAUUAACACAUUUACCCUUAUUAAUUUUAACUUAUAUUUAUUUUCAUUAAUUUUAAACAAUAAAUUUAUUCAUAAAACAUCUAUAUUUUUGUAGAUACAUAAUAACCAUAAAAUAUUUACUAUAAAAAAUGAGUCAUGGAUGUAGAAUUAUAAUUCUAAAAUAUACACCUAUAAGUGUGGGUAAAUAAGACAAAAAUGAUUUGAGAUUAAGAGUAAAGUUAAUUAUUUUGACUUAAGACUUCAAGUUAAAAAUAACUUUAAGUUGCAAUAUUAAGUUAUUUUAUCAAACAUGCUUAAUUUACUUAACAACUUAAAUUAACUUAUUAAGUUGAUUUAUCAAACACCCCACUAGUAAUAUGUUGAAAAUGAAGAGCAUCCAUAGCAGAUAAUGUAUAUGUAUUUGUGUUUAGAGUAGAAGGGCACUACAACAAUGGACUUGCAUGUGAUUUGGUCGCGAUAUGAUUUUGAUGAGAAUAUUUUAUUGUCUUUAAAAUAUUGUUAUAUGAAAUGCCACACUAUGUUAGUAAAUGAUAGUUAUGUUAGUAGAAAUGAAAGUUUGUUUUAUAAUGCAUUGACCAUCCUAACACAUGCACUUAAUUAUCAUUAGUAGUUAGACAUGUAUUCCCUUUUUUCAAUUUUUUUUCUUCUUUUUAAAUACAUUCUAGUGGUACUUUGCCUUAUGACUUAAUUUUUGUUACACUUACUACUUUUGGUUUUAGUCAUAUUUCAUUUUAUUAGUAUUUUCAUUUUGUGUUACAAUUUUAUUUAGUUUCUCUAUAUUCUCUUUUGGAUGGUGAUUUCACUUCAAAUUUUAAUUCAAAUUAGGCUUAUUGUCCUCUUAGUAAGCCUUUUCUAGGCGAGUUGUUAUAGAAAAUUAAACAAACCUCUCCUAAGGUUGGCCUUGUUACAUAGACUUCUUUUCUAUUUUGAAAUAUUAUAUUGACCUCCCUUGUUAGAUAUUGGUUUUUACGAUUACUAAGAAUAAUGCUUCUUAAUCAUUAUUAACGAUAAUGCAAAAUGAUAUAACUACUCUUAGUUAAAUCAAAUCAUAAUGACAAUAUUUUCAUCUUCUUUUUCCAAUUUUCUUCUUCUUCCUCCAUACAUGCUAAUUUGCAAAAAUUUAUACCCAUUAUUUAAAUGAAAUCUUUUGAAAUAAAUUAAAAUCUUCCUUAUUUGAUAUUAUAGAAACCUAAUUUAAAUAAAAUAUUUUGAAAUAAAUUAGAUAAAAAAAAAACUUGUCAUCAUUCUAACCCAAAUCAAAUUUAAAAGAAUAACUAAAUAUUUCAAGUCUCAUUUUGUCUCAAUAUCACCUUUGCUAAUCAACCUAUCCAAUCUUAGAUCAAACUCAAAUUGCAAUCAAAUUUUGACAAGAAAAAAUCUACUUAAGACUGAAUAAGAAAACUUGUGGAAAGAGUCUUAUCAAGAAGGUGCAUGAAACCCUCAGUUCAAAAACUUCUUCUAAAAUAAAAUUAAAAAAAGAAAAGAAAAGAAAGAUAUUCAAUGUUAAAGGACUUUUAAGAUAAAUCAAAAUUUGAAAAUGAAUGUUAAUACUUGCGAUAGAUUCCACAUUCAUGAACAAAUUACCAUUGCACCACUUAUUUUCAAUUCACACUUUAAUUUACUAUCCAUAGAAACUUUCAUUAAAUUUUCCAUAAAACAAACAAAGAGCCUUAACCCCCAAAUAUUUUAAUUCUUAAAAAUACAUCAUUUCAUCAAUUUUUGAAACCCUCAUUUUAACACAAAUUAUUUUUUUUUACAAAUUAUUAAAAGAAUAAAAAGAAAAUUAAGAAGAGGUUGUCAUUAUUAUUCUUGCAAAGUCACCACAAAAUAAAUUAUAACAAAUAUAGAAAAUAAAAUAAUGUGACGAUGAAGAUGAUGCUUAGAAAGUUAGAAUGAAGAAGAUAGUAUCAUUUAGAUGAUUUAGGUUAAGAUGAGGACUAGAUAAGGAAAGUGACAUCAAUUGCCUAAUUAUUUGGGGUUUUAGACAUACAAAAUGAGGGAGAUGACUAAAAUUAUGGUUUAAUUAUUUUUGGUUAAGGAUUAUUAAGUUAUUUUAAGGAAUUAAUUAAUUAAUUUAUAAUAAAUUUAGAAUUAAUUAAAAGUUAAUUAAAAUAAUUAUUGAUUCAUAGUUUAAUUUAAAACUAAUUUGAAUAAAAGAUGAAAAACUGAAAGUCCAUUAGGGUUUCACCUAGAGAGGGGAGAGGAGGUGGAUGAUUUAAAAAAUUUCAAUAAAGAUCUAUAUGUUAUAUCCAAUUUUAUUUUACCCUGUGAGAUGUUAGGGAUAACCUUUUCUAUCAACCUUAGGCAAUUCAAACAAAAUAUCAAAUAUAAAAGAUAAGAACAAUAAGGCAUGCGAUUUUUAUAUGGAAAAUCCUCACACUAACUGUGACGAUAAAAACCACGAGAUCUAAGACCUAUUAAUCUAAAUGCACUAGAUGAAAUCAAGUUACACAGAUUUACUUGACUGCUUUACCUUAAAGAUUUACUCUCUGGUAAGUACAACUUGAUUCAUGUCCACAACAUAGCAACCCUUGAUUGCUCCAGUGGAUCACUUCAGCUUCCUGGAAGGGAUGAAGGUCUCCAAAAUAAUAUUUAAAGAACAAAUCCUUGAAUGAGAAAUUGAGAAUGGUGUGGCAAUCUAGGUUUUGUCUAUAGGAGACCCUUUUUAGAGAAUAAAGUCUCUCAACAAUCUAUCUCCAAUCUCUUCAAUAUCUCUAACCCUCAAGGGGUUAUAAGGGAGGUAUUUAUAGGCAAAAGUUUGAAAAGUUUUGAUUUUGGAAGGUUUCUCAAUUGAAAUUUUGUGAAAAACUUGGUAGAAUCAACAUGAUUGCUCGAGCCAACUCACCCAUCGCUUGAGCGCCUCAAGCACUUGAGUGGUAUGGCUCACUUGAGCGGUCUUAAGCGCUUGAGUAGUCUUUAGUGCUUGAGCGCUCUAGGCCACUUGAGCAGUCUUGCUCUCUUUCAAAAAUCAAUUUUAAAAUCUUUUUAAGUUCAAAACAAAAUUGAUGCUCUUUAAUACCUCAACAUAGCCUAAUUAACAUAAGUCAAGCCUCUUUAAACAUGUGACUUCUCAAUUGGACAAACAACAACCCUUGAUCUUCAAUGAAGAGUAAGUCACUAACUAGAAAGACUUCUAUGACCAAACAUUACAAAGAACAAAAUUGCCAACAUAUAGGAAGGACUUACUGUCUUAACAAUCUCUCCCUUUGACAAUUUUGUGACAAAAAAUUGUUACAUAAACCCACUUGAACUCUGAUAACGGAGUUUACAUAACACACUUUAAUGCUCAAUUAAAACUAAAUUAAGGGAAAGCUUUGUAUUAAUUUAUAGUACUUAUAUUUCAACCCCGUAACCUACACACAUACAAAAAACUAUACUAAAGGUAAAGUAGUGUGAGGAAUAAAGUAAUGUUGAGAAAACAAAACAGGAUAGUUGGAGGUUUUGCUUGAUGACUUAUGAAAACAUGAAAAUGGAACAGAUUUUUGUAGAGACACUGAGGCACAAAGCAAAGCUUGAGAGGAAUAUAGAUACACACAAAUCAGGAAAACACAAUAGAAGCUUGAUAAGACACAAUAGAUCAAUAAUAAUGCUUAGAAGUCUAUCUCCAACCAGAAAAUGGGUAGUGAAAACCAUGGAAAGAAACUGCUAUGACUUAGAAUAGUUCUAGAGUGAUAAUUAGUUUAAACAUAAAUAUCUUAUAAGAAACAUUUGUGUCAAGUAUCUCUUUAAACCAUCUAAGUUAUGUUUUCAUCGGUUGAUAUGGUUUUCUCCAAUUUCUCAAGUUUAAUUUCCUUUAAUAUUUCAAUAAUUUCCCUUAAUGGAUGAAUGAAUGAAUGAAUUGAAUUAAAGAAUUCAAAAUUUUUAACUCAUAGUAACUUCCCUUAAAUUACAAUCAAUACAAUAAUUCAAAUCAAGUAUACAAAAACAUAAAUAAUAGAACAUUUAUGCAUUAGGUGGCGGUAGAGGGAUAGAGCUUGAAGCAUCGUGAGAAUGGGUACAAGAAAAGAUGUAGUUAAGUUAUCCCUAAAUCUCUCGGAGUUGGAGAUCCUAAGAGUCCAUCUUCUGAUGAAGUCGGGCCAUGGAAUUUAGAGCCUCAUGGGCGUUGGGUCUACAAAAGUAAAAGCCUUGUGUGUAGCUCGGGAAGAACUAACACAACCUCAACUUUAGAGUGAGUCCUCGGAGCAGACUCUAAAUAGUCUGCCUCUAGAAUUCCACCAUGCUCCAUAGCUCGAAGCUCAUCCUCCUAGACAACUACCUUUGCAUGCUGGCCUACAUCAUGUGGUUCAUAAGUUGGAAGAGCCAUCAAACUAUAUACAUGAAUGUAGUGCUUGGGCUAGGAACUCCCAUCUAAAAAGGCAUGGGUAGCCUAGACCCCUAGUGUAGGAUCAAUCUUAAAUCCCACAUCCUCGAGUAUCCGCGUCAUGAGGAGGGUAAAAGGGAAAGUGCCUCCUCUAAAGGAUAAACCACGAAGGGGAAUGAUUGUAUCCAGGAUGACUUAGCCAAUGUCAAAUUGUUGGCUUGAGAGAAUGACGUGAAUAAAGUGAGCAGAUGGUCAAUGGAUUUGGGUGCAGUGUGUAAAUGGGUAGAAGGAGUAAGUGAAGAAUGUGGCAAACAACCAUGUUAGCUUGAAGAAGCCAACAAUCAAGAUAUAAGAAGGAAAGGGGCAAAGACCCCCAUAAAGAGAAGUCAGAAUGGUGUCAAGUUUCUCUCGGGUGAGAGCCUGAACCUCUAGGGAAAAUGAAGAAAUGAGAGCCUCAAUUUGCGACAUGCUAAGGACACAUUGAAUGUAAUGGGAGAAAAUAAGGAAAAAUUGACCAUGCAUGGUCAAUUGAAAGGUGACUCCGACCACAAUAUAAUGCAUGUUCUCAUAGAACAUGUGAACAAGAUGGGGAUAGGAAGUCCCCUAGAGAGAAAACAAAGUCUCCUAACUUUACUCUUGAAUGAUGAUAGGGAAGACAGUGUCCUGAAAAGCUUAGAGGUUAAUGGCAUGCUCAGGCUCGACACAUUGAUAUGUGAAAGAAGCGUAAUAAUGGUCUCGUGCCACCUGGCAGUGAAAACGCUCAACCGAAAGUGCAUCUAGGUUAAAAAGACCCUGGAGUGGGAUGCCCUAGACGGUUUCAGUGACCUAGGAAAGGUCACCUCCCUCUGACAUCUAUGACUAGCCAUAUCUAAGGUAUAUAAUAUGAAAAAACAAAAGCUAAAGAAGAACUAAAGAAAAUCCAAAGAAAAGCUAAACCACUAAAAAUGUUAAACUCAAUGCGUCGAACAAUACUAUACAAAUGGAAAUGAAAAAUAUGAAGUGAACUGACCUCAGAAGACAAAAGGACAGUAACCUAGAGGGCUCGAAGAUGAAUAGGAAAGUUUGAAAUGAAUAUGGCGUGCUGGAUGACCUUUAUAUAGCCUAUAGGAGUGCUUGAUGCAGAUUAGCACUCGAGCGUCAUGACUAACUUAAAUCAAAGUAUUUAUUACUAUCAAAAUAUUUUAAAAGUUUCAAAGGAAGUAUUCAAUUUAGAACCUUUUUAGAAAUUUUUUUGAAAGAAACAAAAAUAAAACGUGAAAUAUUAUGUGUUAAAGGUGUUAGAAGACAAUAUUGUCUAAUCCAAAGCCUUACACAUUCCACAAAAAAAAAAAAGGAAAAAGAGAGAUAUUAUAUAAGAUUUUGAUCACAUCUAAUAGAAACUAAUAUUUAGCAACAUAUCACCAAGCACUAUCUUAUCAGAAAGCUCUAACAUGUUGGAAAUUUAUGUAAGGUUCCAUAACAACUAACAACUUUUUCUGACGACUUGGCAAUGGACCAUUUGCACUUUAACUACAUUAUUGAAUUUAAAUCAUAUUAGAAUAGUAAUUGACUUCUCUUUUGUGAGGCUACAUAUCUUGUAGGAUGGGAUAGGUGAUUCAUUUCAUAUAUGAAAUUUACUUAAUUUAGUAAUGCAUCCAAGUUCAUUAUGAAUAUAAUGGUACCACAACUUUUUGAAUAUUUGUAAUCUGUAAUCUUUGUUUCAACUUCUCAAGUCUAGUCAUUUUAUCGGCAUAACUAGUUUGCUUCAAUUAUCUCUCAACUUUAUUAUAAAACUAAGGGAAAUGAUUAUCACGCAUUUUAUAUUAACUUAACCAAACAUCUUUAUAUAUCUUACAUAUAUAUAUAUAUUGUAAAUUUAGGAAAAUUUCAUCCAUUAGCCAUAGUAAGUAAGAAUCAAAUAUGGGAUAUGUAAGCCAAUGGUGAUAUUGAUGGCGUCAAAUCAAUGACAUAGUAGAAACGUGGAUUGUCUAUUUUCAAACCUUUAUAUUUUCAUCCAAUAGUAAAAAGGUUUAGGCAUCACUUGAAAAGUAGUUUGUUUUUUACCUUGGACUAUGAUUUAUGAAUAAAGUUCUUCUGUUGUAUACCUUUUGUGAUGCCCCAAACCUAAUUUAGGGGUAAAAAUAAUAAUUUAGAAACAAAUAAAUAAAAAUUUAAAUAAAUUUAAUUAAGGUAAAAAUGUAUUUUCGUAUUUAAAAUUCCUAGGGAUCAAUUAUAUAUUUCUUGUCUUCUCUAUUCAAAAAACCCUAUUACACAAAAAUCAAAGAUCAGAGAACAUAGGACAACGUAGGGUUGAAGAUUUGGAGGUUUAGGGUUGAAGAUUAGUUUUCCAGGUAAGAUUCUAACCCUUAAAUUAGUAUUUUAGAUUCGUUAAUUAGUUUGAACACUUUAGAUAUUCUUUGAAAAAUCUGAAUCCACGUUAGGGUUUGUUAAUUUAAUUUUUAAAUAAAAAAGAUUGAAAAUUUAUGAACAUAAGUAGAGUUAUUAUUAAAGAUUGAAAAUUUUUGAAUAUUUGAAUUAAAAAUCUAGAAAAAAAAAAAGAAAAUAAAUUAUAGAUUUGGAUGUGGAAAAAAAUUAAUAUUAAUAAAUAAAUAAAACCUAUGAGUAUGGAGGUAGAAAAAUAUGAAAGUUGAAAGCAAAGAAAAAAAAAAGGAAUAAGGUUUUGUGGUUGUAUAUGCCUCCUUAGUGGAAAAAAAAUACAAGGUUGCUUGCAAUAGGAUAUGAUAAAGAGAGAGAGAUAAAUGCUUCGAUAUUGAUUUUUGUGGGGAAAAAAAGAUUGGGUAAUGCAGGAGAGAAAUAGGUAGCAUUUGUAGAGUUGGUGGAGUUGUUGUAAAAGCUCGUAGGGGUAAUUGUUAGGAAACAUUAGGACUUGAAAUAAUAAUAAUUGCUUCUAGUAAAAGUUUUAAUUUAGUUUAAGUAUAUAAAAGAAAUAGAUGAUUAGAAAAAGAUUUGGAAGGAAUAUGAAUUCAUAAAAUUUCGAAAUUUACUAAUUUAGAUUAUUAUUGUUUUGGAAGUUGAAUAUAAUAUAGGUGAUAAUAUUAUUAAUAUAGGAAAUGAUUAAGAUUCUCAAACCUACAAUUUUAGAUAAAUAGUUAAUAGUAAUAGAUGAUUUUUUAUUUUUUUUAUUUUUUAUUUUUUAUGUUAUGUUAAGUGAAUAAUGGAUUCUUUGAUUAAUUCUCUAAGGUUUCUAAGUGCUUCUUUAAGGUAAGGGAUAUUAAUACUGAUUUUGUAAAUGAAAAUAUUUCUUUUUAUAAGUUAUUUUAAAUUAUGAAAAAUUUUAUUAUUAUUUAUGCAUGGAUCAAAUAUAUAUUUUUUCAUGAGAAACAUGUUUAGGCAAUUUCUUUGUUUAUAAAUAAAUAAAUAAAAAAUGAGAACCUUGGAAAUAUAAUGUUUUGUUUUGUAAGUUUAAAAUAAUGAAAUAAAGUUUUUGACUCUGGUUUAUAUGACCUUAGUUAAUGGGUUAUAAUUGUUGACAUUUUUAGCUCCAAUCAACAAUUAUAAUUGUUGACAUUUUCAGCUCCAAUCAACGAUUAUAAUUGUUGAGAUUUUCAACCCUAGCCAAUGGGUUAUAAUAGUUGACCUUAUAGCCCUAGUCAACAGAUAUAAUUGUCAACCUUUGGUUUUGCCCAUCUUAAAAAGAACAAAUUUAAGGCUAGCCAUUUAUUUGUAAAGUCCCACCUAACUAAGUACCAUUUGUUAUUUAAUAACCAGAGUAAAGAUAUUUUGAAUGUAUUUGAUAUGAAAUUGUUUUGAUAUAAAUAUGAAAAUGUUUGGUUGAAAGUUCAAAUGUUUAAUGCAUGUUGAACUCAAAAGUUUUAUUAAAAUGAUUAUAUGUUAUAUAUCCUAUUUGUAAGCUUGAUCCAUGAAACUGUAUUAAUAUUCCUUAUUGGACUUUGAGCUCAUUCCCCUUUGUUGAGAAUUUUUUUGGUAUUCUCAGUUUGGGCAAGGAGUGAUGACUGGGUUGGGGAAUUUUCUUUGCUAUGAUUUUGGUUCAAUCUUUAUUUUGGACAUUGUUUAGAUGUUAAAAUUUAAUUCCCAUUUAAAUUAUUUGAGUUUGGAGUUAUUUGGACGAUAACACUUUGAUUGAUGUGUUAGUUUUAAAGUUGAGAAUUGAAAAUUAUAGAAUUUAUUUAUCUUACUACUUUGAACAGAAAUUUAGUAAUUGGAGAUCAUCCAGUUACAAGAUGAAUAUUUGUGUCAUUUCCACUUUGAGAGUUCAGACUUGGGGUGUGAAAUGACCGUUAUGCCCUUGGAGUGGGUAUAUUGUUUAUUUGAAUUUAAUGGUCCCCGAACUCCUUAAUUACUCAUAACUUUAUAUCACCUUCUCAAAGUUAAGUUGUUUUACAACUAUUAUCUAGCUACUUUUCUCUACUAUGACAACUUUAUUACAUAGUGAUUAAUUGAAAGAAUCUACAUGUUUUAUUUCAUAGGAUAGUUGAUUUUUUUACUCAAUGAAUCUUGCUUUUAUUAUUGAAAUUUCAAAUCAUUGUAGUCCAACAAUUUCCUAUCCAUUGGUAAUUUCAUAUUACAUUUCCAAAGUCUAAUCAUUUAAAAACACUUGUAGUUAAUAUAUUGGCAAUUGCAUUGUGGGAAGUUGUUCACUUGAUUUUAAUGUUGAAACUUUCAAAUUAUUGUAGUCCAACAAUUCCCUAUCCAUUGGUAAUUUCAUAUCACAUUUUCAAAUUAUAAUCAUUUACAAAUACUUGUAUAUAGUAUAUUUGGUGAUUGUAGAGUGGAAAGUUGAUCGUUUUCAUGAAGACCUCUAAAAUAUAAAUUUUUUUCAUUCCAUUUAAUAAAGAAUUUCAUUAAUUGAACAUAUAUGUUUUUUUUAGCUGGAAAGUAGAGGCCACAUUAUACGAGGCCUUAGGUGACAAUACUAGGUGAGGGUUUUUUUUUUAAUUUAUUUAUUAUGAAAUAUAAAUAAUAUUAUUUAUUGUAUAAUAAAGAUUAUUAUAAUAUAUUUUUUAUAGAUGAAAAAAAUAUUAAUUGAGUUUUAUUUAUUUUUUAAUAAUUGUUUUCAAUAAAUAACUUAUUUGUAAAAAGAAAACUAUAAAAUAUAUGCAUUUGAAAAAUAUUUAAUUUUUAUUUGAUUUAGUAUCAAUUAAUAUUUGUAAUAUUUUUUAAUAUUAUAGAAGUUAACAUACUCAAUCAAGAUAUUCAAGAUCAAGAGAACAUUUGAGAUUGAAUUAAUUUCUUUAUUGUUUAUGUUUUAGAAAAUUUUUAUAUCCAUUACAAAUUUUCUAUUGUUUAUUUUUCAUUCAAUUUUUGCAUUUUGUAAUAGAUAUUAAAACGAAUUUUUUUUCCUAUAUGUUAAAAAAAUAUUUCAAUGUCUUUAAAAAUAAAAUAUUGCAGUAAAAUCAAAAUUACAUUGUGAAACUUUAAGCGAAUGUUUUAUACUUAAGAAGUGCCAAUUAAAGUAAGCAUGCAUCUACAAUUGUAAUUUAGAUGUCAUACUGAAACAAUAGUUCUCUUCGACUAUAUCAUAAAAUUUGGUUCGAAUUACUUUAAGUCAUCUUGUAGAUUUUCAAGUUCUAAUGAUAUGCAUCAAGUAUGUGCAACAUACUUGAUAUAACUAAUAUUUUCUUAAGUAAUUGGACACUUUUUUUCUAUAAAUUUACUUGAUUAUCAAUGAAUACUUUUAUGUAGGGUAUUGAUAUAAUUCGAUAAAUAUUUUAAAAUAGUAUUAGAAUAGCUUUGCUCUUUCCCAAUUAACAAAUUUACCAAAUUAACUUAUAUAUAUUUGUUUAUUUGAAUUUACUGGUAUUUGACUCAAAUUGUUAUUAUUUUUAAAAUUAUAGGAAAACCAUUAUUUAUAGAGUUUAAUUAUAUUUUGGUAAAUUAUCUUUUUAAGUUUGACUAGGAUUAGGAAACUAUUAAUUUAAGAUUAAUCCAUAAGGCUCUAUAAAUUUGCAGUUUUAUAUAGGAUUUAAAAAAAGAAAGAAAAAGUAAGAAAAAGUGAAGAGAGAUAGGCAAAGAGUGCAUUGGGUUUUAGAUAGAGAAAGAUUGAGAGAGUUUUGAUUACUACUAAAAAAGAACAUAUUUUAGAUAGUAAUUCUCAUGAGUUUCGCAUCUUUUGAGCAUUAAUUAUGCCUAAAAAUGCUCAAUUAACAUGUUGUUGCCCUUGCAAAAGUUACUAACAAGUUUUAUAAAGUUUUGGAGUCAUUUCAAGUUAUGAUUUUAAUAAAUUGGUGACGAAAGAAAUGAAUUGAUUUGAAGAAGGCAAAUAAUAUUGAUGAUGAUCAAAUGCAUAAUGAAAUAAGAAAUAUAAUUAGUUUGAUCGGGAUUUGCUGCUAAUUUGGAGGUAGUUAAGGUGGAGUCAAAAGAAGAAAAUGGAAGAAAUGACAAAAAGGAGCUUAAAAACCAAAUGUUGCAGAUUUGUAUGAUCAUGCAAAAAUUUUACAUGACUAUGCGAAAUGGAUUAGAGAAGGAAAAUUGACUAUAGUAUAAGGAGGAUGCUUAAGUUGAUUUCGCAUGAACAUGAGAAAAUUUCGCAUGAACAUGCGAAAAUUUUGAACAAUCAUGCGAAAUGGUCCAGAAAGCUCUCUAAUGUUGUUGUUGCUCCACUAAUUUCGCACCACCAUGCGAAAUCGAUAUUUUCAUGCAAAAUGGCUGAAGCUCAUGUGAAAUCAUGAUUUUGAGGCUAAACUCCAGAUUUGUGAAUUUGGAAGGCUUUAUAAGACCAAUGAGAGGUUGCCAAGUGUUCACUUGACCUUGGCCUAUAAAUAGAAACUUGAAUUUCCCAUGUAAAGAGCUUUGUGAUACUUUUAAUUUUAGAUUUUUCUAGAAACUCUUUUUCUAAAUAGAAUUCUAUAUUUUCUUUAAUUUUCCCUCAUUUUCUCAUUAGCCAAACAUGCCUAGUGAGACCAAAUCUCCAAGUAUGAGUGGCUAAAUUUCGUUUUUCUCAAAGGAAGGAGGAUCUAGAGGCAAGAUCUAUGGUGAAUUAUAGAAAUGAGUUUUAAUUGCAAAUGUAAUUUGAUCCAAUUGAUUGAUUAAUUGAAAUUUGAGGAUUUCUCUCUUCAAAUUGUCUUGAAUGACUAUUACAUUGCAAACUAGGUAGAUUCAUUAAAUUCUUAAAGCUAGAUUUAAUGAGACUGAAUAGUUGCAUUGUAUGAAUCAUUGGAAGAUGAUUUAAGAUGAAUUGAAUAUAUAAUUUAAAUUGAUCUCUUGGAUUAAAUAACCUAAUUUGAAGAGAAAUUAGGUUUAGACUUAAAGGUAAAUCCAAAAUCGGUUUAGAUAAGAAUUUAGGUUUUCAAUAUAACUUGAUGAAAAAUAAAUCUCAACAUCUAUUCACUAUGGAAAUUGUUUUCUAAAAAAUAUUAACUCCGAGAAUUCCUUUUCCUUAUCAAUUUUCUUAUAUUCUACAUUAUAUUGUUCUUUUCAAUUAGAAAUCAUUGUUAUUUUGAUUUUUCAUGAAUUGUCAAAUCAAUUUCACUUGACCACAAUCAUUUCUUUUCCUUCCAUUUAAACCUUAAUUAUCGAGAAUAAUCCAUCCCAAUGGAAGACACCUAAGACCACUAUACUACCGUAGCUUUUGCUAAAAAACCUUUUUGAUCGGGCAAGAGUUACCUUAGCAUAGUUGAAUUAUGUUAUAAUUUUUUUUAUCCAAUAAACAACAAAAAAAUCAAUCGAUCAAGUUUGCAUUGUGUAUUCUUGAAUUUUAUUAAUAAAUUUAAUCCCCCUUUUUGAAGCGAUUACACCAAACCAAGUAAAUAUUUUAUAUACUUCAUUUGCUUUAUUUUUUCUAUUAAGUUUAGGUGUUGCAAUUUUCAAGAGUCAUGGUGAGAAGAUUGUGGGAAAAAUUAUUUUAAGGAUGGAGUCGAACAUAAAAUAUGAAAUUGAGUCCUUUGAUGGAAAUAAUAAUUUUAAUAUUUGAUAAAGUAUUAUUAAAGAUGUUUUGAUACAACAAAGACUUCUCAAAGCAUUACAAGGCAAAAAAACUAGAGAGCAUGACAAAUAAAGAAAUGAAAGAAUUAGAAGCAAGAGUUGUAAGUACUAUUUGUUUAAGUCUUAAAAAUGAAAUACAUUGUUUUGAAUGAAAAAUAUUCUUUCAGGGGUGUCAAUUGCUCUUUUAGAGACCAAAAAUAUUAAGCAAUCAAGUAGUUCAUCUCAUAUUGGACAAACUGUUAUGAUGAAUUCUAAACCACAUCAUCAUAGGAGUAAAUCGAAAGAAAAGUAUCUGAUAGGAGGAUGAUCAUUCCAUUCACAUUUAUGGAGGAAUAUGAAGUAUUAUUACUAUGAAAAAAAAAACAUAUCAGGAGAUAUUGUAAAGAAUUGAUGAAGUACCUAGAAGAAAUGAAAAUUUUUAAAUCCCAAGAGACUUCAAAUUCUACUAAUAUUGUUGAUGAAAAUUUUGAAAUAUUGUAGUAAAUUAAAAGUUACAUUAUGGGACUUUUAGUGAGUGUUUUGUGUUGAAGAAAGGCUAAUUAAAGUAAACAUGCAUCUAAAAUUAUAAUUUAGAUGUUGUACUCAAAUAGUUGCUCUCCUCGAUUAUAUCAUAAAAUUUGGUUUGAAGUAGUCUAAGUCAUCUAAUAAUUUUCUAGUUCCAAUUACAUGCAUCAAACAUGUGUGUUAGGAAGUGUUGCAAAUUACUAAUUAGUAUAGAUCCCUUUUUUUUUUUAAAGAAUAUUGUAUUGAAUAUUUCUAGGUUGAUAUAUUAUUGUAAUAUUAGACUUCCUUAUAGAAUAAGGAAUGUUGUUGAAAAUAUCCCUAUAAAUAUUCUAGUUCAUAAGGGGAAAAAGUUAUGAGAUGAAGAUGGACCCAUAAAGACUAUACAAGGUGGAUAGAGAUGUGAGGAAGAACAGGAGGUACCCGGUGGAGCGAGAGGGCUCGUGGUAAGGUAUAGGUACGAAGAGUGAGGAAACAUGGGAUGUUUUGGGAACCCAAUAGUUAUAUCUAGUUAUAUCAUCUAUAAGUUCUAGUUCUGUCCUUUGCAUUGUUCUCUAUUUUAUAGUGGAAUGAUUCUCUCUUAUCUGUGGAUGUAGGCAUGGUUUUCGAACCACGUUAAAACCUUAUGUACCGUUUGUGUCGAAUUUUUUUAUCUUUAUUUUCUUGAUUAAUGAAGUUUGCAUCAAAGCUUCCGUCAACGGAACAAACUUGUAUCAAAGCUUGGGUUAAAGAUUUCUGGAAGAGUAAAAGAUCACAAAGCACACAAGAUGAAACCAAAAGGAUUUUUUAGUGAAAAUGGAGUCGAUUGCUCUCUUGUGGUGAUAUGAUAUAAAAAGUUUGUCUCAUGGAAAGUUUGAAGAUUGACUUCAUGGAAUUUGGUCCAAAAUGGAGAUUGUUAAUAAGUGUCCCAAAUUCCUAAUUAGUAUAGAUUUUUUUUUUUUUUGUAAAGAAUAUUGUAUAGAAUAUUUCUAGGUUGAUAUAUUAUUGUAAUAUUAGACUUUCUUAUAGAAUAAGGAAGGUUGUUGAAAAUAUCUUUAUAAAUAUUCUAGGUCAUGAGGAAAAAAAGUUAUGAGAUGAAGAUGGGCCUGUAAAAACUAUAUGAGGUGGAUAGAGAUGUGAGGAAGAACGGGAGGUACUCAAUGGAAUGAGAGGGCUCGUGGUAGGGUAUGGAUACAAAGAGUGGGGAAAUAUGGGAUGUUUUGGGAACCUAAUAGUUGUAUCUGGUUCUGUCAUCUAUAAUGUUCUAGUUACGUCCUCUAUAAUGCUCUCUAUUGUAUAGUGGAAUGAUUCUCUUUCAUCCAUGGACGUAAGCAUGGUUGUCGAACCACGUUAAAACCUCAUGUACUGUUUGUGUUAUUAUUCUUUAAAUUUUUUAAUAUUUGUUUCUUGAUUAAUGAUGUGUGCAUCAAAGCUUCCACCUACAUAACAAACUGGUAUCAGAGCUUGGGUUGAAGAUUUUUGGAAUAGUAAAAGAUCACAAAGCACACAAGAUGAAAACAAAAGGAAUUUUUAGUGAAUGUGGAGUCAAUUGUUUUCUCGUGGUGAUAUGAUACAAAAAGUUUGUGUCAUGGAGGGUUUAAUGAUUGACUCCGUGAAAUUUGGUCCAAGGUAGAGAUUGUUAGGAAGUGUCCCAAAUUCCUAAUUAAUAUAAAUUCCUCUUUGUAAAGAAUAUUGUAUAGAAUAUUUCUAGGUUGAUAUAUUAUUGUAAUAUUAGACUUCCUUAUAGAAUAAAGAAGGUUGUUGGAAAUAUUUUCAUAAAUAUUUUAAGUCAUGAGGGAAAAAAGUUAUGAGAUGAAGAUGGGCCUAUAAAGACCAUACGAGAUGGAUAGAGAUGUGAGGAAGAAUCGAAGGUACCCAGUGGAGCGAGAGGGCUCAUGGUAGGACAUGAAUAUGAAGAGUGGGGAAACAUGGGAUGUUUUGGGAACCCAAUAGUUGUAUCUAGUUCUGUCAUCUAUAAUGUUCUAAUUCUGUCAUCUAUAAUGUUCUGGUUUUGUCCUCUGUAAUGUUCUUUAUUGUAUAGUGGAAUUAUUCUCCCUCAUCUGUGUAGGCAAGUUGUUAAACCACGUUAAAACCUCGAAUACCAUUUGUGUUGAUUUUUUUUUAGUUUUGUGUUCUUGAUUAACAAUGCUUGCAUCAAAGCUUCUACCAACGUAACAAUGUGCAACAUAUUUGAUAUAACUUAUAUUUUCUUAAGUAAUUGAACACUUUUUUUCUAUAAAUUUACUUGAUUAUCAAUGAAUACCUACAUAUGCGGUAUUGACAUAGUUUGAUAAAUAUUUUAAAAUAGUAUUAGAAUGGCUUUUCUUUUUCCCAAUUAAAAAAUUUAUCAAAUAUAUACAUACACACACACACACACAAUACUCAUUAGUAUGUCUUUUAUGAAAAAACUAUAUUUGUUUAUUUGAAUUUAGUAGCCAUUUAACUCCUUAGUUACUCAUAAACUUUAUAUCACCUUCUUAAAGUCAAGUCAUUUACAAUUAUUUCUAUCUAGCCUUCUCCAUUAUGACAACUUUAUAAGAUAGUGAUUGACUGGAAAAAUCUACAUGCCUUUGUUGAUAGGAUAAUUGUUUUUCUUUUUUUCGUAUUCAAAGAAUCUUGCUUUUGUUAUUGAGACUUUCAAAUCCUUUAUGUCUAGUGGUCUUAUAAUUCCCUAUUCAUUGGUCUUUCAUAUUACCAAUCAUUUUGCAAAUGAGUUAAUUUCAUUCACAUCCUCUGAGAUUUGAUGUAAAUUCGCUUAGUUACCAAUGAUUUCAAAUUUCAUUAAUUAGUACCCCUAUAGAUGUAAUUUGUGUACAAAAUUUAUUUUUUAAAAGAAUUUAGGUAAAAAUAUUUUAGGUUUAUGUCUUUAACAAUUCUCUAAAAUAAAUUUUACUUGCUAAAAAAUAACUUAUAUAGAUAGAAUACAUCUACAGGAGUUCUAACUGACGAAAUUUAAAACUAAUGGUGGUUUAGUGUAUUUAAACUAAACAUUAAGAAGGGUGACUGAAAUUAACCCUCUAGGUAUAUAUGUUUAACAAAAUUUUUAUUGUUUAUUUUUCAUUUAAUGUUUGCAUUUUUCAAUAAACAUUGAAAAGGAAUUGUUUUUCCAUAUGUUAACAAAAAGAAAUUUGAGCACCUAUAAAAAUGAAAUCUUGUAGUAAAAUUGAAGUUACAUUAUCAAACUUUUAACGAGUGUUUAUGUUUAGAAAGGCCAAUUAAAGCAAGCAUGCAUCUAGAAAUUAUAACUUAGAUGCAUCAAACAUGAGCAACAUAUUUGAUAUAACUAAUAGUUUCUUAAGUAACUAAACACUUCUUUUUCUAUAAAUUUACUUGAUUAUCGAUGAAUACUUACAUAUAUUUACAUAGUUUGAUAAAUAUUUUAAAAUAAUAUUAGAAUAACUUUUUUUUUCUCAAUUAUAUUAGAAAAUAAUAUAAAGUUACUUAUAAACUUUAUAUCAUUUUCUCAAAGUCAAGUCAUUUACAAUUAUUUCUAUUUAGCCUUCUCCAUUAGGACAACUUUUAUAUGAUAGUCGUUGAUUGGAAGAAUCUACAUGUCUUUUUUGAUAGGAUAGUUGUUUUUAUUUUUUUUAUUUUUUUUAUUCCAAAAAUUUGCUUCUAUCAUUGAAACUUUCAAAUCUUUUAUGUAUAUUACCAAUCAUUUUACAAGUGAGUUAAUUUCACUUAGGGUAGAUAUACUUAGCCACACCCCUAUAGAUGUAAUUUGUGUUUAAAUUUUAUUUUUUAUUCAGGUAAAAAUAUCUUAGGUAUAUGUGUUCAACAAUUCUCUAAAAAAUAAAUUUUCUUAUCUAAAAGUUUAUAUAGACAAAAUACAUCUGUAGAAGUCCUAACUAAUGAAAUUUAAAAUCAAUGGUUGUUUAGUGUAUUUACAUUAAACCUUAUGGGGUAUGAUUGAAAUUAACUCUCUUACAAGCACUUGUAGCUAAUAUGUUUGUAGUUGUAGUGUUGGAAAUUGAUCAUUUUCUUGAAGGCCUCUAAGAUAUUGGAAAUAUUGCCAUAGUUUUAGACUUUUUUUUAUUACACCUAAUAAAAAAUAUUAUUAAUUUAACAUAUAUAUUCUUGACUUAAAAGUAAAGUCUCUCCAUAUUGUAUAAGCCCUUAGGUGACAAUAUUAGGUGAAGUUUUUCUUUCGUUUAUUAAAAAAUAUAAAUAAUUUAUUAUUGUAUGAUAAAAUUUUAUGUAAUAUAUUUUUAUAGAUGUAAAAUUAUUAAUUGGGUUUUAUUUUAUUUUUUUACUAAAUUGUCAUUUCAAUAUAUAAAACUUAUUUGUAAAAAGACAAUUAUAAACUAUAUGAAAUUGAAAAACAUUUAGUUUUUUUAUUUAAUUUAUAAUUUUGUUUGGAUUAAUAAUUGAUAUUUGUAAGAUUUUUUAAUAUUAAAAAAAGUUAGCAUACUUAAGAAAGAUAUUCAAGAUCGGGAGUGUUUGAUAUUGGAUUAAUUUCCUUAUUUUCUCUAUUUUAAUAAAUUUUCAUGUCCAUUACAAAAUUUUUGUUGUUUAUAUUUUACUUCAAUAUUUUUAUUUUGUAAUAGACAUUUGAAAAGAUUUUUUCCUACAUGUUAAAAAAAAAAAAUGAACACUCCUAAAAAAGAAAUAUUGCAAUAAAAUUAAAGUUUACACUGUAGGACUAUUAGCAAGUGCUAUAUACUUAAAAUAGACCAAUUAAAGUAGAAAUACUUCUAAAAUUUUAAUUUAGGUAACAAUAAUAUAAAAAGAUAAUAUUUUUGAAACAAUAGUUCUCUUGGAGUUUUGGGUACGAUGGACUAGACUUUAUGUAACAAUAGAUAUAUGAACUUUCCAUUAACAUCUUGAGAGACAUGAUGAGGAGCAAAGUCAUCCUAGAAGGUACCAUAGAGGUACCUUAGCUCCAUUCAUCUAGACUACAUAAUGUUUAAAGAUCAAAUUCAAUGACUAGAUUUCAAAAAUCAAUAUAAGCUUUCUCAUAUUCUACUCUAUAUAAGACAAUGGUAUGAUACAUCUCUUGUGUCGUAGAAUGCACCAUGAAAACCUUAUCAUUUUAACAUCAGUUUGAAACUUAAAAGUCACUUAGCACAUUCUAGUUAUUAAUGUAAGAACAUUAAAAGAAAAUAUAAAAAAAGUUACUUUAUUCUUGUGAUUUUGAUCUAGGACUUUUAAUGAUAUUAAAAAAAAAAAAAAAAAACAGAAAAAUAAAUGGAAAUAAAAUCAACAAAUUAAACAAUUGAAUUAAGUUAGUUUAAUUUUUGCAUCGUUAAAUGGGUAAAUAAAGACUCUUAGAUUUGAUAUUAAUAUGAACAUCAUGACUUUAGUGAAUCUUACAAGAAAAUUUUAGUUUGAAAGACUUCAUUCAUUAAACGUGUGGCACAUAUUAAAGUAAAACUAAGUCUUCUCUAUAAUUUGUACCUAUCAUAGUUUCUUUCCUCAUAAAUAGCCUUUUUUGAAUAUAAUAUAGACUUCAACAUGUAUGGUGGGGCCGAUCAAACUACUAGUCAAGACAACUCAUGGGCAACAACGAUGUACCAACUAUAUUAAAUACUCUUCAUCUAUUUGCAUAUCAAGAGUAAUUUAGUAGUGUCUUUCUUAUGUACCUCGUAUCUAGACUUUCAAUGGAGAGUUCUUCAUCUAAAAAUUUGACUUGGGUUUUCAUAUUAGUUUUGGUUUAGACAUAUGGAUGCAAAGGUUGCAUCAAAGAAGAGAAGUAGGCUAAAUCAUCUUACAAAUUUUCAAGUUCAAAUUAGAUGCACCAAACAUAUGCAAUAUAUUUGAUAUAACUAAUAUUUUCUUAAGUAAUUGAAUACAAUUUUUUUUAUUUUAUAAAUUUACUUGAUUAUUAAUGAAUAACUACUUGUAUGAUAUUGACACAACUUGAUAAAACUUUUAAAAUAAUAUUAGAAUAACUUUGCUAAAAAAAAGUAAAAAUAAAAAUAAAAAUAUGUCUAUAUAUAUAAAAUUAAAUAAAAUUAAAAAUUAAAAAAGAAUAUAUAUAUAUAUAUAUAUAUUGUGUGUGUGUGUGUGUGUGCAUGGUCCCACAACUCAUUAGCUACUCAUAAGCUUUAUAUCACUUUCUCAAAGUCAAGUCAUUUUGUAAUUAUUUCUAUCUAGCCUUCUCCAUUACGACAACUGUAUAAGAUAUUGAUGGGUUGGAAAAAUCUUCAUGUCUUUUUUAAUAAGAUAGUUUUAUUAUUAUUAUUAUUAUUAUUAUUAUUAUUAUUAUUCAAAGAAUUUGAUUUUAUUAUUGAAACUUUCAAAUCCUUUAUGCCUAGUGGUCCUACAAUUCCCUAUUCAUUGGUAUUUCAUAUUACCAAUCAUUUUACAAAUAAGUUUAUUUCACCCGGUAAAUAUACUUAACUACUAAUGGUUUCAAAUUUAAUUGAUUAACACACUUAUAGAUGUAAUUUGUUUUUAAAUUUUAUUUUUUUAGAAGAAUUGUAGGUAAAAAUAUUUUAGGAAUAUGCGUUCAAUAAUUCUCUAAAAACAAUUUAUAUAGAUGGAAUACAUUCAUGGAAGUUCCAACUAAUGAAAUUUAAAACCAACGACGAUUUAAUGUAUUCUCACUAAAUCUUAGGGGAGGUGUACUAAAACUAGCCUUUUUACAAAUAUUUGUAGCUAGUAUAUUUGUAGUUAUGGUGUUGGAAGUUGAUCAUUUUCUUAAAGGCCUCUAUGAUAUUGGAAAUAUCGCCAAAGUUUUGAACUUUUUGUUUCAUCUAAAAAAAAUAUCAUUAAUUUAAUAUAUAUACUCUUUGCUUGAAAGUAUAGUUUCUUCAUAUAGUAUGAAGUUGUAGCUAGGUGACAAUAUUAGGUGAAAUUUUUUUGGUUUACUACAAAAUAUAAAUAAUAUAUUUAUUAUAUGAUAAAAUUUUGUAAAAUAUAUUAUUAUAGAUGCAAAAUUAUUAAUGGAGUUUUAUUUUUUACUAAAUUAUCAUUUCAAUAAUAAGAACUUAUUUGUUAAAAGAAAAUUAUAAAAUAUAUGCAGUUGAAAAAAUUUUAAUUUUUUUAUUUAAUUUGGUAUUUUAUUUGAAUUAAUAAUUGAUAUUUGUAAGAUAUUUUAAUAUUAAAAGAAGUUAACAUACUUAAAAAAGACAUUCAAAAUCAAGAGAGUAUUUGAUAUGAAAUUAAUUUAUUUAUUUUUUCUAUUUAAAUAAAUUUUUACAUCCAUUAAAAAAAUUUUAUUGUUUAUUUUUCACUUCAAUAUUUUUAUUUUGUAAAAGAAAUAGAAAUAAAAUCAACAAAUUAAACAAUUGAAUUAAGUUAGUUUAAUUUUGCCACCGUUAAAUUGGUAAAUGAAGACUCUUAUAUUUGAUAUUAACAUGAACAUCAUGACUUCAUUGAAUCUCACAAGAAAAUUUUAGUUUGAAAGAUUUUAUUCUUUAAUCAUGUGGCACAUAUUAAAGUGAGACCAAGUCUUCCCUAUAAUUUGUAUCUAUCACAAUUUCUUUCCUAAUGAAUAGCCUUUUUGAAUAGAAAAUAGACUUUAGCAUGCAUGGUGGGGCCUAGCUAUCAAACUACUAGUCAAAGCAACUCAUGGGCAAGAAUGAUGUACCAACUAGAUUAAGUAUUCUCCAUCUAGUUGCAUAUCAAGAGUAAUUUAGUAGUAUCUUUCUUGUGUACCUCAUUUCUAGACUUUCAAUGGAGAGUUUUUUAUCUUAAAAUUUGAUGUGGGUUUUCAUACUAGUCUUGGUUCAGAUAUGUGAAUGCAAAGGUUGCAUCGAAGAAGAGAAGUAGGCUAAGUCAUCUUACAAAUUUUCAAGUUCAAAUUAGAUGCAUCAAACAUGUGCAACAUAUUUGAUAUAACUAAUAUUUUACCAAGCAACUAAAUACUUUAUAUAUAUAUAUAUAUAUAUAUAUAAAUUUAUUGAUGAUCAAUGAAUACACAUGUAUGGUAUUGACACGGUUUGAUAAAUCUUUUAAAAUAGUAUUAGAAUAACUUUGCUAAAAAAAGUAAAAAUAAAAAUAAAAAUACAUAUAUAUAUAUAUAUAUAAAAUAAAAAAUUUUAAAAGAAUAUAUAUAUAUUAGUGGUCCCACAACUCAUUAGCUACUCAUAAGCUUUAUAUCAUUUUCUUAAAGUCAAGUCAUUUACAAUUAUUUCUAUCUAGCCUUCUCCGUUGCGACAACUGUACAAGAUAUUAAUUGAUUGAAAAAAUCAUCAUGUCUUUUUUGAUAGGAUAGUUUUUUUUUUUAUUCAAAGAACUUUCAAAUCCUUUAUGUCUAGUGGUCCUACAAUUCCUUAUUCAUUGGUAUUUCAUAUUACCAAUCAUUUUACAAAUAAGUUAAUUUCACUCGGUAAAUAUACUUAACCACCAAUGGUUUCCAAUUUGUAACACUCUUAUAGAUGUAGUUUGUUUUUAAAUUUGAUUUUUUAGAAGAAUUGUAGGUAAAAAUAUUUUAGCUAUAUAUGUUCAACAAUUCUCUAAAAACAAUUUAUAUAGAUGGAAUACAUUCAUGGAAGUUCCAACUAAUGAAAUUUAAAACCAAUGAUGAUUUAAUGUAUUUGUACUAAAUCUUAGGGAGUGUGGACUAAAAUUAGCCCUUUUACAAAUAUUUAUAACUAGUAUAUUUGUAGUUGUGGUAUUGGAAGUUGAUCAUUUUCUUAAAAGGUUUACCAUUGAAGUUAGUUGAAUAUAAAGUUAGGUGAACUUUACCAUUGUUAAAUUGGUAAAUGAAGACUCUUAGAUUUGAUACUAACAUGUACAUCAUGACUUCAUGGAAUCUCUCACAAGGAAAUUUUAGUUUGAAAGACUUCAUCUUUUAAACAUGUGGCACAUAUUAAAGUGAGACCAAGUCUUCCCUAUAAUUUGUAUCUAUCACAAUUUCUUUCCUCAUAAAUAGCCUUUUUGAAUAGAAUUAAUAUAGACUUUAGCAUGCAUGAUGGGCCCCGUCAAACUAUUAGUCAAGAUAAUUUGUAGGUAAGAACGAUGGACCAACUAUAUUAAAUACUCUUCAUCUAUUUGCAUAUCAAGAGCAACUUAAUAUUGUCUUUCUUUUGUACUUCAUGUUUGAACUUUCAAUGGAGAGUUUGUCAUCUAAAUAUUUGAUGUGGGUUUUUAUACUACUCUUGGUUCAAAUAUGUGGAUGCAAAGGUUGCAUCAAAGAAGAGAAGAUGGGUUUGCUUGAAUUCAAGGCUUUUCUUAAAUUGAAUAAUGAGCAUGCAGAUUUUCUUCUCCCUUCAUGGAUAGAUAACAACACUAGUGAAUGUUGUAAUUGGGAGCGGGUUAUUUGCAAUCCCACCACAGGUCGAGUUAAGAAGCUUUUCCUCAACGAUAUAACGCGACAACAAAAUUUCUUGGAAGACGAUUGGUACCAUUAUGAAAAUGUCAAAUUCUGGUUACUAAAUGUCUCCCUAUUCCUUCCUUUUGAAGAACUUCACCAUCUAAACUUGUCUGCAAACUCAUUUGAUGGGUUUAUUGAGAAUGAAGGUAUGUUACCUCUCACCUUUAAAAUUUCUUUUCACUUAUACUCCAAACAUUCUAAAGGAACUACUAGCAUAUGUUCUUAAAAGUGUUCAGGUGGAGACCAAAUGGUCACUAGUAACUAUUGAAUUUAAUAUAAGAACAAUUACUAAUUAUUAAAAUUUAUAAUGUAAAUUAACAUUUAAACAAAACAAUAAAAAAAUUAUUAUUUUAGAAAACUAUAGAUUACAUUAGCCUUAUAUAUAUAAGCAUACUUGUAAUUUAUGCCAUCAUUUCACACUCAACCCAAUUAGUGGGAUUCAACUAAGAGUGAGCAAUUUCACAAUUAUUAAUUAACAAAAACACUUAGGCUCCCAUAUCCUUAUCCUUUUUGCUGAAUUGUCUUUCCUUAUCUUCCAUUCCUAAAAAGCUUGAUUUCUAUAUUCCAAAUUGAUAGAGAUUGGUUAAAGAAAGGUGAUCACAAAAUUUGACUAUUGCUUUCAAAUGAGGAAUCACCAUCUUCAAAAUUUCACAUUUAAAAAAAAAAAAAAAAAAAAAACUAGCCUCGGGUAAGGUCCAAGCCUUAUUGUUUUAAGCUGAUGUCGGGUUGGUUUAAUAAUGAACAGAGUAAAUCCCAACCCAUGACCAUCUACGCAUUUCCAAAUUCCACCCAUCCACAACCCAUUAAUAUGACAUUUUCAGGGACAAAAUUUAAUCAAUUAAACCUAUUAGAUGGAUUCUCCAUACAAUGUUAAAAUGAAUAUAAAAACUUUAAUUCAAAAAAUAAUUUCCUUUAUUUAGUUAGGAUUCAAAUUAUAGGGGCACAAAACAUGAAAAUUUUCAUGUUUAAAAUUCACAAAGAUCACAAAAGCUCUUUGAAGCUCUAUGGACUUUUUUAUUUCUAACAUUUAAACACAAAAAUCACCAAAUUGAAUUAGAAACUUGGAUGCAUAUUCUUAUAUUAAAGACAUGUAAGCUUACAUAUUUAAAUAUGAAGAUCUCAACUUGUAAUUACAUGCUUCUAAUUAAAGUUAUAUUACUCUAUUUUACAGGAUUUAAAGGGUUAUCAAGUUUAAAGAAAUUGGAGAUCUUGGACAUAAGUGGUAAUGAGUUUGACAAAAGUGCCUUAAAAUCUUUGGGCACAAUAACAUCACUCAAGACAUUGGCUAUUUGCAGCAUGGGACUGAAUGGAUCUUUUUCCAUUCGAGGCAUGUUAUAUGUCCACAUUGUUUCUUUGAAAUUAAGUAAAAUGUAUUUCUAACUUUUAAUGUUCCUUAGUUAAUCUCUCUUUUGAUUCAUGUUUGUUGCAGAAUUAGCUAGUUUGAGAAAUUUGGAAGUGUUGGAUCUAAGCUAUAAUGAUUUGGAAAGCUUUCAACUAUUGCAAGGUACUUCAUUAACUUGCUAAAAAAACUUAUGAUAUUUUGUUAUUAAAUUAAAGGUAAGAUUAACAAACAAUUUCUUCCCAUUAGUUACUUUUCUUUGUAAUAUCAUUAAAUUUGAUAUAAAAUAGUCUAAAUCAUCCUUUCAAUUUAUAAGUUUUAAUUAAAACGCAUCAAGCAUGCACAAGGUGUUUAAUAUAACUAAUAUUUUCAUAAGUAAUUGAAUUUUUUUUAUGAAUUAAUUAACUUGAUUAUCAAUAAAUACUUACAUGUAUAAGAUUAAUAUAGUUUCAUAAGUAUUUUAAAAUUGUCUUACAACACACACACACACACACAGAGGGAAAAUGAAAGGUAUGUGAUACAUUUAUGCUAUGUUUGGUUCCCAAAAAAAUUGAGGGAAAAUGAAAGGAGAAAAAAGUGGAGAGGAAAAGUAAAAGAAAAGAAAAAAAGUGAAGAAAAAUAUAAAAUUGAUUAAAGUAAAUACAUGUUACUUUAAACUUUUUUACUUAUUUUAAUUCUUCAAUGUAAGGAUGAAAGAUUUGAAAAUGCAUAAGUUUCUAAUUUUUUUAUUUUAUUUUAUAGUUUUUACAAUACAACCAAACAUACUAAAAUCAUUUUCUUUAAUUUUUUUUUCUUUUCUUAAUACUUUUCACGAACCCUUAAGUUAUGUUUGGUUUGCAGAAAAUAUGAGGAAUAGCAAAUAGAAAAGAAAAUUAGAAGGAAAGAAAAAAUGAAGUAAAAUAAAAAUAAAUUUAAAUUUAAUAAAUUAUUUUUAUAUGCUACUUUAAGCUUAUUUCACUUAUUUUAAAUUAUUUAAACUCAUUUCUAAUAAAUAAUAAUGGAAAUUGUAGAGAAGUUUGUGUUAUUCAAGCUUUGCAAUGACUUUUCAAGGUGAAGGAAAAUAUUCUUGCUGAAAUUGAAAAAGGAAAUACCUUCUUAAAUAGCCUAUUGACCGAAAACACAUUACCCUAACAUAUACACACACCUUUAUUAUUUAUACAAUCAUGUAAUACUUAAUCCAGUUAGUGGGAUUCUAGUGGUUGUUUCUAUCUUGGUUUCCAAUAUUUCUGAUUGAUAGUGUUCGAUUAAUGAAAUAUCAUAAAUUUUGACCCCAAUAAGGACCAAUCCCUAUUAAAUGUAAUUGGGUUAACCUAAGACUAAAUGCUAGACCCAACUAAUAAAAACCCAUCUGUUUGUUGGAGUCUAAAUAACCUGGCCUUAGGUAGAGCCCAUGCCUUAUUAUUUUAAGAUGUAGUCCAACUGGUUUAACACUAGAUUGAGUAAAGCCCAACUUAUGAGCAUCUGUGCAUUUCCAUCCAUCCACAACCUACUGGCAUGGAUAAACUUUGGUCAAUUAAACCUAUUAUAACUGUAUACAAAAUUUUAAGUUCAAAAGAUAAUUUUCCUUAUUUAGUUAGGAUUCAUAUUAAAAAGGCACAAAACAUGAAUUUUCAUGUUUAAAUUCACAAAUACCACGAAAGCUCCUUCAAGCUCUAUGGACCAUUUUAUUUGUAACAUUAUAUUACUCUUAAUUAUCAAAUUAACCAACAAAUUCUUCUCAUUACUUAUCUUUCUUUUGUAAUGUCAUAAAAUUUGAUGUAAAGUAGUAUUGGUCAUCAUUUCAACUUUCAGGUUCCAAUUAGAUGCAUCAAGCAUGUGCAACAUAUUUGAUAUAACUAAUAUUUUUAUAAGUAAUUGAAUUUUUUUUUUCUAUAAAUCAAUUAACUUGAUUAUCAAUGAAUACUUUCAUACAUGAUAUUGAUGUAGUUUCAUAAAUAUUUUAAAAUAGUCAUAGAAGUCUUUUAUCUGAUUCACUAGAAAGAAAAAUAAACUAUUCUAAUGAAAAUACUUGAUGAUUUGAAGUGAUUGCUUUUGAUUUUAUUUGAUUGCUACCAUUAUUAAUUGUUAGAAAUUGGCAACAAAUACCCAUUUUGCAUCACUUCUAUAUGCAUCGGGGGAAUGAAUUAUAUUUCAUAGAGCUAACAGGGCAAAACUCAAACUUUUGGAAUUAUGGAAAAUGUUGCUAGAAAGCUAAUUAACCAUUUAUAUUAUGAUUAAGACUAGUUGGGUUAGAAAUAAUUCAUAUGGAGAUUAAAAAAAACUAUGUAAUUUAGUUUAGUAGCUUGGGUGCUAUUGUAAUGAUUAAUGAUCUGCAACUUGAACACAUCUACUAGUGCUUUCUACUUGUAUAGCUAAAUUUAUGUUACCACUUUGAACUAGAGUACUUACAUGAGAAGAAAGCUUUUCCCUAGUGAUAAUGCAAAAGAAAUUAAGUAUCAAUUUUUGUUAAAAAUAACAAGUGAUAGUUUAGAUAUGGUUUGAAUACACUUUCUUUCUUCUAUUUUUUUAUUUUGAAAAAAAAAACUCUUUAAUGAAAUAUAAGAAAUCUUAUAUGUAUAAAAAUUAAAGACUUAAACAAAAAAAUUUGAAAUUUUGAAAAUUUUCGAGAAGUAUUUUUAAGAAUUUGUAUUUUUAGUAUAAUAAUUCCUAUAUUUUGUAUAAAAGUUUUUGUUUAAAAAAAUAGAAGUGUAUCCAAAUUACAAAUUAAUUGUUAAAUUAAGAAUGUUUCUCAGAUCAAGAGAUAAUGAAAGUUGUAGAGAGUUUGCAUUACUCAACCUUUGCAAUUACUUUUUGAAGGUAAAAAAAAAAUACCUUCCUACAUAACAUACAAUGGUAGGUUCUGGUUUGUAAGAAACUAAUAAAUGAUUAAGAAUAUGAAUAAGACUUCCUUUAUAAUAGAUAUGUAGAGAAGAAUAGUGGAUGAUAGGUGGUGAAAAUCUUGUAAUAAAAUAUCAAUAUCGGUUAUAAGAUAAUCAACAUUUUCUCUAUUUCUUGUACCUAUGUGAUUAAGAAUCUUGUAGCUCCCUUAUUGAAAUAUAAUAUAAAAAUAUAAAUAAACUAUUUAGAAGUGCAUGUAGUUUUCAACAUGAGGAAGUUCAAAAGCAAGUUAAUUAUGAUAAUUUUCCAUAGUCUAUAUUGAACACAAAUUAUUUUUACUAAAGGUUCAAUCGUUCUAUGAAGGUUAAAAGUUUGAAUUGUUUACAUAUGCAAAUGUGAAAUUUGAAAGUUUAUAAUUUUUUAUAAUUUUCUUGUAGAUUCAAAAAGCUUGUCCAUAUUCAAAAAGCUCGAGACCUUGAACCUCAAUUACAACAAGUUCAAAAACACUAGCCUACAACAAUUGGAUAUAUUUACAUCCCUUAAAAAUCUUUCUCUAAGAUGGAACAAUGUUGGAGGAUUUUUUCCUAUCCAAGGUAUGUGUAAUUAUUAUUAUUAUUAUUUUUAAUGAUGAAAUAUUAGAAUUGUCAACAUCUUUUAUCUUUUUUUCCCCUCAAUGGUGUUGCAGAAUUAUGCACUCUGGAAAACUUGGUGAUGUUAGACCUAAGUGGGAAUUUCUUUUUUGGCAUGCAAGGUAAAUACAAAGUGAAGUUUUGGUUAUAUAUAUAUAUAUAUAUAUAUAUAUAUAUAUCAUGUAAGAACAUAACUAAAAUCAACAUUAUUUGCCUAUCAAUUUGUGCAUGACUAUUAUUUAGUUAUUCUUCGUAACAUAAUUGAAAGAAUGUCUAGGUGUACAACAUUUAAGAAUUUUACAUGGCACAAUGAAAAACAUGGUAAUCAAUGUGUGCAAUAAAAUUCUAAUAGUUGAAAAAGAAUUUUCUUGUAAUUUUAUGUUCAUGUAUAGUAAUCAAAGAGAAAAUCAUGAAAAUGUAUAUUAGUUAGACUUUAUAUAUCAAUAGACAAAAAAGAAAGAAAAAAAAAGAUUAGUUCCUUAACUUAUCCUAAAAUUUUCUAGAUAACAAGGAGUUUUUUUAUUUUGGGCUAUAAGGUUUACAACCUGAAAAGUGAAGAUGAUUAAUAUUAGUAAUAAAAUUUUAAAAUAUAAAAAUUAGUGAAAUAAUGUUCUCUAUAACUAUAACUCCAACUGCAACUAUUAAUAAAAGAUAAUAAAGGUACUUUAGACUUUGAAUCCAUGGUUAGGUUUGCAAUUUUUUGAUGAUCAAUAAAGCUACAACUUAUGCUGCAAAAGGCUAUACAAAAUGUAUUAGGAGCAUUGCUAAGCUCAUUUAUCAAUAAAGGAAAUCCAGUAAUACUUUGAUUGGAAAAAACCUAGAAUCAUGUUUGAUAUAUAAUAGGUGAAGAAACAAAAUAACAAUUCCAUGGUAUUAGUUAGUUUGAUAUCUCUUUUGUUAUAUGGAAUAACUAUUCCAUUUUAAAAUAAUUAUUUCAUCUUAUCGCUAGAACAAAAAAUUUCAGGCGAUUAUAUGGGCUUUUGGGUUUCUUAAGAAUUUAAGCAUUUAUGGGUCACCCAUAUAUAUAUAGGAAGAAUAAAAAAAAAAAUAUUCUAUGGAGACAAGGGUAGACACCCAUAAAUGUACAUAUAAUUAUUUAAAUAAAAAUAUCAAUAAGAAACAAUAUACAACAAAAUAGAAAAUUUUAAUCUUCCUAAAUUUUAAAAAUAGAAAAUAAAUGAAAAAAAAUUAAAAAGUAAAAAAAAAAAAAAAAAAAGGUCAAGAAUACAAAUAGAUAAGUAAACAAAAUAUAAAAAAAAUACAUAAAUUAAAAUUAAAAUUUUUUUAAAAAAAAUACAUAGAUUAAUAUGAACACUAAAUGAGGUUUUUUGAGAUAGACUUAGUUAGACUUGAACUAGAUGGAUAUUAAAAAAAAUAAAAAUAAAAAUUCAAAGAAAUAAAAACUAAUUAGAUGCUAAAUAUUGGAUUAAAAUAACCAAAUGAAUAAAGAGUAAUUAUUAAUUUUUAACAUUUUUUAUUCCUUAGAAUUAUUAUUUUGUGUAUUAAAUGUAUUAUGAGUGUAGUGGUAUAAAAAAUGUAGUUAAGAAUACUAUGAAGAAUAAUAAUGGUGAUGAUAAUGGUGACGACACUUAAUACCUUUUAUUGUACAUUUAGAAAAAAUGAGGUUCUUGAUCUUUAUGAAGAUUAUCAUUACUCAUCCGCAAGCAUGUUGAUAGUUGAAACUACUCAAUUAUCAAAAAUUGAAUUUCUAACCUUCAAUUUUUCUCUCUCAAAUGUAUAUGUGGGUGAGAAAGCACUAGGUAGGUUAUAAGGUCUCACAUGUAUAUGAGUCAUAGGAUAAAAAAUAUAGAGACAAUACUAGCAUUUAUUUGAUCCAGUGGCAAAUAGAGAAAUAUAACAUAACCAUAACCAUAAUGUUCUAACCUUAUAUAUACCAGAACCAUGUUUCCUUCAUUCAAUUUUGCAACUUUUUCUUUUCAAAUUAGAAUGUAACUCGUAGGAUCCAUUGUCCAUCAAAAUUUUGAAUCGAAUAUUAUAAGAUAUUUCACAUUUCUACCUACUAAAGCAUGAGCUUCAAUGUUCUCAUGCACUUUUGGCUACUAAGUUAAAGAACUCUUUGAGGGUUAAUGGAGUUUCUAUGAGUAGCAAAGCAUUAUAAUCACAAAGUCUUAUCAGUGAUAUGCAAUUUAACCAAGAACUUAUUCCCAACUAUUUUAUGACUUUUCUUGGCUACUUGUAGGCAAGCUAAAGAAAUUUUCUGGUUUGUUCAAGUCUAAAAAGUGGUUUCAAGUUUAGGGCCAAGCUUGGGCUGCACCUAGGUCCUUGGGCCUUAUUCAGCUCCACGUUUAAACCAACCUUGAGUCCAUCUUUGUAAUUUUUCUCCCAAUUCAUUGAUUUAUAUUAGGAUUUUAUAAAGCCUAUAAAUUGACCAACUAAAUAAAGUAGGUUCAUAAACUUUUAGGUGAAAAUUUUCUCUCUAAUAAAUGUUAAUUCAAGAGUCUCCGUAAUCUUUUUAUAUUCAUAUUAAUUGGUAUUUAAACUGACCUUACUAUAUUAAAGUCAAAUACCAAAUAGUGAACACUAUAUCUGCUACUACCACUAUGAUGGUCACAAACAUAGAAUGCUCCUUUUUUUAGAGUCAAUUGAUGCUUAUAAACAACAACUUUGUUUGAAAAUAAAAUACAUCGAGUGAUUGCAUCAAGAGAUUGAUGUAAUAAUUGCAUACUUGAUCUUGAUAAUGCUGAGUUGACUAAAUAAAUGAGUAUUUACUUAUAAGGUAGCCCAUAGAACAUUAUUUGUGGAAAUAUUCAUGCACCUCUACAUAUGUUCAUGAUAACUUAGGUUGAUAAAUUUAAGAAGAACAAAUUCAUAACCUUGGGCAUAGUUAGUAAGAAAUUUCACCAAUAGAGUUUGGUAUCAUGAUUCUAAUUGUUCAAAUUGUUUUAAAGGAGUAUUUUAAAUUGCAUGUUAAUUUGCUUCUAAUAAAUGGAGAGAAACCAAUUCAAGAAGAGAAUUGUACUCAAGCUAUGUAUAACAUUCAUGAAGAUGUAGAAAAUAUUGAUGAACUUACUUUUGAGCAAGUUGAAAUCAUAAUUAAAUAAAAGAACAAACCCAAGGGUUAAGAUUGUCAAGUAAAACUUUAACUAAAAUUUAUUGAUUUUUUAAAUGCCUAUUAGAGGGACAAUAGAAGUUCUAGAUAAAAAGUAAGAACUUUUCUAAGGAAUCACUUGUUAGAUUUUAAGUGAUCAAUAAAUAUAAUGUCCAAUUUAAAACUUUUAUAAAAGCAAUGCUUCUAAAGAAUAACUUGAUUUGAAUUUAAAGUUAUUAUUGAUAUUUGUUUAUAAUGGAUGUAGUUAAUCAACUGAACAUAGUAAAAAACACAUAAAUUUUUCAAAAUACCUUCUAGUUGUUGGGUAUAUUUAAAUAGUCAUCCAUAUCUCAUUAUCUUUUCACUCACAUACUAAUCUCCUUAUUGAGUAUUUACCAAUUACAAGUAGGUUGAAAGUUACUUGAAUUUAAGUCACUAAUCAAUGUUAACUUGAUAACAAAUAAGUCUCUCUUUGAAACUUGUUUUACAAGAUAGCGAAAUGUAGUCGAUCAAUCAUCAAAACAAUGUUCAAGCAUUAGGAUUUAGUUGUUAAUUUUUAUUUUUAUUUUUUGUGCUUAAACAAAGACAAAAAUGAUAAAAACUCCUUAAAAGUACAUAGUAAUUGAAUUUAAUUUAUACAUCAAACAAGAACAAACUAGUCUUGGAUUUAAAAUUCAUCAGGUUUUGUAAUUAUAAUUCCUAAAAAUUUGUAAGACAACAAAAUUAUUGGGCACUAGGUUAUUGGGUGUGUAUGACUAAGAGGUGAAGGAGGGUUCAUCUUAUACAAAGGAUGAUUUGAUUAAUUUUAAAGAUUGGAUAAACAAUAAUUGCAUAUUCAAGUAAAAAUAACAUUGCUAAAAAGGAAAAUAAGUAUUUUAGUCCUCAAACCUAAAAUGGCUAAAAAUUUUAAUUAAUACAAUACAACUUCACCUACAAAAGAAAAAAAAAACCCAAAACUUUUCAAUAGCACAACUAAGUCCAUUUAUCAAAAAAAAGAAAUAUAAGGAAGUUGGACUCAUUUACUAGCAAUUUAACAUAUGACUAAAACCUAUUGAAGAAUUUGCAAUAGCACUUACUUUGGUCAUGUCCAAACUUAUUGCACAUGGUGCAAAAAGGGGUAGUGCUCGAGGAUGCUUCCACAUAAGAAAGACCCUACUUAACUGUUACAAAGGUUAUUUUCCCACUUGUGGGAAUGCUAACCUUGCUAAUAUAUUAUAUGCCAUGUUUAUCAUAUACAAAUUUUUCUUUACUAAAUAUUUCUUUAAUGAUCUUGGACCUAAAAUUAAAUAUUUCAUUAGUAUUGGUCAUGUCGUUCCUCAACUUUUCAACUUUUAGAGUUAAAUCUUUAUCUUUAUCAUUGAUAGUUUUAUGUUUAGUCCCUAGAAACUUCACCUUAUUAACAAUAUGUUCAUUUAAUAUUUUGAUAUUUUUAAUUUUCAAAGAAUCAUAGAGCUCAUUAAUUUUAAUGUCUUUUUAUUCACUUUUAUGCUUUCAACCUUUGUUUUUAGUUUUCCUAUAAUAAUGCAUCAUAGACCCCAUGUAUAUCAUUAAAAUAAAACUCAUUUUUUUCAUUAGGAUUCAAUUAACCCAAUGGAUCAUAAUCAAAAUUAGUUGCAUAUGAACAAAAGCAAUAAGAUUAUCAUUUUGUACAUCUUUACUUUCAUUUGAGUUCUUAGCCCUACAAUCAUCAAACAUGGAAUUACUCCAAGUUACCUACAUAGCCUUCAUACCUAAUGUUUUUAAGGCAAGGACAAUCAACAACCAUGUGUCCCAUUCCCCCAAUGGUUCACUACGAAAUCAAGGUACAUAUGUUAUGCUUUCUUUGUUUCAUAGUGAUUAGAGAGGAUAAACAUUGUAAAAAAAAAAGUUGUCAUAGUUAAUGUAAGCUAAAACUAAAAAACUUGCUUUUUCAAUUGUGUAAGCAUGUUUUGUUCUUGAUGAAUAUUUACAACAUUCAGAGUUACUAAUGUUUAUAAUUCACAGAGACCUCAUUAACAACAAGUAACAACUAAUUGUAAGUAACCAUGAAAAAAAAAUAAGGAGAAAAAUAAAGGAAAAUCAAGGAAAGUGUCAAAUUUUUUCAUCCCCAUAAAAAAUGCUAAGGAAGAAAAAUGUGAAGAAAGUUUAAAGAAAGUAUAUUUUUCAAAAAUUGAAUUUUCUUUCCCUUAAAGUUGGUAUGGACAACCAAACAAGAAAAUGAUUUUUAAAUUCUUUUUUGACCUUUUUCUAUCAUUCUUUUUUUUUUCCCCCUACUCUAUUUCCUUUCCCUCAAACUUUCUAGGUAGUAAACAUUACCUAAGAUAAAUAGGGAAGAAAAUAUUUUAUCAUUUAUUUAUUUAGUAUUUUUCUUACCUUUUUUUGUAUUUUAUCCAAAUAUAAGAAAACUACUUUUCUUUAUUUUUUCUUUUCCUUGUUGCUUUUCAAGAAUCAAGCAUACUUUAAACUCUAAUUAAGAGUUACAUAGAUUUACAGAGAAACAAUGCAACUAGUAACAAAAAAUUAAGGAAAUUUAAUUUUUUAAUUUUUGAGAGUAAGUAUAAUAAGAUUGGUUUGUUUGAUACAAAAUUUGAAUAAAAAUUAUUUUAAUGAAAAUUCAAGGAAAGGAAAAAAAAAAAAAAAAACUUGAUCUCUAGACUAUAAUACUAAAUCAAUUAAAAAAUCUCCUAACAUCGUUUAUGUUCAUCUUUUUUUUUUUAUGGAUUUGAAAAACCCAAUAAUUUGGAGAAAACUGAUUCAAGGAAGAAUAAUUUUUAGAAUAAAAUAUUAUUAUUUAAGAAGAUCAUAAAUUUUAUAGUCAUUGUUGAAAAUGAUAAAUGAUUAAAAAAAAAAAGGUAGUUGGAAAUUUAGAUACUUUUAUAAGACAAAUGCAUUUUUCUAGUCUGGUAUGAAAAAAGGUAAAAUGAUAGGCUUUGAUCAUUUUUCAAGUUAGUUUGUUUAAAUCAUUUUAAUUUAUUUUGAUUUAAGAACAAUAACUUUUAUUACACUAGUUAUUUUGAUUUUCUUUUGAUAGAUUUUGCAAGCUUAAGCAAUUUGGAGCUAUUGGAUUUGAGUUAUAAUUUAUUUAGUGGGAGCAUUCCAUCAUCUAUAAGAUUGAUGUCUUCUAUCAAGUCUUUAUCCUUGGCUGAAAAUUACCUCAAUGGUUUCUUAGCAAAUCAAGGUACAUAUAUUGUGAUUACAGGUUUUUCUAUUUUCUUUUUUAAUAUCUUGUUUGUUCUUUAUGCCAAUUAAGUCAUGCAUGUCUAUUAAUUUUUGGUAUUUAAUGAAAAACUUUAUUCUUAAUUCAUAAAGACCUCAUCAACUAUAAGUAACAGUUAGUUCUAAGUUUGGGGGCAUUGACAAGACGAGGAGAUGAUUGGUUACAUGUCUUAUUCUCUUUUGUUGGCUUUUGCCAAUUGAAUAAGUUUCAAGAAUUAGAUUUUUCUUACAACUUAUUCCAAGGAAUCCUUCCUCCAUGUUUGAAUAAUUUGACAUCUUUGAGGUUAUUGGAUCUCUCUUCCAACCUAUUCUCCGGAAAUCUUUCUUCCCCUCUGUUACCUAAUCUCACAUCCCUGGAGUACAUCGAUCUCAGUUACAAUCAUUUUGAGGGUUCAUUCUCUUUCAGCUCUUUUGCUAAUCACUCCAACUUUCAAGUGGUCAAACUUGGAAGGAAUAACAACAAAUUUGAGGUAGAAACUGAAUAUCCAGUUGAUUGGGUUCCCCUAUUUCAGUUGAAAGCUCUUAUGCUAUCCAACUGUAAGCUCAUCGAUGACCUUCCUGGUUUUCUUCGACACCAAUUAAGAUUAACCGUGGUUGAUCUCUCCCAUAAUAACUUGACUGGAAGUUUCCCCAUUCAGCAGCUUGAAAACAAUACAAGACUAGGAUCUCUAGUUUUGAGGAAUAACUCUUUAAUGGGUCAACUACUUCCCCUGAGACCUAAUAGUCGUAUCACUUUAUUGGAUAUCUCAGACAACCGACUUCAUGGGGAACUUCAACAAAAUGUGGCCAAUAUGAUUCCAAAUAUUGAGUUUCUAAAUUUAUCCAACAAUCUUCCCCUUCAUUUCAUCCAUAUUUGGAUCUACCUUUAAAUCUCUAUUGCAUACAACCCAUAUAUGAUUCCCUCUAAAUUUAGCCUUCAUUUCUUGUUAAGAGGUUUUAAAAGCCAGCAAUUUAAUUUACUUUCAUCCUCUAUAUAGAUGAGAACUCUUAUAUUUAUCCAAUGAUAGGUAACAUUUUUGCAAAUGCUUUUAUUUGAUUUUUUUAAUUGGUCUUAAAAAUAAGUGUUAAUAAAGAUCCACAAUAUAAAAUAAUAAAUUAUAUCUCAAUUGACCUCAAGAUACUAUUUACUUCUACUAACUCAUUUUACAUCUCAAUUGUUCUUAAAAAGUCUAUAAUGGUAAUUAACUAUAGAAUUCAAGUUUUAAUUAUGCAAAAAAUAUAUAAAGGUUUUUAAAAUUAAUAGAAAAAAAGAUUCUAAUAAAUAAUAAGUAGAUUGAAACAUUUAUUUCUAGAAGUAGAGAAAGAUGGAGGAUCAUAAAAGUUGAAAAAAGAAUAAUUUGGAAGUCAUAAAAUUUUGGAAAAAGAAUAAUUCAUAGAGACCUCAUUAACAACAAGUAACAACUAAUUGUAAGUAACCAUGAAAAAAGUAAGGAGAAAAAUAAGGGAAAAGCAAGGAAAGUAGCAAAUUUUUUCAUCCCCAUAAAAAAAUGAUAAGGAAGAAAAAAGUGAAGAAAGUUUAAAGAAAGCAUAUUCUUCAAAAAUUGAAUUUUCUUUCCCUUAAAAUUGGUAUGGACAACCAAACAAGAAAAUGAUUUUUAAAUUCUUUUUUGACCUUUUUCUAUCAUUCUUUUUUUUCCCCCUACUCUAUUUCCUUUCCCUCAAACUUUCUAGGUAGUAAACAUUACCUAAGAUAAAUAGGGAAGAAAAUAUUUUAUCAUUUAUUUAUUUAGUAUUUUUCUUACCUUUUUUGUAUUUUAUCCAAAUAUAAGAAAACUAUUUUUCUUUAUUUUUUCUUUUCCUUGUUGCUUUUCAAGAAUCAAGCAUGCUUUAAACUCUAAUUAAGAGUUACAUGGAUUUACGGAGAAACAAUGCAACUGGUAACAAAAAAUUAAGGAAAUUUAAUUUUUGAGAGUAAGUAUAAUGAGAUUGGUUUGUUUGAUACAAAAUUUAAAUAAAAAUUCUUUCAAUGAAAAUUCAAGGAAAGGAAAAAAAAACAAAUUUAUCUCUAGACUAUAAUACUAAAUCACUUAAAAAAAACUCCUAACAUCGUUUAUGUUCAUCUUUCUUUUUAUGGAUUUGAAAAACCCAAUAAUUUGGAGAAAACUGAUUCAAGGAAGAAUAAUUUUUAGAAUAAAAGAUUAUUAUUUAAGAAGAUCAUAAAUAUUAUAGUCAUUGUUGAAUAUGAUAAAUGAUUAAAAAAAAAAAAGGUAGUUGGAAAUUUAGAUACUUUUAUAAGACAAAUGCAUUUUUCUAGUAUGGUAUGAAAAAAAGGUAAAAUGAUAGGCUUUGAUCAUUUUUUAAGGUAGUUUGUUUAAAUCAUUUUAAUUUAUUUUGAUUUAAUAACAAUAACUUUUAUUACACUAGUUAUUUUGAUUUUCUUUUGAUAGAUUUUGCAAGCUUAAGAAAUUUGGAGGUAUUGGAUUUGAGUUAUAAUUCAUUUAGUGGGAUCGUUCCAUCGUCUAUAAGAUUGUUGUCUUCUCUCAAGUCUUUAUCUCUGGCUGGAAAUCACCUCAAUGGUUCCUUAGCAAAUCAAGGUACAUAUAUUGUGAUUACAGGUUUUUCUAUUUUCUUUUUUAAUAUCUUGUUUGUUCUUUAUGCCAAUGAAGUCAUGCAUGUCUAUUAAUUUUUGGUAUUUAAUAAAAAACUUUAUUCUUAAUUCAUGAAGACCUCAUCAACUGUAAGUAACAACUAGUUGUAAAUUUGGGGGCAUUGAUAAGACGAGGAGAUGAUUGGUUACAUGUCUUAUUCUCUUUUGUAAGCUUCUGCCAAUUGAAUAAGCUUCAAGAGUUAGAUUUUUCUUACAACUUAUUCCAAGGGAUCCUUCCUCCAUGUUUGAAUAAUUUGACAUCUUUGAGGUUAUUGGAUCUCUCUUCCAACCUAUUCUCCGAAAAUCUUUUUUCCCCUCUGUUACCUAAUCUCACAUCCCUGGAGUACAUCGAUCUCAGUUACAAUCAUUUUGAGGGUUCAUUCUCUUUCAGCUCUUUUACUAAUCACUCCAACCUUCAAGUGGUCAAACUUGGAAGGAAUAACAACAAAUUUGAGGUAGAAACUGAAUAUCCAGUUGGUUGGGUUCCCCUGUUUCUGUUGAAAGCUCUUGUCCUAUCCAACUGUAAGCUCAUCGGUGAUCCUGGUUUCCUUCGACACCAAUUAAGAUUAACCGUGGUUGAUCUCUCCCAUAAUAAUUAGACUGGAAGUUUCCCCAUUUGGCUGCUUGAUAACAAUACAAGACUAGGAUCUCUAGUUCUGAGGAAUAACUCUUUAAUGGGUCAACUACUUCCCCUGAGACCUAAUAGUCGUAUCACUUUAUUGGAUAUCUCAGACAACCGACUUCAUGGGGAACUUCAACAAAAUGUGGCCAAUAUGAUUCCAAAUAUUGAGUUUCUAAAUUUAUCCAACAAUCAUCCCCUUCAUUUCAUCCAUAUUUGGAUCUACCUUUAAAUCUCUAUUGCAUACAACCCAUAUAUGAUUCCCUCUAAAUUUAGCCUUCAUUUCUUGCUAAGAGGUUUUAAAAGCCAGCAAUUUAAUUUACUUUCAUCCUCUAGAUUGAUGAGAACUCUUAUAUUUAUCCAAUGAUAGGUAACAUUUUUGCAAAUGCUUUUAUUUGAUUUUUUUAAUUGGUCUUAAAAAUAAGUGUUAAUAAAGAUCCACAAUAUAAAAUAAUAAAUUACAUCUCAAUUGACCUCAAGAUACUAUUUACUUCUACUAACUCAUUUUACAUCUUAAUUGUUCUUAAAAAGUCUAUAAUGGUAAUUAACUAUAGAAUUCAAGUUUUAAUUAUGCAAAAAAUAUAUAAAGGUUUUUAAAGUUAAUAGAAAAAGAGAUUCUGAUAAAUAAUAAGUAGAUUGAAACAUUUAUUUCUAGAAGUAGAGAAAGAUGGAGGAUCAUAAAAGUUGAAAAAAGAAUAAUUUGGAAGUCAUAAAAUUUUGGAAAAAGAAUAAUUCAUAGAGACCUCAUUAACAACAAGUAACAACUAAUUGUAAGUAACCAUGAAAAAAGUAAGGAGAAAAAUAAAGGAAAAUCAAGGAAAGUGACAAAUUUUUUCAUCCCCAUAAAAAAUGAUAAGGAAGAAAAAGGUGAAGAAAGUUUAAAGAAAGUAUAUUUUUCAAAAAUUGAAUUUUCUUUCCCUUAAAGUUGGUAUGGACAACCAAACAAGAAAAUGAUUUUUAAAUUCUUUUUUGACCUUUUUCUAUCAUUCUUUUUUUUUUCCUUACUCUAUUUCCUUUCCCUCAAACUUUCUAGGUAGUAAACAUUACCUAAGAUAAAUAGAGAAGAAAAUAUUUUAUCAUUUAUUUAUUUAGUAUUUUUUUUACCUUUUUUUGUAUUUUAUCCAAAUAUAAGAAAACUAUUUUUCUUUAUUUUUUCUUUUCCUUGUUGCUUUUCAAGAAUCAAGCAUACUUUAAACUUUAAUUAAGAGUUACAUAGAUUUACGGAGAAACAAUGCAACUGGUAACAAAAAAUUAAGGAAAUUUAAUUUUUGAGAGUAAGUAUAAUGAGAUUGGUUUGUUUGAUACAAAAUUUGAAUAAAAAUUCUUUCAAUGAAAAUUCAAGGAAAGGAAAAAAAACAAAUUUAUCUCUAGACUAUAAUACUAAAUCACUUAAAAAAAACUCCUAACAUCGUUUAUGUUCAUCUUUCUUUUUAUGGAUUUGAAAAACCCAAUAAUUUGGAGAAAACUGAUUCAAGGAAGAAUAAUUUUUAGAAUAAAAGAUUAUUAUUUAAGAAGAUCAUAAAUAUUAUAGUCAUUGUUGAAUAUGAUAAAUGAUUAAAAAAAAAAAAGGUAGUAGGAAAUUUGGAUACUUUUAUAAGACAAAUGCAUUUUUCUAGUAUGGUAUGAAAAAAAGGUAAAAUGAUAGGCUUUGAUCAUUUUUUAAGGUAGUUUGUUUAAAUCAUUUUAAUUUAUUUUGAUUUAAUAACAAUAACUUUUAUUACACUAGUUAUUUUGAUUUUCUUUUGAUAGAUUUUGCAAGCUUAAGCAAUUUGGAGGUAUUGGAUUUGAGUGGUAAUUCAUUUAGUGGGAUCGUUCCAUCGUCUAUAAGAUUGUUGUCUUCUCUCAAGUCUUUAUCUCUGGCUGGAAAUCACCUCAAUGGUUCCUUAGCAAAUCAAGGUACAUAUAUUGUGAUUACAGGUUUUUCUAUUUUCUUUUUUAAUAUCUUGUUUGUUCUUUAUGCCAAUGAAGUCAUGCAUGUCUAUUAAUUUUUGGUAUUUAAUAAAAAACUUUAUUCUUAAUUCAUGAAGACCUCAUCAACUGUAAGUAACAACUAGUUGUAAAUUUGGGGGCAUUGAUAAGACGAGGAGAUGAUUGGUUACAUGUCUUAUCACUACUACAAAAAUUGAAAUUAAUGACGCUUUAUUUUAUGACGCUUUCUAAAAGCGUCAUUAUUGAGGGUAUACAAUGACGCUUAUAAGAAGUGUCAUAGUUGUAUUAUUUAUCUUGAUACUGAUUAUAAGUGUCAUUAUUUGAUGUCAUCUUUUUCCUUGUAACUGUGUAUAUAAUGACGCUUAUAAGAAGCGUCAUAGUUUUAUUAUUUACCUUGACACUUAUUAUAAGCAUCAUUAUUUGAUGGGUAUGUAAUGACGUUCUUGAGAAGUGUCAUAGUUGUAUUGACUUUUAAAAUUUUUGUUUUUAAGUUAACUUAUACAAAUUUUGAUAUUAGAAUAUUAUUCUAUAAAUUAAUUAUGGUAAAUUGACAUUAAUAUUAAUGACAUAAAGUUGCUACAUUAAGGUUUUUUUAAAAAAAUUUGGAUAUAAAUAAAAUAAAAUCCUAAUAAAUUAUUUUUUUAUUGUUUGAUAUUAAUUUUUUUAUAGUUUGUAUCAAUACAAUCUAUUUUCAUAAACUAUUUUUCAUUUUUAUUAAAUUAGAAAUUAUCUUAUAUUUCAUUUAAAAAUAAUUUGUUAAUUUAUUUGUGGACCACAAAAAAGUGGCCUAUUUUGAGCACUUGUUCGAGCCUUGGGCCACAUUUAUUGGGUUUAACCCUUUUAUUUGAGAAGGUUUUAUAGUUAAUGAAUAUAAAUUUGAAAUUAUUUAACUAAAAUGAAAUAAAUUAAUAUUUAAAUUAAUUUAAUGAUGAUUAGACUCACAAUAAAACUAAAUGCAAUAAGAAUAUUUAUAAAAACUUUCUAAUAUUUAUGGGAAUUAAGCUCAUUCUAUUAAAUUAGUUUUUUUUUUAAAUAUCAAUAUUCAAAUUAAACCAAUAUCAACCUAAAAUAUCAAAUAAUUAAACAAUAUAAAUUUAUUAUGAGUUCAAUAUAUAAAAAUUAUUAUUGGAAGAUGAAAUAAAGAAUACUAUUUUAAUUUAUUGAAAAAGGACAUGCAUGAUAUUUUAGAAUUUGUUAUAAAGUCUCCAUUGAAAACCCUAACUUUUGGAAGACAAGAAAGAAGGGAGAGAGCCACCGUUUUUAGUGAGAAAGAAGAGAAGAGAGAAAAAUGCAAGUUUUUCUCAUCAGGCCCAGAUUUCAUCAAAGGUCUGAUCCCACUUUGUCCGUGGUCCGAUCGAGCUGAAAUUUGGAGGAGAGUUUCGUGACUCAUUUAUCUUCAAUCUGAACGGUGAAGAUCGGAUUUGGAGUUUCGGAAAGUCAUUAGAAAGAAAGAGGAGAAGAGAGAAAAACGUAGGUUUUUCUCAUCAUGCCCAGAUUUUAUCAAAUGUCCGAUCCCGCUUCGUCCGUGGUCCGAUCGAGUUGAAAUUUGAAGGAGAGGUUUGUGGCUCAUGUAUCUUCAAUAUGAACGGUGGAGAUCUGAUUUGGAGUUUCGGACAGUCAUUAGAGAGAAAGAGGAGAAGAGAGAAAAACUUAGGUUUUUCUCAUCGUGCCCAGAUUUCAUCAAAUGUCUGAUCCCGCUUCGUCCGUGGUCCGAUCGAGUUGAAAUUUGAAGGAGAGGUUCGUGGCUCAUGUAUAUUCAAUAUGAACGGUGGAGAUCGGAUUUGGAGUUUUGGACAGUCAUUAGAGAGAAAGAGGAGAAGAGAGAAAAACAGUGGUUUUUUUAUAUCAUGCCCAGAUUUCAUCAAAGGUUCAAUGCCGCUUUUUUCAUGGUCUGAUUGAGCUGAAAUUUGGAGGAGAGGUUCAUAAGUCAUUAAUCUUAAAUUUGAACGGUGAAGAUCGGAUUUAGAGUUUUGGAAAGUCAUCUUUCAGCCAAAAACAAAACCUUUAUUUUAUCAAAGAUGGCGCUUCCUGAAAGUGUCAUUGUUGCCUAAGACAUACAAUGACAGAGGCGAAGAGGACGCUUUAGAGAAGCGUCAUCUGUUACCUUUCUUGACGCUUAAAAAACGUCAUAGUUUCCCAUUUUUCUUGUAGUGUAUUCUCUUUUGUAAGCUUCUGCCAAUUGAAUAAGCUUCAAGAGUUAGAUCUUUCUUACAACUUAUUCCAAGGGAUCCUUCCUCCAUGUUUGAAUAAUUUGACAUCUUUGAGGUUAUUGGAUCUCUCUUCCAACCUAUUCUCCGAAAAUCUUUCUUCCCCUCUGUUACCUAAUCUCACAUCCCUGGAGUACAUCGAUCUCAGUUACAAUCAUUUUGAGGGUUCAUUCUCUUUCAGCUCUUUUACUAAUCACUCCAACCUUCAAGUGGUCAAACUUGGAAGGAAUAACAACAAGUUUGAGGUAGAAACUGAAUAUCCAGUUGGUUGGGUUCCCCUGUUUCUGUUGAAAGCUCUUAUCCUAUCCAACUGUAAGCUCAUCGGUGAUCCUGGUUUCCUUCGACACCAAUUAAGAUUAACCGUGGUUGAUCUCUCCCAUAAUAAUUAGACUGGAAGUUUCCCCAUUUGGCUGCUUGAUAACAAUACAAGACUAGGAUCUCUAGUUCUGAGGAAUAACUCUUUAAUGGGUCAACUACUUCCCCUGAGACCUAAUAGUCGUAUCACUUUAUUGGAUAUCUCAGACAACCGACUUCAUGGGGAACUUCAACAAAAUGUGGCCAAUAUGAUUCCAAAUAUUGAGUUUCUAAAUUUAUCCAACAAUGGUUUUGAAGGUAUUCUCCCAUCCUCAAUAGCCGAAAUGAGUUCCUUACAGUCAUUAUAUUUGUCUGCUAAUAGUUUCUCAGGGGAAGUACCAAAACAAUUGCUUGCGGCAAAAUAUUUGUGGCUUCUGAAAUUAUCAAAUUAUAAAUUUCAUGGCGAAAUAUUUUCAAGGGACUUUAACUUGACUCAGUUAGGGUUUUUGCAUUUGGACAAUAAUCAGUUCAAGGGAACACUGUCAAAUGUAAUCUCCAGAAUCUCUAGGUUAUGGGUGUUGGAUAGGUAACAUGACCGAUUUGACUACACUGGUGUUGGGCAACAAUAGUUUUAAAGGCAAAUUACCACCUGAGAUUUCUCAAUUGUUGGGGAUGAUAUUUCUUGACGUUUCUCAAAACGCUCUUUUAGGAUCUCUUCCUUCUUUGAAGAGCCUGGAGUAUUUAGAUACCCAGAGAUUGAUACCCAGAGAUUUUCUCAAUUCCUCAUAUCUAUUGACUUUGGAUAUCAGAGACAACAGGUUAUUUGGAAGUAUUCCCUAUUCAAUCUCUAGACUUUUAGAGCUAAGAGGAAACCUUUUAAGUGAUUUCAUUCCAUAUCAGCUUUGUCAUUUGACUAAAAUAAGCUUGAUGGAUAUUUCAAACAACAAUUUUUCUGGGUCAAUUCCCGGAUGCUUUGGUCAUAUCGGAUUUGGAGAUUUCAAAACUGAGCACAAUGUGUAUAUACCGAUGUUGGAUUCGUAUUCAGAAAGCAAUCCUUCUAUAUAUACGGGUUACUUAAUAAAAUAUUUAUUUUUCUCUAGUGAACUCCCUGAUGAAGUAGAUGAAGUUGAGUUUGUUACCAAGAAUAGGUAUAGCUCCUACAGAGUAGAUAAAAAUAUUUGUUGGGAAUUUAGAUAUUUUUAUAGGAAAGUAGACAAGUAUUCUAAUUUAUAAAAACAAUGCAUUUCUUUAGUUUGGUAUAAAAAAAAAUGAAACGAUAGGUAUUGGUAUUUUUUUUAAAGCAACAAACGUUUUAUUUUAUUUGUAUUUAAGAACAAUGUCUUUUCUUAUACUAGUUAUUUUAAUUUUCUUUUGACAGAUUUUGCAAGCUUAAGCAAUUUGGAGAUACUAGAUUUGAGUUCUAAUUCCUUAAGUGGGAUUAUUCCAUCAUCUAUAAGAUUGAUGUCUCAUCUCAAGUCUUUAUCCUUGGCCGGAAAUCAGCUCAAUGGUUCUUUACAAAAUCAAGGUACAUAUGUUAUGAUUUGUUUGUUUCAUAUGGAUUAGAGAAGAUGAAUAUUGUAAAAAAAAAGUUGUAGUUAAUGUAAGCUAGAAAUAAGUAUCUUGCCUUAUAAAUUAUAUGAGCAUGUGUUUGUUCUUAAUGAAUCUUUACAACAUUUAGAGUUACCAAUGUUUAUAAUUCAUAAAGACCUCAUUAACCGUGAGUAACAACUAAUUGUAAGUAAUUGUGGAAAAAGUAAGGAAAACAAAAUGAGGGAAAAGCAAGGAAUUAGGAAAUUAUUUUGUUCCCAUUAAAAAAUGCUAAGGAAGAAAAAGGUAAAAGAAAGUUUAAAAAAAGUGUAUUUUUCAAAAAUUUAUUUCUCUUUCCUUUAAUUUUGCUAUGGACAACCAAACAAGAAAAUUAUUUUAUAAUUCCUUUUUUAUUUUUUUCAUUCUCUCUCUCUUUUUUCCCCUACUCUAUUUCUUUUCCCUCAAACUUUCUUGGUAGUAAACACAACCUAAGAUAAAAUGGGGAAGAAAAUUUUCAGUUUUUUUUUUAUUUUUUUAGAAUGUUUUCUUACUUUUUAGUAUUUUAUGCAAAUAUAGGAAAAUUAUUUUUUUUUCUUUUUUUUUCUUGCUCCUUUUCGGACAUGAAUCACACUUUAAAAGAAAAUUAAUUUUUAAUUAGGAGUUAAGAUAAAUUUAAGGAGAAACAGUGAAUCACGAAUAACAAAAAAAUAAGGAAAUUGAAUUUUUGAAAGUAAGUAUAAUCAAAUUGCUUCAUUUGAUACAAAAUUUGAAUAAAAAUUCUUUCAAGGAAAGGAAAAAACAUUUUUGUCUCUAGAUUAUAAUACUAAAUCAUGUAAAAAAUCUCUUAACAUCAUUUAUAUUCAUAUUUAUUUUUGUAGAUUUGAAAAAUUCAACAAUUUGGAAUAAACUUAUUCAAUGAAUAAUAAUUUUUAGAUUUAAAGAUUAUUAUUUAAGAUCAUAAAUAUUACCAUGAUUGUUGAUGUCUAAGAAGAUCAUAUUCAACAAUUUUUUUAAUAUGUUGUUUUUUUAUGGUAAUUAAUUGAUGUCUUGUAAUUUUUAAUAUUUAAUGAAAAACAUUAUUUUAAUUCAUCUAGAGCUCUUAAUUCAUGAAGACCUCAUUAAUGGUGAGUAAUAGUUGGCUGUAAGUUUGGAGUCAAAGACAUGUCAAGGAGAUGAUUAGUUACAUGUCUUAUUCUCUUUUGUAGGUUUCUGUCAAUUGAAUAAGCUUCAAGAGUUAGAUCUUUCUUACAACUUAUUCCAAGGGAUCCUUCCUCCAUGUUUGAAUAAUUUGACAUCUCUAAGGUUAUUGGAUCUCUCUGUCAACCUAUUCUCCGGAAAUCUUUCUUCUCCUUUAUUACCUAAUCUCACAUCCCUGGAGUACAUCGAUCUCAGUUACAAUCAGUUUGAGGGUUCAUUCUCUUUCAGCUCUUUUGCUAAUCACUCAAAGCUUCAAAUGGUCAAACUUGGAAUGAAUAACAACAAAUUUGAGGUAGAAACUGAAUAUCCAAUUGGUUGGGUUCCCUUGUUUCAAUUGAAGGCUCUUUCGCUAGACAGCUGUAAGCUCACCGGCGACCUUCCUAGUUUUCUUCAAUACCAAUUCAGGUUAGUGGGGGUUGAUCUCUCACAUAAUAACUUGACAGGAAGUUUUCCCAAUUGGCUGCUUGAAAACAAUACGAGACUAAAAUCUCUAGUUCUGAGGAAUAACUCUUUAAUGGGUCAAUUACUUCCCUUGGAACGUAAUACCCGUAUCCAUUCAUUGGAUAUCUCACACAAUCAGUUGGAUGGACAACUUCAAGAAAAUGUGGCCCAUAUGAUUCCAAAUAUGAAAUAUCUAAAUUUAUCCGACAAUGGUUUUGAGGGUAUUCUCCCAUCCUCAAUAGUUGAACUAAGAGCCUUAUGGUAUUUGGAUUUGUCUACCAAUAAUUUCUCUGGAGAAGUACCAAAGCAAUUGCUUGCAGCAAAAGAUUUGGGGGUUUUGAAAUUAUCAAAUAAUAAAUUUCAUGGUGAAAUAUUUUCAAGGGACUUUAACUUGAUUAGGUUGGAAGUUUUGUAUUUGGGCAAUAAUCAGUUGACGGGAACUCUGUCAAAUGUAAUCUCUAAAAGCUCUUGGUUGGGGGUGUUGGAUGUGAGCAACAACUACAUGUCAGGUGAAAUUCCAAGCCAGAUAGGUAACAUGACCUAUUUGACUACACUGGUGUUGGGCAACAAUAGUUUUAAAGGCAAAUUACCACCCGAGAUUUCUCAAUUGUGGGGUUUGGAGUUUCUUGACGUUUCUCAAAAUGCUCUUUCAGGAUCUCUUCCUUGUUUGAAGACCAUGGAGAGUUUAAAGCAUCUACAUUUGCAAGGGAACAUGUUUACAGGAUUAAUACCCAGAGAUUUUCUCAAUUCCUCACAUUUAUUGACUUUGGAUAUGCGAGAUAACAGGUUAUUUGGAAGUAUUCCCAAUUCAAUCUCUGCACUUUUGAAGCAGCUAAGGAUUUUUUUGCUGGGAGGAAACCUUUUAAGUGGUUUUAUUCCAAAUCAUCUUUGUCAUUUGACUGAAAUAAGCUUGAUGGAUCUUUCAAACAACUCUUUUUCAGGGCCAAUUCCCAAAUGCUUUGGCCAUAUCCGAUUUGGGGAGAUGAAAAAGGAAGACAACGUGUUUGGACAGUUCAUUGAAAUUAGGUAUGGAAUGGAUUCUCAUCUUGUAUAUGCAGGUUACUUGGUGAAAUAUUGGGAGGACUUAAGUUCAGUAUAUAAGGGAAAAGAUGAAGUUGAGUUUGUGACCAAGAACAGGCGUGACUUCUACAGAGGUGGCAUCCUUGAAUUCAUGUCUGGAUUGGACUUAUCAUGUAACAACUUGACAGGCGAAAUACCUCAUGAACUUGGAAUGCUAAGUUGGAUUCGUGCAUUGAACUUGUCUCACAAUCAAUUGAAUGGCUCCAUUCCAAAGAGUUUCUCCGAUCUUUCUCAAAUAGAGAGCUUAGACCUUUCUUAUAAUAAAUUGGGUGGAGAAAUUCCUCUAGAGCUAGUUGAACUCAAUUUUUUAGCGGUGUUUAGUGUGGCUUACAACAACAUCUCUGGUAGAGUUCCAAAUGCCAAAGCACAAUUUGCAACAUUUGAUGAAAGCAGCUAUGAAGGUAAUCCUUUCCUUUGUGGGGAACUAUUAAAGAGGAAAUGCAACACAAGUAUUGAGUCACCAUGCGCACCAUCACAGUCUUUUGAAAGUGAGACAAAAUGGUAUGAUAUCAAUCAUGUUGUUUUCUUUGCAAGUUUUACUACUUCAUAUAUCAUGAUCUUGUUAGGAUUUGUUACCAUCCUUUACAUCAAUCCUUAUUGGCGUCAUAGAUGGUUCAAUUUUAUUGAGGAAUGUGUAUAUUCCUGCUAUUAUUUUGUUUUUGAUAGUCUUUCCAAGUUCUCAGCAUAUUUGUAUAAUUAGAUACUUUUAAUUGGAUGAUGUUUGCAUAAUUAACUACUAUUUGUUUCCAUGGGAUAAAAAGAAAUGGGAUUAUAAUUGCUAUGAGUUGAAACUUACAUACUUUGCUCAAAUUCUAACAUCUUUUGAUUUUAUUUUCAAGUUCCGUUAUUUAUUAUGUAUUGUUUAAUUCAAGAUUUAACCAUAUUAUGCUACUCUUAUAAAAACAAAUUCAAAUUUUUAGGAACUUAGCAUUAAAAUAAUUUCAUAGUCAGAUUUUUAAAAAUAAAGAAGAAAGAAAAUAAUAAAUAAUUAGAAAAACAAUUCAAGGGAGUAUUAAAUUAUUAUCUUAGAAUUGUUUGGCGUAGUAUGGGAAUUCAAAAAUAAUCUUUCAAUUUGUUAGAAAUGUUUAUUUAUUUAUUAUAGCAAUGAUUGAAAUAUCAAUCACAAAGUAAUGUUUUCUUUUCUUUUGUAGGGCACUAACAUUUUUUCUUUGAUUGUAAUAAUUGAUAAAUAUAUUACACAAUUAUUUGUUUUAAAGAGGGGAGGGAUGACAAACAUAAUAACAUGUGAAAUAUUUCUAAAACUGUGAUGGGAAAUAAACCAUCUAAUUAGGGUGCAAUAUUAUUCAUUUUAAUUUAUAUGAAUUUACUUAUUUUUAUUUCCAUCAUAUUUUGAACUAUUUUUUGAAAUUAAGGGAGAUUAAAACAUCAUGAAUUUCUUAGUUUAAUUUAUAUUUUUAAUAAUAAAGCAUGAAAUAUUUAAAAAAAAAAAAGAAAAUCAUGAAUUUCUUUAAUUCCUUAGGAAACCAAUAUAUAAAAAAAGUUGAAUAUAUUAUUAUUUUAUAUCCUAAAUUUCUAAAUUUGUUCAUCACGUAUUUAUUUUUAUAUUAAAUUUAUUAUCAAUAAUUAUUUAUUAUAUAUUAUUAUUUUAUAUUUAAAAAUGUUCAUAAAUAAUUAAAAUUAAUAAAUAUAAAAAAUGAAAUAUUAAAAAAUUAAAUUAAAAAGAUUUCAUCAAGCUAACAUAUUUUGAUAAAAAAAAAAAGAGUAAAAAAGAAGAUGGGGAUAUUAUAGAGGUGGGGAAAAAGAUAAAAGAAAAAUCAUGUGGUAUAAUAAUUGCCACGUGUUAAAGUUAUUUUCUUUAAAAAUUAAUUAUAGUAAUGAUGAACUCAUUUGUCUUAUCAAAGUAAAUAAAAAUAAAUAAAUAAAAGAAAAAAAGAAAAAGAAAAAAAGUGGUGGUUGAUUGGAGGUUAGAGAGGAGGGUUUGAAGGUAAAUUUGGAAUAUUGAUUAUUUUCACUAAGUAGAUAUUUUGAAAGUUAUUUUCAAUGUUUUAAAAACCGGACCGGCCGGUCCGACCGGUCCAACCGUCGACCGGUCACCAUUCCGGUCCGAUCCGGUCAUUUGGACCGGAUUGAGAUCGAACCGGAGUUGAACCGCUCGAACCAGCGGUUCAACCGCUGAACCGGACAAACCGAUCGGUUCCAAGGGAACCGGCCAAUUCAAAUAAUUUUAAUUUUAAAAAAAAAAUUACACAAUAAAAAUAUUACUGUGGGUAAGCUGCAAGCAUGAAAGGUAGGAUUCCAUGUUGGGCCUGUCUUGUGACAAGCCCACACACCCACUCCAAUUACCCUGGGCCUCUUUUUUGAGCCCACAAGAUCAUGCCAAGGCUUUGCUGAGGAUGGCUUUUAUAGGAGUCAUUUGACUCCUUGUUCCUCUCAUAUUCCGAUGUGGGAUUGCAUUUUAUCAAUGAAAAAAAACAUAACAAACAUAACAAAACUCCACCAACAGAAUUUGAACCUUGGACCAAUCUUUAACUCUAGUCCACCUAGGAAACCACUCGGCUACAUGUGUUUUAUCAUCUAAUGUGCCAAACAAAAUAAUAUAUAUUAGAUUUUAAAUUUUUUUAUAAUAUUAAAUAAAAAUAAUAUAAUAUUUUUAAAAAUUAUGAAAUUAGUUUAAAUUUUCAUUUUUUUUAUAUUCACAUUUAAAUAUUAUACAUAUUUCAUUUAAUAAAAUUUAAAAUAUUAAUAUGAUUUAAUUUGAUAAUAUCAAAGAUAUAAAAUAAUAUUAUUGAUGUUUAAUUUAUUCAUAUAUAUUUUAAAAUUUUUUAUAAUUAUUUUUAAUUUUAAUAAUAUAUAAAUUAUAUAUUUAUUACGUCACCGGUUCGAUAGCGGUUCGACCGCCGGUCCGACCAGUGAACCGUGAACCGGUAACUUUUCCAGUUCGAUCACCGGUCCGAUUCUGAAAACAUUGGUUAUUUUGCCUGAAACCCAUAUUGUUUGAAAAUAAAAAAUCAAAGUUUUAAAAAAAUACAAUUUUUUUGAAAUGAUGCAUGAUUAUAUCAUUCCCCUAAUAGAUUAUUUAUUCCUUUAAACUUUACUUCAAAUAAAAUAGUUUUAAUUAUUUUCUUUUUGGAAUUAUAUUUAACAUAUUAUUAAAAAUAUAAAAAACAUUUUAAUAAUAUUGUUAAUGAGUUUAUAUAUAUAUAUAUAUAUUGUAAAAUAAUUAAAUUUAAAAAUAUUUAAAUUUAGUUAUGGGCUGCCCAUUUCAAAAUAAUAAGAAUCUCGUAACCUAAUUUUUCCAAAUUCCAGGUAAAUAUGCUAAUCUAAAAAUAAAAAAUAAAAAUUAGGUUUUUAUGCUCUCCAAUCUACCACUUAAGCAUCCGACAUGGCUAAAAUAAAUUACAAAAAAAAAAAAAAAAAAAAAAGGAAAAAAAACAAAAGUGUGUGAUCCUCUUUCUCGAGUCUUCACAUUUUGAGACACUGAAACCAAAUCAAAAUUAAUCCUUCAAAUUAAUUUUCACCUCCAAACAUGGCUAUCCGAAAAACCCUAACGUCUGCCUCCUCUUCCUCUUAUCCCGGAAACCUAAAUUCCGUGACCCUAACCCCUUCUCUUUCCGAAAACCCUCCGGAAUCGGAAGAUUCAUAAUUCUUCAGAAUUAAUUUUCACCUCGAAGCCAAACCCUAACUGCCUCAUCUUCCUCUCAUUCAUAUCCCAAAAGUAGCUUCAACAGUCAGGCCUGUAGCCAUGAAAGCCGUAGUGAUCACUACUUCCGGUGAUCCCCAAGUUCUCCAAGUGCAAGAAGUCGAAAACCCUGAAAUUGGAGAUGAUGAAGUUCUAAGUAGAGUGGACGCCGCUGCCAUUAACCGAACAGAUACGCUCCAGAGGAAGGGCUUGCACCCUUCCUCAAAGGCGGCAGUCCCUACCCGGGUCUCGAAUGUUCUGGAAUCAUCGAAGCUGUUGGAAAAGCCGUCGUUCGAUGGAAGGUUGGCGAUCAGGUAUUUCAAUUGCCUAAUAUUUUGAUUUCGUUUCUGUUCCUCUGUUUUUCUCGGCUAUCAAACACUAGGAACGUGUAAAUAAGGAGGUUAGUUGAUUGCGAAAACGGGAAUUUUUUGUUCGUGUCUGUGUUAAGGAGUCUUUGUUGAGAAUUUUGGGGAAAUUUAUGAUAGGUUAAAUUAUUGAGCUUAUUGGUUUUCAAAUUUAUGGUUGUAAGAAAAUUGGUCAGUGUAAGGUUAUGGGUUCAUUACCAAUUUGCUUAGUGAAAAUUUUUCCACAUAUUGUGGACCGGUUUGGUAGCAGAAAUAAGAACUGUGUUUUGUUUUUCAAAACGGAAAUGGAUGCAGAAAACAUGUUUGGUAGCCUACUUUCAGAACUUGUUUCCGAAAAUAUUUCCUGAAAAUGAAUUAUUUCAGAACUUGUUUUUAAAAAAUUCAAACACUUUAUCAAUUUAAAAGGUUCUGAAAUGGACAUGUUCAUGGUCUUCAUUUUUUAAAAUUAAAGCUUUUAUGAAAAAACCAUUUUCCCUUCUACUAAACAAACAGGCUCUAUAUUGUAACAGAUCGAUUGGCCAUUUCCUUUGUCAUGUUUUGUGAAUCAUGGCAACACUGGAAUCCACUCCAUUACCAUCUGUUAGUGAUUAGAAGACAAAGCACCAAUUUUAAUGAUAUCCUUUAUGUGAUUUUGCUUCCUCCUGAGUACAAGUUCAUAAUAUACAUGGUACAUGGUGAAUCUGUAUGACAGUUCAUGGUAUACAGGUGUGUGCUCUUCUUUCUGGUGGAGGGCAUGCUGAAAAAGUGGCUGUUCCAGCUGGGCAAGUUCUCCCUGUCCUAUCUGGUGUUUCUCUGAAGGAUGCUGCUGAGGUUGCAUGUACUGUUUGGUCAACUGUUUUAAUGAUGAGCCGACUGUCUGCAGGAGAAACAUUCCUGGUGAAUUUUUUGUCUUUUUUAUUUUCUGAUGCCUGAUAUAUUUACCAGCACAAAUUUACCCUGUUGCUGUUUAAUGUGUGUGCAUCAAUAUUGGAUUAGGGAGGUAGAAGAGCCAUGGUUCUAAUUAAAUCAUUACAUCAUCAUAUUCUUAUUUAGAUACAUUGUAUCCCACAAUUUCAUUGCAUCCAAGGCUAUGUUGUUUUUUAUUGCACGGUUUGUCAUGGUAAUUUCUCAACCCUUCUCUGGAAAAUUAUGUUGGAUGGCUGCUAUUAAUUACCCCAAAAGAAGAAAUUUUAUGUUGAAGUAAGAUGAGUAGCACAAAGAGUUACUUGUGGUUGAUCCUAUCAUCAAAUGGGCGAUUGAUGCACAAUCCAAAUGGUAAAUUUUUUUCCCCCUUUAUCCAGAUGGAAUUUUUAUGCAUGGUUGAAUAGUGAAAUGAGAGGACUGAUAAUAUUUCAGGUUCAUGGGGGUUCAAUUGGAAUUGGUACCAUCUAUUCAAAUAGCGAAAUACCGAGGAGCAAGGGUAUUUGUUACAGCAGGUUUGCCAUCACUGUUCUACCUCAUCUCACAGAAUGCUUAUCUCAUGGCACCAAUUCCUUUUCUUCACAUGUUUUCAACCAUUUUUUCCACCCAGGAACGAGGAAAAAUUAGCUAUUUGUAAGGAUCAUUGAGCAGAUGUGUGCAUCAAUUACAAGACUGAAAACUUUGUUGCAUGGGUGAAGGAGGAAACAGGAGGGAAAGGUAUAUUCUAUUGUAUCUUAACGAUAAUUUCAAUUGAAGGUGGAAUUGCUUUUUAUUUUUUAGUGCACCAAAUCCACUAGUCUGGAAUGUUUGAAAAGAUAAAUAGUCAUCUUCCACUUGAUUCCGAUUGUGAAGAUCUAACCCCAAAAAUGUUGAAUGACAGGUGUUGAUGUUAUACUGGAUAAUAUUGGAGGGGCCUACUUUUGGGGAGACAUCAAUGGUUUAAAUGUUGAUGGAAGGCUUUUUAUUAUUGGUUUUCAGGGUGGAACAGUGGUACAAGUAAAUCUUUCAGGUUUACUUGCAAGGCGCCUUACAGUGCAAGGUACUGCUUUCUCUGUAGAAGAUUUUUCUGUAGUUUUGGAGUUGAAUCAAUUUGAUUAAUCUCAUCCAAGUUCAGAACUGAGGUGGAUUCUGGCAAGCCAAGGAAAAACCAAAUUACCAUAAAUUCUUUUUUUUUUUUCUGGAUCGUUUUACUUCUUGGAAAUCCUGUUUCUCGAUCUGUUAAUCACAUGGUUUGUUUUUCUUUAUUGUCCCUCUUUCUUUUCUUGUUGGUACCAAAUCCCUAAGAUGUGGAAGCCAAGUGAGCACUUUCUAUCUUUUCUUGUUUCAAUCUCUCAUCCUCUUGUGCACAUUGAGCAAUAAGCUCAUUCAAAGUCCAUUUUUCCUUUUGUGUGUUGUAACUGAUUUUGAAUGGACUGAAUUGUGUAGGCAGAGAGAUCAAGACCAAGUGCACGAGUAUGUCUUCCGAAAACUCUAACUUUAGUGCCUUUAGUCUAGUCACAAGAUUAGACAUUUCCAUAAUAUACUCCCUUAUAUUCUCUUUCCCUUUAUACCGCAUAGAGACAAGCUUACUAAGAAUAGUGUUUGUCUCAACCUUUUCAUUUGCAGCGAUCAAUUUGCUAUCUGGUCUAAGAAUGCCUUGGCUCGAGUUUUCUCAGGUAUUGCACCCCUUAUAACUUUUGGAAUUGAGUGCUUCGUUAUUAUUAGACUCAUGCGAUUGGAUCGCUCCCAUUUUUCCAUAGUAGACCUUUGCUCAGCAGUGCUGGCACUAGUAAGAUCUGGAGGGCGAUCCUCUCUUAAUGCAUAGUCUAAAUCCAUGCACCCGAGCACAAUUAUAGCGUGUUCCUUCCAUUUCUUGAAGUUUGUGCCAUUAAGGGCAGGAAUGUUAUUGACAUUUGCAGAUAUAGAAUAUGUUGAAUUCAUAAUAAUAAAGCUCACAAUCAGCCACAUAAACAUCAUACAUACAUGAAAAAUAACAUCAUACAAGAUACCUAGUACAAACAUUAAUAUUCUGUCUUUUGACAAUAAAUAUUAACUUGUAAUUGGUAUCCUUAUACAAAAUUAAUUCAUAAAUAUUGACAAUAAAACCAAAAACAAUGUGCCUCUCUUUGGACUAACAUAUUGAAUGCAAGAUAAACUUUAUAUGUCACAUAUUUAUGACUACUUUAUUUAUUAUUAUAUUAAAAUAAUCUUUCUUUGGGUCGCUUAUUUUAAAUAAUAAUAAUAACAUGUUUAGAUAUUAUAAAAUAAAUAAAUUAUAUAAUAUAAGUUACUUUGGCAACUAACAUACAUAAUUCAUUUAUUUUUUGUUGUUUCCUUCCUCUUGGAUCUUUUGUUUGUGUUUUAAAAAAAAAAAUGUUUCAGUGAAAAUGGGAAAUGCAACCAGGCUCUAAUACCAUUUUGUGGGACGUUCAUUCUCCAUUAUCAUCGAACACAUGCAGGAUAUAUUUAUAUAUAUCUAUCAAUUCAUUCAAAAUAUGCCGAUGGGAAGCCAGAGAGAACAAGUUCUAUUUUUAUUUUGAAAACAUUGUUAUCCUUAAAGAACAAACACUAUUAUUUGGAUUUAUACUCUCCUGCCUUAGGGACCAUACCCUUUGGCUAUUAGGCCUCACGAGUCUUAGGCCCAUCAUCUAAGGCUCGUGAUGGCACUGGGCUCUACAUAUAAGGUGGCCCAUACUCUGGAACGAAUAUAAAUCAUAUGUAUAUAUAUGGAUAGCUAAAUCCUGAAUAAUGGUUAAUAUGAUGUCGGUUCACAUUUAUUAUAUCAUAUAGACUUCCCAUCUGAAGAAAAUCGACAACAAGUAGCUUUGCCAUUCUUAGUUCGUAUACAACCAACCUUAGCAAGGGUUGAACCCUUUUAUGCUUAGUUGUGCCAUACAGAUCCUUACCACCGCCUACAACAUGUAAUUGAAAUGAUUCGAUAAUAUCAUCUAGUGAACCAAUACCUCCAAAUGAGAGACCAUUGCCUCAGUAACUAAGACUCACGACUGAGAAUUGCGUGAACCCCUUUGCUUGGGUUGGAGCUUGACUGAUGCACAAAAUAUUCAUAGGCCUCUUCCCAUAACAGGCACCUUGUGUUUGCAACAUAAUUGAACAUGUAUUGAAGUGAGUUUUUUUGCAUCUUUUUGUAAGAAAAUUCUAAACAACAAAGAUUGCUUAGUGUGCCUGACUCCUCAAGGAAUCAAGGUUCAUUCCUGUAGGGCCAGUUUUUUCACAGUCGAACUAGAUAACAUGGAGAGUAUGUUGCAAUGCUUCAACGGGGUAUUUCUUAGGAAAAUCCACCUGAAGCUGGUACAAUUCGUUGGCGUACUGAGUUCCUAAAGCUCUAUUGACUUCAAUCACCCAUCUCUGUAGAUUAUCGGUGACUUUAUGCUCGGAUCCUGUAGGAGGAUUGACUUGACAUUCCACUAGUUUUUUCUGGAAGGCGAUUUUGUUUAACACCUUGUGAGAAGAGGCAGGGGAACUGGUCAUUGUUUCUUCGAGAAGAUCAGUGGCCGAGGAUGGGUUUGGACCAGAAUUGCUAUAUGGGUUUUCUUUGGGUGAACCAAUUAGUGAAAUAGGUGGCUAUAUAGCAACUAAAGGGUGGUCAUACUAACGAGGAGCUAUUAUUUCAUGCAUGUGGAGAGGAAAUGACUAGCUUCUUCAAGGAUAUAUGAUUAUUCAUCUCUAGCUUACGUUGACUAUCUCCUAACAAAUUUCUGCUUUGAAGCUCCCUUAGUUUCACUACAGCUAAUUGGCCAACUUGGUUUCAUCAUGUUUCCUACAACCUCUAAGCAAAGCAUGCCAGAUCACCGAAUCAGGUUCUAUUCGCAUUUUGUCCAUAAACUCCUUUGCCUAUUGACAAUAGACUGCCCCUCAAAAUUUGAUGAGAUAACAUCAACGCUGACAUGUUGGCCAUCCCCAUAAGCAUCUUUAUAGAGAUUGAUUCUAUGUUUAGAUAUUUCUCUCUCCUCAAGUGAGUUCAACUUUUCUGUAGCAUCCUUCUCCUUCUCUACUAAUAGUCUUAGUUGAACAUCCAACCUAUGUUCCCAAAGUGCCAGCAUCUCAUAUCUGAUGACAAGCCAACAACCUUGCCCUUGCUGAGACCCAAAUAAGUAUCCAGAACCAUCAACAUCAACCCUUUCAUAGGCCUUUGUAUUUGAAGGUCGGAUUGGGAUUGCUUUGAAUGCACUGGCACUACAAUACACAAUUGUUUCUUCUCCGAUAAAAACACCACAAAGAGGUGAGGGGACUGGUAUUAGCAAAGAAGUGUUGUUAUCUAUAUUGUUCUAAGCCCGAUUACCCUCAACAAAAUCCUCAUCCUCAUCUGUACUCUUCCAUUACAUCCCUAGGCUUUUCAAUGUGAUCCACAUGGCUUACAGGAAUCCAGAAAUACUGAUCUGUAUAAAAGUUGCUCUUAUGGGGCUCUCCUAGAAAACAUCCCAAUCAAGAUGAUCAACCUAGCUUAGAUGCUCAGCACCCCAAACUUACCAGAAAUAGAGGAAUAAAAAGCAAGGAUAGGAGCCAAAGUAAAAACUAAGGGAAGAGCAAAUAGGAAAUCAAGCAAAACAUGAAUGUACAGAGCCUCAUUUCAGGUGACAUCUUUGGGCUAAUAAUAGGUGGAAUUAACAAAGUAGAUAAGCAUGAUUGUUAUAAAUAUCAAGUUCAAGGAUGAAGUCGUGCAUCAGCUACUUAUAGGGGGAGUCAAGGAAACCAAGAUAAGAUCAAAGAGAGCAUGUAUGCAAAUAAACAGAUACGACAAAAUAGACCAAACAACUCGUGAAUAUCCUCCUACAAAAAACUACUACACGUGGCAAAAAGUGAUGAAACAAAAAGAGUUGGGUCCGCAUAUACAUAUCCUAUUCUAUCCUAUUCCUUCAAAUCCAAAGCAACCUGUAUUUUCAAUGGGAUUUGUUGUGAUGAAUUUUACUGGAUUGUAACAUGUAAAUAUGUUAAAAGAGGCUUGGGACAUUCCUAUAUAGUAACGCAUAAAGGUACUUCCAUUGUGAAGUUGUCAAAAUUGCAAAUUUAAAUUACAAAAUUUGAAAACAUAGAGAUGAAAGAUGAUGAAACCUUCUUUGAAAUUUUAUAUUGAACUCAUUAAUAUUAUUAAUUUUCAUUUCAGUCUAGGGGAAAGAAUUCUUUACUCUAAAGUGGUCACAAAAAUAUUAAAAUUCCUUGUCGAGAGAUUUAGACCUAAAGUGAUCAAUAUAGAAGAAAGUAAAAAUAUUCUAAGUGUAGGUAAACUUGUAGACUCAAAUGACUCUACCUUCUCAUAAAAAAUCCUCAAUUUUAUAAAUUAUAUUGAUUUCUUCAUUUGAUACAAAAUUUGAAUAAAGAUUUUUCAAAUGACAACACAAGGAAAGGGAAAAAAAAAUUCUCUCCAAAUCAUAUUAUUUAAUCACUUAAAUUAUUUAAAAAUAAAAAUGUUUACUGCUAACAUUAUUUAGGUUCAUCUUUCUUUUGAUGGAGGUUAAAAUUCAUAAUUUUGAGGAAAAAGAUGAGGAUUCUCAUUUUUUUUCCAUAUAUGAAUGGGAUUCUCAUUGUGUAUAUGUGGGUUACUAAAUGGCAAAUUUGGGGGCCACCAGAGUCUGCAAUAUGAGGGAAAAAUGAAGUUGAGUUUGUCACCAAGAAUAGACAUGGUUCCUACAAAGGUGGCAUCUUUAAUUUCAUGUUUGGAUUGGACUUGUCAUGUAACAACUUAACAAGUGAAAUCCCUCAUGAACUUGGAAUGUUAAGUUUGAUUCAUGCAUUGAACUUGUCUCGUAAUCAACUAAAAGGCUCCAUUUCAAAGAGUUUUUGCAAUCUUUCUCAAAUAGAGAGCUUAGACCUUUUUAAUAAUAAACUAAGUGGAGAAAUUCCUCCAAAAUUGGUUAGACUAAACUUUUUAGCAGUGUUCAAUGUGACUCACAAUAGCAUCUUCGGAAGAGUUUUAGAUAUGAAUACAUAAUUUGCAAAAUUUGAUGAAAGUAACUAUGAAGCUAAUCCUUUCCUUUGUGGACCACCAUUAAAGAGAAAAUGUAGCAUAAAUGUUGUUGAACCACCUUACCAACCAUUAGAGUCUUCGGAAGAAAGUGAUGCAAAAUGGUAUAAUAUCAAUCUUGUUAUUUUCUUUGCAAAUUUUACUACAUCAUAUAUCAUGAUAUUAUUAGGAAUUUCAACCAUUCUUUACAUUAACCCUUAUUGGUGUCAAAGAUGGUUCAAUUUUAUCGAGAAAUAUAUAUACUUUUGCUAUUAUUUUGUUUCCUAUACUCUUUCCAAGUUAUUAACAUAUUUUGAAUAAUUAGAGAUUUUUGUUUUCAAUAAUAUUUACAUAAUUAACUACUAUUGGCUUCCAUGACAUGGAAAGAAAUGCGAUGAAGGCAACAACCACUUUUUUUUCUCCUCUACUAGUGCAUGAUUGAUAUGAGUUAAAACUUGCACCCUUAUCUUUGCUUAAAUUUUCUCAGCUUUUGUUUCAAUUCUUAAUUAUCAUUUCUUUUAUGUAUUGUUUAAUACAAUAUCCUAAACACAUUGCUUUGAAGGUUACUUAUUUAUUAAGCAUGAUAUUGAUUUUCAUAAAAACAAAUUCAAGUUUUUUAGGAAUUUUUAGAAUUAUUAUAAUUUGGAGUUCACAUUAGAGGAAAAAAGGAAAGAAAAGAAUAGAUGAUUAAAAAAACAAUUUUAGUAAGUAUAAUUUGUCAUCUUCGGUAUAACAAAUGGGAAUUCCAAAAUAAUAUUUCAAUUUGUUAGUCUAUUCCUUAUAGUAUUAAUUGAUAUAUCAAAUAGGAAGUCACGUUUUGAUUUUUUAUUAGCUUGAAUUGCAUGUCACAUAUAUUUUAAAAUCAAGCAUACAUCAGCCGGGAAGUUCUUGUAACAUGCAUGAACAUGAUAUGAUGAAUUGAAUAAUUUUCUUAAUAUAUGUGUAUAUACUACACAUUAUUAAAUCAUAUAUGUAUAUUUAUAGUCGUAUAAUAUAUUUAUAUAAGUAACAAUAAAUUAUAUUGUAUAAGGUAUCGGUAGGAGUUUUCAAUUCCCUCAUACAAUAAUAUCUAUCAAUAAUUGGAUUGGACACCUUGCUGGCCAUGAGAAUGGACUUGACAUUAACACAUAGCCUUGAGUGGUGUUGAUAUUAUUACUUUGAACCAGAACUGCAGUCAUCUCAAAAACUAUAUUAUAUAGAAAAGCAAAAUAAAAACAUUAGUUAAAACAAAUGUCAAGAUCCUUGAAAUCACGUUUCAAUAUGUUAAAUUACCAUUUUUUUAAAUAAAUAUUUUAUAGGUUGUGUGAAUAAAUAUAAUUGCUAUGAAGGUUUCAAUUUAAUUUUACUAGCAAAUCCAUAAUAGGUGAAAAGACAAAACUACCAUUUUUGUUUUUUUUUCUUUAUUUACCUUUUUUCUCUCGUAACCUUACUCCUUUCACCUUUUUGUUUUUUCCUUUUUCUCAACUAACUAUUUUUUUCUUGUAAUUGUUAUUAUCAUUUUUUAUUAUAAAUAUUAUAACCUUAUAUUAUAAAUUUUUAAUUAUAUUUAAACUAACUAAUGUUGUGGUUUUAAUUGACAUGGAAAAGAAUGUGGUUAUACAUGUGAUUGUCGCCUUUUUUUUUUUCCAAUUAGUUAACUAUUGAUACAAGUUAAAAGUAAAAAUUGCAAUAUUAUCUUUAUGUCAAUUUCACCGAUCUUUUGUUUUUAUUUUCAUGUAUCAUUCCUUUUUUGGUUAUUUAAUUAAAAGGAUUAAAAAAAAAAAAUCACAUAUUCACAAGAAUAACCUUCAUAUUUUAAAAACAUAAAUUUUUAUAAAAAUACCCUCCAACUAUAAUUUUUAUAUGUCCCUAUUUCAAAUUCAAACACUUCUUUUAAUAAUAAUAAUAAUAAAAAAGGGCAAAAAUGUCAAACUGGGAUUAUAUUUAUAAUUUUCAAUAAUUAGAGGUUGUUUUUCCAAAGUAAAAAUUAUUUUGUUCCUUUGGCACAAAUAUUUCUUUCUUUUUUGUAUUUUUUUAUUCAAAAUAUUAAACACAUUACCCUCAAGGUUACUAUUUAUUAUGAAUGGUGUUUACUUUACAUUACGACAAAUUCAAAUUUUUUAGAAUUUUUUAAUGUUAAAAUAAUUUGGAGCUUAAUAGGGAAAAAAAGAAUAAAUAAUUAGAAAAGCAAUUCAAAAAAAUAAAAUUUAUCCUCUUAAAUUGGUUUUGUGUAAUACUAUAGAAGCCAUUUCUUGAGUUUGAUAUGGUAGAAUUUGGAUUCAUAUUUAUUUUAAAAUCAAGAAAUUCAAGUGUUGGUAGCAUCAAUAGAAUCUUAAAAAAUUUGCAAAAAAAUAUUUAGGUAGAUCACAUUUAAAUAUAACUAAUAGAAUAAAAAAUUAGUAUUAUUAGGAAGACAUGAUCAAUUAAAUCUUUUUUCUUAUCUAUGACACCGACUUUAUUUUUUUACAUAGUCAAUAUAAUUUAUUACAACUUAUAUGUCAUUAAAUUAUACAUGUUUAUAUUAAAUAUAAUAUAAGAUCAUUAAUGGAAUAAUUAUGCAAGUAAUAUAAAUUGUAUAUAAUAUAAAAAAUUUAAAGUCCAUCAAACUAAUGGAAUCUAUUAUAAUAAGUAGACUAGACACCAUGUUGGCCCGAGUUGGAGGCCUAGGCCAGAUUUUAAAGGCUGGGCUUUGAGUUGCCCGUGGGCCUGAGCCAAGGCCUUCUCUUGGUAUCAUCAUUUUGAAGAAAUAAAUUGCUGAUACAGAGAAAAAAACUAUACUAAAUAGAAAAAUAAAUAAAAGCAUUGACUAAAAUGAAGGCCAAGGUCCUUGAAAAAUAAUCUUAAAAUUGUUGCAUAUAUAAUUUCAAUAAUGCAUAAAUAAUUGCAAUAUAUAUGAUGUGAUAAAGAAUUUGGAAUUAAAAGAAGAUUGAUCUAUUUUAAAUGUGGUUGGAAUAUUUCUAAAUUUGUGAUGGGAAGUUAGACAGCCAAUUAGGGAUCCAUAUUAUUUAUUUUCAAUGAUAUGAAUUUAUUUACUUUUAUUAAUAUUCUUAAUGCAACAAUAUAAAAUAUGUCAAUUUUCUAAAAUUAAAAAAGUAAUUGUAAAAGAAAAUUUUUAAUUAUUUUUAUGAAAUUGAGUUUAUUAUAGCAUUUUUCUUUACAUAAAUUUCUUUUUUAUUUUUAUUUUUUUAAAAAUGAGAUAUGAAAAAAAAAGAUCAAUAUUAGUAAAAGUAAAACCCAAUAUAUAAAAAAUAUGAAUAAAUGUUUAUGAAAUAAGAUUUAAAAGUGAGAAGGUAAUAAUUUUUUUCUCUUUUAAUUCCUAUUCAAUUCAUUACAAAAAAUAUUUUUGGUUUUUAUGCUAAAAUUUAUUGUUUAUUAAAAAAUUCUAGUAUAUCUAGCUAUCAUAGAAGAGCUCCAAAAUUUUAUUGUUUAAGAGAAUAUGUGUUGCCACUUUAAAAGAUUUAUAUGCAAAAGGGAUUGAUAUUUUUUUCCUUUGGAUAUGUUUAGUUCCCGGAAAAUUUGAGGGAAAAUGUGAGGGAAGAAAAAUAGAGAAGAAAAGUAUAACGAAAUAAAAAGUGAAGGAAAAUGAAAAAUAGAUUUAAAGUUAACAAAUUAUUUUCAUUGGUUUUUUCAAACUUAUUUUACUUAUUUUAUUCUAUUAAAUAAAGAUUAACUAAUUUUAAUUAUAUUUGGUUUGAUUUUUAUUAUUUUUCAAAGCAAAACCAAAUAUGAAAAAAAAAACAUUUUUUUUUUUUGUUAUUUUUUUCUUUCCUUAUUACUUUUUAGGACUCAAACAUAGCUUUUAGAUUUGGAGCAUGGAAAGAUAAGAGUAUUGAAUAAUGGUUCUAUAUAUGCCCAUGCCCAUGCCCAUGAUACCAUUGAAAAAAAUGGAGAGAGGGUGAAACCUUUACUAGAUGAUAAAUUAUUCUCUUCAAUGGAAAUCAAAUAUAAUUAUUUUUAUCUUGUAUUAAUUGAAUGUUAUACUCCAUAAACUCAAAAUUAAAAUAAAUAAAAAAUUUAAAAACUAGGACAAUCCCAUUUUUUUUCAAUUUCUUAAAAAGAAAUUAAAUUAUAUUUAUUUAUAUCUAUUUUCAUCCCUACCCAACAAAAUAAAAAAAAAUUAACAAGGUGGGACAUGUAUGAGAAAUUCUCACACUAACUCUCACUAGUUUAUUUUUUUUUAAAAAAAAAAAUAAAAUCAAUUUCUUUUAAAAAAAUUAAACUACAUAAAAAAUAAACAAAUUUUACAAUUUUUUUUAAGAAAAGUAAAUUUCUUAUUUUAUAUAUGUUAAAAAUAAAUAUAAUCUUUUAUUUUUUAUAUAUAUAAUCGGGUAAGGUAGAGUGGGACAAAGAAAUAAUCCCCUUCGAUUCCAAUCCGAAUUUUUAAAAUAUAAAAUAAAAAUCUUAAACUCAUCCCUAAUCCAUUUAUUUUUAAUCCUAAACUUGUCUUAUUAAGAAUAAGGCAAAGUGAGUACAUGAAAACACUUCUUUUAUCAUCAUCUCUACAAGUUCUAAUGUUUAGAUUGCAAUCCAUAUCAAAGAUUUAUAAAGAAAGAACAACAAUGAAUUUCAUAAACAUUUGAAAGCAUAAACAAAGUUUUAAAUAAUAUUGCUUGAGGUGCAAAUAUUAUUUGGCGCACAUGUUGAGGGACUUCAACUGGUGUAGUCUAGGUUUUUUACACUAGUAAGUAAUCUUGAAUAUCUAGAGUAACUUGAUCAAAAUCUCUUUAAUUUUAUUUUCUUUGAUGGUUGUAUGAUGAAUUAGAAUGCUUAUAUAACAUGAUUAAAAAUUUUAAGAAAAAAAAACUAAGAAGAAAGAAAGAAGCAUCGAUCUUCCAAAUAUUGCUUCCACUUUAAUAUCUAGUAGGCUCUAAGAAAAGAACUUUAUUCAUGAAUCAUAACCCAAGUCGAAAAUAAAUUGAACCCAUUUUCUAAGUUAAAUUUUGAAUUUUUUACUAGUGAAUGCAAAUUGGGAAAAUGUAUAUAAAUAUAAUCAAACUAGAAUAGUAGAUUAGGUUUGUAGGUGGAGUUUGUUUGAAUUGUUGGAACUUCCAAGUCGUUGUGGGUCUAGUGGUCCCAUAGCUCUCUAUUAAUUUCCACCAUCAAUUUUUUGCAAUAAAGUCAAGUCAUUCCUAACCCUUAUAUUAAGUUGGCCUUAAAAGUCAAGUCAUUGAUCAUAGUUACAUUCAUGAAUCACAACCCAAGUCGAAAAUAAAUUAAACCCAUUUUUCAAGUUCAACUUUGAAUUUUUUAGUAGUAAAUGCAAAUUGGGAAAACAUAUAUAAAUAUAAUUAAACUAAAAUAGUAGAUUAGGUUUGUAGGUGGAGUCUGCUUGAAUUAUUGAAACUUCCAAGUCAUCGUGGGCCCAAUGGUCCCAUAGCUCUCUAUUAAUUUCCACCAUCAAUUUUUUGCAAUAAAGUCAAGUCAUUCUAACCCCUAUAUUAACUUGGCCUUAAAAGUCCAAUCAUUGAUAGCUAAAUCCCAACCCAAGUCAAAAAUAAAUUGAACCCAUUUUCUAAGUUCAACUUUGAAUUUUUUUUAAUUGGAAAAAUGUAUAUAAAUAGAAUUAAACUAGAAUAGUAGAUUAGGUUUGUAGGUGGAGUUUGCUUGAAUUUGUGAAACUUCCAAGUCGUCGUGGGUCUAGUGGUCCCAUAGCUCUCUAUUAAUUUCCACCAUCAAUUUUCUGCAAUAAAGUCAAGUCAUUCCUAACCCCUAUAUUAAGUUGGCCUUAAAAGUCAAGUCAUUGAUCAUAGUUACAUUCAUGAAUCACAACCCAAGUCGAAAAUAAAUUAAACCCAUUUUUCAAGUUCAACUUUGAAUUUUUUACUAGUGAAUGCAAAUUGGGAAAACAUAUAUAAAUAUAAUUAAACUAAAAUAUUAGAUUAGGUUUGUAGGUGGAGUCUACUUGAAUUAUUGAAACUUCCAAGUCAUCGUGGGCCCGGUGGUCCCAUAGCUCUUUAUUAAUUUCCACCAUCAAUUUUUUUGCAAUAAAGUCAAGUCAUUCUAACCCUUAUAUUAAUUUGGCCUUAAAAGUCCAAUCAUUGAUAGCUAAAUCCCAACCCAAGUCAAAAAUAAAUUGAACCCAUUUUCUAAGUUCGACUUUGAAUUUUUUUUAAUUGGAAAAAUGUAUAUAAAUAGAAUUAAACUAGAAUAUUAGAUUAGGUUUGUAGGUGGAGUCUACUUGAAUUUGUGAAACUUCCAAGUCGUUGUGGGUCUAGUGGUCCCAUAGUUCUCUAUUAAUUUCCACCAUCAAUUUUCUGCAAUAAAGUCAAGUCAUUCCUAACCCAUAUAUUAAUUUGGCCUUAAAAGUCCAGUCAUUGAUAGCUACGUUCAUGAAUCCCAACUCAAGUCAAAAAUAAAUUGAACCCAUUUUCUAAGUUCAACUUUGAAUUCUUUUAAUUGGGAAAAUGUAUAUAAAUACAAUUAAACUAGAAUAGUAGAUUAGGUUUGUAGGUGGAGUCUGCUUGAAUUUGUGAAACUUCCAAGUCGUCAUGGGUCUAGUGGUCCCAUAGCUCUUUAUUAAUUUUCACCAUCAAUUUUCUGCAAUAAAGUCAAGUCAUUCCUAAACCAUAUAUUAAUUUGGCCUUAAAAGUCAAGUCAUUGAUAGUUACGUUCAUGAAUCACAACCCAAGUCUAAAAUAAAUUGAACCCAUUUUCCAAGUUCAACUUUGAUUUUUUUACUAGUGAAUGCAAAUUGGGAAAACAUAUAUAAAUAUAAUUAAACUAGUAUAGUAUAUUAGGUUUGUAGGUGGAGUAAGCUUGAAUUGUUGAAACUUUCAAGUCGUCGUGGGUCUAAGGGUCUUAUAGCUCUCUAUUAAUUUCCAUCGUCAAUUUUUAUGAAUUAAGAUUUAAAAGUGAGAAGGGAAUAAAUUUUUUCUUUUUCAAUUCAUUACAAAAAAUAUUUUUGGUUUUUAUGCUAAAAUUUAUUGUUUAUUCAAAAAAUUAAAGUAUAAAAAUAUAAAAAAAAAUAUAUAUCUUGAUAUUAUAGAAGAGCUCCAAAAUUUUUGUGUUUAAGAGAAUAUGUGUUGCCACUUUAGAAGAUUUAUAUACAAAAAGGAUUGAUGUUUCUCCUUUGACUAUGUUUGGUUGCCAAAAAUUUGAGGGAAAGAAAAUAAAAAAAAAUAGUAAAAAAGAAAAAAUGAAGGAAAAUAAAAAAUAGUUUUCAAGUUAAUAAAUUAUUUUUAUAUGUUUUUUCAAACUUAUUUUACUUAUUUUCUUUCAUUAUAUAAAGAUUAAAUAAUUUUAAAAUGCAUAAUUUCUAACUAAUUUUAAUUAUAUUUAAUUUUUCUUUUAUAUUUUUUAGACGGGAUCCGACACAUGAAAAAAUCCUUUUUUUUAGCAUCUUUUUUUCUUUUCUUAUUACUUUCCAAUAACCAAAUAUAACCUUUAGAUUUAGCCUUUAGACUUGGAGUAUGGAAGGAUACUGAGUAUUGAAAGAAGGUUUUGUAUAUGGCCAUGAUACCAUAGAAAAAAUGGGCGAGAGAGAAAAAACCUUUAUUAAAUGAUAAAUUAUUUUACUACUUACUACAUAAAUAGAUAUUCAUGGAGUGCAUUCUCUAAAAAGCUCCAGUCUCAUGAAAAUGGAAAGAUGGACCGGCCAGUGGACCGGUUCGAGUUUGGAUUUAUGGGCUGCCUCAGCCUAACACGCAUGAUAGGCUGUUGCAGGUGAAGAACUAAUUAAUUUAAAGCCUUCUUCUAUCCUCUCCUAUUCCUCUUUCACUCCAAAUUUUCCACAUGAUAAUGACAAUUCUUUUGUUAAAUGGUAAAAAAAAAAAUUUAACAAUUAAUUUAAAAUCAUUUAUAAAAUCAUGAACUUUGGCAUCCUAAUUAAUGCAAUUUAAACUUUUUUUGUUUACAAAUGAAAUAAGAGGCAACAUAUAAACCCAAAAGUUAAUUUUCCUACCAUCUCUAUGCACCAUUUUAGCUUUACUCCAAUAUAUUUUCUAUGAUUAAUUAUUUUCAUUCAAACAAUAAUAUCAAAAUAUUUUAAAAUUAGACAUAUCAUAAUCAAAUAUCAUUAUAUUAUUAUUGAAUAAUAUUUAAUGUAAUUUAAUAAUCAACGUAUACUUAUAGAAUUUAUAUUUUUUAUUAAUGCAUAUAAUAUUAUUAUCAAAUAUGAUAAAUUAUAUAUAUAUAUUUCUUUAACAAAACAACUUUAAAAUAUCUAUUAUACUUUUAAUUUCAUCUCUAAGAGGUUUUUUUUUUUUUCUUUUUUUUUUUUACAUUUUUAUAAGUUUUGAUCAAUUGUAGGCUAACCAAUAUUUUUUUAUCAAAAUAUCCACCAAUAUAUCUCCGAUAUAUUAGAUAUAUCCGUAACAUCGAAAUACCAAUAUAUCCGCGAUUAUCGAUAUUUUUAUCCUUGAGGGAUAACAACUAAUAUAGUUUUUGCACUUAAUGAUAUUCCUCAACAUUUAGAUUGAUUUGACCAAAAUCUUUUUAAUUUUAUUUUCUUUGAUGGUUAUAUGAUGAAUUAGAAUAGUCAUAUAACAUUAACAGAUUUAAGAAAAAAAGGAUAAAAAAGCUCGUAUUUUUCAAAUAUUGGUUUCAACUUUGAAUAUUUUUAUUGGUAAAUGAAAAUUGUGAAAAACCUACUAAUGCUAAUACUUUUCACCACAUAAUUAAAUAUAAUAAACUAGAAUAGUGAUUCAUUGAUGUCUUAUAAAGACACAUGCCUUCUUUGACUUGUUAGUUGAUUUUUGUAGGUGGAGUCCAUUUCCAUUUGAAUUGUUGAAACUUCCAAGUCCUUGUGGGUCUAGUGGUCUCUCUAAUAAUUCCCACCAUUAAUUUUUUGUGAUGAAGUGCAGUCAUUGAUAGCUACUAUAUCAAUUUGCUAUUAAAAGUCAAGUCAUUGAUAACUAAUAUUCAAUCUUUUUCAAUAUGGAAAUUGGAAUCUCUAGCACUACUCUUCUCAUUGUUCAUUUUUAGGUAAUGUGAGAAUGUGUGAACAUAAAUGUCUUCUAAUCAACCAAUUUUUUUGAAAAAAACAUGUACAAAAUUGCAAAACUUGCAAAAUCAAACUUUCUUGUUGAAUAACCAUAGCUUGAUGGUUUUGAAGAAUCAAAGGAUGAAUCAUAAAAGGGUAUUUGAUAAAAAAUAAAAAUUUAAAAAGUUAAAAGACAACUACUCCCUUAAGUGUAAUAAGUGUAUUUGGUAGCACAAAUUUCCUACCACUUAUUAUUUUUUCCUUUCUUAAAAAAUUAUUUACUCUAUUAAAUAAACUAACCUUGGCUUAGCACUUAUAGCAAAAUAGGUUAAGUAGUUUUUAAAAUUUUAUAAUAUUAGAUUUACAUUUUUAUCCUUCAAAAUUUCAUUAAUGCUAGAUUCUUCUAUAUGCUUAACUAAUAAAUAAUUUUUAGCAUUUUUCUUUUCUUAUAAACAUAAAAAAAUAAAAAUAUUAUUAACUUAUUGGUAUAUUUUAAAAUUUUAAUUAGAUUUAAGCUUUUAUUUGUUUGGAUUACCAAUUAUACAUAUAAAUCCUUUGUUAUUAUUGUUAUUAUUGAAAGAAAGGGGUUGAAUAGGUAGUCCCUCAAUCCCCAAAUUAAAUUCUUUAUUGCCUACUUUUGGUUUAUUCCUUUACAUGAAUUCCUUGGUGAGAGUAAACAUUUCAUUAAUAGAUAAAUAAAAUUGAUUCCAUAUCAUAGGGUAUAAUGUGGAAAAAUCACCAGUCUCAUGUGUUCCUUAGUGGAUCCUUUGGAGCCCUAUCAAAGUUUCAUGAUGAAACCAUUGACUUUUGUUUAACCCAAAUGUGCUUUCAAGACAAAUCUUGAAAGAUUUGAGAGAUGGAGGUUCAAGUCUUUUAUGAACGACCAUGUUCUCUUAGGGUUCAUGAAAUUCACACCUUUUGAUAAAUAAAACUUAUCUAUUUAUACGUCUAAAACCCAGUAUUUAUUUAUUUAAUUAUAGAAAGUUUCUUAGUUUUAAAAACAUUUCAAAAAUCAUUUUUAGAAUCAAAUAAGAAUUUUAGAGAUAAACACAAUAUUAAAAUUUAACAAAAACAAAUUUUCGAAUUAAAAACACAAUAUAAACUAAAUUACAAAAUAUAAAGUAAUUUUUACCCUAAUUUCUUGUUGCAAAACCAAAUGGAACACCUAGAAGGGGAGUGAAUGGGUGAUUUUAAAUUUUUUCAAUAAUUAUUUAUAAGUUAUACCCAAUUCUUUUACCCUGCAAGUUGUUAGGGACUAUCAAUUCUUUCAUUUUGGCAAUUCAAACAAUAUAUCAAAUAAUAAAAAGAUAUAAAUAAUGAGACAUAAAUAUUUUUACGUGGAAAACCCCCCACACUAACCAUGGAGAUAAAAAGCCAUGGAGUCUAAGACCUAUUAAUCUAAAUUCACGGUACGAAAUCAAGUUACACAAAUUUAUUUGACAACUUUACCUUAAAGACUUACUCUACAGUACUGACAACUUGAUUCACAUCCACGACGUAGCAACCCUCGAUUACUCCAAUGGAUCACUUCAAGCUUACUAAAAGGAUGAAGGCCUUCAAACCAAGAUUCAAAAAUCAAUUCCUUGAAUGAGAGAUCAGGAAUGGUGUGCCACUUUAGGCUUUCUCUCUAAGAACUCUAAAAUGAUCUCCUCAAUGAAAACCUUUUAAACAAAAUGAGAUAUUUCUCCACAAUCUCUAACCCUCAAGGGGUUAUAAUGAGAUAUUUAUAAGCAACUAAGUUGAAGAGUUUCGGUUUUGGAAGGUUUCUCAAUUGAAUUUGUGUGAAAAACUCGACAGAAUCAACAUGACCGCUCGAGGCAGCACACUUCCCACUUGAGCGUUUCGGGCACUUGAGCGGUAAGGCUUGCUUGAGUUGUCCUAAGCGCUUGAGCAUUCCAGGCUACUUGAGCAAUCUUGCUCUAUUUCAAAAGUUAAUUUUAAACCAUUUUAAGUUCAAAACAAAAUUGAUUCCCUUUAUACCUCAAAGGAGCCUAACUUGCCACAAACCAAACUUUUUUAGAUAUACUUGUGACUUCCUGGUUGGACGAACAACAACUCUUAAUCUUCAAUGGAGAGCAAGUCACUAUCUAAAAAGAUUUAUAUGGUCAAACAUAAAAAAACAAAAAAAUUGCCAACAUAACAACAAGACUCAAUGUCCAUGCAUGGUCACCUGAAAGGUGACUCCGACCACAAUAUAAUGCAUGUUCUCAUAGAACAUGUGAACAAGAUGGGGAUAGGAAGUCCCCUAGAGAGAAAACAGAGUCUCCUAACCCUACUCUUGAAUGAUGAUAGGGAAGACAGUGUCCUGAAAAGCUUAAAGGUUAAUGGCAUGCUCAGGCUCGACACACCGAUAUGUGAAAGAAGCGUAAUAAUGGUCCCGUGCCACCUGGUAGUGAAAGCGCUCAACCGGAAGUGCAUCUAGGUUAAAAAGACCCUAGAGUGGGAUGCCCUAGACGGUUUCAGUGACCUAGGAAAGGUCACCUCCCUUUGACAUCUAUGACUAGCCAUAUCUAAGGUAUAUAAUAUGAAAAAACAAAAGCUAAAGAAAAUCCAGAGAAAAGCUAAACCACUAAAAAUGUUAAACUCAAUGCGUCGAACAAUACUAUACAAAUGGAAAUGAAAAAUAUGAAGCGAACUGACCUCAGAAGACAAAAGGACAGUAACCCAGAGGGCUCGAAGAGGAAUAGGAAAGAUUGAAAUGAAUAUGGCGUGAUGGAUGACCUUUAUAUAGCUUAUAAGAGUGCUUGAUGCAGAUUAGCACUUGAGCGUCAUGACUAACUUAAAUCAAAUUAUUUAUUAAUAUGGAAAUAUUUUAAAAGUUUCAAAGGAAGUAUUCAAUUUAGAACCUUUUUAGAAUUUUUUUGAAAGAAACAAAAAUAAAGCGUGAAAUAUUAUGUGUUAAAGGUGUUAGAAGACAAUAUUGUCUAAUCCAAAGCCUUACACAUUCCUAAAAAAAAAAAAAAAAAAAAAGGAAAAAGAGAGAUAUUAUAUAAGAUUUUGAUCACAUCUAAUAGAAACUAAUAUUUAGCAACAUAUCACCAAGCACUAUCUUAUCAGAAAGCUCUAACAUGUUGGAAAUUUAUGUAAGGUUCCAUAACAGCUAAAAACUUUUUCUGACGACUCGGUAAUGGACCAUUUGCACUUUAACUACAUUAUUGAAUUUAAAUCAUAUUAGAAUUGUAAUUGACUUCUCUUUUGUGAGACUACAUAUCUUGUAGGAUGGGAUAGGUGAUUCAUUUCAUAUAUGAAAUUUACUUAAUUUAGUAAUGCUUCCAAGUUCAUUAUGAAUCUAAUGGUAUCACAACUCCUUUAAUAUUUGUAAUUUUGUAAUCUUUGUUUCAACUUCUCAAGUCUAGUCAUUUUAUUGGCAUAACUAGUUUGCUUCAAUUAUCUCUCAACUUUAUUAUAAAACUAAGGGAAAGGAUUAUCACGCAUUUUAUAUUAACUUAACCAAACAUCUUUAUAUAUCUUACAUAUAUAUAUUUUUUGUAAAUUUAGGAAAAUUUCAUCCAUUAGCCAUAGUAAGUAAGAAUCAAAUAAGGGAUAUGUAAGCCAAUGGUGAUAUUGAUGGCGUCAAAUCAAUGACAUAGUAGAAAAGUGGAUUGUCUAUUUUCAAACCUUUAUAUUUUCAUCCAAUAGUAAAAAGGUUUAGGCAUCACUUGAAAAGUAGUUCGUUUUUUACCUUGGACUAUGAUUUAUGAAUAAAGUUCUUCUGUUGUAUACCUUUUGUGAUGCCCCAAACCUAAUUUAGGGGUAAAAAAAUAAUUUAGAAAAAAAUAAAUAAAAAGUUAAAUAAAUUUAAUUAAGGUAAAAAUGUAUUUUUGUAUUUAAAAUUCCUAGGUAUCAAUUAUAUAUUUCUUGUCUUCUCUAUUCAAAAAACCCUAUUACACAAAAAUCAAAUAUCAGAGAACAUAGGACAACGCAGGGUUGAAGAUUUGGAGGUUUAGGGUUGAAGAUUAGUUUUCCAGGUAAGAUUCUAACCCUUAAAUUAGUAUUUUAGAUUCGUUAAUUAGUUUGAACACUUUAGAUAUUCUUUGAAAAAUCUGAAUCUACGUUAGGGUUUGUUAAUUUAAUUUUUAAAUAAAAAAGAUUCAAAAUUUAUGAACAUAAGUAGAGUUAUUAUUAAAGAUUGAAAUUUUUUGAAUAUUUGAAUUAAAAAUCUAGAAAAAAAAAGAAGAAAAUAAAUUAUAGCUUUGGAUGUGGAAAAAAGUUAAUAUUAAUAAAUAAAUAAAACUUAUGAGUACGGAGGUAGAAAAAUAUGAGAGUUGAAAGCAAAGAAAAAAAAAAGAGAAUAAGGUUUUGUGGUUGUACGUGUCUCCUUAGUGGAAAAAAGAAAUACAAGGUUGUUUGCAAUAGGAUAUGACAAAGAGAGAGAGAUAAAUGCUUAGAUGUUGAUUUUUGUGGGGAAAAAAAGAUUGGGUAAUGUAGGAGAGAAAUAGGUAGCACUUGUAGAGUUGGUGGGGUUGUUGUAAAAGCUCGUAGGGUAAUUGUUAGGUAGUAGUAGGGUAUGAGAUUAAUUGUUAGGAAACAUUAGGACUUGAAAUAAUAAUAAUUGCUUCUAGUAAAAGUUUUAACUUAGUUUAAGUAUAUAAAAGAAAUAGAUGAUUAGAAUAAGAUUUGGAAGGAAUAUGAAUUCAUAAAAAUUUCGAAAUUUACUAAUUUAGAUUAUUAUUUUUUUGGAAGUUGAAUAUAAUAUAGGUGGUAAUAUUAUUAAUAUAGGAAAUGAUUAAGAUUCUCAAACCUACAAUUUUAGAUAAAUAGUUAAUAGUAAUAGUUGAUUUUUUAUUUUUUUUAUUUUUUAUUUUUUAUGUUAUGUUAAGUGAAUAAUGGAUUCUUUGAUUAAUUCUCUAAGGUUUCUAAGUGCUUCUUUAAGAUAAGGGAUAUUAAUACUGAUUUUGUAAAUGAAAAUAUUUCUUUUUAUAAGUUAUUUUAAAUUAUGAAAAAUUUUAUUUUUAUUUAUGCAUGGAUCAAAUAUAUAUUUUUUCAUGAGAAACAUGUUUGGGCAAUUUCUUUGUUUAUAAAUAAAUAAAUAAAAAAUGAGAACUUUGGAAAUAUAAUGUUUUGUUUUGCAAGUUUAAAAUAAUGAAAUAAAGUUUUUGACUCUGGUUUAUAUGACCUUAGUUAAUGGGUUAUAAUUGUUGACAUUUUCAGCUCUCCAAUCAAUGAUUAUAAUUGUUGAGAUUUUCAACCCUAGCCAACGGGUUAUAAUAGUUGACCUUAUAGCCCUAGUCAACAGAUAUAAUUGUUAACCUUUCGUUUUUCCCAUCUUAAAAAGAACAAAUUUAAGGCUAACCAUUUAUUUGUAAAGUCCCACCUAACUAAGUACCAUUUGUUAUUUAAUAACCAGAGUAAAGAUAUUUUGAAUGUAUUUGAUAUGAAAUUAUUUUGAUAUAAAUAUGAAAAUGUUUGGUUGAAAAGUUCAAAUGUUUAAUGCAUGUUGAAUUCAAAAGUUUUUAUGAAAAUGAUUAUAUGUUAUAUCUCCUAUUUGUAAGUUUGAUCCAUAAAACUGUAUUAAUAUUCCUUAUUGGACUUUGAGCUCAUUCCCCUUUGUUGAGAAUUUUUUUUGGUAUUCUCAGUUUGGGCAAGGAGUGAUGACUGGGUUGGGGAAUUUUCUUUACUAUGAUUUUGGUUCAAUCUUUAUUUUGGACAUUGUAAUUUAAUUCCCAUUUAAAUUAUUUGGGUUUGGAGUUAUUUGGACGAUAACACUUUGAUUGAUGUGUUAGUUUUAAAGUUGAGAAUUGAAAAUUAUAGAAUUUAUUUAUCUUUCUACUUUGAAUAGAAAUUUAGUAAUUGGAGAUCAUCCAGUUACAAGAUGAAUAUUAGAUGAAUAUUUGUGUCGUUUCCACAUUGAGUGUUCAGGCUUAGGGUGUGAAAUGACCGUUAUGCCCUUGGAGUGGGUAUAUUGUUUAUUUGAAUUUAAUGGUCCCCGAACUCCUUAAUUACUCAUAACUUUAUAUCACCUUCUCAAAGUUAAGUUGUUUUACAACUACUAUCUAGCUACUUUUCUCUACUAUGACAACUUUAUUACAUAGUGAUUAAUUGAAAGAAUCUACAUGUCUUAUUUCAUAGGAUAGUUGAUUUUUUUACUCAAUGAAUCUUGCUUUUAUUAUUGAAAAUUUCAAAUCAUUGUAGUCCAACAAUUUACUAUCCUUUGGUAAUUUCAUAUUACAUUUCCAAAGUCUAAUCAUUUAAAAACACUUGUAGUUAAUAUAUUGGCAAUUGCAUUGUGGGAAGUUGUUCACUUGAUUUUAAUGUUGAAACUUUCAAAUUGUUGUAGUCCAACAAUUCCCUAUCCAUUGGUAAUUUCAUAUCACAUUUUCAAAGUAUAAUCAUUUACAAAUACUUGUAUAUAGUAUAUUUGGUGAUUGUAGAGUGGAAAGUUGAUCGUUUUCAUGAAGACCUCUAAAAUAGAAAUUUUUUUCAUUCCAUUUAAUAAAGAAUUUCAUUAAUUGAACAUAUAUGUUUUUUUAACCGGAAAGUAGAGGCCACAUUAUACGAGGCCUUAGGUGACAAUACUAGGUGAGGGUUUUUUUUUUUAAUUUAUUUAUUACUAAAUAUAAAUAAUAUUAUUUAUUGUAUAAUAAAGAUUAUUAUAAUAUAUUUUUUAUAGAUGAAAAAAAUAUUAAUUGAGUUUUAUUUUUUUAAAAUAAUUGUUUUCAAUAAAUAACUUAUUUGUAAAAAGAAAACUAUAAAAUAUAUGCAUUUGAAAAAUAUUUAAUUUUUAUUUGAUUUAGUAUCAAUUAAUAUUUGUAAUAUUUUUUAAUAUUAUAGAAGUUAACAUACUCAAUCAAGAUAUUCAAGAUCAAGAGAAUAUUUAAGAUUGAAUUAAUUUCUUUAUUGUUUAUGUUUUAGUAAAUUUUUAUAUCCAUUACAAAUUUUUUAUUGUUUAUUUUUCAUUCAAUGUUUGCAUUUUUUAAUAGAUAUUAAAACGAUUUUUUUUCUUGUAUGUUAAAAAAAUAUUUCAAUGUCUUUAAAAAUAAAAUAUUGCAGUAAAAUCAAAAUUACAUUGUGAAACUUUAAGCGAAUGUUUUAUACUUAAGAAGUGCCAAUUAAAGUAAGCAUGCAUCUACAAUUGUAAUUUAGAUGUCAUACUGAAACAAUAGUUCUCUUUGACUAUAUCAUAAAAUUUGGUUCGAAUUACUUUAAGUCGUCUUGUAGAUUUUCAAGUUCCAAUGAUAUGCAUCAAGUAUGUGCAACAUACUUGAUAUAACUAAUAUUUUCUUAAGUAAUUGGACACUUUUUUCUAUAAAUUUACUUGAUUAUCAAUGAAUACUUUUAUGUAAGGUAUUGAUAUAAUUCGAUAAAUAUUUUAAAAUAGUAUUAGAAUAGCUUUGCUCUUUCCCAAUUAACAAAUUUACUAAAUUAACUUAUAUAUAUUUGUUUAUUUGAAUUUACUGGUAUUUGACUCAAAUUGUUAUUAUUUUUAAAAUUAUAGGAAAACCAUUAUUUAUAGAGUUUAAUUAUAUUUGGUAAAUUAUCUUUUUAAGUUUGGCUAGGAUUAGGAAACUAUUAAUUUAAGAUUAAUCCAUAAGGCUCUAUAAAUUUGCAGUUUUAUUUAGGAUUUAAAAAAAGAAAGAAAAAGUAAGAAAAAGUGAAGAGAGAUAGGCAAAGAGUGCAUUGGGUUUUAAAUAAAGAAAGGUUGAGAGAGUUUUGAUUACUACUCAAAAAGAACAUAUUUUAGAUAGUAAUUCUCAUGGGUUUCACAUCUUUUGAGUAUUAAUUAUGCCUAAAAAUGCUCAAUUAACAUGUUGUUGCCUUUGCAAGAGUUACUAACAAGUUUUAUAAAGUUUUGGAGUCAUUUCAAGUUAUGAUUUUAAUAAAUUGGUGACGAAAGAGAUGAAUUGAUUUGAAGAAGGCAAAUAAUAUUGAUGAUGAUCCAAAUGCAUAAUGAAAGAAGCAAUAUAAUUAGUUUGAUCGGGAUUUGCUGCUAAUUUGGAGGUAGUUAAGGUGGAGUCAAAAGAAGAAAAUGGAAGAAAUGACAAAGAGGAGCUUAAAAACCAAAUGUUGCAGAUUUGUAUGAUCAUGCAAAAAUUACAUGACUAUGCGAAAUGGAUUAGAGAAGGAAAAUUGACUAUAGUAUAAGGAGGAUGCUUAAGUUGAUUUCGCAUGAACAUGCGAAAAUUUUGCACAAUCAUGCGAAAUGGUCCAGAAAGCUCUCUAAUGUUGUUGUUGCUCCACUAAUUUCACACCACCAUGCGAAAUUGAUCUUUUCAUGCAAAAUGGCUGAAGCUCAUGUGAAAUCAUGAUUUUGAUGCUAAACUCUAGAUUUGUGAAUUUGGAAGGUUUUAGAAGAUCAAUGAGAAGUUGCCAAGUGUCCACUUGACCUUGGUCUAUAAAUAGAAACUUGAAUUUCCCAUGUAAAGAGCUUUGUGAUACUUUUGAUUUUAGAUUUUUCUAGGAACUCUUUCUCUAAAUAGAAUUCUAUAUUUUCUUUAAUUUUCUCUCAUUUUCUCAUUCGCCAAACAUGCCUAGUGAGACCAAAUCUCCAAGUAUGAGUGGCUAAAUCUCGUUUUUCUCAAAGGAAUGAGGAUCUAGAGUCAAGAUCUAUGGUGAAUUAUAGAAAUGAGUUUUAAUCGGAAAUGCAAUUUGAUUCAAUUGAUUGAUUAAUUGAAAUUUGAGGAUUUUUCUCUUCAAAUUAUCCUAAAUGACUAUUACAUUGCAAACUAGGUAGAUUCAUUAAAUUCUUAAAGCUAGAUUUAAUGAGACUGAAUAGUUGCAUUGUAUGAAUCAUUGGAAGAUAAUUUAAGAUGAAUUGAAUAUAUAAUUUAAAUUGAUCUCUUGGAUUAAAUAACCUAAUUUGAAGAGAAAUUAGGUUUAGACUUAAAGGUAAAUCUAAAAUCGAUUUAGAUAAGAAUUUAGGUUUUCAAUCUAACUUGAUGAAAAAUAAAUCUCAACAUCUAUUCACCAUGGAAAUUGUUUUCUAAAAAAUAUUAACUCCGAGAAUUCCUUUUCCUUAUCAAUUUUCUUAUAUUCUACAUUAUAUUGUUCUUUUCGAUUAGAAAUCAUUGUUAUUUUGAUUUUUCAUGAAUUGUCAAAUCAAUUUCACUUGACCAUAAUCAUUUCUUUUCCUCCCAUUUAAGCCUUAAUUAUCGAGAAUAAUCCAUCCCAAUAGAAGACACCUAAGACCACUAUACUACCGUAGCUUUUGCUAAAAAACCUUUUUGAUCGGGCAAGAGUUACCUUAGCAUAGUUGAAUUAGGUUAUAAUUUUUUUAUCCAAUAAACAACAAAAAAAAUCAAUCGAUCAAGUUUGCAUUGUGUAUUCUUGAAUUUUAUUAAUAAAUUUGAUCCCCCUUUUUGAAGCGAUUACACCAAACCAAGUAAAUAUUUUAUAUACUUCAUUUGCUUUAUUUUUUCUAUUAAGUUUAGGUGUUGCAAUUUUCAAGAGUCAUGGUGAGAAGAUUGUGGGAAAAAUUAUUUUAAGGAUGGAGUCGAACAUAAAAUAUGAAAUUGAGUCCUUUGAUGGAAAUAAUAAUUUUAAUAUUUGAUAGAGUAUUAUUAAAGAUGUUUUGAUACAACAAAGACUUCUCAAAGCAUUACAAGGCAAAAAAACUAGAGAGCAUGACAAAUAAAGAAAUGAAAGAAUUAGAAGCAAGAGUUGUAAGUACUAUUUGUUUAAGUCUUAAAAAUGAAAUACAUUGUUUUGAAUGAAAAAAAUAUUCUUUUAGGGGUGUCAAUUGCUCUUUUAGAGACCAAAAAUAUUAAGCAGUCAAGUAGUUCAUCUCAUAUUGGACAAACUGUUAUGAUGAAUUCUAAACCACAUCAUCAUAGGAGUAAAUCGAAAGAAAGUAUCUGAUAGGAGGAUGAUCAUUCCAUUCACACUUAUGGAGGAAUAUGAAGUAUUAUUACUGUGAAAAAAAAAACAUAUCAGGAGAUAUUGUAAAGAAUUGAUGAAGUACCUAGAAGAAAUGAAAAUUUUUAAAUCCCAAGAGACUUCAAAUUUUACUAAUAUUGUUGAUGAAAAUUUUGAAAUAUUGUAGUAAAUUAAAAGUUACAUUAUGGGACUUUUAGUGAGUGUUUUAUGUUGAAGAAAGGCUAAUUAAAGUAAACAUGCAUCUAAAACUAUAAUUUAGAUGUUGUACUCAAAUAGUUGCUCUCCUCGAUUAUAUCAUAAAAUUUGGUUUGAAGUCUAAGUCAUCUAAUAAUUUUCUAAUUCAAAUUGCAUGCAUCAAACAUGUGUGUUAGGAAGUGUUGCAAAUUACUAAUUAAUAUAGAUUCUUUUUUUUUUUAAAGAAUAUUGUAUUGAAUAUUUCUAGGUUGAUAUAUUAUUGUAAUAUUAGACUUUCUUAUAGAAUAAGGAAGGUUGUUGAAAAUAUCCCUAUAAAUAUUCUAGUUCAUAAGGGGAAAAAGUUAUGAGAUGAAGAUGGACCCAUAAAGACUAUACAAGGUGGAUAGAGACGUGAAGAAAAACGAGAGGUACCCGGUGGAGCGAGAGGGCUCGUGGUAGGGUAUAGGUACAAAGAGUGAGAAAACAUGGGAUGUUUUGGGAACCCAAUAAUUGUAUCUGGUUAUGUCCUCUAUAAGUUCUAGUCCUGUCAUCUGCAUUGUUCUCUAUUUUAUAGUGGAAUGAUUCUCUUUUAUCUGUGGACGUGGGCAUGGUUUUCGAACCAUGUUAAAACCUUGUGUACCGUUUGUGUUGAUUUUUUUUUUUAUCUUUAUUUUAUUGAUUAAUGAAGUUUGCAUCAAAGCUUCUGUCAACGUAACAAACUUGUAUCAAAGCUUGGGUUAAAGAUUUCUAGAAGAGUAAAAGAUCAUAGAGCACACAAGAUGAAAACAAAAGGAAUUUUUAGUGAAAAUGGAGUCAAUUGCUCUCUCAUGGUGAUAUGAUAUAAAAAGUUUGUGUCAUGGAAAGUUUGAAGAUUUACUUCAUGGAAUCUGGUCCAAAAUGGAGAUUGUUAAUAAGUAUCCCAAAUUCCUAAUUAGUUUAGAUUUUUUUUUUUUGUAAAGAAUAUUGUAUAGAAUAUUUCUAGGUUAAUAUAUUAUUGUAAUAUUAGACUUCCUUAUAGAAUAAGGAAGGUUGUUGAAAAUAUCUUUAUAAAUAUUCUAGGUCAUGAGGGAAAAAAGUUAUGAGAUGAAAUGGGCCUGUAAAAACUAUAUGAGGUGGAUAGAGAUGUGAGGAAGAACAAGAGGUACUCAAUGGAAUGAAAGGGCUCGUGGUAGGGUAUGGAUACAAAGAGUGGGGAAAUAUGGGAUGUUUUGGGAACCUAAUAGUUGUAUCUGGUUCUGUCAUCUAUAAUGUUCUAGUUAUGUCCUCUAUAAUUGAUUCGUUCCCAAUUGGUGUCUCAGCUGAUUCAUGUCCUCUCCAUGGUCCCUGAUAGUGGUGCCAUUUGAUUCAUGUCCAGCUGGUGUCCCUUGAUUUUGGUCUUCAGGGAGUAAUCAACAAAAUUUAUAACCUAUUACACCAUGUACUAGGAUAGCCUUAGCUAGCAUAGCAUAGUGGCUCUAGGGUCGUUCACUGGGAUGGGUUUUCACUUCACAAUUGAUAUUAAUUCAAAGAUGAAUUGGUGCUUUUUCAUUUCAAGGUUAGCUUUAAAAGAAAACAUAAAGAUGUUUGAAUGAAAAAGGUUUUGUUUUAAACUAACCAAAAAUAAUAACUGAUUUUACUUACAAAGAAAAGUGUUUCUUGGAGUUUAGAUCACUGGGCUCAGAUUCCUUGUACAAAAAGGGAGUUCCGGUCACUUGUUUCUUUUCCUCGCAUUAGAGAAUUAACAUAUAGUUAAUUCUCUAACCGGUGUGGUACAGAUGCUUCCCCUUAAUGGGUUCAAACACUAAAUCCCUCUCACUGAUGCAACUUGCAAUGGCUCGUGCCUCUCACCUAGCAUUUGCCAUUCAAGGUGAUCUUUAACCUUGGAUUACCCUUCACAAGCUCGCAAGAGAUAACUAAUGGAUGUCUCCUUAGAGUCCAAAAGCUUACCAAGUGUUGGCAAUUCUAGAAAAUCAUACCUUCAAACCACCUCCCAAAAGCUCGCAAGAGGUAAACCAGUGCAUCUCCAUUGACGGAGAUCACUUGCCUAACCAAGUGUUGGCUCAAGUGAAUUGAAGGUGUUUUAAGUUAACUAAAAAGAUAAAAACCAUUAACGGGUCACACUUUCUCUUCAUUAAAAACUAAAACAACAAAACUUCCAAUUUAUGCAUGAGGAAACUUACCCGGCUUUCUUUCACUCCAAGAGACGAAGAGCCUAGCCUCUCAUCCUCUGAGAAAAAAUCCUCAGAGUUUGAUUGGCUAGAAAGAAAACUAACGAGAAAACAAAAAUAUAUAUAAGAAGCAGAGCAAAAGCUCUGUUCGUUGAUUACAUAUAUGAUAUAUGAUAUAUGAUGGAUCCUCUUCUUUACAUUGGUUCAAAGAUAUAUAUAGAGAAGAUAUUUUCUAAGAAAUAUCCCAAUAAUAUCUUUGACUAAUUACAAGGAGAAAAUAGAAAUUUACACAAAAUAUCUUGAGAGAAAAAAUCUAACUUAGUCGGUGGCAAAUAUCAGGAAGCUUCAGGAGAAUAUCGCGUCACUGUGCAAAAAUCCGGGUAAUCUGAAAUGCCGGCCGCGGAUGCUCUCCGGGUUAGCGCUAUUAGAAGAUCCGGACAUGCCUGUCUGGGGAGGUUGAAAUGCCUCUUCUUCCAUCCGGCGUCAGGCGUCGGAUUUGAAAUAUCUGAUCAGAGGAUCCUGACAUGUCUGACCGAACAGAAUUUCAGAUGUGAGAUAUCCGGACGUCGCAAGGGGGACCGUUUGCGUGUACAAGGUGUAGAGACCCUUCCCCCUGAUGACACGGAGCACGCAUCGCUAUCCAGAGCAACUCCAUCCGGAUUUCCCAAGAGGACACGCACCGCCAUGCUAUCCGGCACUCGUGAACAUCACACUCCGGAUGAUAGCAUAUCCUAUCCGGAUAUGUUGUCUGGAUCAUUGACUAAAGUGAGCAAGCCUUACUACAGCCCACGUUCCGCCGCUCUUCCAAUGGUGUGUCCGGACGCCCUGUCUGGACAUCUUUUUCCAUGGAUUCCAAAGAACUCUCCUCAAUCUCGGAUUGCUUUGGUGAUAAAAAAGCUAUCAAAACACCAAAACUUAACACAAUUUGAUUAGAAUUGAUUGCAAGGGUCCUUAAUAUGUUAAUUGGGUUAAAAAGUGAUAACUACUACUCAAAAGUGUUUAAAAGAGUUAAUUACAAGCUAUGAAAUAACACUUUUUGAGUAGUAAUCAAUAAUGUUCUCUAUUGUAUAGUGGAAUGAUUCUCUUUCAUUCGUGGAUGUAGGCAUGGUUGUCGAACCACAUUAAAACCUCGUGUACUGUUUGUGUUUUUUUUUUAAAAAAAAUUAAUCUUUGUUUCUUGAUUAAUGAUGUGUGCAUCAAAGCUUCCAUCUACGUAACAAACUGGUAUCAGAGCUUGGGUUGAAGAUUUUUGGAAUAGUAAAAGAUCACAAAGCACACAAGAUGAAAACAAAAGGAAUUUUUAGUGAAUGUGGAGUCAAUUGUUCUCUCAUGGUGAUAUGAUACAAAAAGUUUGUGUCAUGGAGGGUUUAAUGAUUGACUCCAUGGAAUUUGGUCCAAGGUAGAGAUUGUUAGGAAGUGUCCCAAAUUCCUAAUUAGUAUAGAUUUUUUUUUUAUAAAGAAUCUUGUAUAGAAUAUUUCUAGGUUGAUAUAUUAUUGUAAUAUUAGACUUCCUUAUAGAAUAAUGAAGGUUGUUGGAAAUAUUUUUAUAAAUAUUUUUAGUCAUGAGGGGAAAAAGUUAUGAGAUGAAGAUGAGCCUAUAAAGACCAUACGAGAUGGAUAGAGAUAUGAGGAAGAAUCGAAGGUACCCAGUGGAGCAAGAGGGCUCGUGGUAGGGUAUGAAUAUGAAGAGUGGGGAAACAUGGGAUGUUUUGGGAACCCAAUAGUUGUAUCUAGUUUUGUCAUCUAUAAUGUUCUGGUUCUGGCAUCUAUAAUGUUCUGGUUUUGUCCUAUGUAAUGUUCUUUAUUGUAUAGUGGAAUUAUUAUCUCUCAUCUGUGUAGACAAGUUGCUAAACCACGUUAAAACCUCGAAUACCAUUUGUGUUGAUUUUUUUUAUCUUUGCGUUCUUGAUUAACGAUGCUUGCAUCAAAGCUUCUACCAACGUAACAAUGUGCAACAUAUUUGAUAUAACUUAUAUUUUCUUAAGUAAUUGAACACUUUUUCUAUAAAUUUACUUGAUUAUCAAUGAAUACCUACAUAUACGGUAUUGACAUAGUUUGAUAAAUAUUUUAAAAUAGUAUUAGAAUGGCUUUUCUUUUUCCCAAUUAACAAAUUUAUCAAAUAUAUACAUACACACACACACACACACAUAAUACUCAUUAGUAUGUCUUUUAUGAAAAAACUAUAUUUGUUUAUUUGAAUUUAGUAGCCAUUCAACUCCUUAGUUACUCAUAAACUUUUUAUCACCUUCUUAAAGUCAAGUCAUUUACAAUUAUUUCUAUCUAGCCUUCUCCAUUAUAACAACUUUAUAAGAUAGUGAUUGAUUGGAAGAAUCUACAUGCCUUUGUUGAUAGGAUAAUUGUUUUUCUUUUUUUUUCGUAUUCAAAGAAUCUUGCUUCUGUUAUUGAAACUUUCAAAUCCUUUAUGUCAAGUUGUCUUAUAAUUCCCUAUUCAUUGGUCUUUCAUAUUACCAAUCAUUUUGAAAAUGAGUUAAUUUCAUUCACAUCCUCUGAGAUUUGAUGUAAAUUCGCUUAGUUACCAAUGAUUUCAAAUUUCAUUAAUUAGUACCCCUAUAGAUGUAAUUUGUGUACAAAAUUUAUUUUUUAAAAGAGUUUAGGUAAAAAUAUUUUAGGUAUAUGUCUUUAACAAUUCUCUAAAAUAAAUUUUACUUGCUAAAAAAUAACUUAUAUAGAUAGAAUACAUCUACAGGAGUUCUAACUAACGAAAUUUAAAACUAAUGGUGGUUUAGUGUAUUUAAACUAAACAUUAGGAAGGGUGACUGAAAUUAACCCUCUAGGUAUAUAUGUUUAACAAAAUUUUUAUUGUUUAUUUUUCAUUUAAUGUUUGCAUUUUUCAAUAAACAUUGAAAAGGAAUUGUUUUUCCAUAUGUUAACAAAAAGAAAUUUGAACACCUAUAAAAAUAAAAUCUUGUAGCAAAAUUGGAGUUACAUUAUCAGACUUUUAAUGAGUGUUUAUGUUUAGAAAGACCAAUUAAAGCAAGCAUGCAUCUAGAAAUUGUAACUUAGAUGCAUCAAACAUGAGCAACAUAUUUGAUAUAACCAAUAGUUUCUUAAGUAACUAAACACUUCUUUUUCUAUAAAUUUACUUGAUUAUCGAUGAAUACUUACAUAUAUUUACAUAGUUUGAUAAAUAUUUUAAAAUAAUAUUAGAAUAACUUUGUUUUUUCUCAAUUAUAUUAGAAAAUAAUAUAAAGUUACUUAUAAACUUUAUAUCAUUUUCUCAAAGUCAAGUCAUUUACAAUUAUUUCUAUCUAGCCUUCUCCAUUAUGACAACUUUUAUAUGAUAGCCGUUGAUUGGAAGAAUCUACAUGUCUUUUUUGAUAGGAUAGUUGUUUUUAUUUUUUUAUUUUUUUUAUUCCAAAAAUUUGCUUCUAUCAUUGAAACUUUCAAAUCUUUUAUGUAUAUUACCAAUCAUUUUACAAGUGAGUUAAUUUCACUUAGGGUAGAUAUACUUAGCCACACCCCUAUAGAUGUAAUUUGUGUUUAAAUUUUAUUUUUUAUUUAGGUAAAAAUAUCUUAGGUAUAUGUGUUCAACAAUUCUCUAAAAAAUAAAUUUUCUUAUCUAAAAGUUUAUAUAGACAAAAUACAUCUAUAGAAGUCCUAAUUAAUGAAAUUUAAAAUUAAUGGUUGUUUAGUGUAUUUACAUUAAACCUUAUGGGGUAUGAUUGAAAUUAACUCUUUUACAAGCACUUGUAGCUAAUAUGUUUGUAGUUGUAGUGUUGGAAAUUGAUCAUUUUCUUGAAGGCCUCUAAGAUAUUGAAAAUAUUGCCAUAGUUUUAGACUUUUUUUUAUUACACCUAAUAAAAAAUAUUAUUAAUUUAACAUAUAUAUUCUUGACUUAAAAGUAAAGUCUCUCCAUAUUGUAUAAGCCCUUAGGUGGCAAUAUUAGGUGAAGUUUUUCUUUCGUUUAUUACAAAAUAUAAAUAAUUUAUUAUUGUAUGAUAAAAUUUUAUGUAAUAUAUUUUUAUAGAUGUAAAAUUAUUAAUUGGGUUUUUUUUUUACUAAAUUGUCAUUUCAAUAUAUAAAACUUAUUUGUAAAAAGACAAUUAUAAACUAUAUGAAAUUGAAAAACAUUUAGUUUUUUUAUUUAAUUUAGAAUUUUAUUUGGAUUAAUAAUUGAUAUUUGUAAGAUUUUUUAAUAUUAAAAAAAGUUAGCAUACUUAAGAAAGAUAUUCAAGAUCGGGAGUGUUUGAUAUUGGAUUAAUUUCCUUAUUUUCUCUAUUUUAAUAAAUUUUCACGUCCAUUACAAAAUUUUUGUUGUUUAUUUUUCACUUCAAUAUUUUUAUUUUGUAAUAGACAUUUGAAAAGAUUUUUUCCUACAUGUUAAAAAAAAAAAUAUUUGAACACUCCUAAAAAAGAAUAUUGCUAUAAAAUUAAAGUUUACAUUGUAGGACUAUUAGCAAAUGCUAUAUACUUAAAAUAGACCAAUUAAAGUAGAAAUACUUCUAAAAUUGUAAUUUAGGUAACAAUAAUAUAAAAAGAUAAUAUUUUUGAAACAAUAGUUCUCUUGGAGUUUUGGGUACGAUGGACUAGACUUUAUGUACAAUAGAUAUACAAACUUUCCAUUAACAUCUUGAGAGACAUGAUGAGGAGCAAAGUCAUCCAAGAAGGUACCAUAGAGGUACCUUAGCUCCAUUCAUCUAGACUACAUAAUGUUUAAAGAUCAAAUUCAAUGACUAGAUUUCAAAAAUCAAUAUAAGCUUUCUCAUAUUCUACUCUAUAUAAGACAAUGGUAUGAUACCUCUCUUGUGUCGUAGAAUGCACCAUGAAAACCUUAUCAUUUUAACAUCAGUUUGAAACUUAAAAGUCACUUAGCACAUUCUAGUUAUUAAUCUAAGAGCAUUAAAAGAAAAUAUAAAAAAAGUUACUUUAUCCUUGUGAUUUUGAUUUAGGACUUUUAAUGAUAUUAAAAAAAAAAAACAAAACAGAAAAAUAAAUGGAAAUAAAAUCAACAAAUUAAACAAUUGAAUUAAGUUAGUUUAAUUCUUGCAUCGUUAAAUGGGUAAAUAAAGACUCUUAGAUUUGAUAUUAAUAUGAACAUCAUGACUUCAGUGAAUCUUACAAGAAAAUUUUAGUUUGAAAGACUUCAUUCAUUAAACGUGUGGCACAUAUUAAAGUAAAACUAAGUCUUCUCUAUAAUUUGUACCUAUCAUAGUUUCUUUCCUUAUAAAUAGCCUUUUUUGAAUAUAAUAUAGACUUCAACAUGCAUGGUGGGGCCAAUCAAACUACUAGUCAAGACAACUCAUGGGCAACAACGAUGUACCAACUACAUUUAAAUACUCUUCAUCUAUUUACAUAUCAAGAGUAAUUUAGUAGUGUCUUAUUUAUGUACCUCAUAUCUAGACUUUCAAUGGAGAGUUCUUCAUCUAAAAAUUUGACUUGGGUUUUCAUACUAGUUUUGGUUUAGACAUGUGGAUGCAAAGGUUGCAUCAAAGAAGAGAAGUAGGCUAAAUCAUCUUACAAAUUUUAUAGUUCAAAUUAGAUGCACCAAACAUAUGCAACAUAUUUGAUAUAACUAAUAUUUUCUUAAGUAAUUGAAUACAAUUUUUUUUUUAAAUUUACUUGAUUAUUAAUGAAUAACUACAUGUAUGGUAUUGACACAACAUGAUAAAUCUUUUAAAAUAGUAUUAGAAUAACUUUGCUAAAAAAAAGUAAAAAUAAAAAUAAAAAUACAUCUAUAUAUAAAAUUAAAUUAAAUUAAAAAUUAAAAAAGAAUAUAUAUUCUCUGUGUGUGUGUGUGUGCAUGGUCCCACAACUCAUUAGCUACUCAUAAGCUUUAUAUCACUUUCUCAAAGUCAAGUCAUUUUGUAAUUAUUUCUAUCUAGCCUUCUCCAUUACGACAACUGUAUAGGAUAUUGAUUGGUUGGAAAAAUCUUCAUGUCUUUUUUUAUAAGAUAGUUUUUUUAUUAUUAUUAUUAUUCAAAGAAUUUGCUUUUAUUAUUGAAACUUUCAAAUCCUUUAUGUCUAGUGGUCCUACAAUUCCCUAUUCAUUGGUAUUUCAUAUUACCAAUCAUUUUACAAAUAAGUUUAUUUCACCCGGUAAAUAUACUUAACUACUAAUGGUUUCAAAUUUAAUUGAUUAACACACUUAUAGAUGUAAUUUGUUUUUAAAUUUUAUUUUUUUAGAAGAAUUGUAGGUAAAAAUGUUUUAGGAAUAUGUGUUCAAUAAUUCUCUAAAAACAAUUUAUAUAGAUGGAAUACAUUCAUGUAAGUUCCAACUAAUGAAAUUUAAAACUAAUGACAAUUUAAUGUAUUUGCACUAAAUCUUAGGGGAGGUGUACUAAAACUAGCCCUUUUACAAAUAUUUGAUAUGAAAUUAAUUAAUUAAUUUUUUCUAUUUAAAUAAAUUUUUGCAUCCAUUAAUAAAAUUUUAUUGUUUAUUUUUCACUUCAAUAUUUUUAUUUUGUAAAAUAAAUAGAAAUAAAAUCAACAAAUUAAAAAAUUGAAUUAAGUUAGUUUAAUUUUGCCACCUUUAAAUUGGUAAAUGAAGACUCUUAUAUUUGAUAUUAACAUGAACAUCAUGACUUUAUUGAAUCUCACAAGAAAAUUUUAGUUUGAAAGAUUUUAUCCUUUAAACAUGUGACACAUAUUAAAGUGAGACCAAGUCUUCCCUAUAAUUUGUAUCUAUCACAAUUUCUUUCCUAAUGAAUAGCCUUUUUGAAUAGAAUAUAGACUUUAGCAUGCAUGGUGGGGCCUAGCUAUCAAACUACUAGUCAAAACAACUCAUGGGCAAGAAUGAUGUACCAACUAGAUUAAGUAUUCUCCAUCUAUUUGCAUAUCAAGAGUAAUUUAGUAGUAUCUUUCUUGUGUACCUCAUUUCUAGACUUUCAAUGGAGAGUUUUUUAUCUUAAAAUUUGACGUGGGUUUUCAUACUAGUCUUGGUUCAGAUAUGUGAAUGCAAAGGUUGCAUCAAAGAAGAGAAGUAGGCUAAGUCAUCUUACAAAUUUUCAAGUUCAAAUUAGAUGCAUCGAACAUGUGCAACAUAUUUGAUAUAACUAAUAUUUUACCAAGCAACUAAAUACUUUAUAUAUAUAUAUAAAUUUAUUGAUGAUCAAUGAAUACCUACAUGUAUGGUAUUGACACAGUUUGAUAAAUCUUUUAAAAUAGUAUUAGAAUAACUUUGCUAAAAAAAGUAAAAAUAAAAUAAAAUAAAAUAUAUAUAUAUAUAUAUAUAUAAAUAAACAAAAUAAAAAAUUUAAAAAGAAUAUAUAUAUUAGUGGUCCCACAACUCAUUAGCUACUCAUAAGCUUUAUAUCAUUUUCUUAAAGUCAAGUCAUUUACAAUUAUUUCUAUAUAGCCUUCUCCAUUGCGACAACUGUACAAUAUAUUAAUUGAUUGAAAAAAUCAUCAUGUCUUUUUUGAUAGGAUAGUUUUUUUUUUAUUCAAAGAACUUUCAAAUUCUUUAUGUCUAGUGGUCCUACAAUUCCCUAUUCAUUGGUAUUUCAUAUUACCAACCAUUUUACAAAUAAGUUAAUUUCACUCGAUAAAUAUACUUAACCACCAAUGGUUUCCAAUUUGUAGCAUUCUUAUAGAUGUAGUUUGUUUUUAAAUUUUAUUUUUUAGAAGAAUUGUAGGUAAAAAUAUUUUAGCUAUAUAUGUUCAACAAUUCUCUAAAAACAAUUUAUAUAGAUGGAAUACGUUCAUGGAAGUUCCAACUAAUGAAAUUUAAAACCAAUGAUGAUUUAAUGUAUUUGUACUAAAUCUUAGGGAGUGUGGACUAAAAUUAGCCCUUUUACAAAUAUUUAUAACUAGUAUAUUUGUAGUUGUGGUAUUGGAAGUUGAUCAUUUUCUUAAAAGGUUUACCAUUGAAGUUAGUUGAAUAUAAAGUUAGGUGAACUUUACCAUUGUUAAAUUGGUAAAUGAAGACUCUUAGAUUUGAUACUAACAUGUACAUCAUGACUUCAUUGAAUCUCUCACAAGGAAAUUUUAGUUUGAAAGACUUCAUCUUUUAAACAUGUGGCACAUAUUAAAGUGAGACCAAGUCUUCCCUAUAAUUUGUAUCUAUCACAAUUUCUUUCCUCAUAAAUAGCCUUUUUGAAUAGAAUUAAUAUAGACUUUAGCAUGCAUGAUGGGCCCUAUCAAACUAUUAGUCAAGAUAAUUUGUAGGUAAGAACGAUGGACCAACUAUAUUAAAUACUCUUCAUCUAUUUGCAUAUCAAGAGCAACUUAAUAUUGUCUUUCUUUUGUACUUCAUGUUUGAACUUUCAAUGGAGAGUUUGUCAUCUAAAUAUUUGAUGUGGGUUUUUAUACUACUCUUGGUUCAAAUAUGUGGAUGCAAAGGUUGCAUCGAAGAAGAGAAGAUGGGUUUGCUUGAAUUCAAGGCUUUUCUUAAAUUGAAUAAUGAGCAUGCAGAUUUUCUUCUCCCUUCAUGGAUAGAUAACAACACUAGUGAAUGUUGUAAUUGGGAGCGGGUUAUUUGCAAUCCCACCACAGGUCGAGUUAAGAAGCUUUUCUUCAAUGAUAUAACGCGACAACACUUGGAAGACAAUUGGUACUAUUACGAAAAUGUCAAAUUCUGGUUACUAAAUGUCUCCUUAUUCCUUCCUUUUGAAGAACUUCACCAUCUAAACUUGUCUGCAAACUCAUUUGAUGGGUUUAUUGAGAAUGAAGGUAUGUUACCUCUCACCUUUAAAUUUUCUUUUCACUUAUACUCCAAACAUUCUAAAGGAACUACUAGCAUAUGUUCUUAAAAGUGUUCAGGUGGAGAACAAAUGGUCACUAGUAACUAUUGAAUUUAAUAUAAGAACAAUUACUAAUUAUUAAAAUUUAUAAUGUAAAUUAACAUUUAAACAGAACAAUAAAAAAAUUAUUAUUUUAGAAAACUAUAGAUUACAUUAGCCUUAUAUAUAUAAGCAUACUUGUUAUUUAUGUCAUCAUUUCACACUCAACCCAAUAAGUGGGAUUCAACUAAGAGUGAGCAAUUUCACAAUUAUUAAUUAACAGGAACACUUAGGCUCCCAUAUCCUUAUCAUUUUUGCUGAAUUGUCUUUCCUUAUCUUCCAUUCCUAAAAAGCUUGAUUUCUAUAUUCCAAAUUGAUAGAGAUUGGUUAAAGAAAGGUGAUCACAAAAUUUGACUAUUGCUUUCAAAUGAGGAAUCACCAUCUUCAAAAUUUCACAUUUACAAAAAAAAUAAAUAAAAUAAAUAAAUAAAUAAAACUAGCCUCGGGUAAGGUCCAAGCCUUAUUGUUUUAAGCUGAUGUCAGAUUGGUUUAAUAAUGAACAGAGUAAAUCCUAACCCAUGACCAUCUACGCAUUUCCAAAUUCCACCCAUCCACAACCCAUUAAUAUGACAUUUUCAGGGACAAAAUUUAAUCAAUUAAACCUAUUAGAUGGAUUCUCCAUACAAUGUUAAAAUGAAUAUAAAAACUUUAAUUCAAAAAAUAAUUUCCUUUAUUUAGUUAGGAUUCAAAUUAUAGGGGCACAAAACAUGAAAAUUUUCAUGUUUAAAAUUCACAAAGAUCACAAAAGCUCUUUGAAGCUCUAUGGACUUUUUUAUUUCUAACAUUUAAACACAAAAAUCACCAAAUUUAAUUAGAGAUUUGGAUGCAUAUUCUUAUAUUAAAGACAUGUAAGCUUACAUAUUUAAAUAUGAAGAUCUCAACUUGUAAUUACAUGCUUCUAAUUAAAGUUAUAUUACUCUAUUUUACAGGAUUUAAAGGGUUAUCAAGUUUAAAGAAAUUGGAGAUCUUGGACAUAAGUGGUAAUGAGUUUGACAAAAGUGCCUUAAAAUCUUUGGGCACAAUAACAUCACUCAAGACAUUGGCUAUUUGCAGCAUGGGACUGAAUGGAUCUUUUUCCAUUCGAGGCAUGUUAUAUGUCCACAUUGUUUCUUUGAAAUUAAGUAAAAUAUAUUUCUAACUUUUAAUGUUCCUUAGUUAAUCUCUCUUUUGAUUCAUGUUUGUUGCAGACUUAGCUAGUUUGAGAAAUUUGGAAGUGUUGGAUCUAAGCUAUAAUCAUUUGGAAAGCUUUCAACUAUUGCAAGGUACUUCAUUAACUUGCUAAAAAAACUUACGAUAUUUUGUUAUUAAAUUAAAGGUAAGAUUAACAAACAAUUUCUUCUCAUUAGUUACUUUUCUUUGUAAUAUCAUUAAAUUUGAUAUAAUGUAGUCUAAAUCAUCCUUUCAAUUUAUAAGUUUUAAUUAAAACGCAUCAAGCAUGCACAAGAUGUUUAAUAUAACUAAUAUUUUCAUAAGUAAUUGAAUUUUUUUUAUGAAUUAAUUAACUUGAUUAUCAAUAAAUGCUUACAUGUAUAAGAUUAAUAUAGUUUCAUAAGUAUUUUAAAAUUGUCUUACAACACACACACACACACACAAGGAAAAUGAAAGGUAUGUGAUACCUUUAUGCUAUGUUUGGUUCUCAAAAAAAAUUGAGGGAAAAUGAAAGGAGAAAAAAAUAGAGAGGAAAAGUAAAAGAAAAGAAAAGAAAAAAAGUGAAGAAAAAUAUAAAAUUGAUUAAAGUAAAUACAUUAUUUUUAUAUGUUACUUUAACUUGUUUCACUUAUUUUAAUUCUUCAAUGUAAAGAUGAAAGAUUUGAAAAUGCAUAAGUUUCUAAUUAUUUUUUUAUUUUAUUUUAUAGUUUUUACAAUACAACCAAACAUAAUAAAAUCAUUUUCUUUAAUUUUUUUUCUUUUCUUAAUACUUUUCACGAACCCUUAAGUUAUGUUUGGUUUGCAGAAAAUAUGAGGAACAGAAAAUAGAAAAGAAAAUUAAAAGGAAAGAAAAAGUGAAGUAAAAUAAAAAUAAAUUUAAAUUUAAUAAAUUAUUUUUAUAUGCUACUUUAAACUUAUUUCACUUAUUUUAAAUUAUUUAAACUCAUUUCUAAUAAAUAAUAAUGGAAAUUGUAGAGAAGUUUGUGUUAUUCAAGCUUUGCAAUGACUUUUCAAGGUGAAGGAAAAUAUUCUUGCUGAAAUUGAAGAAGGAAAUACCUUCUUAAAUAGCCUAUUGACCGAAAACACAUUACCCUAACAUAUACACACACCUUUAUUAUUUAUACAAUCAUUUAAUACUUAAUCCCGUUAGUGGGAUUCUAGUGGUUGUUUCUAUCUUGGUUUCCAAUAUUUCUGAUUGAUAGUGUUGGAUUAAUGAAAUAUCAUAAAUUUUGACCCCAAUAAGGACCAAUCCCUAUUAAAUGUAAUUGGGUUGACCUAAGACUAAAUGUUAGACCCAACUAAUAAAAACCCAUCUGUUUGUUGGAGUCUAAAUAACCCAGCCUUAGGUAGGGCCCAUGCCUUAUUAUUUUAAGAUGUAGUCCAACUGGUUUGACACUGGAUUGAGUAAAGCCCAACUUAUGAGCAUCUGUGCAUUUCCAUCCAUCCACAACCUACUGGCAUGGACAAACUUUGGUCAAUUAAACCUAUUAUAAAUGUAUACAAAAUUUUAAGUUCAAAAGAUAAUUUUUCUUAUUUAGUUAGGAUUCAUAUUAAAAAGGCACAAAGCACGAAUUUUCAUGUUUAAAUUCACAAAUAUCACGAAAGCUCCUUCAAGCUCUAUGGACCAUUUUAUUUGUAACAUUAUAUUACUCUUAAUUAUCAAAUUAACCAACAAAUUCUUCUCAUUAGUUAUUUUUCUUUUGUAGUGUCAUAAAAUUUGAUGUAAAGUAAUAUUGGUCAUCAUUUCAACUUUCAUGUUCCAAUUAGAUGCAUCAAGCAUGUGCAACAUAUUUGAUAUAACUAAUAUUUUUAUAAGUAAUUGAAUUUUUUUUUCUAUAAAUCAAUUAACUUGAUUAUCAAUGAAUACUUUCAUACAUGAUAUUGAUGUAGUUUCAUAAAUAUUUUUAAAUAGUCAUAGAAGUCUUUUAUCUGAUUCACUAGAAAGAAAAAUAAACUAUUCUAAUGAAAAUACUUGAUGAUUUGAAGUGAUUGCUUUUGAUUUUAUUUGAUUGCUACCAUUAUUAAUUGUUAGAAAUUGGCAACAAAUACCCAUUUUGCAUCACUUCUAUAUGCAUCGAGGGAAUGAAUUAUAUUUCAUAGAGCUAACAGGGCAAAACUCAUACUUUUGGAAUUAUGGAAAAGGUUGCUAGAAAGCUAAUUAACAAUUUAUAUUAUGAUUAAGACUAGUUGGGUUAGAAAUAAUUCAUAUGGAGAUUAAAAAAAACUAUGUAAUUUAGUUUAGUAGCUUGGGUGCUAUUGUAAUGAUUAAUGAUCUGCAACUUGAACACAUCUACUAGUGCUUUCUACUUGUAUAGCUAAAUUUAUGUUACCACUUUGAACUACAGUACUUACAUGAGAAGAAAGCUUUUCCUUAGUGAUAAUGCAAAAGAAAUUAAGUAUCAAUUUUUGUUAAACUAACAAGUGAUAGUUUAGAUAUGUUUUGAAUACACUUCCUUUCUUCUAUUUUUUUAUUUUGAAAAAAAAAACUCUUUAAUGAAAUAUAAGAAAUCUUAUAUGUAUAAAAAGUAAAGACUUAAACAAAAAAAUUCUUCAAAUUUUAAAAAUUUCGAGAAGUAUUUUUAAGAAUUUGUAUUUUUAGUAUAAUAAUUCCUAUAUUUUGUAUAAAAGCUUUUGUUCAAAAAAAUAGAAGUGUAUCCAAAUUAAAAAUUAAUGGUUAAAUUAAGAAUGUUUCUCAGAUCAAGGGAUAAUGAAAGUUGUAGAGAGUUUGCAUUACUCAACCUUUGCAACUACUUUUUGAAGGUAAAAGAAAAUACCUUCUUACAUAACAUACAAUGGCAAGUUCUGGUUUGUAAGAAACUAAUAAAUGAUUAAGAAUAUGAAUAAGACUUCCUUAAUAAUAGAUAUGUAGAGAAGAAUAGUGGAUGAUAGGAGGUGAAAAUCUUGUAAUAAAAUAUCAAUAUCGGUUAUAAGAUAAUCAACAUUUUCUUGUACCUAUGUGAUUAAGAAUCUUGUAGCUCCCUUAUUGAAAUAUAAUAUAAAAAUAUAAAUAAACUAUUUAGAAGUGCAUGUAGUUUUCAACAUGAGGAAGUUCAAAAGCAAGUUAAUUAUGAUAAUUUUCUAUAGUCUAUAUUGAACACAAAUUAUUUUUUCUAAAGGUUCAAUCGUUCUAUGAAGGUUAAAAGUUUGAAUUGUUUACAUAUGCAAAUGUGAAAUUUGAAAUUUUAUAAUGUUUUAUAAUUUUCUUGUAGAUUCAAAAAACUUGUCCAUAUUCAAAAAGCUCGAGACCUUGAACCUCAAUCACAACAAGUUCAAAAACACUAGCCUACAACAAUUGAAUAUAUUUACAUCCCUUAAAAAUCUUUCUCUAAGACGGAACUAUGAUGGAGGAUUUUUUCCGAUCCAAGGUAUGUGUAAUUAUUAUUAUUAUUUUUAAUGAUAAAAUAUUAGAAUUGUCAACAUCUUUUAUCUUUUUUCCCCUCAAUGGUGUUGCAGAAUUAUGCACUCUAGAAAACUUGGUGAUGUUGGACCUAAGUGGGAAUUUCUUUAUUGGCAUGCAAGGUAAAUACAAAGUGAAGUUUUGGUUAUAUAUAUAUAUCAUGUAAGAACAUAACUAAAAUCAACAUUCUUUGCCUAUCAAUUUGUGCAUGACUAUUAUUUAGUUAUUCUUCGUAACAUAAUUGAAAGAAUGUUUAGGUGUAUAACAUUUAAGAAUUUUACAUGGCACAAUGAAAAACAUGGUAAUCAAUGUAUGCAAUAAAAUUCUAAUAGUUGAAAAAGAAUUUUCUUGUAAUUUUAUGUUCGUGUAUAGUAAUCAAAGAGAAAAUCAUGAAAAUGUAUAUUAGUUAGACUUUAUAUAUCAAUAGACAAAAAAGAAAGAAAAAAGAUUAGUUCCUUAACUUAUCCUAAAAUUUUCUAGAUAACAAGGAGUUUUUUUAUUUUGGGCUAUAAGAUUUACAACCUGAAAAGUGAAGAUGAUUAAUAUUAGUAAUAUAAUUUUGAAAUAUAAAAAUUAAUGAAAUAAUGUUCUCUAUAACUAUAACUGCAACUGCAACUAUUAAUAAAAGAUAAUAAAAGUACUUUAGACUUUGAAUCCAUGGUUAGGUUUGCAAUUUUUUGAUGAUCAAUAAAGCUACAACUUAUGCUGCAAAAGGCUAUACAAAAUGUAUUAGGAGCAUUGCUAAGCUCAUUUAUCAAUAAAAGAAAUCCAGUAAUACUUUGAUUGGAAAAAACCUAGAAUCAUGUUUGAUAUAUAUAAUAGGAGAAGAAACAAAAUAACAAUUCCAUGGUAUUAGUUAGUUUGAUAUCCCUUUUGUUAUAUGGAAUAACUAUUCCAUUUUAAAAUAAUUAUUUCAUCUUAUCGCUAGAACAAAAAAUUUCAAGCAAUUAUAUGCGCUUUUGGGUUUCUUAAGAAUUUAAGCAUUUAUGGGUCACCCAUAUAUACAUAUAUAUAUAUAUAUAUAUAUAUAUAUAUGUAGGAAGAAUAAAAAAAAAUAUUAUACGGAGACAAGGGUAGACACCCAUAUAUAUAUAUAUAUAUAUAUAUAUAUAUAUAUAUGUAGGAAGAAUAUAAAAAAAUAUUAUAUGGAGACAAGGGUAGACACCCAUAAAUGUACAUAUAAUUAUUUAAAUAAAAAAUCAAUAAGAAACAAUAUACAACAAAAUAGAAAAUUUUAAUCUUCUUAAAUUUUAAAAAUAAAAACUAAAUGAAAAAAAAUUAAGAAGUAAAAAUAAUAAUAAAAAGGUCAAGAAUACAAAUAGAGAAGUAAACAAAAAAAAUACAUAAAUUAAAAUUAAAAUUUAAAAGAAAAAAUACAUAGAUUAAUAUGAACACUAAAUGAGGUUUUUUGAGAUAGACUUAGUUAGACCUGAACCAGAUGGAUAUUAAAAAAAAUAAAAAAAAAUUGAAAGAAAUAAAAACUAAUUAGAUGCUAAAUAUUGGAUUAAAAUAACCAAAUGAAUAAAGAGUAAUUAUUAAUUUUUAACAUUUUUUAUUCCCUAGAAUUAUUAUUUUGUGUAUUAAAUGUAUUCUGAGUGUAGUGGUAUAAAAAAUGUAGUUAAGAAUACUAUGAAGAAUAAUAAUGGUGAUGAUAAUGGUGACGACACUUAAUACCUUUUAUUGUACGUUUAGAAAAAAUGAGGUUCUUGAUCUUUAUGGAGAUUAUCAUUACUCAUCCGCAAGCAUGUUGAUAGUUGAAACUACUCAAUUAUCAAAAAUUGAAUUUCUAACCUUCAAUUUUUCUCUCUCAAAUGUAUAUGUGGGUGAGAAAGCACUAGGAAGAUUAUAAGGUCUCACAUGUAUAUGAGUCAUAGGAUAAAAAAUAUAGAGACAAUACUAGCAUUUAUUUGAUCUAGUGGCAAAUAGAGAAAUAUAAAAUAACCAUAACCAUAAUGUUCUAACCUUAUAUAUACCAGAACCAUGUUUCCUUCAUUCAAUGUUGCAACUUUUUCUUUUCAAAUUAGAAUGUAACUUGUAGGAUCCAUUGCCCAUCAAAAUUUUGAAUCGAAUAUUAUAAGAUAUUUCACAUUUCUACCUACUAAAGCAUGAGCUUCAAUGUUCUCAUGCACUUUUGGCUACUAAGUUAAAGAACCCUUUGAGGAUUAAUGGAGUUUCUAUGAGUAGCAAAGCAUUAUAAUCAGAAAGUCUUAUCAGUGAUAUGCAAUUUGACCAAGAACUUAUUCCCAACUAUUUUAUGAAUUUUAUGACUUUUCUUGGCUACUUGUAGGCAAGCUAAAGAAAUUUUCUGGUUUGUUCAAGUCUAAAAAGUGGUUUCAAGUUUAGGGCCAAGCUUGGGCUGCACCUAGGUCCUUGGGCCUUGUUCAGCUCCACGUUUAAACCAACCUUGAGUCCAUCUUUGUAAUUUUUCUCCCAAUUCAUUGAUUAAUAUUAGGAUUUUAUAGAGCCUAUAAAUUGACCAACUAAAUAAAGUAGGUUCAUAAACUUUUAGGUGAAAAUUUUCUCUUUAAUAAAUGUUAAUUCAAGAGUCUCCGUAAUCUUUUUAUAUUCAUAUUAAUUGGUAUUUAAACCGACCUUACUAUAUUAAAGUCAAAUACCAAAUAGUGAACACUAUAUCUACUACUACCACUAUGAUGGUCACAAACAUAGAAUGCUCCAUUUUUUAGAGUCAAUUGAUGCUUAUAAACAACUUUGUUUGAAAAUAAAACACAUCGAGUGAUUGCAUCAAGAGAUUGAUGUAAUAAUUGCAUACUUGAUCUAGAUAAUGUUAAUAUGAGUUGACUAAAUAAAUGAGUAUUUACUUAUAAGGUAGCCCAUAGAACAUUAUUUGUGGAAAUAUUCAUGCACCUCUACAUAUGUUCAUGAUAACUUAGGUUGAUAAAUUUAAGAAGAACAAAUUCAUAACCUUGGGCAUAGUUAGUAAGAAAUUUCACCAAUAGAGUUUGGUAUCAUGAUUCUAAUUGUUCAAAUUGUUUUAAAGGAGUAUUUUAAAUUGCAUGUUAAUUUGCUUCUAAUAAAUGGAGAGAAACCAAUUCAAGAAGAGAAUUGUACUCAAGCUAUGUAUAGCAUUCAUGAAGAUGUAGAAAAUAUUGAUGAACUUACUUUUGAGCAAGUUGAAAUCAUAAUUAAAUAAAAUAACAAACCCAAGGGUUAAGAUUGUCAAGUAAAACUUUAAUUAAAAUUUAUUGAUUUUUUAAAUGCCUAUUAGAGGAGCAAUAGAAGUUCUAGAUAGAAAGUAAGAACUUUUCUAAGGAAUCACUUGUUAGAUUUUAAGUGAUCAAUAAAUAUAAUGUCCAAUUUAAAACUUUUAUAAAAGCAAUGGUUCUAAAGAAUAACUUGAUUUGAAUUUAAAGUUAUUAUUGAUAUUUAUUUAUAAUGGAUGUAGUUAAUCAAUUGAACAUAGUAAAAAACACAUAAUUUUUUCAAAAUACCUUCUAAUUGUUGGGUAUAUUUAAGUAGUUAUUCAUAUCUCAUUAUCUUUUUACUCACAUACUAAUCUCCUUAUUGAGUAUUUACCAAUUACAAGUAGGUUGAAAGUUACUUGAAUUUAAGUCACUAAUCAAUGUUAACUUGAUGACAAAUAAGUCUCCCUUUGAAACUUGUUUUAUAACAUAGCGAAAUGUAGUCGAUCAAUCAUCAAAACAAUGUUUAAGCAUUGGGAUUUAGUUGUUAAUUUUUAUUUUUUAUUUUUUGUGCUUAAACAAAGACAAAAAUUAUAAAAACUCCUGAAAAGUACAUAUUAAUUGAAUUUAAUUUAUACAUCAAACAAGAACAAACUAGUCUUGGAUUUAAAAUUCAAUAGGUUUUGUAAUUAUAAUUCCUAAAAAUUUGUAAGACAACAAAAUUAUUGGACACUAGGCUAUUGGGUGUGUAUGACUAAGAGGUGAAGGAGGGUUCAUCUUAUACAAAGGAUGAUUUGAUUAAUUUUAAAGAUUGAAUAAACAAUAAUUGCAUAUUCAAGUAAAAAUAACAUUGCUAAAAAGGAAAAUAAGUAUUUUAGUCCUCAAACCUAAAAUGGCUAAAAAAUUUAAUUAAUACAAUUACAACUUCACCUACAAAAAAAAAAAAAAAAAAAUACCCAAAACUUUUCAAUAGCACAACUAAGUCCAUUUAUCAAAAGCUCUAUGAACAACAACAACUAUCAAAUCACAUAAAUCAUGUUGUUUACAAAGUGCCCUUGAUGUUUUAAAACAUAAGAUAUUACAUAAAAAUCAACCAAUAGUGUAUGACAUUAUAAAAAACAUAUCCAAAUCCAUUGUCGAACUUAAACUAAAUUCAACUUUAUAUACAUAGUCGCAAGUGGGUCUUUUUGUCUUUCAAUUUGGGUCAAAUUCAGAUGUUAGUUUUUUACACAACAAGGGAUUAUCAAGGUGAUAAUUCAUGCAUAUAAAUAGUAUUACUUAUAUAAAAAAAAUGGUAAAUGCAAUUUUUUUGUAUUCACUCACCAUUUGGCAUAUCAAUAAGAAAAAAAUAUAUACAAUAGGUGCUAUCAAUAAUAUUAUGCAUCACUAGAAAUUAUAAUUUUUCAUUUGUUAUCACUACUUGUGCACUUUGGAAAGCUUGCUAGGUACAACAAAUUAGCUCAGUGAAGAAAUUGAUCAAUUCCUUCAUUUCUAAAUAAAUUUGCAUAUACACUAGAAUAAAAACAACUUUUUAACUUAACAAGUUGACUGAGUCUCAGAACUUAGUAGGUUGAAGGCAUAGACUUCCAUCCAAGCUCAUUUACUGGCACCACAUGUUGGAAAAAUAAAGAAAAAUCAAAACACUUGAGUAUAGUUGCAAACCAAUCUAAAUAUAGAGUGAGAUCUACCUUUCUUUGAAAGUUUAGAACAAAUUUUUAUUUUUAUGAUAAGACUAUGCAGUACUUAUCCCUCUCUAACAAGUCUAUAAUCAGUCCAAAGCAUGGGAUAUUGCAUAUUUCUUGAACUCAAUUAGCCUUUAAUCCAUGCAUUUCAAGUAAAUUUAAAACCUGGUGUACUUGUUCUUGAUUCACAUCCUUGUCACUAUUAUCAUUACUUGUUCUUGAAUAUAGAACCUUAUUGUCCAUUAACAAGCGGGCCUAUGUUCCUCCAUGAUUCAAGAGUAUUAUGUUUUGUUCAUCAUCAGUUGGUCUUGCUCUAAAGCUUCUUUUUUAUGACUAUCAAUAACCAGACUUAGAUACCAAAAUUUAUGCAAGAGAGCAUGUACUUUAUACAGUCAAGAACUUGUGAGUCUAGACUUUGUUAUCUAGGUAAAAGAAUAAAUUGGUUUGUUAAAAUAGCUAGCAUUAGGUAUCUAUUCAAUUCCUAUCUUAGACAAUAAAGAUACAAAUGAUCAAAUACAUUCUUAUUAAGAAACAUUUGAUACCAAAAGUGAUGUAAGACAACACAGUUCCUCUAUUCAAUCAAGUUUAAGGCUUAGAUGAACCUAUGAAUUUAUAUUAAUUAAUUGGGAAAGAGAAUAAAUAGGCUAAGUAGAAGUGAUAGGAUUGUAAUAGCAUUAAGUUAAUGAUCUUGUUUAGGUCUUCUACUAAAUUAGAGAAGAAACAAACAAAAGUAAUCAAACGUGUUAGUGAUAAUUAUAUCUACUUAACAUUGAGACAAUAGUUGUACUAAUGGUAAUUAUAUUAUUUCUUGAGAGUUUAAACAAUAUAUAUUGAAAAUAUUUUUAAAGGUUUAGCAACUACCAAGGUUAUAAUCAACUACGAGCUUUUUAUUUUUAAAAAUAUGAAAUAUUAAUAUCUUUACUUUCUUUGAUCUUCUUGUAGGUUUUAAAAGUUUGUCUAAGCUGAAAAAGCUGGAAAUCUUAAACCUUCGUGAUAAUCAGUUCAACAAGACCAUUAUAAAACAGUUGAGUGGACUCACAUCCCUUAAAACACUAGUUGUAAGCUACAACUAUAUUGAGGGACUUUUUCCUUCCCAAGGUAUUGCUUAUUCUUUUAAUAUCCUUAGUAACCACUCUACCAUGAUUUUUUUUUUUUUCAAUUUUAUUUUCUUUCUUGAACCAUACAGAAUUAUCUAUUUUUGGAAACUUGAUGACACUGGAUUUAAGAGAUAAUAGACUCAAUGGCUCCCUAUCAAUCCAAGGUAAAUUCUAAUCAGAAUUAUCAUUAUAUUUAGGGCAUAUAAUAAAUUAAUUAAAUUAUUUUAUCUAUUAUCAUUACUUGGUUAUUUGGAUUUUCUUGAUAUUGUUUAGCAUUUUACAUAGGAAAAUGAAAUGGAAAAAUCAACCCAUGCUUAGUGUUUAAGCACUGGGCUAGAAGUAUAUUUGUCUUCCCAAUUUAAUCAAAGAGAAAAGUCAUAAAUAACAUAAUUUAACUUAUACCUUAUAUUGAUUGAAGAGGUUAGACUACUUUUGGAUUUAAUGGUCAAUAUUUGUUGAAGAUAGGGUUUCCUAAAUUUGAUAAAAAGAACUUCAAUUUAAAUUACCAUAACUACAUAAAGGUGUGACUAGCAUAAUUAAACUCUUUUAUUAAUAGAUGUUCAUAGACUAGUAUUAUAAUCCCACAUGCACAAAUAAUCAAAUUUUGAAAUUAGACUUCAAAUAACUAUGCAAUAUACGAAACUACAAAAUGAAUGGUAGGUCAUAAUUAAUUAAAUUCGUACUAUAUUCAAUGUUGGUCAACACGUGUCAAGUAAAAGUUUUGGCCUAAGUGUAAGGGCUCACUUGCUCCAAUAUAUAUGUUAUUCACUUUGGGUCAAGGCCUACUUUAAAAUAUCUAUACAUUUAUGAGAUAUUUUAAAAUGUAAAAUGAUAGGUUUUGAUCAUUUUUAAAGGUAGCAAACAUUUUAUUUUAUUUGUAUUUAAGAACAACGUCUUUUCUUAUACAAUGUUUAUUUAAUUUUCUUUUGAUAGAUUUUGCAAGCUUAAGCAAUUUGGAGAUAUUGGAUUUGAGUUAUAAUUCCUUCAAUGGAAUUGUUUCAUCAUCUAUAAGAUUAAAGUCUUCUCUCAAGUCUUUAUCCUUGGCUGGAAAUAGACUCAAUGGUUCUUUACAAUGUCAAGGUAGGAAACAUUUAAUUUUAUUUGUAUUUAAGAACAAUGUCUUUUCUUAUAUAAUGUUUUUUUAAUUUUCUUUUGAUAGAUUUUGCAAGCUUAAGAAAUUUGGAGAUAUUGGAUUUGAGUUAUAAUUCCUUCAAUGGAAUUGUUUCAUCAUCUAUAAGAUUAAAGUCUUCUCUCAAGUCUUUAUCCUUGGCUGAAAAUAGACUCAAUGGUUCUUUUCAAUAUCAAGGUACAUAUGUUAUGCUUUCUUUGUUUCAUAAAGAUUAGACAAGAUAAACAUUGUGAAAAAAAGGUUGUCAUAGUUAAUGUAAAAUGAUAGGUUUUUGAUCAUUUUUAAAGGUGGCAAACAUUUUAUUUUAUUUGUAUUUAAGAACAAUGUCUUUUCUUAUACAAUGUUAUUUUAAUUUUCUUUUGACAGAUUUUGCAAGCUUAAACAAUUUGGAGAUAUUGGAUUUGAGUGGUAAUUUCUUCAAUGGAAUUGUUUCAUCAUCUAUAAGAUUAAAGUCUUCUCUCAAGUCUUUAUCCUUGGCUAGUAAUAGACUCAAUGGUUCUUUUCAAUAUCAAGGUACAUAUGUUAUGAUUUCUUUGUUUCAUAAAGAUUAGACAAGAUAAACAUUGUGAAAAAAAGGUUGUCAUAGUUAAUGUAAAAUGAUAUGUUUUGAUCAUUUUUAAAGGUGGCAAACAUUUUAUUUUAUUUGUAUUUAAGAACAAUGUCUUUUCUUAUACAAUGUUAUUUUAAUUUUCUUUUGACAGAUUUUGCAAGCUUAAACAAUUUGGAGAUAUUGGAUUUGAGUGGUAAUUUCUUCAAUGGAAUUUUUUCAUCAUCUAUAAGAUUUAAGUCUUCUCUCAAGUCUUUAUCCUUGGCUGUAAAUGGACUCAGUGGUUCUUUACAAUAUCAAGGUACAUAUGUUAUGCUUUCUUCGUUUCAUAGAGAUUAGAGAGGAUAAACAUUGUAAAAAAAAAAAAGUUGUCAUAGUUAAUGCAAGCUAAAACUAAAAAACUUGCUUUUUCAAUUAUGUAAGCAUGUUUUGUUCUUGAUGAAUCUUUACAACAUUCAAAGUUACUAAUAUUUAUAAUUCAUAGAGACCUCAUUAACAACCACUAACAACUAAUUGUAAGUAACUAUGAAAAAAGUAAGGACAAAAAUGAGGGAAAAGCAAGGAAAGUGACAAAUUUUUUCAUCCCCAUAAAAAAUGCUAAGGAAGAAAAAGGUGAAGAAAAUUUAAAGAAAGUAUAUUUUUCAAAAAUUAAAUUUUCUUUCCCUUAAAGUUGGUAUGGACAACCAAACAAGAAAAUGAUUUUGAAAUUCUUUUUUGACUUUUUUCUUUCAUUUUUUUUCCUACUCUAUUUUCUUUCCCUCAAACUUUCUAGGUAGUAAACAUUACCUAAGACAAAUAGGGAAGAAAAUAUUUUAUCAUUUAUUUAUUUAGCAUUUUUCUUACAUUUUUUGUAUUUUAUCCAAAUAUAAGAAAACUAUUUUUCUUUAUUUUUUCUUUUCCUUGUUGCGUUUCAAGAAUCAAGCAUACUUUAAACUCUAAUUAAGAGUUACAUAGAUUUACGAAGAAACGAUGCAACUGGUAACAAAAAAUUAAGGAAAUUUAAUUUUUGAGAGUAAGUAUAAUGAGAUUGGUUUGUUUGAUACAAAAUUUGAAUAAAAAUUCUUUUAAUGAAAAUUCAAGGAAAGGAAAAAAAAAACAACUUUAUCUCUAGACUAUAAUACUAAAUCAAUUAAAAAAAAUCUCCUAACAUCGUUUAUGUUCAUCUUUCUUUUUAUGGAUUUGAAAAACUCAAUAAUUUGGAGAAAACUGAUUUAAGGAAGAAUAUUUUUUAGAGUAAAAGAUUAUUAUUUAAGAAUAUCAUAAAUAUUAUAGUCAUUGUUGAAUAUGAUAAAUGAUAAAUAAAAAAUAAAAAAUAAAUAAAAAGUCGUUGGAAAUUUAGAUACUUUUAUGGAAAGAUAGACAAAGUGCUCUAGUUUAUAAUACUAAUGCACUUUUCUAAUUUGAUAUGAAAAAAGGUAAAACGAUAGGUUUUGAUCAUUUUUAAAGGUAGUUUGUUUAAAUCAUUUUAAUUUAUUUUGAUUUAUGAACAAUAACUUUUAUUACACUAGUUAUUUUGAUUUUCUUUUGAUAGAUUUUGCAAGCUUAAGCAAUUUGAAGGUAUUGGAUUUGAGUUAUAAUUCAUUUAGUGGGAUCGUUCCAUCAUCUAUAAGAUUGAUGUCUUCUCUCAAGUCUUUAUCUCUGGCUGGAAAUGACCUCAAUGGUUCCUUACCAAAUCAAGGUACAUAUAUUGAGAUUACAGGUUUUUCUGUUUUCUUUUUUAAUAUCUUGUUUGUUCUUUAUGCCAAUGAAGUCAUGCAUGUCUAUUAAUUUUUGGUAUUUAAUGAAAAACUUUAUUCUUAAUUCAUAAAGACCUCAUCAACUGUGAGUAACAGCUAGUUGUAAGUUUGGGGGCAUUGACAAGACGAGGAGAUGAUUGGUUACAUGUCUUAUUCUCUUUUGUAGGCUUUUUCCAAUUGAAUAAGCUUCAAGAGUUGGAUCUUAAUUACAACUUAUUCCAAGGGAUCCUUCCUCAAUGUUUGAAUAAUUUGACAUCUCUAAGGUUAUUAGAUCUCUCUUCCAACCUAUUCUCCGAAAAUCUUUCUUCCACUCUGUUACCUAAUCUCACAUCCCUGGAGUACAUUGAUCUCAGUUACAAUCAAUUUGAGGGUUCAUUCUCUUUCAGCUCUUUUGCUAAUCACUCCAAGCUUCAAGUGGUCAUACUUGGAAGUUAUAACAACAAAUUUGAGGUAGUUGGAAGGGAUAACAACAAAUUUGAGGUAGAAACUAAAUAUCCAGUUGGUUGGGUUCCCCUGUUUCAGUUGAAACCUCACCGGUGACCUUCCUGGUUUUCUUCAAUACCAAUUUAGAUUAACGGCAGUUGAUCUCUCCCAUAAUAACUUGACAGGAAGUUUCCCCAAUUGGCUGCUUGAAAACAAUACGAGAUUGGAAUUUCUGCUCCUGAGGAAUAACUCUUUAAAGGGUCAACUACUUCUCCUAGGACCUAAUACCCUGAUCAGUUCGUUGGAUAUCUCACACAAUCAGUUGGAUGGACAACUUCAAGAAAAUGUGGCCCAUAUGAUUCCAAAUAUUUGGAAGUAUUCCCAAUUCAAUCUCUAGACUUCUAGAGCUAAGGAUUCUUUUGCUAAGAGGAAACCUUUUAAGUGGUUUCAUUCCAUAUCGACUUUGUCAUUUGACUAAAAUAAGCUUGAUGGAUCUUUCAAACAACAAUUUUUCUGGGUUAAUUCCUGGAUGCUUUGGUCAUAUCGGAUUUGGAGAUUUCAAAACUGAGCACAAUGUGUAUAUACCGAUGUUGGAUUCAUAUUCAGAAAGCAAUCCUUCUAUAUAUACGGGUUACUUAAUAAAAUAUUUAUUUUUCUCUAGUGAACUCCCUGAUAAAGUAGAUGAAGUUAAGUUUGUUACCAAGAAUAGGUAUAGCUCCCACAUAGUAGAUAAAAAUAUUUGUUCGGAAUUUAGAUAUUUUUAUAGAAAAGUAGACAAGUAUUCUAAUUUAUAAAAACAAUGCAUUUCUUUAGUUUGGUAUAAAAAAAUGAAAUGAUAGGUAUUGGUAAUUUUUUUUAAAGUAGCAAACGUUUUAUUUUAUUUGUAUUUAAGAAAGAUGUCUUUUCUUAUACUAGUUAUUUUAAUUUUCUUUUGACAGUUUUUGCAAGCUUAAGCAAUUUGGAGAUACUAGAUUUGAGUUCUAAUUCCUUAAGUGGGAUUAUUCCAUCAUCUAUAAGAUUGAUGUCUCAUCUCAAGUUUUUAUCGCUGGUCGGAAAUCACCUCAAUGGUUCUUUACAAAAUCAAGGUACAUAUGUUAUGAUUUGUUUGUUUCAUAUAGAUUAGAGAAGAUAAAUAUUGUAAAAAAAAAAAGUUGUAGUUAAUGUAAGUUAGAAAAAAGUAUCUUGCCUUAUAAAUUAUAUAAGCACGUGUUUGUUCUUAAUGAAUCUUUACAACAUUUAGAGUUACCAAUCUUUAUAAUUCAUAAAGACCUCAUAAACACUGAGUAACAACUAAUUGUAAGUAAUUGUGGAAAAGUAAGGAAAACAAAUUGCUUCAUUUGAUACAAAAUUCGAAUAAAAAUUCUUUUAAUGAAAACUCAAGGAAAGGAAAAAACAUUUUUAUCUCUAGAUUAUAAUACUAAAUCAUGUAAAAAAUCUCGUAACAUCAUUUAUAUUCAUAUUUCUUUUUAUAGAUAUGAAAAAUUCAACAAUUUGGAAUAAACUUAUUCAAUGAAGAAUAAUUUUUAGAUUUAAAGAUUAUUAUUUAAGAAGAUCGUAAAUAUUACCAUCAUUGUUGAUGUCUAAGAAGAUCAUAUUCAACAAUUUUUUUAAUAUGUUGUUUUCUAUGGUAAUUAAUUGAUGUCUUGUAAUUUUUAAUAUUUAAUGAAAAACAUUAUUUUAAUUCAUCUAGAGCUCUUAAUUCAUGAAGACCUCAUUAACGGUGAGUAAUAGUUGGCUGUAAGUUUGGAGUCAAAGACAUUUCAAGGAGAUGAUUAGUUACAUGUCUUGUUCUCUUUUGUAGGUUUCUGCCAAUUGAAUAAGCUUCAAGAGUUAGAUCUUUCUUACAACUUAUUCCAAGGGACCCUUCCUCCAUGUUUGAAUAAUUUGACAUCUCUGAGGUUAUUGGAUCUCUCUUCCAACCAUUUAUCCGGAAAUCUUUCUUCGCCUCUGUUACCUAAUCUCACAUCCCUGGAGUAUAUCGAUCUCAGUUACAAUCAUUUUGAGGGUUCAUUCUCUUUCAGCUCUUUUGCUAAUCACUCCAAGCUUCAAGUGGUCAUACUUGGAAGUGAUAACAACAAAUUUGAGGUAGAAACUGAAUAUCCAGUUGGUUGGGUUCCCCUGUUUCAAUUGAAGGCUCUUUUCCUAUCCAACUGCAAGCUCACCGGUGACAUUCCUGAUUUUCUUCAAUACCAAUUCAAAUUAGAGGUGGUUGAUCUAUCCCAUAAUAACUUGACAGGAAGGUUCACCAAUUGGUUGCUUGAAAACAACACGAGACUAGAAUUUCUAGUCCUAAGGAAUAACUCUUUAAUGGGUCAACUACUUCCCCUGAGACCUAAUACCCGUAUCCUUUCAUUGGAUAUCUCACACAAUCAGUUGGAUGGACGACUUCAAGAAAAUGUGGGCCAUAUGAUUCCAAAUAUUGUGUUUCUAAAUUUAUCCAACAAUGGUUUUGAAGGUCUUCUCCCAUCCUCAAUAGCUGAAAUGAGUUCCUUAAGGGUGUUGGAUUUGUCUGCCAAUAAUUUCUCAGGAGAAGUACCAAAGCAGUUGCUUGCAACAAAAGAUUUGGUGAUUCUAAAAUUAUCAUAUAAUAAAUUUCAUGGUGAAAUAUUUUCAAGGGACUUUAACAUGACUGGGUUGGAUAUUUUGUAUUUAGACAAUAAUCAGUUCAUGGGAACUCUGUCAAAUGUAAUCUCCGGAAGCUCUCAGUUAAUGGUGUUGGAUGUGAGCAACAACUACAUGUCAGGUGAAAUUCCAAGCGGGAUAGGUAACAUGACAGAAUUGAGAACAUUGGUCAUGGGCAACAAUAAUUUUAGAGGCAAAUUACCACCUGAGAUUUCUCAAUUGCAACAGAUGAAGUUUCUUGACGUUUCUCAAAAUGCUCUUUCAGGAUCUCUUCCUUCUUUGAAGAGCAUGGAGUAUUUAGAGCAUCUACAUUUGCAAGGGAACAUGUUUACAGGAUUAAUACCGAGAGAUUUUCUCAAUUCCUCAGAUCUAUUGACUUUGGAUAUGCGAGAUAACAGGUUAUUUGGAAGUAUUCCCAAUUCAAUCUCUGCACUUUUGGAGCUAAGGAUUCUUUUGCUAAGAGGAAACCUUUUCAGUGGUUUCAUUCCAAAUCAUCUUUGUCAUUUAACUAAAAUAAGCUUGAUGGAUCUUUCAAAUAACUCUUUUUCAGGGCCAAUUCCCAAAUGCUUUGGCGAUAUCCGAUUUGGGGAGAUGAAAAAGGAGAAUGACGUGUUUAGACAGUUCAUUGAUUUUGGGUAUGGAGGGGAUUCUCGUAAUUUAUAUGUUGGAUUCACGGUGAAAAAAUGGGAGUUCGAUAGUGAUGUAUAUGAUGAAAAAAAUGAAGUUGAGUUUGUCACCAAGAACAGGCAUGACUCCUACAGUGGUGACAUCCUUAAUUUCAUGUUUGGAUUGGACUUGUCAUGUAAUAACUUAACCGGUGAAAUCCCUCACAAACUUGGAAAGCUAAGUUGGAUUCAUGCAUUGAACUUGUCUCACAAUCAAUUGAAGGACUCCAUUCCAAAGAGUUUCUCCAAUCUUUCUCAAAUAGAGAGCUUGGACCUUUCUUAUAAUAAAUUAAGUGGAGAAAUUCCUCUAGAGCUAGUUGAACUCAAUUUUCUAGAGGUGUUCAGUGUGGCUUACAACAACAUCUCUGGUAGAGUUCCAGAUACAAAAGCACAAUUUGGGACAUUUGAUGAAAGAAGCUAUGAAGGUAAUCCUUUUCUCUGUGGGACAUUGUUAAAGAGAAAAUGCAACACAAGUAUCGAGCCACCAUGCGCACCAUCACAAUCUUUUGAAAGUGAGGCAAAAUGGUAUGAUAUCAAUCAUGUUGUUUUCUUUGCAAGUUUUACUACUUCAUAUAUCAUGAUCUUGUUAGGAUUUGUUACCAUCCUUUACAUCAAUCCUUAUUGGCGUCAUAGAUGGUUCAAUUUUAUCGAGGAAUGUAUAUAUUCCUGUUAUUAUUUUGUUUUUGAUAAUCUUUCCAAGUUAUCAGCAUAUUUGUAUAAUUAGAUACUUUUAAUUGGAUGAUGUUUGCAUAAUUAACUACUAUUUGUUUCCACUAGAUAGAAAGAAAUGGGAUGUAUAAUUGCUACAAGUUGAAACUUACAUACUUUGCUCAAAUUUUGACAUCUUUUGAUUUUAUUUUCAAGUUCCGUUAUUUUUUAUGUAUUGUUUAAUUCAAGAUUUAACCAUAUUUUGUUACUCUUAUAAAAACAAAUUCAAAUUUUUAGGAAGUUUUAGCAUUAAAAUAAUUUCAUAGUCAUAUUUUAAAAAAUAAAGAAGAAAGAAAAUAAUAAAUAAUUGGAAAAACAAUUCAAGGGAGUAUUAAAUUAUCAUCUUAGAAUUGUUUGGCAUAGUAUGGGAAUUCAAAAAUAAUCUUUCAAUUUGUUAGAAGCGUUUAUUUAUUUAUUAUAGCAAUGAUUGAAAUAUCAAUCACAAAGCAAUGUUUUCUUUUCUUUUGUAGGGCACUAACACUUUUUCUUUGAUCGUAAUAAUUGAUAAAUAUAUUACACAAUUAUUUGUUUUUAAAAAGGGAGGGAUGACAAAUAUAAUAACAUGUGAAAUAUUUCUAAAUGAUGGGAAAUAAGCCAAUCUAAUUAGGGUGCAAUAUUAUUCAUUUUAAUUUAUAUGAAUUUACUUAUUUUUAUUUGUAUCAUAUUUUGAACCAUUUUAUGAAAUUAAGGGAGAUUAAAACAUCGAGUUUCUUAUUUUAAUUUAUAUUUUUAAUAAUAAAGCAUGAAAUAUUUUUUUUUUUAAAAUCAUGAAUUUCUUUAAUUCCUUAGGAAACCAAUAUAUAAAAAAAUUGAAUAUAUUAUGAUUUUAUGUCCUAAAUCUCUAAAUUUGUUCAUCACGUAUUUAUUUUUAUAUUAAAUUUAUUAUUAUUAAUUAUUUAUUAUAUAUUAUUAUUUUAUGUUUAAAAAUGUCCAUAAAUAAUUAAAAUUAAUAAAUAAAAAAAAUGAAAUAUUAAAAAAAUUAAAUUAAAAAGAUUUCAUCAAACUAACAUAUUUAAAAAAAAAAAAAAGCAAAAAGAAGAUGGGGAUAUUAUAGAUGAGGGGAAAAAGAUAAAAAAUAAAUAAAAAUUAUGCGGUAUGAUAAUUGCCUCGUGUUAAAGUUAUUUUCUUUUAAAAAUAAUAAUUGUAAUGAUGAACUCAUUUGUCUUAUUAAAGUAAACAAAAAUGAAGAAAAAAAAAAAGUUGUAGUUGGCUAGAGGUGAGAGAGAGAGAGGAGGGUUUGAGUGUAAGUUUGAAAUAUUAAUUAUUUUCACUAAGUAGAUAUUUUGAAGGUUAUUUUCCCCAAAACACAUAUUCUUUUAAUAAAAAAUCAAAAUUUUAGAUUAUUUGUUCCUUUAAACUUUAGUUUGAAUAAAAUUAGUUUUAAUUAUUUUCUUUUUGGAAUUAUAUUUAACACAUUAUUAAAAAUAUAAAAAAAUAUUAUUAGGUUUUUAUGUGCUGAUUGGGUUUUUUAAAUACCCAAUAUGCCCUCCAAUCUACCACUUAAGCAUCCGAUAUGGCUAAAAAUAAAUUAAAAAAAAAAAAAAGGAAAAAAAACAAAAGUGUAUGAUCCUCUUUCUCGAGUCUUCACAUUUUCAGACACUGAACCCAAAUCAAAAUUAAUCCUCCAAAUUAAUUUUCACCUCGAACCCAAACCCUAACUGCUGCCCCGUUUUCUCCUCAAACAUAGCUAUCCGAAAAACCCUAACCUCUGCCUCGUCUUCCUCUUAUCCCGGAAACCUAAAUCCCGUGACCCUAACCCCUUCUCUUUCCGAAAACCCUCCGGAAUAGGAAGAUUCAUAAUUCUUCAGAAUUAAUUUUCACCUCGAAGCCAGACCCUAACUGCCUCAUCUUCCUCUCAUUCAUAUCCUAAAAGUAGCUUCAACAGUCAGGCCUGUAGCCAUGAAAGCCGUAAUGAUCGCCACUUCCGGUGAUCCCCAAGUUCUCCAAGUGCAAGAAGUCGAAAACCCUAAAAUUGGAGAUGAUGAAGUUCUAAUUAGAGUGGACACCGC